This 272226-nucleotide long non-coding RNA is filed under the name Eucalyptus grandis. RNAcentral describes it as "long non-coding RNA (EGRA_LNC000617)". The record is from RNAcentral. Lineage: Eukaryota; Viridiplantae; Streptophyta; Magnoliopsida; Myrtales; Myrtaceae.
UCCUCCCGGCACUUCUAUUUUUCCUUCUCAACCGGAAGCGCACCAAGCUUCCCCCUCAGCCCCCCGCAUGGCCCGUGAUCGGCAAUAUCCUCGACCUCGGGACCACGCCGCACCAGAACCUCCACAACUUCCGAGCCAAGCACGGGCCUGUGACGUGGUUGAAGCUCGGUUCCGUGAACACCAUGGUGAUCCAAUCAGCUCAGGCCGCCACAGAGUUCUUCAAGGGCCAUGACUUCGCGUUCGCAGACCGCAAGUGUCCCCAUGCAUUGACAGCUCUCAAUUAUGACCAAGGCUCGCUCGCUGUGGGUCGUUACGGUGGCUACUGGCGCGUUCUCAGGCGUCUCUGCUCUGUUGAGUUCCUCGUGACCAAGCGCGUCAAUGAGACGGCCCAUCUCAGGCAGAAGUGUGUCGACAACAUGGUCGUUUAUUUGGAGGAAGAAAUGGCGGUUAAACAAGUAACAACAGGUUAUUUCUUACGUGCUUCGUGUUACGUUGGACGUUUGCGUUGCAUGUGUAACCUUGAAUGACUGAAAUAAUAGUUUUCUUCUUCAAAGGAAAAAAAAAAAAAAAAGCAACAGAGAGAGAGAGAGAAAGGAACGUUUAAACUCCUUACAAAAAUAUCAAAAUAGGAUGAAGGCCAAUACCCUACACAAUAUUCCCACUAGUGUCACAAGUUCUUCUCAUUAAUAUAUGUAAAAUCAACGGUUAAGAUAUCUUGGGACUUUUGCACCAUUAAGAGUUAAUGAUUCACGCUGUCAAAAGAAUCGUAACCUGCAACUAGAUCUACCUAAGAAAACAUUGGGCCUGCUUUUUACGGAUGAAGGAACCGGCGGUCUUUCUUUUUUGCAAAAUGUACAAUUAAGUUCCAGAAUCUUUUUUUUUUUCUUUUUUCUACUAUUGAGUUCUUAAAUUAUACAUCUUUUAAUUUGAGUUAGCCCUCCUCUUAAAUAUGCGAAUGCAUUGGUUACGAUGAAUAUUGCAUCCCCACCAUAUGUUAGCACUGACUAGACUAACUAAUUAGGGAGACAUGAAUUCUUUUUUACUUAGUGCUAAGAUGGGUAAGAAAGAUUAUAAAAAUAAAGAAAUCUAAAUCCAAGUAAACAUUCACCAACCCAAGCGUUGCCUCAAUUUAUUGCAUGACCCCGGGCGACAACUUACCUCGACCCCUAGUUAUUCAAUUUUUCUAUGUCAUUCUAUUUUUAAGUUUUUUAAGAAGUCACUUAAGACACCAUGUUGGCUUUCAAUGAGGACCUAACCGCCAUGUCAACAUUUAUAUAUACUUCUUUAAUGGAAGGACUAAAUCAAAGAAGAAGUUAUACGGCUCGAGGAUCUAAUUGCACAACAAAUUUAGGAACCUAAUUAAAACUUUUUACAAAAGUUUAGGGACUGCUGGUACUUUUAUCCCUUUGUUUUGUUACUAUAAUUGACGAAUUCAAUAAAAUAGAUACCAGUGUAAAUAAUUCAAGUUGCCCAAGAGCUAUUGGUGUUUAAAGUGCUAUUUAGUCAAACUUGCUUUCAUUCUUCUCGAGUUUGAGUCGAACUAGAGUGGCUCUACUGUUGAAUUAUGCCAAGCUCGAGUAGCUUUACCAUUGAAUUGUGUCAAACUCGAGCAUGAUCAAGUAGUUGGGUUUUAUAUAUCUUCUGAUGCAUUGAUCAAGUAUAUCCCCAUUACUAUGCAAGAGAAUGCAAAAGUAAACUUUCCACUUUAUUUUAUUUGUGCAAGCCAAGUUGGAGUUUUUAAGAGUUCAGAUGCUAAUUUAGUUUUUAUUAGUGAAAAAUAUUCGAAAACAAGCUUAUCAAGAACUUUAUUAAGUUCGACUUGAGCUUGAAAAAUCCAACUUUUGUCUUGAAAGUUGCAGCUUGGAGGUUGAUUCCUCCAUCCCUCCUUAAACUAGUUGUAUAACUUGGUGCAAUAAUUUUUUUUUUUUCAUUUCUAAUUCAUUACGUUCUGCUAUACAUUCUCUAAUUAUAAUUAAUCGUUAAAAAUUUCUAAUUUUUAUGCAGAACAAGGAAUCGACUUAUCCCACUUCCUCUUUCUCAUGGCAUUUAAUGUGGUGGGUAAUUUGGUGCUCUCACGGGAUCUUUUGGACCCAAAAUCGAAGGACGGGCCUGAGUUCUUUGAUGCCAUGAACCGGUUCAUGGAAUGGGCUGGCAAGCCCAACGUAGCCGACUUCCUGCCGUGGUUGAAAUGGUUGGACCCACAGGGGAUCAAGGCAAGCAUGGCGAAGGACAUGGGUCGAGCCAUGAAGAUUGCUGAAGGUUUUGUAAAAGAGAGGUUGGAGGAGCGAAAGCAAAGGGGAGAGAUGAGAACGACAAAUGACUUCUUGGAUGCGGUAUUGGAUUAUGAGGGCAAUGGAAAAGAAGGCCCUCGCAAAAUCUCUUCCCAGAACAUCAUCAUAAUAAUUCUGGUAUCCUCUCUUCCACUCUUGGCAAAAAAGAAAUGAUUAACAUCUUAAGGAUAUUAGGUCCAGUUCGGUUUGUAAAGUGGGGUGGUAAACUUAAUUGACAAUUAACAAGCAGGUCAUAUCACGCGUCAUUUUCUACAAACUUGUGUUUUCGUAGAACAUUCUAGCACUAGAUUUUGUAAUAACUAGCCUUUUCCAAUCAACUAUCUAUGAAAACAUUUUACACUUUAAGUUUGUAGAGAACGUUGCAUAACAAAAAGCUACUACUAUUAUAAAGAUGUUUCCAUUCUUUCCUGAUUUAGCCAAUCUGUGCUCAUUUUGUAAUAACUAGCUAAGAAUGUUCUACAAAUCACAAGAAUGAUUUAUGGUUAUUUUCUUUACAAAAAUAAAAAAUAAAUCUAGUGCUAGAAAGACACAUUGAAUGAUUUGUUAAGUUAAGUUGAUGUCAAUUUCACUAAUUAAUAGAACAUGUUGGGUAUCCACAAUGGAUGAGUGAAUGGUAUGUUGAUCAAAUGUAUGAUAUGAUAUUGACUAAAUAUAAUCGAUGUUCAAACACCAGCAUUGAGUAUAAGAAGCCAAUAAGAUUAAGUUGACAAGGCAUGAACAGUUUUUGUCCAUGGACUUAUAAAUGAAAGUCAAGUUAAUGUCGGUCGAGUCAAGAAGUAUUGACAUUGGCUCACAAAAUUUGGUCGAAUCAAACCGACUGCAAGGAUAAAACUAGCGCGAACAGUUAUUGUAGCCAAACUUCUAGGACGGAACAAUUUUUAAAGUUGUUGACCGGCAGUUGAAGUGAAGCAAUCGUUGUAGCCGAGACUACAAAAAGAGCACAUCUUAAGGGAAAAAGACGCACACACAUAAAAAGAACACACUUCACUUUCUUGCCAUUCAUUUUCAGUUAUUUCUCAGCAACUUAAUUCUUGCCAUUCCAGUUGUUUAUUUCAUUUUUUCCAAUCAAACACCUGCUCUUGCCCUUUUAUAAAUAUUCCUGUUGUCAUUAGUGGAUUCAUUUCGUCAAUUUUAGGAUCCAAUCAUCAAAUUCUUGUUCCUUUCUUUAUGCGCAAUUGUCUGUCAAUUUGAAGCAUAGGAGCUGCUAUGUUUGAUAAGGAUUGUAUCAGGUGAAGCAUGAUGAUUUUUACUGUUAAGCCCACGAUUUGAGGGAGUGAUUUUCGAGCGAAACUGAUUAUCUUAAUUAUAGCAAAAGAAUCAGCAUUGGUGGUAACCCUAGCAAGAAAUGAUCUUGUACUAAAUGUGUCUAAUUCAUGGUGCAGGAAAUGUUUUUCGCUGGAUCAGAGACUACAAGCAGCACCAUCGAGUGGGCAAUGGCGGAGCUACUCCACCAACCCGUGUCAAUGAAAAAGGCCAAAGAUGAGAUUAACCAGAUUGUGGGGUUGAACAGAAAACUCGAAGAAAGUGACACGGAAAAAAUGCCGUUUUUGCAAGCUGUGGUGAAGGAAACCCUGAGAUUGCAUCCACCAUUACCUUUGCUUAUCCCACGAAAUGCUAUAAAAGAAACCAAUUUCAUGGGAUUUGAUAUACCCAAAGAUACCCAGGUUUUCGUGAAUGUAUGGGGCAUUGGAAGAUGUUGGAGAAAUCCUCAUGAAGUGUUUUGAAGUUGACAAAACGUUUCCAUCAGUCUAGUCUGAAGGUCUGCAGACUCUGUUAGUUAAAGUCUGAAGACUUCCGGACAGCCAGACUCAAGACUCAAAGUCUAUCCUCAUUGACAGUCUCUAAUCCGUUGAAGAAAGGUUAUCCAGAACUGGAUGUUUUGUUCAGGAUUUAACCUUAUCAUCUAGAGAAGAUCUCGUGGCUGGAGAAGACGUAUCAGAAUCCUUUGAUUGAUCAAGUUUGAUUCAAUGAAUGAAGAUUCGAUGAUUGUCUAAAUAUUAUUGGAAGGUUCUACUUAUGGAAACCGAGAUCCUGAUUGUAUGGACGAACAUGAUUGAUGGGCUAUCAACACGUUCCUUUAAUAGCUCGAACAAUCUUCCUAAUUGAUUCCGUCCAACGGGUAGAUUGGAGGAAUUCCUUUGGUAAGUGCCAACGGGUAUGAUGGCUUAAAGGAGUAUAUAAGGAAGACGUUCUUAGUUGUUCGAGGUGUGCGCGAUAGAAGAAUUCCAAAGUCUGAAGCUCCUAUUUGUUUAGAUAAUUCCUUUAGCGAUACUUGUAUACAAANNNNNNNNNNNNNNNNNNNNNNNNNNNNNNNNNNNNNNNNNNNNNNNNNNNNNNNNNNNNNNNNNNNNNNNNNNNNNNNNNNNNNNNNNNNNNNNNNNNNGAAUCAAGGCAAAGCUGUGCUGUAACUUCUCUUUUGAUCAUAGUGAAAUCCAGCCGGUGGGCUGUCAGUGCGGAAGAGUGGACGUAGGCUUGGAAUAAGCCGAACCACUAUAAAUCCUGUGUUCAAAUUUCUCUCUCUACCUCGAUCGUAUUUCAUUUUGUUAAGAAUUGCUUCCGUAUUUGGGACAAAUUGUUUGUGCGCCUAUUCACCCCCCCUCUAGGUGUUUAUACUAGCAAUAUCAAUUGGUAUCAGAGCCUGUGUACUUACUUUAUUUGAAGUGUUUUACUUCAUAGUAAAAGAUCCAUGGCUAGUAUGCUAGCAUCAGGGCUGAUGGAAGGGCAAAGCAAUACUAGACCACCCUACUUUGAUGGAAAGGAUUACAACAUCUGGAAGAACAAGAUGAAAGCUUUCCUACGAUCAAAGGAUCCUCUGGAAUGGGACGUUGUAGAAAAAAGAAUUACUCCUACCACUGCAUCAGUCUCUGAAAGAGGAAAAGAAACUGAAGAAACCAGCGGAAUGUCUCAGGAAGAAAUAAUCAAGAGACAAACACUCGAUGCAAAAGCAAUUUACUCCUUAUAUUGUGCUUUAUCACCAACUGAAUAUAAUAGAAUAUCUUCUUGUGGUACAGCAAAAGAAGUUUGGGACAGAUUGCAUAUCACCUAUGAAGGAACAGAUCGAGUGAAGGAAACAAGAAUCAACAUUCUUCUCGGUCAAUACGAAGCCUUCAGAAUGAAACCAGGAGAAUCAAUAUCUGACAUGUUUAGUCGUUUUACAGAUAUUGUGAAUGGUCUUGAAAAUCAAGGUCAACCAACUUCUGAUCCCAUGAAGGUAAACAAGCUACUGCGUGGACUCUCCAGGGAUUGGAAUCACAUAAAGACUUCGAUAAGAGAGACGCAGAGAAUUAUGCCACUAUCUGUUGACGAGCUGAUUUGAACUCUUCAGUCCUAUGAAGUGGAAAGGAUCAAUGAAGAUGAAGAUCCAAAAGGUAAGAAAUCCAUUGCAUUAAAAUCAAAUGAUGAUUCUGAUGAUACAGAUUCUGAAGAUGAUAUGGACGAUGAGGAGCUUGCUCUCAUGAUAAGAAGAUUAAGAAAACUAAAUAGAAAAGGAAGAAGGUUCAACUCAAAGGAACAAAGCUUUCAAAGACAGCAGACCAAGUCUGUUGAUGAUGAGGAACCAAAUAAAGAUGUAGUCUGCUUUGAAUGCAAGAAAAAGGGACACAUCAGACCCAACUGUCCUUUUCUGAAGAAGAAGAGAGGAAAAGCUGAAAAUUUUUGAAAAGCUCUCAAAGCUGAAACCUGGAGUGAUACUGAGUGUGAAGAAAGUGAUAAUGAAUAUGCCAAUCUAUGUCUGAUGGCACAAUCAGACUCAGACUCUGGAUCAGACUCAGGAUCAGACUCAGACAGUGAAUUUGAGGCAAGUAAUUUUAAAAUUUCUGUCAAAGUUUCUAAAUAUAUUGAUGAACUAUGCUUUAGUCUUAAGACUUCUCUAAAAAGAAUUUCCAAACUGAAAAAAGAAAACUCAGCUCUAAAACAAAAGGAAAAUGUUUUAGCAGAAAGAGUUAAAAGUCUAGACUUGUAUGUUUCCAAUCUUAAAGGAAAUGAAGAAAAUCUUUUAAAAGAAAAUGCUUUUUUAAAAACAGACUUAUCAAAUAUAUCAAAGAAAUUUUCUAUAGGGUCUGAAAAACUUGAGAAAAUUCUUUCAGCACAAAGACCUUACUUCAAUAAGUCUGGUCUAGGUAUGACAGAAGAAACAAUUCCCUUGAUUGAUUUUCCCAAAGUAAAAGAAAGAAUUAAGAAAAGACUUUCGAGUGAGGUUUACAAAAAUCACUUCAAGAAAGUUUUUGUAAAACCUGUAGGUAGAAAUGCUCUCAGAUGUUCUAAGUGCAACAGUCCGGAUCACUUUGAAAAAGAGUGUCCUAUGGUAUGGAAACCUGUUAAGAAAGUAUGGGCUAAUACUGUUUAUCUUACUAACACCAAAGGACCCAAGAAAAUUUGGGUACCAAAGAAAGCUUGAGACUUUAUUUUAAAUGCAGGUCUCCGUCAAGAAAUAGGUAAAGUGGUAUCUUGACAGCGGAUGCUCAAGACACAUGACAAGAGACUCAAAUUGCUUUAUAAAGCUUGCUCAAGUAAAUGGUGGAAAAGUUUCAUUUGGAGGAAACAACAAAGGAAGUAUUGUGGGAUUUGGAACCGUGAAAAUUGGAACUCUCACAAUAAGUAAUGUUUCCUUAGUGGAAGGACUCAAUUACAAUCUUCUCAGCAUUAGUCAAUUGUGUGAUACUGGUUUCAAGAUCUUCUUUCAAGAAGGAACAUGUUCUGGAAUCAGUAAAGACUCUACUCAGUCUUUCAUGGGUCGAAGACAUGAAAAUAUCUAUCUUCUAGAUGUGAAACCAAAUGAAUCACAAUACCUUAUCUCAAUUCAAGACGAAGCAAGCUUAUGGCACAAAAAGCUUGGUCAUGUCAACAUGAAGCAAUUAGCCAAAAUCUCAUCAAAACAGCUUGUUCGAGGUCUACCCAAAUUGCCAUACCAAAAGACUGAUUCAUGCACUCCAUGUAUUCUGGGAAAGCAGGUAAGAAAUUCUUUUAAGCCGAUAAAUCAUGUCUCUACUAAUCAUGUACUACAGUUGCUGCAUAUGGAUCUCUUCGGACCAACCAGAACUCAGAGUAUUGGGGGUAAGAAGUAUUGCCUAGUAAUUGUUGAUGAUUACUCCCGUUUUACUUGGGUAUAUUUCCUUGCAAGUAAGUCCGAAACCUUUUCGUAUUUUGAAAAAUUUGCUAAAAAGAUUCAAAAUGAAAAAGGAUGUGUUAUCUCUAGUAUAAGAACAGAUCAUGGAGGUGAAUUUGAAAAUCAAGAUUUUACAAAAUUCUGUGAUGAAUCUAGCUUUAAGCAUGUGUUCUCCUCUCCAUAUACUCCUCAGCAAAAUGGAGUUGUGGAAAGAAAGAACAUAUCUCUUCAAGAAAUGGCUAGAACUCUUUUAAUUGAAAGUAAAUUUUCUUCUCGAUUUUGGGCUAAAGCUGUUUCAACAGCAUGCUAUAUCAUCAAUAGAGUCUUCUUAAGAUCUAUUCUUCAGAAAACCCCUUAUGAGUUAUUCAAAGAAAAGAAGCCUAUUGUUUCAUACUUUCAUGUAUUUGGUUGUAAAUGUUUUAUAUUGAAAAAUGCAAAAGAUCGAAUUGGUAAGUUUGAAGAAAGAUCAAAUGAAGGUAUCUUCCUUGGAUAUUCUACAUCAAGCAAAGCUUACAGAGUCUAUAACAAGAAGAGUCAGUCUGUAGAGGAGUCAAUGAAUGUCAAAUUUCAAGACUCAACGCAAGAUGAAUCAAGUCAGACUCAUCAAGAAGAGUCUGAACCUGCUCCAGACCCUCCAAAGUCUACAACUCAAGAAGCAUCUCAGACUCUGGAAAACCAGCAUCAGGUUGUUAGUGAAGAUCCAAAUAAAGAAAGAGAUCAUCAACCAGACAAAUCAACAAGUAACUGGAAGCAUAAGUCCAGUCAUCCCAAAGAUCUUAUAAUUGGCGAAAUUAAUGAAGGAAUUCGCACCAGAUCCAAAAGGCGAGAAGAGUCUAGUGCUGUGGCACUCGUUUCUGAAAUUGAACCAAAGAGCAUAGAAGAAGCUUUAUCUGAUGAAAGCUGGAUUGAAGCUAUGCAAGAAGAGCUCAGACAGUUCAGCAUAAAUGAUGUCUGGGAAUUGACAUCCAAACCAAAAGGUAAAACUGUUAUUGGAGCUAAAUGGGUGUUCAGAAACAAGAUGAACGAGAAAGGAAAAGUCGUACGAAAUAAAGCAAGACUCGUGGCCAAGGGAUAUACGCAAGAAGAAGGAAUAGACUAUGAUGAGACUUACGCUCCAGUGGCAAGGUUAGAAGCUAUUCGACUAUUACUUGCGUUUGCUUGUUAUAAGAAUUUCAGGUUAUUCCAAAUGGACGUCAAAAGUGCCUUCCUAAAUGGAUUUAUCCAUGAGAAAGUUUAUGUGGAACAACCACCAGGGUUUGAAGACCCAAAGAAGCCAGACUCAGUCUUCAGACUGAAAAAGGCUUUGUAUGGUUUAAAGCAAGGACAUCGGGCUUGGUACGACAGAUUAAGUAAGUUCCUAAUACAAAAUGGUUUUGUCAAAGGUAAAGUAGAUACUACUUUAUUUAUCAAGAAAGAAAAAAAAAAGUUUCUUACUUGUUCAAAUAUAUGUGGAUGAUAUUAUUUUUGGAUCCUCUAAUGAAAGUCUGUGCAAGAAAUUUUCAAAGUCUAUGCAGGAUGAGUUUGAAACGAGUAUGAUGGGAGAGUUAACAUUCUUUCUUGGUCUUCAAGUAAAACAAUUGAAGGAAGGAACUUUUAUUUAUCAAGAAAAAUAUGUUAAUGAUCUUGUCAAAAGGUUUGGACUGGAAAAGUGCAAAAAGACCGACAUACCAAUGUCAAGUUCUUUAAAGAUAGACAAAGAUGAAGAAGGGAAGAAAGUUGAUCAAAAGCUGUACAGGAGCAUUAUUGGAUCACUUCUUUAUCUUACUGCCUCUAGACCUGAUAUUUUGUUGAGUGUUUGCAUCUGUGCUAGGUUUCAAUCAGAUCCUAGAGAAUCUCAUCUCAGUGCUGCGAAACGCAUCAUUAAAUACGUCGCUUCAUCAUCAAGCAUCGAUCUUUGGUAUCCUAAGAAGGGAGACUUUAAUCUUCUGGGAUAUUCAGACGCAGAUCUGGCCGGUUGCAGAGUUGAUAGAAAGAGCACUUCAGGAACUUGCUAGUUGCUUGGAAGCAGAACAGUAUCUUGGUUUUCAAGGAAACAAAGCACUGUGUCUCUUUCAACAACAGAAGCAGAGUAUGUAGCUCUUGGAAGUUGCUGUUCGCAAAUUCUAUGGAUAAAACAACAGCUAAGAGAUUUUGAAAUUGAAGACUCAUGCACGGAGAUUAAUUGCGACAACACCAGCGCUAUCAACCUCACCAAAAAUCCAAUUCUUCACUCAAGAGCAAAGCAUAUAGAGAUUCGACAUCACUUUAUUAGAGAUCAUGUUCAAAAUGGAGAUGUUUCAAUUCAAUUUGUUGACUCAAAGAAUCAAUUGGCUGAUAUACUCACAAAGCCUUUGGAGAAAAAUCAAUUUGAGUCUAUACGGUCCAGACUCAACAUUUUGAGGUAUGAGGAUAUCAAAGUCUAAAGACUUUCAGACUCAGGCUUACAAGACUUUAUUUACAGUCUUGGCUCAACCUUCAGACUGUAAGUCUUUCUCUCUCCAAUCUUAUCUUGAAAAGGUACGAUCAUCAGACUGUGUUUAAAUUGUUGCUAUAUUUAAAUAACGUAAAUAUUGCAUCGAUUCAUUUUCAAAAGGGAAGUUAUUUUUGAAAUAGCUAUUUUUGCGGAUAAAGACAGUUAUUUUGAAAAGGCAUAUUUUUAUUUCCUUUGUGACGAUUUGUUUACUCUUCUUUUUAACCGAUUGUGCACUGUCGAUUCCUCUUCACUUUUCUAUUCACUUUUCUCUCAAAAACCCUAGAAAGCAUCGAUCCUCCAUUCCCAUUUGUCUUCUUCGCUAAAUCUUCAAAAAGUUGUCAUCUUUUCUGGGAAAGUCAAGCAAGGAAUCUUUCAAACACUGAGAAAGAUGUCAUCUUCACGAAAGUCCUCAAGAAUCGCAAGCAAGGGACCACAGAGAAUGAGUGAGGGGCCUACGCACUUCGAUCUUACUGAAGAUGAAGUUACUCCAGAUUAGCAACCGAGCCCACAACAUUCUCAGUAGCGUCAUUCUCCACCAUCUAAUCCUCAAGGCAUUGUUCAUCAGCAUCAGGAAGAAAUCGUCGAGGAUGCAGACCCCGUAAGAGUUCAAAAGCCCGCUUUUAUUUACAAGCUAUAUCGUGCCUUAAAAGGAAUUCGUACUCCUUUGAACUAUGUUGAUGAUUUUGUUAAAGAAAAAGGAUAUAGGAACGAAUAUAUCUUUCUGCGAAAAAUGGAAAGUUUGGGAAUCGCUCGUAAAGGGGUGGCUGAGGAAACCCUUGCGAAUAUCCCAAGUGAUCCUCGUGACUGGGGGCCAAAUCCUGUAGAUGGGAAUGACGAUGAUAAUCUGUUCAGUCUAUUUCAACCGAAAAUGGGUAUUGUGGCUGAAAUUCAAGGAAAAAGGGGAGAUUUGUUCAGAUCAAAGGAACAAAAGGAUCUGUACUCGAAAUUGCUGAAGCGUGGGGUAAUAAACCCUAGGAGUGUGGACUUUGAUUUUCUGGAUGCUGUGAAAGUGAACUUGAGGGAAAAGUUCAGUUAUCUUCAGCUUGAAAAGUUCUACUCUGACUCAACUGAGGCUUAUGCUGAAUUGACUGCAUAUUUCUAUUCAAAUCUUAGCUUUUUAGAUGCGAAUAGAUUCUCCUUCAGCGUUAAAGAACAAGACUAUGUUGUGGAUAUGAAUAUGCUGGCAGAUGUGUUAGAAGUUGAGAGAGGCAGAUAUCAACCAAUCAAAGUUUCCAUUGCUCGGGCCACACUUGAACUGGUGAAGGACAGGAGAACGGAUGAGAAGAUCACCUACUCAAGGAUGAAUGCAUUCAACAUCUUGCUUCACAAGAUUGUGAUUAAUUGCCUUCGGCCGAAAUCAACUUCCAAAACUGAUAUUUCAAGCUCUGAGGCAAAGUUGAUGUAUGCCAUCCUCUGUGGAAAGAAGUUUUCUCUCCCUCAUACUGUUAUGUUUCACAUGUAUAGAGCAGUGAUGAAGGACAGAGGUCAACUCCCUUACCCAAGCCUUGUUACGAAGUUAUUCAGACAUCUGAAUAUUUAGCCUCCGCAAAUCUUUUGUGUUCGAUCAUGCGAUCAUAUAGUGGUAGGACUGAAAAUGGUGACCAAAAUGCGUCUGAAGGAACUGAGCAAGGAAUUGGAGAAAUUCAAGGAGAAGACUCCUGCCAAAUCUCAUCAACUCUCUUCUACUGCUAAGAGAAAAGGGAAGGAGCCCAUGGCUGCUCCAUCAAAGAGAAGAAGAGCUCUCCUCGUUGAGGAUGAAGAUGAUGACGAUGACAUCACCAUCUCUGCAAUGGCUUUGAAGAAUUUAAGUCGUCCUAUUCCACAGAAAGAAUCGGAACAAAAGACGAAAGAAGCAGAGGAAAAGGAAGAAGAAGAAAGAGAAGCAGAUGAGAAGGAAGAAGAAGAAAGAGAAACAGAGCAAGAAGUAGAGGAAGAAAGACCUAAAGAAGAAAGAAGAGAAGAAGGAGAACCUGAGGAAAUCUCUUCUCCACCUGUAGGCAUGGAAACAUGGGGAGAUCAGGAGAAAGGAGUGACGUCCUCAUAUCCUGAUGCAAGUGAAGGAGUCAGUUGCUCACCUGUAGACCCAGAAGAUGUUUAUGCAUCUCAAUUUCCAGAGGAAGGUCAUGAAGCUUCAUCGCCAAACCUGCGAGAUUAUGCUGAUCCACCAUCGUCUGCUUUUACUCCAUCAGAUCGAGCCGAAGCAAGUACUCAGACUGAUAAUGGAGCAGAUUUUCGCAGAAUCUUGGAUAUUCUCAUGGAAAUGCGAGGUCAAAUUUAUGCAUUGGGAUGCGAAGUUCAAAGUUUGAAGAAUGAAAGUCAAGCUUCUUCCUGUUCAUUGAAUGAUAAGAUGCAAGCCCUCUCUAUUUAGAAUCAGGCCAAUGCCAAGAGUGAGGAGGUUGUACAGCUGAAGGAAGACUUCAAAAGGCUGGAAGGCAUCGUUCAGUCUAUGGAAGAUUUCCAGCUUGUCCGCGUUCCCAAGCAAUCUUGACUUCAUCUCAUCCUUUUUAAUGCUGACAAAAAGGGGGAGAGAUGCAUGAUUUGAUCAAAAACUUUCAAUCAUUUUUUAACUAUUUGUUGGAUUGUGUUGUUGUUUAACUGUCUGUUUUUGACAGACUUUGACAGACUUUGACUUUGUUUUGUGUCUGGAUGAGAACUGAACUAGACUUGGACUUGACUGCUUCUAUUAACAAGUAUUGAUAUCUUAUGGAUGGUUUUAUUAUAUAGACUAACCUAUUUUCUGUGGUUGCAGAUUCUAGUGUUAAUCUUUUAGCCAUUCAUCUCUAUAAGAUAUGCAUAUGUGUUUGAGAAAUGUUUUGCAGGUCAAAGUUAUCCAAAUCUGCAGGAAUGUUUUGUCACCAUCAAAAAGGGGGAGAUUGUUGGAGAAAUCCUCGUGAAGUGUUUUGAAGUUGACAAAACGUUUCCAUCAGUCUAGUCUGAAGGUUUGCAGACUCUGUUAGUUAAAGUCUGAAAACUUCCGGACAGCCAGACUCAAGACUCAAAGUCUAUCCUCAUUGACAGUCUCUAAUCCGUUGAAGAAAGGUUAUCCAGAACUGGAUGUUUUGUUCAGGAUUUAACCUUAUCAUCUGGAGAAGAUCUCGUGGCUGGAGAAGACGUAUCAGAAUCCUUUGAUUGAUCAAGUUGAUCAAUGACUGAAGAUUCGAUGAUUGUCUAAAUAUUAUUGGAAGGUUCUACUUAUGGAAACCGAGAUCCUGAUUGUAUGGGCGAACAGGAUUGAUGGGCUAUCAACACGUUCCUUUAAUAGCUCGAACAAUCUUCCUAAUUGAUUCCGUCCAACAGGUAGAUUGGAGGAAUUCCUUUGGUAAGUGCCAACGGGUAUGAUGGCAUAAAGGAGUAUAUAAGGAAGACGUUCUUAAUUGUUCGAGGUGUGCGCGAUAGAAGAAUUCCAAAGUCUGAAGCUCCUUUUUGUUUAGACAAUUCCUUUGAGCGAAUACUUGUAUACAAAAGAGAGUCUAUAUUUGUGAGAGACCUUGAGAAGGUGUGGUAGAACAUCUACACUGUGGAAUCAAGGCAAAGCUGUGCUGUAACUUCUCUUUUGAUCAUAGUGAAAUCCAGCCGGUGGGCUGUCAGUGCGGAAGAGUGGACGUAGGCUUGGAAUAAGCCGAACCACUAUAAAUCCUGUGUUCAAAUUUCUCUCUCUCUACCUCGAUCGUAUUUCAUUUUGUUAAGAAUUGCUUCCGUAUUUGGGACAAAUUGUUUGUGCGCCUAUUCACCCCCCCUCUAGGUGUUUAUACUAGCAAUAUCAGAAGAGACCCAGAUGCUUGGGAGAACCCAUUAACAUUCAAACCAGAGAGGUUUCUAGGAUCUAAAAUUGACUACAAAGGUCAAAACUUUGACCUAAUUCCAUUCGGAUCAGGCAGAAGAAUGUGCGUCGGACUUUCGCUGGCGGAUAGGGUGCUUCAUCUCGGUCUUGCGAAGUUGCUCUACCAUUUCGAUUGGGAACUCAGUGAUGGUUUGACUCCAGAGACCCUCGACAUGAGAGAGCGGGCGGGAAUAGCACUAAGGAAGCUCCAUCCUUUAAAGGUGAUACCUAAAAAACGUAGUGUGUAAGGUUUUUAGAAUAUUAUGGUAACUAGUUAUAUUCAUGACUAGUUAUUUAGGAAAUGACAAGACGUGAUGUCAUGUAUCCAAGGAAGACUUCUUAAGAAUGGUGUUUUUAUUCCACAAAUACCUUAGGAAAAUUACCCUAAAUUUCUUAAACUUAUUAUACUUUUACCAAUUUAGUUAUAAAUAUUCUUAUUAUAAAAAUUAGUCCCAAACAUUUUCACGUUUUGCCAAUUGAGCUCAUAUGAUCAAUUUUGAUUAGAAAUCACUAACACAAAUGUCAGGCAUCCUACAUGGUGCAAUUGUCGUAGAUGUGGAAAAUUUUUAAUAUAUUUUUAAAAUUUUUAAAUACUUUUUCUUUUCUUUUAUUUCUCUGCUAGUUGCUGAGCCUUGAGGAUGACUACUAACCAACCAUAGGCUACAACCGAUGAUGGUCACCCUCGCCAAAAUCUGGCAAGGGAGGACUUUGCUACCUUGCCAAAUUCGACAAGUCACAGCUUCAUGUGAGGCUCGACUUUGCCCAAUCUAGCGAGGGCAAGGCACAACCUCAUUAGUCUUCACAAGGGCUGAUCUCAGGUGAGACUUGCCGAAAGAUCAUGAGGCCAACCUUCCCUAAAGGCUAGCAAGGGACAACCUUGCCAACUUCAAGCAAAGCUCAACCUCGUCAAAUCUGCUUAGGACAAGCCUUACUCAAGGCUAACAAGGGUGACCUCACCUAAUGUGGCACCCCUUGACGGCCCCCGAAUCGUUAGGGUCACCACAGUCAACUUACCCUUUACUUGACUUGAUAAUAUAUCACUCUGAUACCAAAGAGUUAUAAUAAGUCUAUAAGUCCUGGGGGUUUAUAUAUAUUUUCCAUAGGUCCCUGCGUAGAAAUAUGACGAAAGUGUAUCCAACAACUCCCUUCCCUAUAUUCAGAAAACGAUGCACACCAACUAAACAUUUAUAGAUAAAAGCCGAACACUUUUAUUUACUUAAACCAGAUGGACAUCAUUAAUUGGUACAUCAAAAUUCCAUAAUCUUCUGUACUUGGCUAUACUUCAAAAGAUGACCGACAUCUCCUCCAACAGUCGUAUACUCAAAGUCCAUCGUUCAGUGUCGGCGUCCAAAAGUUCCUUUUUUUGCUAUCCUUCUCCUUGCGGUCAUAUCCAACCACUUGAUUCAUCUACCGGUGGUAGUGACAACAGAGGUAUCUUAUCUAGUUUGAAAUGUUAGUCCCCAAACGGGGUGAGUACUGUCGACACCCGAAAUUUCCGUCGACAUUUUAAUCAUCCAUUGUUUGCAAAAAAAAAUAAAGAGCUAAAAAGAAAAAAAAAGAGAGAAAUAAAGAGUUGAAGCAGAAAAGAAAAGAGAAAAAGAAUGGAAACAAGAAAAAGAAAAGAAAAAAAAGAAGGAAACAAAAAGAAAAAAAAUGAGAGAAAAAGAAAAACAUAAAAGAAAGAAAAAAAAUAAUAGAAAAGGGAAUGACGAUUCUCUCUCAUGGGGGGCUCGCUCUCUCACGUUCUCUCGCUCUCUCAAAUACUGGGACGCUGAUUCUCUCUGAAGGGAGGGCUCUGGAUCACGAACUCUGGUUCUCCAGAGGGGAUUCUCUCUUUCUGGGACUCUCUCUCUCUCUGCGGUUCUCGUCGAAGGUUAGGGUUUUUCCUCCGUCGGUGCGGGAUUGGAGGUGUUUCCUCUAUUCGGUGAGGAGUUUGCUCGGGGGAUCCGGUUUCCGAAACUGAUUGGCGUCGGUAGCAGCGACGGCAGCAACGGCGGAGCUUGAUUCGACCUCUCUCGUUCGUUAUUAACCGCCUGCUCGCCUCGGUUCUGACUCCGUGCUCCGAGCUCCGAGGAUAGAGAUCCGAAGCUUGAUCGACGGCGGCGACGACAGCGGCUUCCGAUCAUCUUCUUGUUCAUCAUCUAUCGUCGGGACUCCCUCAAACCUUAGAAGACAGAGCAAUUGCCGAUUGAAGAGUUGGAAGUGCGAGGCUCGGAUCUGCACCGCCUUCAGAGAAGGCUCAACAACGAUUUCCCUCUUAAUCGAGUCAUUUCCGAGGGUUUUUCCUCUCAGAUCUCGGCAAGUUUCAUUCAGAUUAUUGAUUUGUUUUCUCUAGUAAUUUUUUUUUCUAGAGUCAUCUCAAUCCUCCCUCCCCUGCCGUUUUCUUUUGUUGACACUGAGCAUGUAUUUCCUCUCGCCGAUUCACCCAUUGAAAUUGCCGGCCAUUCAUUGCAGUCGCCGAUUCAAUCAAAAUCUCACAAGGAGUUUGGAUCAGUCAUUACUCGAAGAACAGCUUCAAUCAUCUGAAGACAGACGCAGCAAAGCAGAGACAAUUUUUUUCAGAGUUCUUGAAGAGGCUGACUGAUAAAGUUGUUGAGGUAUGAAUAUCUGUACUUGAAUAUGUCAAGAACUUCCUGCUGUGAAAUCCUUCUAGAGCUUAAUCUCCUCAAAUAAUUGAUGCCUUAUGCGAUUGACUGCUGGAUUAUGAUGAAAACGUGAGAAAGCAAGUUGUCACUGUUAUUUGCAAGUGUGGCUUACUUGACUUUUGUUCAACUUGACCUUCUGUUGAAUAUAACUACUAUAUUUUUCUCUUUUCAAAAGACUAAAAAAAAAACCAUUUAUACCUGUUCAUACUGUUCCUCAGUGGCAAGCAACCAUUCGAUCAUACUCAUACCAAAUGUUUGACCCUACUCAGUUAGUCUUCGCAAGCUGCAGAUAGCGUUAUUUGUCUACUGCGUUUUUUCAUCUGGUUUAACUGGCAAAUCAAGAACAAAUUCCAACGGGUCCUUUCUAAUGAAGAGUUGUCCUAGUAACAAAUAUUAAAAAGGUGCUAUGGUCUCGUUCCCCCUUUAGUUUUUAUGUUUCCAUCAGUGUAAAUCAAGCUGCGCAAGCUAGACAUGCACCAGAAGAAAGUUGAUUCAUUUUAGUAGAAAUUGGUCCUCUGUUGCUGCUGUGUUCAUCUUUUUUUAGAAUUCCUUGUUCAUAAUAUUGAAUGUGUUCUUUGCCUGAAAGUUGUGAGUUCAUUGGUACACUUCAAUCUGGAUUGAUGUCUGGUAUUUUGCCCUUUGAUGAGUUUGUAGUUGUCGGUAGACCGGUAUGAGUUGUGCCUGAAGUUCACCUUAGUGGAGAAACAUUUCCUCAGCAGCAAAUGAUUUUAUAUCAGGAAAGGAUUUUAUAUCCUUGGUGCAUGUUGGAUGAUCUGGGAAUCUGGUUCAGCUUUUGUUAGGGCCAGUAACAGCAAUGAUGUUUGAGUUUGUCAAAGAAAUACCUAAACCUGAAACUAAAUGGAGGCUGGACUUCAUCUCUCUUUUAGGCGUAUUUUUCUUUACAUGGGUUAUCAUUCAAUUACUUCCUGUUGUCUUGAUAGAUCUGGCUUAUGAGAAAGAAUAGAUACUUGGGAGUAUGAUGAAAAUAUGUGGGUUUAGUGAUCCAUAUUGGCUGAUUUCCUAUGCUUAUUUUCUCUCUUUAUCUUCAAUCUACAUGCUGUGCUUUGUGACUUUUGGCUUAGUCAUAUAUAGUUAAUCCCUAUUGCGUUAUGUUUACCUACGUUCCAAUGUCCCAUUAAAGUUGCAAUGCUUGUGUCUUACUGCACUUCCUCUGUAAAGUUUUACUAGAAUGAGAUUAUGUGUGCUUUUAGUGAGUUAAAUGCAGAUCACGUGCAAUUGAUGUUUGUUGUUCAUGUGUGAAUUUGCUGAUAUUGAAAGUUGGAAUUUGUCUUGGUCUAGAAUGCAUGCUUUGUUUCUAUAACCUCGAAUACUUGUGAAUUUGGUACGAAUUUUUUGUGUGAGGAGUUUGGGAUUAGGUCCUUCACAUAAAAACUGCAAAAAAUGAUUGUAUGUUUGCCUUGCUGCUCUGUUCUACUUUUGAUGGACCUUGAUCUCUUCCAGGAUUUUGUAAAUUCACGUGCUUUUUUGUUACAAUAUAUAAUGAAAUGCUCAAGUUAGAUCAGAGUUGGCUUUCGAAUGUCUUUUGACCGUUGAUCGGUAGAUAUAAUUGAUUCAUGUCUGAAAUUGAACCAUUGAUGAAAUAAGUUUUGCCAUGGUCAAGGAGUCAUAUGGAUCUUCAUGCCUAUUUGUUUGUCGUCUGAACAUGUAUUGUUAUGUCCUGUUUUGAUAAAGAAAGGUAAAUAAAACAGCAUGUUCUAGAUUAAAAUCAAAUUAGUGCUGUUCAAGUUUCCAUCAGUGAUUGCAGACAUUUGGAAACUCAUUAUGCCUUUGUUCCGCUCCUCAGUGACCUGCAUUACUUGCUGAUUUUCUGUUUCUUUCGCUGAUCUAACCUUCUGUGCAAAUGAAUUGAUAUGAGCUGAUUGUUGUGGUUUUCUGUGUUUGAUGUCCUCAUGAAAGUCGAAGAUGGUUUGAUUAGCUUUCUAACGAGCUAUAAUACACCCUGAUCCGAUAUCAUUAGCCACAUGAAAUCUUCUUUAAAAGUCUACUCCAGAAGAAGUCUACUCCAGAAUUUGGAAAGUUGUUCUGGUCUGUGCGGUUAUUUCUGUUACUGAUCUGACCUCUUUGCUAAAUGUCUUCGUUUGAGCUAGAAAAUGAUUUCAAUUGUGUUCGUGACCUUCUAAGGAUUCAUAGGAGGCUUCUCAAAAUUUCCAUUGACAUAUUAUAUGUGUGAUUUGGUCAUCACUUGCCCUGCCUUUCCUUUUUUCAAAUCGAGCUUUGAAAUCUGGAAUUUGUCUUGAACUGCAAUGCUGUCUUUUCUGUGGCUAGUUGUUGUUAGUCUUAAGAUGAGAUAGUAGAUUUGUCCAAAUUGUUUUCAAUAUGUUGUAGAAUGACGGUGUGACAUGCUACUAUGAUCUAUUCUUGAUUGACUUGUUCAUGUUCUUAAUAUUUUUAGAAAUUCAUGCGUUAGGAAUCUUGAGGUGCUUCCUUCAUGGAAUGACAUCCUUUAUCAAUUGUCUACAAAACGGUUUUAGGUACCAUGUGGGUUACACAUUGAUUGCUCCGUUUGCCUUUAAUACAUAUGUUGAGUGAAUUCAAUGGUGUAUGUUUUGGAAUAAGUGAUCUUUAGUUGGUUCAUUCAUUGUUUUGGGUUGAUUGAGGACCAAGGUCAUGUGGCUUGAAUGUUUGUCAUGUUAUAUGCUUUGUGUGUGAUCGUUAGAUAGAUGAUUUAGGUGUAAUACAUAAUGAUGCUAAAUCUUGGGAUUUCACUUAGAAUUUGGUGUAAGGACUUCAUGACUUUAGUCACCAUUUUUGAACACUAAUAAUGUCCUGUUCUUUGAUGUUUUGAUAUGUUUGUUUGUUCCCUUCCACUGCAUAUACCAAGUUAUAGGUUUAUUAGAUUAGGUUUAGAUUAGGAUCCCGAAGAUGGAGAAGGCGUGAAGAUGGUGAAUGUCGAUUUCCACUCCGACUGUUAUCAUGUAAUGCUCAUUUUCCCGACAUAUGUCUCGGGUUUUAUGCAUUGUAUAAAGCCCGACGAGUUGCGGGUUUCCUUUCUUUCUCGAUUGUUUUCUCUUUUAUAUACUUUAGAAUUACAUGAUUAGGUUUACUGAUUUCUCUUGAUUGUUUACUUCAUGUCUUGUGCUUUCAAUUUCAUUGAUUGUUUUCUUUUCAUUUUUUAGAAAUAGAAUAGAAUGAAAGUAAUCCACCACGCAUGAUCACUUAGUCUAGGAAUUGAUGAUCCUGAAAAAUGUAAAAAGAAACACAUGGACAUGUUAGGAAAAACACAACAUACUGUUUAGGUACCGAAAGGGCGCUAAUAGCAAUAUUAGCGUAACCCAAGUCCCCGAACCUAGAUAUCUGGUUGCGUAGGAAUCGAUGGAACACUCUCGACCCUCGAUUGGGUUUCUAGCUGACCCCGAAAGUUGAGGCUAGUGGCGACUCCUGUAUAUUCUUAGGUUGUUAAAUACCUAGAUCGCAUAAUAAACCUACUGUCACGCGGGGUACGAGCUUCGGAGAGCUCGCGAUCUUGAGAUCAAGUAUCCCUAAACCCGACCUUUCCCAACCUUGGAUACUUUUCGAGAGGGGCGGCGAGAUCGGGUCGCGACAAGUACAACCACUUAGCCGUAAAUAUCCACCAAACUACACGAUGCGUCAGACAGAACAAUCAAGGUAUCACGAAUAAAACACAUACCAUCCAUGCAUUUGAACAUACCUCACCAUACAGCCAUGCAUAUAUCACCAUACAACGUGCAUAUACCACCAUGCACUUGUACAUAUAUCAUCAAGCAGCCAAGCAUAUAUCACCAUGCAACGUGCAUAUACCACCAUGCACUUGUACAUAUAUCAUCAAGCAGCCAAGCAUAUAUCACCAUGCAAUGUGCAUAUAUCACAAUGCAUUUGUACAUAUACCAUCAAGUAGCCAUGCAUAUAUCAUCAUGCAACGUGCAUAUACCACCAUGCACUUCAUGCUUGCAUUUCCAUGAGGUUCAUCCCAUGCCAUAUGCAUACAUCCAUAUGUAUGAUUCAAUUUCAAUUCUUUCUUUUACAUGGAUUUCAUCAUUUUUCUUUCAAGGGACCAGUGUUUGCAUCCCACAUUUAUUGCUCGCAUCCAACCUGGCGUUAUGAGGAGCCUCCAGCACACACUUCCGGGCAUCUCGUAUCCCACCUGGCAUCACGGGGAAUCUCCGAGGUUCGCUAUGAAAAUGGUUACCCCUACCCUUUGGGCAUGCAUCAUAAUACAACCCCUCACCCUCCAGGCAUGUAUCAUAAUACAAUCGGGCAUCCUAACACUCCCGGGAAAAACCUCUGGGCAUGUAUUCAUAAUACAACCAGGCAUCCAAAGGGCAUCAACUCAUUCAAACCUUUGGGCAUCCAGACUCCCGGGAUAUCGUCGGCUCACACCUCCGACGGUAUCAUCAUUAUCACAAUCUAUAUUCACAUAUAUGUCUCAUUUUCAACAUGGCAUUUGAUGCAAAAAUAUCAUAGGUCUAAACCAGCUUUUUGAUGUCAUAUGGUAUGCCAAACAUCACCAUAUAAGCAGUACACAUAACACCCAUGAUAUCAUAUUUCAUAAAGCAGUUCAUUGGUUUUUGAAAAUAGAACCAAUUUUCGGGUAAAACAGAAUGCACCUCUUUAGUAAAAAUUCUUGGAAAAUUUGUAAAAAAUCUCAAUAAAUUCUGAAAAUUUAACAUGAGGUAAAAAAUAUCCAGAUGAAGAUAUUUCGUGAAGAACACCAUGUCAAGAAAGUUCUACAUCAAUCACAUAGAUCCACACAUCACAGCAAAAAAAAUUCCAACACCACUUUUUGCACAGUUUCGGAAAUAAUUUCGAUUAAACCUGUAAAUGAACUUCGAAAAUUAUGAUAUUUUGAUAUGUUAUAGAUGAGAUCUAGAGGUAAACUUCUCAUGAAUAAAUCGAAGUAUAAUUCCUUUUGGAUUAAAAGAAAUUUUUUAUAACUCUCCCUAACUCUCGGUUCACUGUGCAGAUUCACCCUUUUCAAAGAAAAUCAUUUUCCCGAUCAAUGCUUGUCAUUUUAUUUUAAAAUUUUAGUAUGUUAUUCCUCAAGAUGUCACCUACAAUUUUCAUCAAGGACACAAGAUCAAAUUUCAUCCAGAUAAUUUUAUAAAAUUCAUAGAGUCGCACUAGAUCAAAAUAAUUGUUUCCAGAUCUACUUUCUUCAAAGAAAAAUGGUUUCACCGACCUAUACUUGUUCAUUUCCUCUCAAAUUUUUAUAUGUUACUAUAUAAGAAGUUAUUUACAACUUUCAUCAAGAAGUCGAAGUGAGAUUCCAACUAGAACAUCGCAUGCAACUCACGAAAUCACCGGAGAUCAAAUAACAGUUUCCAGGUCUAGUUUCUUAAAAGGAAAAUCAUUUCACCAACCAAUACUUAUCCGUUUCAUCCCAAUUUUUAGUAUGUUAAUCUUCAAGAAGUUCUCUACAACAUUCAUCAAGAAGUCAAAAUCAGAUUCCAACUAAAACAUUGCAUGUAAGUCACGAAAUCACCAAAGGUUGGACUGUUUUUCCAGAAAACAGAAUGUUAGGCUAGAACACAACUUUGAAAUUUCACACUUCAUCCACAUCCGAGAUUCACCAUUCAUCACACACCAAACACAACAAGCAAAGGGUAGAUCAAUGAACUCUGCUUGCCUCUAAUCCAAGCAAAACACAGCAAGCAAACGACGGCUCGACAGCGGGACUCGGCGGCUCGACGGUGGCGACGAACCUCCUCCUUCUUCCUCGCACACUCGCUCUCCCUCUCUCGAUUUCUCUCUCUCUCUCUCUCUCUCAGAGUAACCCUCUCUCUCAAUCGGCCCACUCUCCCUCUCUUUCUUUCCCCUUCUCUCAAUCGGCCCACUCUCCCUCUCUUUCUUUCCCCUUCAUCAUUUGCAAUCAUUUGGUUUGCAUAGCUAAUGCCACUUGGCUCUAGGGGAAAGACACUUGGCAAGCUUCUCUUGCCACUUGGGGAUUUACAUGCAACGAAGAUGGGCCUCAUUUGGCUGGGCUUGGGCCAGCCUUGGUUGACUACUUUAUGGGUUCCUUGGGCCGGGCCUCUUGGCCCACUUUGGGUCCAACACUUUUGGGUCUAAAGUCCAACUUUUAAAUGGCCCAAAAUAAUACUCAAUAAGCCCAUAAUUGCUCUUAACAAUUUACUUUAAUCCCCACUUAAUUUCAUAAUCUCAAAUACUCACAUGGCCAUAAAAUUUUGUAAUAUAAAUCAAUAAAAAUCCAACUUAUAAAGUACAUGGCCAAGAAUAAAAUUUUUAUAUCAAUUUAUCCUUUAAUACAAAUCCUUAAUCAUUCAUGGACAUAGGAAAAAUUUCCAACCAAAUAAUUGUCCAUUAAAAUGCUCGGCCUUAAUCUAUUACAAUUUUUCAGUCUAGUGGCCACAACAUACUUCAACGACACAACCAUUCACUUUUCCAUAGGUCGUAAUGCCUCUAGAAAUUGCCAUGAAAUUUUGGGAUACCACAAUUCUCCCCUCCUUAGAAAAUUUCGUCCUCGAAAUUAGACAUUGCCUAUGUCUCUUUACCCCAGUGAGGGUACCUUUCCCUCAUUUCAUUUUCACUUUCCCAUGUGGCUUCCUCCACAUCAUGAUGUCACCAUAAUAUCUUAACCAAUGGUAUUUUCUUCGUCUAUAGGACUUGUUCCUUUCGAUCCAACACUUGCACAGGCUCCUUAAUGUACCUCACUUCCUCAUCCACUUUGAUGGCUUCAUGAUCGAGUAUGUGACCAGGGUCUUGGCUGAUACGUCCUUAGCCAUGCCUAUACUUUUCUGAAAGCUUUUGUUUUACACAUUCUACCAGGUAUAACUUUUCAUCCCAAUUUCCUUUAAAGUCAAGGAUGCAAGCUCUUAACAUGUCCUCUAAUGCUUGGAUCACUCUUUUCGUUUGUCCAUCCAUCUGUAGAUGAAAAGUAGUACUAAAUGGGAGCUUCGUCCCUAAGGCGGUUUGAAGACUUCGCCAAAGGUUGGAAGUAAAUCUUGAAUCUCGAUUCGACGUGAUAGUUACGGGAACACCAUGUAAGCGUACCACUUGGCUUACACAUAUAACAACAAAUUUACCCUUCGGAUAGUCUACGCGAACUGCUAGGAAAUGGGCAGACUUAGUCAAGCGAUCUACUAUCACCUAGAUAGAAUCAUGGCCACUUGAUGUCCUUGGUAAUCCUUGCACGAAAUCCAUCAUCACAUGAUCCCAUUUCCAUUAUGGUAUAUCUAAUGCUCUCAAUCGAACACACCAUUUAGCCGAAUUAUUCCUGUACCUUUGUCACCAUCAAUUCAAGCAUAGAACCAUCAAAAUCGACACCAUUAACAACUCAUCUAGUUCAGUCCAACAAACACAUUCACUACGCUUUCACUGCAACAUAGAUUCAAGCCUAAAAUAUAGUAUCAUUCAUUCGGUUCAAAUAUUGAUAGUCCACCAAAAUAAAACUUGUCUAGUUUCUAUCAAGUAUAUCUCAUGUCUCACCCUAAGGGAUCAUCACUUGGACUAAUCACUCAUCAAAUCCACAACUUGAACUUUCACCUUUUCACCUUGGAAAGACUAUAACCACAAUUGAUCAUAUCCACUAAUUCCACAAAACCUUCUCAAACUGAGAUCAUCACCAAAAUUCAAAGUUGACCAUCAUCAAUUAAGCCUAUUAUUCCGACAUAUAAACCACAUAUAAUUUCGUGUCUCAUAUGACCACUCAAACUCAUGACUUCCAAGAUCAAUCUAUACAUACUAAAUGCCUCCAUGUAAUGCAUCAAGACUUCCAAUGAGAUCCUCUAAUAGGAAGUCACUACUUAGCUCAAGUGAUCAUAAGUUAAUCCUCGAAUUCAUAACUGCACUCUCCAUAAUUCACUCCUAAGCUUGUUUGCAGCACUNNNNNNNNNNNNNNNNNNNNNNNNNNNNNNNNNNNNNNNNNNNNNNNNNNNNNNNNNNNNNNNNNNNNNNNNNNNNNNNNNNNNNNNNNNNNNNNNNNNNCUUAGAUGCUGCGCAUGUUCUUCAGGUCCUUUAGAAUAUAUCAAGAUAUCAUCAAAUGAAGACAAUCACAAUUUGAUCCAAAUAAGGCUUAAUUAUCCUAUUCAAUAAAUCCAUGAAUGCAGCUAAGGCAUUCGUCAAUCUAAAUAGCAUAAUUAGGAACUUAUAAUGUCCAUAGCGAGUCCUAAAUGCGGUCUUAGGAAUGUCUUCUUUCUUAAUCCAUAGUUGAUGGUAUCCUGACCUCAAGUCAAUUUUUAGAAAAGAUCGAACUUCCUUGCAGUUGGUCAAAUAGAUCAUCAAUUCUAGGUAAUGAGUACUUACUCUUAACAAUUACAUGAUUCAAUUGCCUAUUAUCAAUGCACAAAUGCAUCGACUCGUCCUUUUUCACAAACAAAAGUUCUACAAGCUUAACCAUACUUUCACUGCGCCACUCUGAUAGAAUUAUCCUAGAAACACUAUCUUCCUAGUUCAGUUCGUAGUUCGGUUUAUUCCUGCCCCCUUUUGCCAUCCCAGAAGUCUGCUAGGAGCUGCUCCUUGUUUAGGUCCUCUGACCUCGGUGUCCACUCCCCGCCCUCAAUGGACUGGGUCGUUACAGGUACACUAGCUUUCGCCUGGUUCGAACCCAAACUACACAUCCAUUGGAGGGUCUCGUUUCGAUAGGAACUAACUUACAUAGAUAUUAUUCGCUUUGGCCUAUCCCAUCUUAGCCUCAUAGUUUUAUCCUUAGAGCACGAGUAAGUACUACCUCAGGAGAUAAUUCAUCCUAGUCCAUUGCUUACGGAGUUAGUCCAUUCCUACGAUGAGGUCAAAGUUAUACAUAACUAUCACUAUCAAGUCCAUUUCUAGAUCUCAUUCCCCUAGGGUUAUCUCACACAUCUCACAUGCUAACCUAGAUAACAACAUGUCUUUCAGUGAUGUAGAAAUACGAAGAGGCAUAUCUAAAGAUUUGUUCCUAUUUUUCACAAUCAUCUAUAUUUUUCGAACACAAAUGAAUGUGUGCCACUCAUAUCAAAUAACGCAUAUACCUUCUUAUCCCUCUAUCAAAAUCGUACCUGAGAUAACAUUUUCGGAAGCUUCCGCUUCCUCUUGAGUGACCGCAUACACCAUUCCUUAUGCUGGUGGCCUCUGUGGAUUCCUUGGUAGGUUUGGUCCACCUGUACUUUGUUGUACUUGUCGCACCGAGCCAACACUCAGCUGCGACCUCUCUUGUGCACAAUCUCUAUUAAAGUGACCUCUUUGCCCACAGUCAAAACAUUUCAAUCGAUCAUUACAGGAUCCUGGUCCAAGCAGUUCAUUGGUUUUUGAAAAUAGAACCAAUUUUCGGGUAAAACAGAAUGCACCUCUUUAGUAAAAAUUCUUGGAAAAUUUGUAAAAAAUCUCAAUAAAUUCUGAAAAUUUAAAAUGAGGUAAACAAGAUCCAUAUGAAGAUAUUUCAUGAAAAACACUAUGUCAAGAAAGUUCCACAUCAAUCACAUAGAUCUACAAAUCACAGCAAAAGAAAUUCCAGCACCCCUUUUUGCACAGUUUCGGAAAUAAUUUCGAUUAAACCCUUAAAUGAACUUCGAAAAUUCUGAGAUUUUGAUAUGUUAUAUAUGAGAUCUAGGGGUAAAAUUAUAAUGAAUAAAUUGAAGUCUGGUUCCUUUUGGAUUAAUAGUUAUAAUUUUUUAUAACUCUCCCUAACUCUCGGUUCACUGUCCAGAUUCACCAUCUUCAAAGAAAAUCAUUUUCCCAAUCAAUGCUUGUCUUUUUAUUCUCAAAUUUUAGUAUGUUAUUACUCAAGAUGUUGGCUACAAGUUUCAUCAAGUUUCAUCAAGGACACAAGAUCAAAUUUCAGCCAGAUAAUUUUAUAAAAUUCACAGAGUCGCACUAGAUCAGAAUAACUGUUUCCAGAUCUACUUUCUUCAAAGAAAAUGAUUUCACCGACCUAUACUUGUUCAUUUCCUCUCAAAUUUUUAUAUUUUACUCUCCAAGAAAUCCUAACAACUUUCAUCAAGAAGUCGAAGUGAGAUUCCAACUAGAACAUCGCAUGCAACUCACAAAAUCACCGAAGAUCAACAUAACAGUUUCCAGGUCUAGUUUCUUCAAAGGAAAAUCAUUUCACCAACCAAUACUUAUCUGUUUGAUCCCAAUUUUUAGUAUGUUAAUAUUCAAGAAGUUCUCUACAACUUUCAUCAAUAAGUCGAAGUCAGAUUCCAACUAGAACAUUGCAUGCAAGUCACGAAAUCACCAAAGGUUGGACUGUUUUUCCAGAAAACAGAAUGUUAGGCUAGAACACAACUUCGAAAUUUCACAUUGUAUCCACAUCCGAGAUUCACCAUUCAUCACACACCAAACACAACAAGCGAAGGGUAGAUCAAUGGACUCUACUUGCCUCUAAUCCAAGCAAAACACAGCAAGCAAAUGAUGGCUCGAUGGCGGGGACGAACCUCCUCUUUCUUCCUCGCACGCUCGCUCUCCCUCUCUCGAUUUCACUCUCUCUCUCUCUGUCUCUGUCUCUGUCUCUGUCUCUCUCUCUCUCUCUCGGUAACCCUCUCUCUCAAUCCGCCCACUCUCCCUCUCUUUCUUUCCCCUUCAUCAUUGCAAUCAUUAGGCUUGCAUGGCUAAUGCCACUUAGCUCUAGGGGAAAGACACUUGGCAAGCUUCUCUUGCCACUUGGGGAUUUACAUGCAAAGAGAUGGGCCUCAUUUGGCUGGGCUUGGGCCAGCUUGGUCGACUACUUCAUGGGCUCCCUGGGUCGGCUCUGGCCACUUGGUCACUUUUGGGUCUAAGUCCACUUUUAAAUGGCCCAAAAUAUUACUAAAUAAGCCCAUAAUUGCUCUUACAAUUUACUUAAUCCCCACUUAAUUUCAUAAUCUAAUACUCACAUGGCCAUAAAAUUUUGUAACAUAGAUCAAUAAAAAUCUAACUUAUAAAGUACAUGGCCGAAGAAUAAAAAAUUUCUAUCAAUUUAUCCCUUUAAUACAAAUCCUUAAUCACUCAUGGACAUAGGAUAUAUUUCCAACCAAAUAAUUGUCCAUUAAAAUGCUCGGCCUUAAUCUAUUACAAAUUUUUCGGUCUAGUGGCCACAACAUACUUCAACGACACAACCAUUCACUUUUCCAUUGGUCGUAAUGCCUAUAGAAAUUGCCAUGAAAUUUUGGGAUGCCACACCUAAGGCUAGUAAGGGCAAUCCUCAUUAAUCAUAACCUAUGGCCAAUCACCGGCCAUCACCAAGGCUUGGCAAAGGAAGAAAACGAAAAAAAAAAUGAAAAGACAAGAAAACUAAAAAUAAUAAAUUUUAAAGAUUCAAAAAUAUUAAAAUACUAUUUUAAAAAAAAAAAAAGGUCUGCUGGCAUUCACUUUAACGAUUUCUAGUCAAAAUAGGCUAGAUGGACUCAAUUAGUAAAACUUGAAAAAAAUUUGGGAUUCAAUUGAUACAAUUAAAAAGUUUAUGACUGAAUUAGCAAAAGUACAACAUAUUAUGAUUUUUUUGAUAAUUUUCUCCAAAUAUCUUUGGGCAAUUACAAGUUUUUAUGUCAGCAUUUGGGUCUUGUUUAAAUUGUAUGACUUAAGCAUGUAGCCGGUAGCUCACUUACCUUUUAAGCCAACAAUAAAACUUUACUUGUCAAAAAAAAAAAAAAACAAAUUGCCCUAAAGUUGGUUCUACACAAGAGUCCACAAAAUGGAUGAUUGUGAUGAACUCGAUCCACUAGACACCAAUCCAUAUAAUAUAAUCUCAAAUCAAAGACCAUGAACAAUACUAGUUCCUUGAAUAGGUCGAAGCUUGAUAGGGAUUGAUUUUGAUCCAUCAAAAUUGGAAUCCUGUUAAUGGAUUCAAACAUGACGUUGAACCCAAUAACCCGAUUGCUAGUGCAUUGCCAGCUUCCAGUAGCACAUCGGUGGAAUCUACGGAAGAUAGUGAAACUCCAAUUUGACUCUUAAGUACAUAAGUGAGAUGCUCAAGGAGAGGGAGUUGGAGGAGAAAAACUAAAUGUUUGCUGGAUUGGCUGACCACCCUCUGGGCCAAAGGAAAAAAAAAUAGUGUGAUGUCCUCUACUAGAAGGGUACCCUUCCGACCACCCAAAAAAAAAAAAAAUACUUGCCAACCAGCAAAAAUUUGGCCAACCAGCGAACUCAGGUCUUCAUUUGAGAUUAAUUUAGCCACUUUAGACCCUUAUUUAAAAUAAUGUCCAUCUUAGGCAAUCUUUUGAAAAAAAUAACACCACUUUAGACGCUCAUUCAAAAAAAUUUCUUACUUUGCCAAAAAUUAGUCAUCUGAAGUGCAUGAUGGUAAAUGUAUACAAAUUGUUGAAUCUCUUUGUAUGUUACUAAGGUAAGAUUUUGCUAUAGUGCCAAACAUCCAAACAGGUUGAUAAUUUACUAUUUAUAUUUUCAUCGUUAAAUUCCUUCAAUAGAUGGCAAUUUUUCGCCCACUUGUAAAUUUAGCAAUUUAAUAAAAGCUUGCUGUGUAAUGUACGGGUAUUUUUCACUAAACCAUCCGACUUCGUUGGGCUUGAAUAAGACUCAUUUGAUUUCAUUUGUGUAAUGCUUGCGGAGAUUACUUUCGUUGGUGGUGUUUUUUUUUUUAUUGCUCUAAUUUCUAACACAUGAUAGUAAGGCCGAGUAUCGGUAUAGGGUCAACCCUAGACUAAUCUCGGACUGGCCCAACCCAGCCAAUACUGGGUCUGUGUCCUUAGUCCCAGAACUCAAAUUUCUUGAAAAAAUUUCAAAUAAGAGUCCAAGGUUCUAUCAAUUUCUUAAAAAAAGAUUUAAAGUGUAUCUUUUUGUUUUUUUUUUUUCAAAAAAAGACCUAAAGUUGCCAUAGGAGUUUCAAAUAAAGGUCUACCUCACUGACUGGUUAAGUAUUCUGGUCGAAAAGGACAUUUUUGUCCAAAGACAAUUUUAAACCAAAUUUUAAUUAAAUUAUUUUAAAAAUUAAUCUAAAAGCUUUUCAAAAAAAAAAAUACAUGCAGUGUGGGCCCUCACCUUUGGUCGACAAGGGUUGCGGCUCUCAUCGAGGUACUUGCAACCUCGAUGCCCUCCUUCAUCCUUUGGAAGGUAAACUUCAUCCCAAGCUACCUUAGCACCACCCACCCCUGCCCAGGUUCGGACCUUUCCACAAUAAUUGUCUAAGGAUUUUCUCUAUCUGGUCCACUAUAACUAUAGGCAAAACAAAUACACUAGCCCAAUAGGCUUGUAUAGUGUGAAGAACUAACCUAAUAAGCUGAAGCCAUCCAGCAAGAGAGAGGAAUCGAAGAGUCCAAGACUGAACCCUUGCAGUGAUAUGGUUGACAAGGGCACAAGAGAGAGGAAUUGGUGAGUCCAAGAUUGAUGAUUGAAUUAUUAAUAUAGUAAUUUUGGAAAAUUGACAUGCCAUCUUACUAAAGCAAAAGUGAGUGCAUAAUUAACAUGAAGUAGUCCUCUUUGGGUGCUUUUGCCGUUGUUUUGGCGUUGCCCUCGUUCUUUUACCUUGACACCCUUCCACUCGCUUUGACUUUUGUCUUCGUGAGUGUAAGUUUUUGGUGCCGAGUUCUUGCUGUAUAGCUUUAUAUAGCUCUUUGGUUAAAGUCAAUAUAAUCUUACCUUUUACCAAAAAAAAAAAAAGUUGAUAAAGCGAUCUAUAAAAUUCAAGAUAGAACAAGACAUCAUAAUUUUGAUAGGAAUUUUCGAUCUUUGGUAGCUGGAGAUUACAUUGAGUACUAAACUUAAGUAAUAAGAUUCGGUUGCAUAAUUCGCAUAAGUUGUCGGACCAAUAUUGAAAUUAUUAUAACUAAGAAUCUAAUUUUACCUAAUUCGAUGAAAUGGAUGUACGAGAAUCAACAUGACCAGCACGUUUACUCCAUUUCGUAGCCAAAAGAUUUUUUUUUUCCUUUUUAUAAUGUGGACGGCAUAUAUUUCUUUUUCUUUAUUGUUUUGGGUUGGUUUCUCGUGAAGUGAAGAGGAUAAGAGUGGAUAUUUAUAUCCUGUUUUCCACGCAAUAAUCGCAUAGGUGCAGGGUGAGCAAUAGCUGAAAGCUUGGCCAAUGGAGUACUGCCCUACUUCGCCCUUUUGGCUCGGCCUCCUCCUCUCGGCACUUCUAUUUUUCCUUCUCAACCGUUGGAAGUGCACCAAGCUUCCCCCUCAGCCCCAUUUACAUUUAUUGGCUCAUUUCAUCUUGUGGACUUUAAUGUCAAAAUGUUGACGAAGGAUAUUUUUGCGACUUAUUCGCCAUACAAGAGAUUGUACACUUUGCACAGUAUUCUCCAUUAUGCUCCCACUCAGAUUAGAUAAUAAUGAUAUCGUCUCAUCAUAUAGUUGUAAUUGAGAGUGAGUCGAAUAUAAUUUCUCACUUCUCAUGUUACUCCUAUUUGGACGAACUCUACUAAGUCCAUUAUCUUGAUCUAAUGUUUCUAAUAUGGAGUAAUUCUCACAUAUUUCACCCUUCUUAAGAAAUUCAUUAUUUAAAAAUGUGACAUUCCGUGAUUCAAAUUUAGCUAUACUCUCACUUUUCUGCCCACUUAUAAACACAUACCCUUUCGAGUGUUUUGAGUAUCUUAUGAAAAUACUCUUCUUACCUCCGGGUUCAUGAGUAUAGGCAGUACAAUAUCACAGUUUAAAAAAACUUAAAUUCAAUUUUCUACCUGUCUAUAACUCAUAUGAAGUUAAAGUAACUAGUUUGAAAAGUAUAUGGUUAAGUAUAUAGGCAGCAAUUAAUAAAGCAUUACCCCCAAAAAGUGAUAGGUAAGUUAGCAUGUGCCACCAUGGAUAUAAAUUUUUUAAUAGGGUUCCGUUUCUCCUUUCCGCAACACCAUUUUGUUGAGAAGUAUAGGAAAUGAAAAACUAUCUUUCUAUUCAUUUUUUAUCACAUAAAUUUAUGAACUCAUCAGAUAAAUAUUCAACCUCAAUCGGAUUUCAAUACUCAUGUUUUCUUAUCUAAUUGAUCUUUUACUAAGCUCAUAAAUUUUUUGAAAUAACUCAAUGCUUCAGAUUUAUGAGAAAUCAAAUAGACAUUUCUUAAUUAAGUAUAGUUAUCUAUAAAUAUGAUAAAAUAAAUAGCAAUGUGCAUUCCUCUCACAUUUAUUAGACUAAAAUUGUUAGAAUGAAUUAAUUGCAAAGGAAAUUCAGCUAUUUUACAUUUUCCAAAUUGUUUUCUUAUCAUUUUCUCUACUAGGUAAUGCUAACGUAUAGGCAAAUCAACUUUUUCAAUGUUGCCCAAUAAGCCCUCUUUGGCUAGCCUAUUCAUAUGUUGUUGGCCAAUAUGAUCAAGUUUAGCAUGCCACAUAUUCACAUAAUUAUCAUAUGAAUUAAAAGACGUGAAGAGGGAAUAACAUUAAUAUUACUAUAGUCAACAUUUAAUACAAUAAAAUCAUUUAGAAAAUAGCCAUAACCAUAGAAGCUUGUAUUUAAAUACAAAUCCAUACCAUUAUUUUGGAAGUUCAAACUAAAAUCAAAUUUUACAAAUACUAAAACAGACACUAAAUUCUGACGAAUUUCGGAAUAUAUAAUAUACAUCAUGUUGGAAUAAGGUGUGUUCACCACACAUGUUUAAUUGACAGGUGCCAAUCUCUUUUAUUUAGCUCUAAAGUUGUUUCUUAUAUAGAUCCAUUUAGUUCUAGUUAGUGCUUGUCGGAAUUCUACGAAGAAUUCUCUAUCCUUUGCUACAUGGUUCGUUGCUCCCGAAUCUAUAGUUCACAAAGGAUUAUGUUCAAUUAAGAAUAUUGAAUUUGAUACAUAAGCAAAGUUCUUAAGAAUGCAAGGGGUGUUGUUCUUCUUUGGCUCACAACAGUUGCGAGCAUGGUGAUCGUUCUUAUCACAAUUAUAACACUUCGCCCUUGACAACUUAUUCAUUCGAGGAUGCUUUCCUCUUUCAUAUUGGUUAACUUUUGAUUUAUUUCCCGAAGAACUUGCUUCAUUGCCUUUCUACCUUUUGAAUGAAUCAAGAUGUUUGUGCUUGGAGCUUGAAACCUCUUGUGAGCUAGAAUUGGCAUAAUAAAUGUCAGUUUACGGUUUAGCUGCCAGGAGGCAGUCCUCUUUUAGCUCAAGAUGACGCAUUGCAUCCUCAAAGGUUUUAAUAUUCUCAUUGUGUAUCAAGUGCACUUUCAUAUGCUCCCAACUUGGAGGUAGGGAAUAUAUCACUGCUUGCACUUGCUACUUGUCAGUCAAGACAUAGCCAGCAUCUUUCGACUUAUUAAUCAUGUUUAACAUCUUUUUCAGGUGUUGUUUCAUGUAGAGGUGUGCAACCGGAUCGGGUCAACUCGGUUCCCGGUUCGGCCCACCCGGAAAACAGGGUCGGGAAUUGGUUCCGGUUGAAACCGGUCCGGGAACCGGUUCCCAAAGUUCAUACCUUGUUUGAACCGGUCCGAGAACUGGUUCCGAGGGAAUACCCACUUGGGAACCGGAUCAAUCGGACCAGUUUGGGAACCGGUUUGAGAAUCGAUUUUUGGGCCCCAAAACAAAACCCUAGCCGUUUCUAAAUUUCUAUCUUUACUCUCAGUCUCUCAUGUAGCACGCUCGUCGCUCUCAGCGUCUCAUGAUCUCACCUCCGCCAAUCCAUCUGAGCAGAAGCAGCAUUGCCUUCCUCCAGAUCAGCGCCCCCAUCUUGGUCCCAGCCAUCCUCGCCACCCCGGUGCCGUCGGCCUCGCUGCUCGAGAAGGCUGGGUGCAAGACAUUCGCGGGCCUCCUUGUCUUGACACCAAGGUCGACUCCUCAUGGGUGGCCAACAUGGUGCUCAAGUCCACCCCCGUCGCGAUCUUCACCAUUGACAGUGUCCUCCUCCCCUCUGAGCUGUUCGGCAAGUCCCUGUCCCCCGCGUCAGCGCCGUUGCUGGUAAGCACGAUUUUUACUAUUCGUCUUGAGCUACUGGCUAAUUAGUUCUACUUACCCCCACGCCGGCACCGUCGAUGUUUGCUCUUUUGAUUCGUUCUUGUAUUGCAAGUCUGGUGUUUUUUUUCUCCGUGGGACAAAUCUUGAGAAUUGGUCAGGAGUUGAGCGAACGAGCGAACGAGCGAACGAGCAUUUUAGGUUAUUGUGAAUCACAAUAGUUUGUUUCAUCCUAAUAGUUUGUUUCAAUGCUGUCUAGCAGCUGAUCAAUGACAAAAAUGCACACACACAUGCUCAAAGCGAGAUAUGUAUGGUUAUUACACUUGCUGCAUUUCACUAGGUGUGGUGAUAUAAGAUAGUCAAUAUACCCCAUAGGAUCAAGUAUGUGGUCAAGGGCAUACUUAUACGUGUGAAUUUGGCACGUCGUACAAGUUUGAUUCCCACACCACUGAGUACAAACAUUUUCAGGGGUUUGCCUACCUAAGGUCCUAAGGUUGGUGCCUCAAUCCUAGUUAUAAAAAAAUAUAAGAGUGAUUACCUAGGAGGAGCGGGAAGAAGCUAGCACAAACUUUUACAAAUCAGAAUAUCUGUUUGAGAAUCCAUGUUGUUUCAGUGAAAUAGGAUAGUUUUAGUUCAUUGGAGCCUGUCUUCCUAUCCUCUGGACAUAAUUAUUGUUUUAGCUUUGUGACAGAUGUGUUAAUUCCGCAGAUUUUCUGUCAUUCAUGAAUUUCUGCAGUGUAAUUCUUGUCACGGUUUGGUUGCAGGAUGAGAUGUUAAGACAGAGAUUCAUGGUUUACUAGCAAGAUGUGAAAUGUGCACGUUCAGAAAUUUUUUGCAAAACAAGUUCCAAUAUAAACAGGGUUAACCUUGUUCUUGUUCUUGCUGCUGUUUCUGUUGCUGUUGACAUCAAGUCAAGGAGGGCAAGUGGGUUGUGGUUGGCUUUGUUAGCCUGAUUUAUCGUUAAUUGUUUUGCUGAGAUUGAGGUUAUUAGAAGAGAAAUCAGUGUUAUGUUGCCUAGCAUUGGUGUUUUAUAUCCUAGAAAAUUUGACUUCAAAGAUUGUUCUUUGUUUGGAUACUUCAUUUUAUCCGCAUAUCGGAGUGUUCAUUGUCCUUUGGAUUGGAGUUGUUCUAAGCAUCCGAUUCAAUCUUGCCACUGAAAUAGGACCCUGAAAAGAACUCUUUCAAUUAGAUGUUCUUUGGAGAAAUAGAUUAGCAAAGAUUGAUUGGUAGUCAGAGAACAUGGGUUAUUAAGCUCUAUGACUCAGAGUUUACUGGUUCGCUAAGUUUUCCCUCAGAGGUCAGGAUACAUUAGGCACCAUUUGUUUUAUUUGAUAUGUCGUGAUUUCGAUAGAUCUAUCCUUCACUAGCAAGGAUCCAUAUCAUUUUGGAGUAUACAUUGUCUAUCUCUAGAUUAGAGAUUGUUCUGAGCUUACAUUUGAUUCUUGCAAUCAAAUUAGAAUGCUGAAGAAACACCUUCAUGGUUUACUAGCAAGAUGUGAAAUGUGCACGUUCAGAAAAAUUUUGCAAAAUAGGUUCCAAUAUAAACAGGGUUAACCCUGUUCCCGGACAAGAAAAAUAGGGUGGGUUGGGAACAGAGUCCAAUGCAAACAGGGUAGGGAACAUGGUCCAAAAAAAGAGAACCGGUUAUAACAGGGUUGGGAACAGGGUCCAGGUCUAGACCCUACCCACCUUGGACCCGAUCACCUCUAGUUUCAUGGUCUGACUAUGAGACUUCUUAUAAGAGUCAAAUCUUAUAGUGAGUUAUCUUAGUUUGGUCACUGAUGUAUGACCAAAUAUUGCUACCAAUACUUCCCACAUUUCUUUGGCAUUCUCAAAACGCCUAAACUCUAGCAUGACAUCAUUUUCCAUGCUACUCAGCAAUGUAAUGCAAGUAAGGGAGUUCUUUUUUUGCCAUACAACAAAUGCAUCCUUAUCUCUUUUAUGUUGUGCAAUGUUCCCAUCUUCAGAUUCUUCCAUAAUCAGAUUAAGAGUUUCUAGUGCCUUUUGCUCUUCUAUAUUGGAUUUUCAUAUGUCAUAAUUCAUAAUUAUCGUCGUUUAGCUUCUUACAUUUGUUCAAUUCAGAUACUAUGCUCUUAGAUGUUGAAGCCAUUGGAUCUAAAUAUAUCAGACACAUAUACAUGAAUAAUCCUUUUUUUUUUGGUAAAGGUAAUAAUAGAAUAGAAAGAGGAAAAGCCAAUUAUACAAAAGACUAAAAACUUUCACUCAAAAAGCACACAAGCAAACUGAGUGAAAAGGAGCUGGUGUAAAAGAAAGAAGGAACAACCAAUACAAUCGACAACAACAAGAGCAAACGCCCCCAAGUUCGAAGGAAGCAAAAAGGGUACACAUCCAAAAGCAGCACGAGCGCAACAGGCGCAACAAGGUCCAGGCGAAGGACAAGAGCAAAACCCCAACACCAAUCGAGCUAGUGAAGAACAAACCCAGCAGCCUAUUAGAGCUUAGCUGGGCCAACAAUGAAGAUUGAAGGAUCAAAUCCCCACCCAUGUUGAAGCCUCCUAUUUCUCGGGUUGUCAGGCACCUUGCCAUUGGUUAGUACUUUGUCCCUGACAACUUUUAUGAGAUGAUUCUUCAAAGCCGCAACCUCAAGCACUUCGCCCUAGAAAAAUGAUGCUUUUCCUUUUCUUCCAGAUAAGAUGGCACAUGGCCCUAAAAGAGAAAUGGGCAAUAGAGUGGAAGAAGUCCUUACCAGGUAAAUAUUUCAGAGCCCAAAGGAGAAUCUUUGCCCAUGACCUAUUAUGCCAGGGAAGAUUACAUCUCCCCGCCCAAAAGAAAGCAAGCAUCACGGGAACAUGACACUCGAAGAAGAGAUGGUCAAUCGAAUCAGGAAAAUAAUUGUAGAAGGCACACACUUCAUAAUCAAUUCGUCCAUGAGAAAUGAGUAAAGCCUGAGUAGGAAGGCAGUUCUUGGUAAUAAGCCAAAGGUUGAACUGGUAUAUGGGAGCAAUGGCAUUAUUCCAAAUAAAGUGAGCCCAAGGGACACGGUUCUUUCUAGGUCUUAAUGCCUCCCAGGCUGAGGCCACUGAAAAGGAAUUGGAAGAGGACUCACGCCAAGAGAAGCUGUCAGUAGAAUCAGCCAGGAUUGGCAAGGAGAAGCCCCAACACUCCAAUAGAUAUAUGAACGCACAGUUUGCCGGUGCAAGGAGGUCUGCCACUAUUGCUUUCCUAGAAAGGCCUGAACUAAGAAUAGGAGAGUCUGGGAUAAUGAGGCUCCAAGGGCCUUGCUGGUGCCCAUUGUUGUGCCAUAGAGAGACUGAACGACCAUUGCCUACUCUCCAACAGAAGGAUAACCUGAAAUUUCUUCUACGGUGAAGGAUUUUCUUCCAAGCCCAAGAGCAUACUGUUGGGAUAGUCGUGACCCAAAAAUUCUCUCUUUUAAAGAAAUUUGAAUGGAUCCACCGACAUCAAAGGGACUCUUUAUCUGUGAACAAGAUCCAUAUAUACUUAAGCAUAUACGCUUUAUUGCGGUCCUUCAACCUUCGAAUACCCAGACCAUCUUCCACCUUGGGAACACAGACAUCCUCCCAAGAAACUUUAGCUUCGCCCUAUCCAAGGGUAGGACCCUUCCAAAGGAAUUGCUUUAAAAUACGCUCAAUACACUCUAUAACCGAGUAGGGAAGAGAAAAAACAGUAGCCCAAAAGGCUUGAAUGGAAUGUAGGACUGACCUAAUCAAUUGUAGCCUUCCAGCAAAGAAAGAAACCGCUGAGCCCACGACUAAACUCUAGCCGUGAUCUGAUCAACGAGAGUAGUACAAUCCGCUUUGCUAAGUCUUGAAGUAAUAAUGGGAAACCCCAAAUAACGCACUAGCAGCUUCCCUUCUUGAAAACCCAGUGUCAAGAGAAUAUUCCUUUGCAAAGAAGUGGAACCCCCUGUAAGAAAGACCUCGCUUUUGUUUUUGUUAGGCAACAUUCCGCUCCAUGAAGAGAAGAUACCAAGGCCUCUAUUGAGGAGAGUCAUUGAAGCCCAAUCUGUCUGGCUAAAAAGAAAGACAUCAUCGGCAAAAAAUAGAUGGGAUAGCUUCACAGACUUGCACCUCCAAAAAUACUUGAAGUCCUUAUGAGCUGUGUGAGAGCUCAAGAUCCCAGAGAAAAUCUCCAUAACCAGGGUAAAUAAGUAGGGGGACAUGGGAUCCCCUUGCCGAAGCCCACAACCACCUGAGAAGAAGCCAUGCAGCUCACCAUUGAUCGAGAUAGAAUAUUUAGGUGUACAGACACAAACCAUGAUGAGUCUGAUUAUCCACUCAGGGAAACCAAAAGCCGAAAGGGUAAGCUCAAGGAAAUCCCAAUCCAUAGUGUCAUAGGCUUUCUUGAAGUCCACCUUAAUAGCACACUUAGGUAGAUAAGGCUCAAGGUGGAAUCUUGCAAACAGCUCCUGGGCUAGAAGAAUAUUAUCCCUUAUCCUCCUACCUUUAACAAAGGCGUUCUGGAACGGACUAAUCAAAUCAUCUAACACAACAACUAAACGAUUAGCUAAAAUCAUAGUAAUAACUUUGUAAAUUGUGUUACAGCAAGCUAUGGGUCUGAAAUCAGAAACAGCACAAGCGUUGGGAACCUUAGGCACCAUGGCUAAUAUCGUGUUAUUCACCUCUCUUAGCAACCAGCCCGAAGAGAAAAAUCCUUUACUGCCUCUAAAACUAGAGGCCCUACUACGUCCCAAUUAUUCUUAAAGAAUUCAACAAUAAAUGCAUCUGGUCCAGGGGCUUUACCACAGGCCAAGGAGAAUAGAGUAUCCCGAAUCUUAGAGUCAAAGACUGGACGAGAAAGAAAGCCAACUUGAUCAACCGAGAGAGGCGGCCGAACGAACUCCUUCAACUCCUACAAAGAAGGCUUCGAGAGGGCUGUCUGCAGAGUCAAAAGGUCACUAAAAAAGGAGACAAAUAUAGGUGGAACCAAUUCAGGGUUCAUAAUCAAGGAGCCUAAAGGAUCCUUAAUCGAAAGAAUCCUAUUCCUGAGUUGUCUUCUAGUGACCAAUUGAUGAAAAAACUUGGUGUUCCUGUCACCUUCCUGAAGCCACCUGAUUCUUGAUUUCUGUCGGUAAAAAGACUGCUCCUGAGAAUGCAACUCAACAAACACCCGACGUUGAGAUUUCUCCAAAUCCGCAAGGGCAGAACUGCCUGGGUCUUGCUGAAGACCAACCUGGGUGAUACGAAGAGCAUUCCUCACGUCAGUAGUUCUCACAAAAAUGUCAGAGAAGGCCACUCUAUUAAGUUGCUUUAGACGCCCUUUCAAAAGCUUUAACUUGCGAACAAGUUUGUACAUAGGAACACCUUCCACCAGACUCUCCCAGACUUGCUGAACAAUAGAGGAAAAGGACAGGUGUUUCAUCCAUAGAUCAAAAAAUUUGAAAGGCUUCUUCUUAAAAAUCGGGUUAAGAACCCUGACAACCAUGGGCGAAUGAUAAGAUAUACCCAGGUUUAGAAAGUUAGCUUCAGAAUAAGAAAAUACAGUAUUCCACUUGGCAUUCACCAACACCCUGUCAAUCUUUCUCAUCUUCCUGGCAGCACCAGAAGAAGUAAACCACGUAAAUCGAAGGCCCACAUACCUCAAAUCCUCCAAAUCAGUUUGUGCUAAACAUUGACUGAAAUCAUCAAAACAAGGUAUCCAAGUAGUGGUACUCCCAACUCGGUCGGACGGAUCUUUUAAGGCAUUAAAAUCACCAGCAACCAACUAGGCGAAGUCCUGCACAAAGCUGUUCAUCCGUAUAAGGUCAUCCCAAAGAGGCUGACAACGGGUAUAGGAAUGCUCUCCAUACACCACUGAAAUAUAAGAAGACAUCCUAGACAGAAGAAGCUCCAAGUGGCCAUGGAUAGCCUGAUCAUUAACAGAAGAGACUUCAAAGAGAACCAACUCCGGGUUCCAACCGACCCAGAUUCUACCUCGAGGGGAAUAGUCAUAAUUUGCAAUCCAGUUCCAUCCCAUCAAAAAAGUUAAGGAGAUAGAGUGAAAAAGAGACUCAGGAGCCCUAGUCUCAAGCAGCCCAACAAAACAUAAAUUGUUCGAUGACACAAACUUCUUCACUUUAGCACGCCUAAUGGGGUUAACCAAACCCCUUAUAUUCCAAAAACCUAUACACAUUGUUGAAAGGUAAGAAGAUUACCUCUUCUUGGUGGUCCUACACCGACCAAAGGCUGGAGUAGGUAGAGCCGACGGGGAAGGGUCAGGAUGCAACUUGAGAAGUUUGUCUUGCAUGGAUUCAUUAUUCCCAAGAGUUGGAGGCGCUCUCGAAGAAGGCAUAGAGAGCAAAUCGUCAUCCGAAUAUCCAUCUAUGUCUUCGCCCGAACUAGGAGGAACCAAAGAAGGUUCAACAAGAAUAACUCCUAUGGAAGACCGCCCUUCUUGAGCUUGCGUCUUCGUGCCAGGAUUCGGAGCCUUCGUUGGAACAGGCUCUUUCAGCUUCAAAGAUUGACUUUUAUCUCCAGAGGGAACAUCGUCUUUAAUCUUCAAAGAUAUCCCACCACCUGCGGAAGAAGAAAGCCUAAACGAGGCAUCAACCUUACCUAGUGGAGGCUUAUUCUUUUUACUUUUAACUUGCUUCUAAGUCGUUUUAGUCCCUUGCGAAGGAAUAACCACAGGGGCAGCAAGCUUCUCCGAAUUCUGGACCGAAUCAUCACCAGAAGCAGAGCAAAUAACGCUUUGAUGAAUAAUUUGAAAUAAGGUUUCAGAAUUAAAAGGUCACUAUGUUUCCAAUUAUCAUCCAAAAAUUCUAACUUGAAAUUCUCAUUAAUAUAGUCUUCUAUACAAAAUAAGUUCUUUGAAACUACAGAAUCUUCUAUGAACUACCUCAAACAAUUAAUGAUAACAGAAGCAAUUGACAUUGAAUAUCCAUUAAUGAUGAAUAAAAAUAUUUCCACAUAAUAUAACCAAUACAUCAAUUGCUACAACGACAUCAAUAUGGUAGAAAUUAUCUACAUAAGAUAUUCAUAAAACAUACUAAAUAAAUGCUACUAGAAACAACUAACACUAAGUCAACCUAUGAAUAGGGAAAUAUUCUUUUAAUUUCUUGGAAAUUUCCUUCGUAAAUUCUUUAGGCACAUUUGGCAACCACGGAAAAACAGAUGAAAAUCCCUUAGGAUUUCUCCUUCACAUAUUCAUUCCCCCAUGGAUUGAACUCAUUCAUUGGGUUGAAGUCUUUGUGGCUUCAAUCUUAUAAUAUUCCUUUUUAAAAAGCCACUAUAAGUUUCUUAUAAUCAGGAACCACAUUGACCUCCCAUAGGCGAUUGAACACUCAUUGCCAUUCAGAUGGAAGAAUGUCAAUGAAGAAUCGCACCAUCUUAAAAGCUGGCAUAGGGUAACCCUUGCAAAUGACUUCUUGUAUCUUCUUAUUGACCUUGUAAACAUGAUCAAAUAAAUCACCAUUUUCCCAUCAAUAAUCAGCCAACUUAACUAUCAUCCUUACAAGCCUUGUCCUUUGUCUUUUUGACUGUGCACGAAUAGGUGUACGCAUACGAAGGGGAGGCAUUGUUCUUGCAACGAAUGCAGAACAAAAAAUGAUUACUUAUAAUCCAUAGGGACAUAAUUGAAAAAGAAACAUAUUCUUCAUUUUUUUUGUCAACGGUCAACAAUCAACAGUCAACGCGGUUAACAAAGUCAAUGGUCAACGGAGAUCGGGUCGGCUCAGACGGGUCAAACAUGGGUCGGGUCAAACUGACUAACUUGACUAGGUGACGUCAUCAUGACUCACCAACACGUGCCAUGUGCAUGCAUGGGCAACUGCCAACUAACGUCACCAUGACGUUAGCUGGCACGUGUGGUGCCGCAAGUGCCCUAGAAACCAUUGAUGCACACGCCGACAAGGCCUUUUCUUCUAGUCGCACGUGGUGGCAUGUCUAACGGCAUCGAUGGCGGGCAACUUGUGACAUCCAGAUUUUUGUUGACCCUCGAAUACGUGACGGUCCGUGACAGAUCGACAGAAUUAUCGUUGGACUAUGUCAUUGGUACCAUUUGUGGACACUGUUUUGUUAUUAUCGUUGGACCAAUACGUUAUGUUUAGUAAUGGUCUGAUCAUAGAAUAAAUUAUAGUCCCGUCGAAAAUCUUUCUUACGUUCUAGCAAGACCGAGGCUCAUUCCAAAUAAUAUGUCGACAAGUUACCUAUCAUUCGAACUUUAGCCGUCUCCAUUGAGUAUGUACCCUAGGCGAUGAAGCCGAGAGACACCAUUUCACGCCCAUGCAGCCACGUCCAUCUACUUUCUUCCAUUAAGACAAAAAACUAUGGAUUCCAUGGCCAUGCAUGAGGACCAUGCACGUCUCUCCAUUGUGCGGAUCAAUAAACAAAUAGGAAAUUGACCCAUGCAGCCCAUGCUGCUCGAAGACCCUAUUUCCCCGGCCAUGCAUUCACGUCACACAUCUUCCAUGCACGUUCGUGGAGAUUCCAUGCAGCUGGUCAACUAUGGGUGAUGAUUGUUGACCAAGAGCCACGUAGCUCGUCCUUCGGUGGACAGCAAAAAGGGAGAAUGUGGCUUUGCUGAGGAUACAUCCCUUGCAUGAGGAAGUAAGGUGGCUGCAGCAAAAAGAGACCCUUACGCAUGGACACGGUAGGUGCAGCUGUCCGUUCUUUCCGCGGCCAUCGAGAAUUUACCUUUGUUGACCCAUAAAGUCAACCAACGAAGGAACAAAAUGGCUCGGAAAUGAGAGCAAGAGAGAGAAAAAAACCGGGCGAAAUAAGGCAGAGAGAGAGAGUAGCGAGUGAGAGAGAAAGCAGCGAGCGUGAGUGAGAGGAAAAGAAGGAGGUCACCCCCUCCGCCCGUGCACACGCGCUGCCGACGCCACUUGCUCGCACUUGCUGUUGCCGAGCUGUGUCUAUGACCGCGAGCUUCUCGAUUUCUCGCCGUCGACACCAUCGGAUUUAAGGCAAGUGAAAGUCUACUAGCCUAUGUAAUGCAAUGCUGUUGUUGUUUGAUGUAGUGCAGUUAAUUUUGGAAAUAUUUGAGUUUGUAUGUUGGAUAUUGAAUUUUUGAAUGAUUGAGGUAGAUUGGGAUUAGGGGAUUGAGGAAAUGCUCGGGUUUUCUUUGUGUGUUUUUGGUUCCUUUGAACCUCAAUCGAAAAUAGAUUUUGGUGGACUUUUGGAAAUAAGGUAGCCAAGGUGUGGGCGUGGGUUUCUACUGAAUCCAUACUGCCAAGAACAACUCGUGUGUAGCUCUGUAGCUUUGUAAAUUUCUACAGAGAUUUCUAGUACGAAUUUGGUCCCGACUUCUUCAUGGAAGUUGUGAGAAAUUGUUUAAACUAGGACAUAUAUUUUUGUCAGAUUUUUGGGAUCAAUAUAGUUGGCACAAACUUAUUUUAGUGUGCGGUGCUUUUCUACUAGAGUGUGAAUUUUGGUCAAUGGAAGAAAUAUGGGGCUAAGUUGUGUGAUUUACUGCUCUUUGUACUUGACUAAUGCGGCUUAGUGUCCUUCAUGAAAUUAUUUCCCUUAGGUCUUACUUAUAACAUACUAAAAAUUUAGAAUUUUCUGAGUUCAUUUAUUGGUUCUUUCAAAAUUAUUACUGAAACUAUACAUUUGAUUUCGGUUGCCUUUAUUCCGAGUUUGCUCAAAUUUAUCUCAAGGGUGAAGGAAUCUUGGUUUAUUACCUAGUAACGAUGGUUUUGGCAUUCAGUAAAUCAUUCAAUACUGAAAUUUCAAUAAAAAUUCAAGGGAUUUCAUAUGUCGAUGAUUUGAAAAUGUUUUGGUAUUGAAAUAAUUUGAUGUGUCAUUGCUACCGUUGGACCCUUGGGUCAAUGAUGCCCUGGGAGUCGGGCUGCCCAUAGGAUCGUAGGGGUCGAUGCCUUUGGAUGCUUGGAGACCGGUGAUCCCCAGAGGUUCCUUGGGAGUGUCGGGAUGCCCGAAUGUAUGACGAUACAUAUUUCGGAGGGUAGGGGCAACCAUUGCCGUGGUUAGUCCCGGAGAUUCCUCGUGAUGCUGGGUAAGGUGCGAGAUGCAAGAGGUGAGACAUGACAUGCUCUGGUUGCCCGGUGAUUGAAAAAUGGAACCAGAGGCUUUCGUGACGCCAGGUUGAGUGCGAAUGCCUAGAAGGACGCAAACACUGGUCCUCCAGGAGAAAAAUCUUUUGAGUUUUAAAACUGAAUGUGCUACUAAGUUGCGCCGAAUUAUGAGACAAAAUUGUGUGGCACAGAAUGAGACAUGUCAUGACAGUUUGGUCUUAUAAUCAGGACUCAUGUGAUUGAAAUGAUGUGUUCUGGUUUUGAAACUGCACUUGUUAUCACUUGGAAAAGUUCCAUUGAUUUGAUGCAUACUCAUUCCUUUGGUUAUGUGUUUUAUGAAUUUUGCAUGAAAUUAUAUUGUGAUGGUUCUGCAAGAUAUAGUUUAGUAGAUCUUUUGUUGUCGGGUGGUUGUAGGGACUAACAUUUUAGACUAGACAAGAUGCUUCUGCCACCCGCACCUCCCAGUACAUUCAAUGGAUUCCCGAUCGAAUUAUAGUUGGAGCGGUCGGAGUAUCAGGACCCUAAGGUGCGAGGACUGACGUUCGUACCGAUGAGAGUCAUUAUGGUGUUUAAUACCGGUCUUCCCAUUGGCCCUGUACUUCAAGAGUACAUCGUCGUAUUUGUCCGUCGGUAUAGACGAACGCUGGGGCCAUUGCCGUCGCCACUAGCAAAUGGACCAAGUGGCUAGGUGUGAUCAUGAGAUGNNNNNNNNNNNNNNNNNNNNNNNNNNNNNNNNNNNNNNNNNNNNNNNNNNNNNNNNNNNNNNNNNNNNNNNNNNNNNNNNNNNNNNNNNNNNNNNNNNNNNNNNNNNNNNNNNNNNNNNNNNNNNNNNNNNNNNNNNNNNNNNNNNNNNNNNNNNNNNNNNNNNNNNNNNNNNNNNNNNNNNNNNNNNNNNNNNNNNNNNNNNNNNNNNNNNNNNNNNNNNNNNNNNNNNNNNNNNNNNNNNNNNNNNNNNNNNNNNNNNNNNNNNNNNNNNNNNNNNNNNNNNNNNNNNNNNNNNNNNNNNNNNNNNNNNNNNNNNNNNNNNNNNNNNNNNNNNNNNNNNNNNNNNNNNNNNNNNNNNNNNNNNNNNNNNNNNNNNNNNNNNNNNNNNNNNNNNNNNNNNNNNNNNNNNNNNNNNNNNNNNNNNNNNNNNNNNNNNNNNNNNNNNNNNNNNNNNNNNNNNNNNNNNNNNNNNNNNNNNNNNNNNNNNNNNNNNNNNNNNNNNNNNNNNNNNNNNNNNNNNNNNNNNNNNNNNNNNNNNNNNNNNNNNNNNNNNNNNNNNNNNNNNNNNNNNNNNNNNNNNNNNNNNNNNNNNNNNNNNNNNNNNNNNNNNNNNNNNNNNNNNNNNNNNNNNNNNNNNNNNNNNNNNNNNNNNNNNNNNNNNNNNNNNNNNNNNNNNNNNNNNNNNNNNNNNNNNNNNNNNNNNNNNNNNNNNNNNNNNNNNNNNNNNNNNNNNNNNNNNNNNNNNNNNNNNNNNNNNNNNNNNNNNNNNNNNNNNNNNNNNNNNNNNNNNNNNNNNNNNNNNNNNNNNNNNNNNNNNNNNNNNNNNNNNNNNNNNNNNNNNNNNNNNNNNNNNNNNNNNNNNNNNNNNNNNNNNNNNNNNNNNNNNNNNNNNNNNNNNNNNNNNNNNNNNNNNNNNNNNNNNNNNNNNNNNNNNNNNNNNNNNNNNNNNNNNNNNNNNNNNNNNNNNNNNNNNNNNNNNNNNNNNNNNNNNNNNNNNNNNNNNNNNNNNNNNNNNNNNNNNNNNNNNNNNNNNNNNNNNNNNNNNNNNNNNNNNNNNNNNNNNNNNNNNNNNNNNNNNNNNNNNNNNNNNNNNNNNNNNNNNNNNNNNNNNNNNNNNNNNNNNNNNNNNNNNNNNNNNNNNNNNNNNNNNNNNNNNNNNNNNNNNNNNNNNNNNNNNNNNNNNNNNNNNNNNNNNNNNNNNNNNNNNNNNNNNNNNNNNNNNNNNNNNNNNNNNNNNNNNNNNNNNNNNNNNNNNNNNNNNNNNNNNNNNNNNNNNNNNNNNNNNNNNNNNNNNNNNNNNNNNNNNNNNNNNNNNNNNNNNNNNNNNNNNNNNNNNNNNNNNNNNNNNNNNNNNNNNNNNNNNNNNNNNNNNNNNNNNNNNNNNNNNNNNNNNNNNNNNNNNNNNNNNNNNNNNNNNNNNNNNNNNNNNNNNNNNNNNNNNNNNNNNNNNNNNNNNNNNNNNNNNNNNNNNNNNNNNNNNNNNNNNNNNNNNNNNNNNNNNNNNNNNNNNNNNNNNNNNNNNNNNNNNNNNNNNNNNNNNNNNNNNNNNNNNNNNNNNNNNNNNNNNNNNNNNNNNNNNNNNNNNNNNNNNNNNNNNNNNNNNNNNNNNNNNNNNNNNNNNNNNNNNNNNNNNNNNNNNNNNNNNNNNNNNNNNNNNNNNNNNNNNNNNNNNNNNNNNNNNNNNNNNNNNNNNNNNNNNNNNNNNNNNNNNNNNNNNNNNNNNNNNNNNNNNNNNNNNNNNNNNNNNNNNNNNNNNNNNNNNNNNNNNNNNNNNNNNNNNNNNNNNNNNNNNNNNNNNNNNNNNNNNNNNNNNNNNNNNNNNNNNNNNNNNNNNNNNNNNNNNNNNNNNNNNNNNNNNNNNNNNNNNNNNNNNNNNNNNNNNNNNNNNNNNNNNNNNNNNNNNNNNNNNNNNNNNNNNNNNNNNNNNNNNNNNNNNNNNNNNNNNNNNNNNNNNNNNNNNNNNNNNNNNNNNNNNNNNNNNNNNNNNNNNNNNNNNNNNNNNNNNNNNNNNNNNNNNNNNNNNNNNNNNNNNNNNNNNNNNNNNNNNNNNNNNNNNNNNNNNNNNNNNNNNNNNNNNNNNNNNNNNNNNNNNNNNNNNNNNNNNNNNNNNNNNNNNNNNNNNNNNNNNNNNNNNNNNNNNNNNNNNNNNNNNNNNNNNNNNNNNNNNNNNNNNNNNNNNNNNNNNNNNNNNNNNNNNNNNNNNNNNNNNNNNNNNNNNGACCAGCUAAAUUGUAGUUAACGCUUCCAACAUAGGUUGUACAAGGACCUAGGGAAAGGACGUGGCCCCAGAAACUCAUUGAUAUAUUAAAAUCCUUUUCUUUCAGAGUUUUUGACUCUCAGAUUCAGGGAAACUUUGUGAUAGGAGGCAACCCUAAGGCCUCGGGGGCCAUCGGGGGUGCCACAGAGCUAUGGGUCGCCACAUAUCACUAAUUUUCUCUCAACCUGAAAGUCUAACACUCUAAUACCAAAGGAUUUUGAUAAAUCCAUGAGUUCUUGGGGUCUAUAUCAUUUCCAUUGGUCCUUGCGCAAAAUAUGGCGGAAGCGUAUCCAACAUCUCCUUUUCCUAUAUUUAGAAAAUGAUGCACACCAACUAAACAUCUUUAUAGGUAAUAGCCGGACACUUUUAUUGACAUAUAACUAGAUGGACAAUUGUUAGUCAGUACAUCAAAAUGUCGUAGUUUUCAAUACUCGGCCAUACUUCAAAAGAUACCCGAUAUUUCCAAUAGUUACAAACAUAAAGUCCAUUGUUUAGUGUUGGUGUCCAAAAAUUUCUUCCUUUGCUGACCCCAUCUCACGAUCACACCCAGCCACUCGGUCCAUUUGUUCAUAGUGGCAGCAGUGGCCCCAGCGUUCGUCUAUACCGACGGAAAAAUACAGCGAUGUACUCUUGGAGUAUAGGGCCGGUGGGAAGACUAGUAUUGAAUAACAUAAUGACUCUCACCCAUACAAACAUCAGUCCUUGCACCUCAGGGUCCCAAUACUCCGACCGCUCUCACUGUAAUUCGAACGGGAAUCCAUAGAAUGUAACGGGAGGUGUGGGCAGUAGAGACAUCUUGUCUAGUCUAAAAUGUUAGUCCCAAAAGGGGUGAGUACAACCACCUAGUAGCGAAAGAUCUACUAAACUUUAUUGUGCAAAACCAUCACAAUCUAAUUUCAUGCAAAAUUGAUAAAACACAACCAAAGGAAUGAAUAUGCAUCAAAUCAAUGGAACUUUUCCAAGUGAUAACAAGUGCAGUUUCAAAACCAGAACACAUUAUUUCAAUCACAAAUGUCCCGAUUAUAAGACAAAACUGUUAUGACACGUUUCAUUCAGUGCCACACAAUUUUGUCUCAUAAUCUGGCACAACUCAACAGCACAUUUAGUUUUAAAACUCAAAAGUUUUUUCUCCCGGAGGACCAGUGUUUGCGACCUUCUAUCAUUUGCACCCAACCUUGUGUCACAAAAGCCUCUGAUUUCAUACUUCAGUCAUCGGGCAACCGAAGUGUGUCAUGUCUCACCUCCAGGCAUCUUGCACCUCACACAGCAUCACGGGAAAUCUCCGGGUCUAACCACGGCAAUGGUUGUCCCUACCCUCCAAAAUACGUAUCGUCAUACAUUCGGGCAUCCCGACACUCCCGGGGAACCUCUGGGGCUCACUGGUCCCUAGGCAUCCAGAGGCAUUGACCCCUAUGAUCCUAUGGGCAACUCGACUCCCGGGGCAUCGUUGACCUGAGGGUCCAACGGCAGCAAUGACACAUCAAAUUAUUUCAAUACCAAAACAUUUUCAAAUAAUCGACAUCUGAAAUCCCUUGAAUUUUUAUUGAAAUUUGAGUAUUGAAUGAUUUACUGAAUGCCAAAACCAUCAUUACUAGGUAAUAAACCAAGAUUACUUCACCCUUGAGAUAAAUUUGAGAAAACUCGGAAUAAAGGCAACCAAAAUCAAAAUGUAUAGUUUCAGUAAUAAUUUUGGAAGAACCAAUAAAUGAACUCAGAAAAUACUAAAUUUUUAGUAUGUUAUAAAUAAGACCUAAGGGAAAUAAUUUCAUGAAGGACACUAAGUCUAAUUAGUUAUGUACAGAGAGCAGUAAAUCACACAACUCAGCAGCAGAUUUCUUCCAUCGACUAGAAUUCACACUCCAGCAGAAAAGCACCGCACACUAAAAUAAGUUUGUGCCAACUAUAUUGAUCCCAAAAAUCUGACCAAAAUAUAUGUUCUAGUUUAAACAAUUUCUCACAACUUCCAUGAAGAAGUCGAGACCAAAUUCGUACUAGAAAUCUCUGUAGAAAUUGACAAAGCCACAGAGCUACACAUGAGUUGUUCUGGGCAGUAUGGAUUCAGUAUAAAUCCACGCCCACACCUUGGCUACCUUACUUCCAAAAGUCCACCAAAAUCUGUUUUCGAUUGAAGUUCAAAGGAAUCGAAAACACACAUAGAAAACCCGAGCAUUUCCUCAAUCCCCUAAUCCCAAUCUACCUCAAUCAUUCAAAAAUUUAGUAUCCAACAUCCAAACUCAAAUAUAUCCAAAUCUAACUGCACUACAUCAGACAACAACAGCAUUGCAUUAUAUAGGCUAGUAGACUUUCACUUGCCUUAGAUCCGACGGUGUUGACGGCAAGAAAUCGAGAAGCUCGCGGUCAUAGACACAGCUCGGCAACAGCAAGUGCGAGCGGGCGUUGUCGGCAAUGCGCGUGCACGAGCGGAGAGGGGGACUUCCUUCUUUUCCUCUCACUCACGCUCGCUGCUUUCUCUCUCACUCGCUGCUCUCUCUCUGCCUUAUUUCGCUCGGUUAUUCUCUCUCUUGCUCUCAUUUCCGAGCCAUUUUGUUCCUUCGUUGGUUGACUUUAUGGGUCAACAAAGGUAAAUUCUCGGUGGCUACGGAAAGAACGGACGGCUGCAUCUACCCGUGUCCAUGCGUAAGGGUCUCUUUUGACUUUGCUAUUGCCACCUUGCUUCCCCAUGCAAGGGAUGUCCUCAGCAAAGCCACAUUCUCCCUUUUUGCUGUCCACCGAAGGAAGAGCUACGUGGCUCUUGGUCAACAAUCAUCUCCCAUAAUUGACCAGCUGCAUGGAAUCUCCACGAACGCGCAUGGAAGAUGGGUGACGUGAAUGCAUGGUCGGGGAAAUAGGGUCUUCGAGCAGCAUGGGCUGUAUGGGUCAAUUUCCUAUUUGUUUAUUGGUCUGCACAAUGGAGAGACGUGCAUGGUCCUCAUGCAUGGCCAUGGAAUCCAUAGAUUUCAUGUCUUAAUGGAAGAAAGUAGAUGGACUCGGCUGCAUGGGCGUGAAAUGGAGUCUCUUGGCUCCUUCGCCGAGGGUACAUACUCAAUGGGGACGGCUAAAGUUUGAAUGAUAGGUAACUUGUCGACAUAUUAUUUGGAAUGAGCCUCAGUCUUGCUAGAACGUAAGAAAGAUUUUCGACGAGACUAUAAUUUAUUCUAUGAUCGGACCAUUACUAAACGUAACGUAUUGGUCCAACGAUGAAAAUGAAACGGUGUCCACAAAUGGUACAAAUGACAUAGUCCGACGAUACUUCCGUUGAUCUAUCACAGACUGUCACAUAUUCGAGGGUCAACAAAAAUCCGGAUGUCACAAUUCUCCCCUCCUUAGAAAAUUUCGUCCUCGAAAUUGGACAUUGCUCACGUAUCGUUAAAAAGAUGAGGGUACCUUUGCCGCAUUUCUUUAUUCACUUUCCCAUGUGGCAUCUUCCAUAUUAUGAUGUCGCCAUAAUAUCUUAACUAGUGAAAUUUUUUUUGUCCAAAGGACUUGUUCCUUUCGAGCCAGUACUCGAAUCAGCUCUUCCAAGUAUCUUACUUUCUCAUUCACUUUGAUGGCUUCAUGAUCGAUUAUGUGUCUAGGGUUAGGCUGAUACUUCCUCAACAUUGACACAUGGAACACAUCAUGUAAAUUUGCCAGCUUAGGAGGUAAUGCUAGCCGAUAAGCUACGUCUCCUAUUCUUUCAAGUAUCUCGAAGGGUCCAACAAAUCUAGGGCUCAACUUGCCCUUCCUCUCAAAUCGUGAUAUUCCUUUCAUCUGGGAUACUUUAAGAAAUACGUGAUCUCCUACGUUAAAUUCCAAGGGUCCUCUAUGAUAUAGCUAGUAUAAGUACCUAGAGGGGGUGAAUAGGUAUAUAAAAGAUUUUUCUUUGAUAAUUGCACAAUACUAGACAGUUGAUGGAUUUGAGACAAACAAUAAUCAAAGUAAGACUGAGAGAAGAGAAAAUUGAACACGCGGUUUAUAGUGGUUCGGCUUAUGUCAAGCCUACGUCCACUCUUCUGCACUGACAGCCUAUUGGCUGGAUUCCACUAUGAACAAAAGAGAAGUUACAGCACAUCUUUGCCUUGAUUCCACAGUGUAGAUGUUCUACCACACCUCCUCAAGAUUUCUCACAAAUAUAGACUCUCUUUUGUAUACAAGUAUUCGCUCAAAGGAAUUGUCUAAACAAAAAGGAGCUUCAGACUUUGGAAUUCUUCUAUCGCGCACACCUCGACAACUUAGAACGUCUUCCUUAUAUACUCUUUUAUGCCAUCAUACCCGUUGGCACUUACCAAAGGAAUUCCUCCAAUCUACCCGUUGGACAGAAUCAAUUAGGAAGAUUAUCCGAGCUAUUAAAGGAACGUGUCGAUAGCCCAUCAAUCCUGUUUGCCCAUACAAUCAGGAUCUCGGUUUCCAUAAGUAGAACCUUCCAAUAAUAUUUAGGCAAUCACCGGAUCUUCAAUUAUCGAGUCAAUCUUCGAUCAAUCAAAGGACUCCGUUAUGUCUUUUCCAGCCACGAGAUCUUCUCAAGUUGAUAAGGUUUAAUCCUUAACGAAACAUCCAGUUCUGGAUAACCUUUCUUCAACGGAUUAGAGACUGUCAAUGAGGAUAGACUUUGAGUCUUGAGUCUGGCUGUCCGGAGGUCUUCAGACUUUAAAUAGCAGAGUCUGCAAGCCUUCAGACUAGACUGAUGGAAACGUUUUGUCAGCUUCAAAACACUUCAAGAAGAUUUCUCCAACAAUCUCCCCCUUUUUGAUGGUGACAAAACUUUCCUGCAGAUUUGGAUAACUUUGACCUGCAAAACAUUUCUCAAACACAUAUGCAUAUCUUAUAGAGGUAAAUGGCUAAAUGAAUAACACUAGAAUCUACAACCACAGAAAAUAGGUUAGUCUAGUAUACGAUAAAGCCAUCCAUAAGAUAUCAAUACUAGUUAAUAGAAGCAGUCAAGUCCAAGUCUAGUUCAGUUCUCAUCCAGACACAAAGUCAAAUAGAGUUCAAACAACAAAACAAUCCAACAAACAGUCCAACAAACCACACGAUUAAAAGUUUAAUGAUUGAAAGUUUGUUCAAAUCUUGCAUCUCUCCUCCUUUUUGUCAGCAUUAAAAAGGAUGAGAUGAAGUCAAGAUUGCUUGGGAACGCGGACAAGCUGGAAAUCUUCCAUAGACUGAACGAUGCCUUCCAGCCUUUUCAAGUCUUCCUUCAGUUGUGCAAUCUCCUCACCCUUGGCAUUGGCCUGAAUCUAAACAGAGAGGGCUUGGAUCUUAUCAUUCAAUGAACAUGAAGAAACUUAACCCGCAUUCUGCAAGUUUUGAACCUCACAACCCAAGGCAUAAAUUUGACCUCGCAUCUCCAAGAGAAUAUCCAUGAUUCUGCGAAAAUCUGCUGUAUUAUCAGUCUGAGUACUUGCUUCGGCCCGAUCUGAUGGAGUAAAUGCAGACGAUGGUAGAUCAGCAUAAUUUCGCAGGUUUGGCGAUGAGACUUCAUGACCUUCUUCUGGAAACUGAGAGGCAUAAACAUCCUCUGGGUCUGCAGGUGAGCGAUUGACUCCUUCACUUGCAUCAGGAUAUGAAGACUUUCCUCCUUUCUCUUGAUCUCCCCCUAUUUCCAUGCCUACAGGUGGAGAAGAGAGUUCCUCAGGUUCUCCUUCUUCUCUUCUUUCUUCUUCAGGUCUUUCCUCCUCUGCUUCUUUUUCAGCUUCUCUUUCUUCUUCUUCCUUCUCCUCUGCUUCUUUCGUCAUUUGUUCCGAUUCUUUCUAUGGAACAGGACAACUUAAAUUCUUCAAAGCCAUUGCAGAGAUGGUGAUGUCUUCCUCAUCAUCUUCAUCCUCAACGAGGAGAGCUCUUCUUCUCUUGGAUGGAGCAACCAUGGGCUCCUUCCCUUUUCUUUUAGCUGCAGAAGAGAUUUGAUGAGUUUUGGCAGGAGUCUUCUCCUUGAAUUUCUCCAACUCCUUGCUCAGUUCCUUCAGACGCAUUUUGGUCACCAUUUUCAGUCCUACCACCAUAUGAUCGCAUGGUCGAACACAAAAGAUUUGCGGAGGCUGAAUAUUCAGAUGUCUGAAUAACUUCGUAACAAGGCUUGGGUAAGGGAGUUGACCUCUGUCCUUCAUCAUUGCUCUAUACAUGUGAAACAUAACAGUGUGAGGGAGAGAAAACUUUUUCCCAGAGAGGAUGGCAUACAUCAGCUUUGCCUCUAAACUUGAAACAUCAGUCUUGGAAGUUGAUUUCGGUCGGAGGCAAUUGAUCACAAUCUUGUGAAGCAAGAUGUUGAAUGCACUCAUCCUUAAGUAGGUGAUCUUCUCCUCUGUUCUCUUGUCCUUCACCAAUUCCAGUGUGGCCCGAGCAAUGGAAACUUUGAUCCGUUGAUAUCUUCCUCUUUCAACUCCUAACACAUCUGCCAGCAUAUUCAUAUCCACAACAUAGUCUUGGUCUUUAAUGCUGAAAGAGAAUCUAUUCGCAUCCAAAAAGCUAAGAUUUGAAUAGAAAUAUGCAGUUAAUUCAGCAUAGGCCUCUGUAGUGUCAGAGCAUAACUUUUCAAGUUGAAGAUAACUGAACUUUUCCCUCAAGUUCACAUUCACAGCAUCCAGAAAAUCAAAAUCCACACUCCUAGGGUUUAUUACCCCACGCUUCAGCAAUUUCGAGUACAGAUCCUUUUGUUCCUUCGAUCUGAAGAAAUCUCCCAUUUUUCCUUGAUUUUCAACCGCAACACCCAUUUUCGGUUGAAAUUGGCUGUACAAUUUGUCAUCAUCAUUCCCAUCUACAGGAUUCGGCCCCCAGUCAUGAGGAUCACUUGGGAUAUUCGCAAGGGUUUCCUCAGCCACCCCUUUACGAGCAAUUCCCAAACUUUCCAUUUUUCGCAGAAAGAUAUAUUCGUUCCCAUAUCCUUUGUCUUUAAGAAAAUCAUCAACACAGUUCAAAGGAGUACAAGUUCCUUUUAAGGAACGAUAUAGCUUGUAAAUAUAAGCGGGCUUUUGAACUCUUACAGGGUCUGCAUCCUCAAUGAUUUCUUCCUGUUGUUGAUGAUCAACGCCUUGAGGACUAGAUGGAGGAGAAUGACGCUGCUGAGAAUGUUGUGGGCUCGGUUGCUAUUCUGGAGACACUUCUUCUUCAGUAAGAUCGAAGUGCGUAGGCCCCUCACUCAUUCGCCGUGGUCCCCUGCUUGCGAUUCUCGAAGACUUUCUUGAAGAUGACAUCUUUCUCAGUUUUUGGAAGAUUCCUUGCUUGACUUUCCCAGGAAAGAUUACAACUUUUUGAAGAUUAAAGAAGACAAACGGGAAUGGAGGAUCGAUGCUUUCUAGGGUUUUUGAGAGUAAAGUGAAGAGGAAUCAACAGUGCACGAUCGGUUAAAAAGAGAUAAACGAACCGUCACAAAGGAAAUAAAAAGAUGCCUUUUAAAAAUAACUGUCUUUUUCCGCAAAAAUAGCCAUUUAAAAAAUAACUUCCUUUUUGAAAAUGAAACAAUGCAAUAAUUACAUUGAUUAAAUAUAGCAACAAUUUAAACACAGUCUGACGAUCGUACCUUUUCAAGAUAAGAUUAGAGAGAGAAAGACUUACAGUCUGACGGUUGUACCAAGACUAUCUUACAGAUAAAGUCUUGUAUCUCUGAGUCUGAAAGUCUUUAGACUUUGAUUUCCUCAUACCUCAAAAUGUUGAGUCUGGAACGGAUAGAUUCAAAUUGAUUUUUCUCCAAAGGCUUUGUGAAUAUAUUCGCUAGUUGGUUCUUUGAGUCAACAAAUUGAAUUGAAACAUCUCCAUUUUGAACAUGGUCUCUAAUAAAGUGAUGUCGAAUCUCUAUAUGCUUUGCUCUUGAGUGGAGAAUUGGAUUUUUGGUGAGGUUGAUAGCGCUGGUGUUGUCGCAAUUAAUCUCCGUGCAUGAGUCUUCAAUUUCAAAGUCUCUUAGCUGUUGUUUUAUCCAUAGAAUUUGCGAACAACAACUUCCAAGGGCUACAUACUCUGCUUCUGUUGUUGAAAGAGACACAGUGCUUUGUUUCCUUGAAAACCAAGACAUUGUCCUGCUUCCAAGCAACUGGCAAGUUCCCGAAGUGCUCUUUCUAUCAACUCUGCAACCAGCCAGAUCUGCGUCUGAAUAUCCCAGAAGAUUAAAGUCUCACUUCUUAGGAUACCAAAGACCGAUGCUUGAUGAUGAAGCAACGUAUUUAAUAAUACGUUUCACAGCACUGAGAUGGGAUUCUCUAGGAUCUGAUUGAAACCUAGCACAGAUGCAAACACUCAACAAAGUGUCAGGUCUAGAAGCAGUAAGAUAAAGAAGUGAACCAAUGAUGCUCCUGCACAGCUUUUGAUCAACUUUCUUCCCUUCUUCAUCUUUGUCUAUUCUUUCAAGUAUCUCGAAGGGUCCAACAAAUCUAGGGCUCAACUUGCCCUUCCUCUCAAAUCGUGAUAUUCCUUUCAUCUGGGAUACUUUAAGAAAUACGUGAUCUCCUACGUUAAAUUCCAAGGGUCCUCUAUGAUAUAACUAGUAUAAGUACCUAGAGGGGGGUGAAUAGGUAUAUAAAAGAUUUUUCUUCGAUAAUUGCACAAUACUAGAAAGUUGAUGGAUUUGAGACAAACGAUAAUCAAAGUAAGACUGAGAGAAGAGAAAAUUGAACACGCGGUUUAUAGUGGUUCGGCUUAUGUCAAGCCUAUGUCCACUAUUCUACACUAACAGCCUAUUGGCUGGAUUCCACUAUGAACAAAAGAGAAGUUACAGCACAGCUUUGCCUUGAUUCCAUAGUGUAGAUGUUCUACCACACCUCCUCAAGAUUUCUCACAAAUAUAGACUCUCUUUUGUAUACAAGUAUUCGCUCAAAGGAAUUGUCUAAACAAAAAGGAGCUUCAGACUUUGGAAUUCUUCUAUCGCGCACACCUCGACACUUAGAACGUCUUCCUUAUAUACUCUUUUAUGCCAUCAUACCCGUUGGNNNNNNNNNNNNNNNNNNNNNNNNNNNNNNNNNNNNNNNNNNNNNNNNNNNNNNNNNNNNNNNNNNNNNNNNNNNNNNNNNNNNNNNNNNNNNNNNNNNNCUUACCAAAUGAAUUCCUCCAAUCUACCCGUUGGACGGAAUCAAUUAGGAAGAUUAUCCGAGCUAUUAAAGGAACGUGUCGAUAGCCCAUCAAUCAUGUUCGCCAUACAAUCAGGAUCUCGGUUUCCAUAAGUAGAACAUUCCAAUAAUAUUUAGGCAAUCACCGGAUCUUCAAUUAUCGAGUCAAUCUUCGAUCAAUCAAAGGACUCCGUUAUGUCUUUUCCAGCCACGAGAUCUUCUCCAGUUGAUAAGGUUAAAUCCUUAACGAAACAUCCAGUUCUGGAUAACCUUUCUUCAACGGAUUAGAGACUGUCAAUGAGGAUAGACUUUGAGUCUUGAGUCUGGCUAUCCGGAGGUCUUCAGACUUUAAAUAGCAGAGUCUGCAAGCCUUCAGACUAGACCGAUGGAAACGUUUUGUUAGCUUCAAAACACUUCAAGAAGAUUUCUCCAACACUCUACAUUUAUUUGCGUAGCUUUUCUUUUACCCAUUUCGUUUCAAUAAACGGGAAUUCUAUGAGUUUAACCGUGCUUCCGCUGCACUACUUUGAUAAAAUUAUCCUAGAAACAUUGCCCAUUCCAGUAUGAUGCAUAGUUCGGUUCAUUCCUAUCCCCUUUUGCCAUCCUAGAAGCCUGCCAGGAGCCACUCCUUGCUCAAGUCCUCUGACUUAGGCGUCCACUCCUUGCCCUCAUCGGACUGAGUUGUUAUAGGCCCACCAGCUUUCGCUUGGUUCGAACCCGAACUACACAUCUAUUGAAGGGGUCUCGUUUCGAUAGAGACUAACUUAUAGAGAUAUUAUCCGCUUGGCCUAUCCCGCACUAAGCCUCAUGGUUUUAUUCUUGGCACAUGGGUAAGUAUUAUCGCAAGAGAUCAUCCAUCCUAGUCCGUUGCUUACGGAGCUAGUCCAUUCCCACGAUGAUGUCAAAGUCAUACAUAACUAUCACUAUGAAGUCCAUUUUUAGAUCUUGUCCCCUUAUGGUUAUCUUAUGCUUCUUACAUACUAAAGUGGACAACACCAUAUUCUUUAACGGUGUAGAAACACAAAGAGGAGUCUCAAGAGAUGUAGUUUCUAUCUUACUUAAUUGUCCAUACCUUUCAGACAUAAAAAAAAAUGCGUAGCAUUUGUAUCAAACAACACAUAUGCCUUUUUGCCAUUUAUAGAAAUCGUACUUGAGAUAACAUUUUUGGAAGCUUCCACUUCCUCUUGGGUGACCGCGUACACCCGUCCUUGUGUUGAUGGCCUCUGUGGAUUCCUUGGUGGAUGUGGUCCAGUUGCACGGUGCUACACUUGUCACAUCGAGCUGACAUUCGGCUACGACUCAUCUUGUGGACAAUUUCUCUUAAAAUGUCCUAUUUGCCCACAACCAUAACAUCUCAGUUGGCUAUUGCAAGGUCCUGGCCUAUGUUGUCCACCACACCUCUGACAAGUAUUACUUUGGUAGGGUACUUUCCCUAAAGUUGGGCCACUCUUGACUUUUCCAAAAUUCCCAAAGUUACUCUUUUUCUUAGAUUCCUAAGGCUGACCUUGAUCAAGAUAGGGUCUCUUAGCUCGUCAGACAUCACUAAAGGUCAAUUGCCUCCUACACUCUGAUUACUCUCUUGUUAAUUCCCACUCCACCAACUGUGCCAUUUCAUAAAUUUCAUUAUAAUCCCUCAUAUUCAGAGGCACUAGUUGUUUCCUAAUAUCAGUUCUUAGCCCCUUCAAGAAUCUCUUAGCCUUUUCCUCUCGAUCCUCAAUCAAUCUAGGAGCGUACCUAAACAAUUCAUAAAAUUUGGCUUCAUAUUGGUCUACCGUCAGCUCCCUUUGUUCUAAUUAAACAAAUUCUGUGAUUUUCAUCUUUGGCACAAUCAGAGAAAUGCUUUCUAUUGAAAGCUCUAACAAACUCAUCCUAAUUUAUGUUAGUACCAGGUGGAAAGAUCAUGUCUCUUGAAGCUCUCCACCAAAAUUUUGCAUUUCCCUCCAAUUAAUACUCUGCCAAAAUUAUCUUCUCAGCAUCAUUAUAGUUCAACAACCAGAAAAUCUUUUCUAUUCCCUCAAUCCAUUGUUCCGCCUCCUCAGGAUUUCCCAUUCCAGUAAACUUAGGUGGUUUCAACUUCAGGAAUUGUUCCACCAAUCCUUGAGUACGGUGUUCUGCUCCGAGUUGUUGCUAAGCUUGUCUUUCCAUCAAAUUUCCUAUAUUGGCCAAUGCCUGUAGGAUAUCUUCCAUAUGGGGUUUAGCCCUUGAAGCAGAGGCUUCGGCCCUUGGUGGGUGAGAACUCCUAGUUCGCACCAUAUCUUCCUGCAGUUUACCCAACAUUUGCCUUAGGAACAAUUAGUGAUCCAAUGUCACUAGUCAAGUAAUAAAAUAAAGGUGUUUCUAAAGUCACAUAAGUAACAUAAAAUGUUACUUGCACGCAAAGGUAACUCACAAUCGUUACCUGUAUUUUUACGAGUGAAAAUCAAUCACCCGUUGUUCAUAAUUAGUCAACUACCCUUGGUUAGUAUCUUAUAGUGUGCAUCAUUAUCUCCUCAUUUCCUAUUAAUGCACCUUAUCACUCCAAAUAAAACCAUAGCUCUGAUACUACUCGAGCUACCCCCCCCCCCCCCCAACGACCCCUGAUCUGUUAGGGCCACAUAUCACCAACUUUCUCUCAACCUAAAAGUCUGAUACUCUAAUACCAAAGGAUUUCGAUAAAUCCAUGAGUUUUGGGGGUCUAUAUCCUUUCCAUUGGUCCCUGCGCAAAAUAUGGCUAAAGCAUAUCCAAUAUCUCCCUUCCCUAUAUUUAGAAAACGAUGCACACCAACUAAACAUCUUUAUAGGUAAUUGCUAGACACUUUUAUUGACAUACAACUAGAUGGACAAUCGUUAGUCGAUACAUCAAAAUGCCGUAGUUUUCUAUACUCGGCCAUAAUUCAAAAGAUACCCAACAUUUCCAACAGUUACAAACAUAAAGUCCAUUGUUUAGUGUCAACCUCCAAAAAUUUCUUCCUCUACUAACCCCAUCUCAUGGUCACACCUAGCCACUCGGUCUGUUUGUUGGUGGCGGUGGCAGUGGCCCCACCGUUCGUCCAUACCAACAGACAAAGACGACGAUGUACUCCUAGAGUACAAGGCUGGUGGGAAGACCGGUAUUGAACAACAUAAUGACUCUCACCCCUACAAACAUCAGUCCUCGCACCUCAGGGUCCUAAUACUUCGACCGCUCCCACUAUAAGUCGAUGGGGAAUCCAUAGAAUGUACAGGGAGGUGCGGGCAGCAGAGGCAACUUGUCUAGUCUGAAAUAUUAGUCCCCAAAAAGGUGAGUACAAUCACCAGUAGCGAAAGAUCUACUAAACUAUAUCGUGUAGAACCAUCACAAUCUAAUUUCAUGCAAAAUUCAUAAAACACAUAACCAAAGGAAUGAGUAUGCAUCAAAUCAAUGGAAUUUUUCCAAGUGAUAACAAGUGCAGUUUCAAAACUAGAACACAUCAUUUCAAUCACAGGGUCCCGAUUAUACGACCAAAAUAUUAUAACACGUCCCAUUCCGUGCCACACAAUUUUGUUUCAUAAUCCGGCGCAACUUAGCAGUACUUUCAGUUUUAAAACUCAAAAGAUUUUUCUUCCGGAGGAUAAGUGUUUGCGUCCUUCCAGGCAUUCGCACCCAACUUAGCAUCACAAAAGCCUCCGGUUCCAUAUUUCAAUCACUGAGCAACCGGAGCGUGUCAUGUCUCACCUACAGGCAUCUUGCACCUCACCCAGCAUCACGAGGAAUCUCCAGGACUAACCACGGCAAUGGUUGCCCCUACCCUCCGAAAUAUGUAUCGUCAUACAUCUGGGCAUCUCGACACUCUCGGGGAACCUUUGGGGCUCACUGGUCCCCAGGCAUCCAGAGGCAUCGACCCCUACGAUCCUAUGGGCAACCCGACUCCUGGAGUAUUGUUGACCCGAGGGUCCAACAGCAAGAAUGACACAUCAAAUUAUUUCAAUACCAAAACAUUUUCAAAUCAUUGACAUCUGAAAUUCCUUGAAUUUUUUAUCGAAAUUUGAGUAUUGAAUGAUUUAUUGAAUGCCAAAACCAUCGUUUCUAGGUAAUAAACCAAGAUUCCUUCACCCUUGAGAUAAAUUUGAGAAAACUCGGAAUAAAGGCAACCAAAAUCAGAAUGUAUAGUUUCAGUAAUAAUUUUGGAAGAACCAAUAAAUGAACUCAGAAAAUUCUAAAUUUUUAGUAUGUUAUAAAUAAGACCUAAGGGAAAUAAUUUCAUGAAGGACACUAAGCCUAAUUAGUCAUGUACAGAGAGCAGUAAAUCACACAACUCCGCAGCAGAUUUCUUCCAUUGACCAGAAUUCACACUCCAGCAGAAAAAGCACCGAACACUAAAAUAAGGUCGGAAAAUCUGGCAAAAAUAUGUCCUAAUUUAAAUAAUUUCUCACAACUUCCAUCCAUGAAGAAGUCAGGACCAAAUUCAUACUAGAAAUCUCUGUAGAAAUUUACAAAGCUACAGAGUUGCACACGAAAUGUUCUGGGCAGUAUGUAUUCAGUAGAAACCCACGCCCACACCUUGGCUACCUUACUUCCAAAGUCCACCAUAAUCUGUUUUCGAUUGAAGUUCAAAGGAAUCCAAAAAACACAUAGAAAUCCCGAGCAUUUCCUCAAUCCCCUAAUCCCAGUCUACCUCAAUCAUUCAAAAAUUCAGUAUCCAACAUCCAAACUCAAAUAUUUUCAAAUCUAACUGCACUACAUCAGACAACAACAGCAUUGCAUUACAUAGGCUAGUAGACUUUCACUUGCCUUAAAUCCGACGGUGUUGACGGCGAGAAAUCGAGAAGCUCGCGGUCACAGACACGGUUGGCAACAGCAAGUGUGAGCGGGCGGCGUCGGCAGCGCGUGUGCACGGGCGGAGGGGGCAACCUCCUUUUCCUCUCACUCAUGCUCGCUGCUUUCUCUCUCACUCGCUGCUCUCUCUCUCUCUCUCUCUCUGCCCUAUUUUGCUCGGUUAUUCUCUCUCUUGCUCUCAUUUCCGAGCCAUUUUGUUCCUUCGUUGGUUUACUUCAUGGGUCAACAAAGGUAAAUUCUCGGUGGCUGCGGAAAGAACGGAUAGCUGCAUCUACCCGUGUCCAUGCGUAAGAGUCUCUUUUGACUUUGCUGGUGCUACCUUGCUUCCCCAUGCAAGGGACGUGUCCUUAGCAAAGCCACAUUCUCCCUUUUUGCUAUCCACCGAAGGAAGAGCUACAUGGCUCUUGGUCAACAAUCAUCUCCCAUAGUUGACCAGCUGCAUGGAAUCUCCACGAACGUGCAUGGAAGAUGGGUGACGUGAAUGCAUGGCCGGGGAAAUAGGGUCUUCGAGCAGCAUGGGCCGCAUGGGUCAAUUUCCUAUUUGUUUGCUGACCCGCACAAUGGAGAGACGUGCAUGGUCCUCAUGCAUGGCCAUGGAAUCCAUAGUUUUCAUGUCUUAAUGGAAGAAAGUAGAUGGACGUGGCUGCAUGGGCGUGAAAUGGAGUCUCUCGGCUCCUUCGCCUAGUGUACAUACUCAAUGGGUACAGCUAAAGUUCGAAUGAUAGGUAACUUGUUGACAUAUUAUUUGGAAUGAGCCUCAGUCUCGCUAGAACGUAAGAAAGAUUUUCGACGGGACUAUAAUUUAUUCUAUGAUCAGACCAUUACUAAACGUAACAUAUCGGUCCAACGAUGAUAAUGAAAUGGUGUCCACAAAUGGUACCAAUAACGUAGUCCGACGAUACUUUCGUCAAUCUAUCAUGGACUGUCACGUAUUCAAGGGUCAACAAAAAUCCAAAUGUCACAAUUGGCCACUAGUUGUUUUUAUCGUCUCAAUGAGAACUAUGACCCUGCACUAUCAUAAAUGAGUUUUGAUUCACUGAAAAUCAAAAAGGGGGGCGAACAGUGCGGGCGUGUUGGGAUUUCCAUCCCCGAGCAUCCGACUGUAAUGUUUCUCAAAAUUUCAACCAAAAACAAUUUAUAAACAUCGACAUUGAUCAAGAAACAUGAACAUCAUUACUCUGAUACCAAUGUAGGAAACGAAUUUCUAUAAAUCGAACUGAUACUCGAAUGAUCAAAUACUGAAAAAUGAAUGUGGAAACGAGCCUGGGAAACAUGUAAGAUUGAUCAAAAGUAUAUCACGGAGACAGAUAUACCUUGGUUGCUAUAGAUUAAGUACCAUCGCAGUCUCAGAGGAAUCAUUUGAAGCCUUGGAGUUCCGUUCUUUAAGAGGAAGUAUAUUGUUUCAAGAGGAAGAAAAAUGGAGAAGCGUAUUUUUUCUGCGUAUUUUUUCUUUGGAACACUACGGGUAAUGUUAUCCCAUUUUAUUUUUUAUUUUUUAUAUUGUAGUUAUUUUCACUUAGAAAAUAACUGUCCUUUCAUCUUAUGAGCCCUUCACUUACGGGCCAGAUUUUGACCCAACAUAAGCGAACGGGCUUAACUUGGUUCAUCAAAUAAAAAACCAUCCGAUGCUAAUUUAGUUUUGUUAGUGAAGUAGAGUUGAAAACAAGCUUAUCAAGCACUUUAUUAAGUUCGACUUGAGCUAAAAAAAGGACCUUUCGUGUUGAAUCAAGUAGAACUCACAAGCAGUUUAGAGGUCAAUCCCUCUCAAUUCGACUAUAUCCCUCUUUUAACUAGUUGCACAACUUGAUGCAAUAAAAAUUUUCAUGUCUAAUUCGUUACGUGCAGCUAUACAUUCUCUGAUUAUAAUUAAUUGUAGAAAAAAAUCAUUUUAUGAAGAGUAAGGAAUUGACUUAUCCCAUUUCCUUUUUCUCUUGGGGUUUAAUGUGGUUGGCAACACGGUGCUCUCGCGAGAUUUGUUGUACCCAAAAUCGAAGGAUGUGCUCGAGUUCUACGAUGCCAUGAACCGGGUCGCGGAGUGGGCCGGCAAGCCUAACGUAGCCGACUUCAUGCCGUGGUUGAAAUGGUGGGAUCCACAGGGGAUCAAGACAAGCAUGGCAAAGGACAUGGGUCGAGCCAUGAAGAUUGCGGAAGGCUUCAUGAAAGAGAGGUUGGAGGAGCGAAAGCUAAGGGGAGAGAUGAGGACGACGAAUGACUUCUUGGACGCGUUAUUGGAUUAUGAGGGCGAUGGAAAAGAAGAUCCUCACAAAAUCUCCUCCCAGAACGUCAACAUAAUCAUUCCGGUAAGUUUGCUCCUCCCUUGCACGUCCAACACGGCCUCACAGUUUUGAUUAUCGAUUACCAUCUUAGAGAUAUUAGGUCAAAUUCAGUUUAUUAAGUGGUGCAGUUAACUUAAUUGACAUUGAAACAAGAUCACAUCACACGUCAAGGACACGUUUUAGUAUUUAAUAUUAAAGUAAGGGUGGCGCUAUUGUCACCCCUCAUAUGAUUAAAUUCACUCACUUUGCACCAAAAAGACAAAAUUGCUCUUAAUCAUUCAAUUAGUAAUUUAAGGUGGUAGCUCAAACUUAUUUAUUUUCCUUCUUUUUCUUGUUUUUCUUCUUUUACGUAGGAUCUAUUUAUCAUAAUCUAGAUUUAACAUGUUUCAUUUUGGUUUAUUGUGGGUAUCCCAUGUAUAUGAAAGGCACUAAGUUUUCACUUUAUUAUUACAAUUUACUUAUGUAGACAUUAAUUUAUUCAUGAAGAAAAUUUUCCAAUAAAUCAAAUUCUUUUUAACGUUGUCUAACAAUUUAGUUGAUUAAUUGACUAGAAAAAUUUUAACACAUACACUUUCUUAACGCAAUAACUUAUUUAUAAACUUUAACAUUUGUUGUGCAUGUCACCAUUAAAUCAUUUAUUGUCAGUUUGCACACAUAUACGGAUAAUGGGAUGGUUGAUGAAAAAAAGAAGAAGAAAAAGCCCCUGUAAUUUUUUUUUGAAAUAAAUUCAUGAUCGCAUUCUCCAAUGUGAAACUUAAAAAGAUAAAAUGUAAUUAAAUCACAGUACUAAUUAAAUAAGAAAUUUUUUUUAUAAAAAUUCAAGUGAAGUCUCAUCAUAUUGGAAUAACAAAAAUUAAUAUCAUCCAUUAAGCUUAGUUUGGGAAAAUGACAUCCCAUUCUGGCAGGCAAUAAGAAAAUAACUCUUUCUAUAUCACCAAACAAAUGAAAACUAAACAUUUUCCUUGAAAAUACUUUUCCAAGAAAGUAUUUUCCUUCAUCAUGAAAUUUUUGGAGAAACAGCGGCACCCUAAAUGUGUAUCAUGGAGAUGGCCCAUCUGGGCUCUUAUCACAUCCUGCUAAGCUGUAAUUCGCAGUAGUAUCACUCGAAAAAGAAGAUCACGACUAGGAUUCUUCAGUCACUAAUACAACAAAAUUUAGACUUUAAAGACCGAAUCAGGAAGUGAUAAGAUUAAGGAACAUAUGGUGAUUGAUGAAUUAACUAAAACACGACAAUUUGGCAUCCUUGAAUUCAACAAUGAGAAAUUUCACGCAUCCGUUCAAAUAGCAAACCUUUGAUUUCAUUCAAUGAUAUCCACUCUAUACAAUGACCAUAGAGAGGAAGAGGAAAGAAAGCAAGAGACUGGGGUUACUGGCCUAGGAAAAAUACCAGAACAAAUAUUAAUUUCCGUUGUGACUGCACUAAUCACUUGCACAUAUUUUCUGGUCAAAGAAUAUGACAUGCGCAACUCAUAUUUUGACCAAAGCACACAUUAGUACAGCCAAAUGGGUACUUUCUAAAAUAGUUAAGACUAUUUCACCAUACUCUUUGCAAUGCACUAGAUCCACUACACAAAAUCAUAUAUAGAAGUGCAAGCAUGCAAAAGAACAAAAUGCAGAGUCACAGCCACUAGCCUCAAGCUUUAAGCUUGAUCAAACUACUUGAACCAAACUUCAGCAACGUAAACAUCUUCAUGCACAGAAAUGUAUAUUACUUUGCUUUUUAUUACACGGUGGCUCUCUCGAGCAAAUUGGGGAAAAAAUCAAUUUUAAGUUUUUGGAAAGAAGAGGACUGCUACCUGAAUUGAGAACUGUUGGAGAAAUCUUAGUGAAAGUGUUUUGAAGUUGACAAAACGUUUCCAUCAGUCUAGUCUGAAGGUCUGCAAACUCUGUUAGUUAAAGUCUGAAGACUUCCGAACAUCCAGACUCAAGACUCAAAGUCUAUCCUCAUUGACAGUCUCUAAUCCGUUGAAGAAAGGUUAUCUAGAACUGGAUAUUUUGUUCAGGAUUUAACCUUAUCAUCUGGAGAAGAUCUCGUGGCUGGAGAAGACGUAUCAGAAUCCUUUGAUUGAUCAAGUUUGAUUCAAUGAUUGAAGAUUCGAUGAUUGUCUAAAUAUUAUUGGAAGGUUCUACUUAUGGAAACCGAGAUCCUGAUUGUAUGGGCGAACAAGAUUGAUGGGCUAUCAACACGUUCCUUUAAUAGCUCGAACAAUCUUCCUAAUUGAUUCUGUCCAAUGGGUAGAUUGGAGGAAUUCCUUUGGUAAGUGCCAACGGGUAUAAUGGCAUAAAGGAGUAUAUAAGGAAGACGUUCUUAGUUGUUUGAGGGGUGCGCGAUAGAAUAAUUCCAAAGUCUGAAGCUCCUAUUUGUUUAGAUAAAUCCUUUGAGCGAAUACUUGUAUACAAAAGAGAGUCUAUAUUUGUGAGAGACCUUGAGGAGGUGUGGUAGAACAUCUACACUGUGGAAUCAAGGCAAAGCUAUGCUGUAACUUCUCUUUUGAUCAUAGUGAAAUCCAGCCGGUGGGCUGUCAGUGCGGAAGAGUGGACGUAGGCUUGGAAUAAGCCGAACCACUAUAAAUCCUGUGUUCAAUUUUCUCUUCCUCACUCUCUCUGCCUCGAUCGUAUUUCAUUUUGUUAAUUAAGAGAGAAUUUACUUUCUAUCAUAUGUUAAGAAUCGCUUCCGUAUAUCAAUAAAUUGUUUAGGCACCUAUUCACCCCCCUCUAGGUACUCAUACUAGCAAUAUCAAGAACUCCACAGGUGCUUUAACAGAAAAAUAGAUGCUCACCUGCAUUUAUGGAAGACACGGUAACAAAGAGAAAACAUAGUGGCUGUUUCUUAUGCCUCACAAUAUUGAACAGGAUAACCUACUAUUUGACUAAAAUUAGACAAGAGUUUUGAGCUGCUAAUUCUGUAAAGUUCUAUAUGAUUGUAAGAGAGAAUAAAAGGAAUAUUUAGAAGUCCCUUAUCUGCAAACAGCAGUAAAACUGAAGUGCCAGUCUUCUCAUAUAAUUGAAAACUACAAAUGGGCAGAUAAAGUCAGCUUUUCCAAAUUGAACAGCUGCCUAUUGAAUAAUAUGAUUCAGAUUCAUUCAGAGACAGCCCAUUCCAGUCUCACAUUGCCUCAUAGAAAGAAGAACAUGUAUAAGACAGACAUACCAAGCCAGGCAAUCUCUCAAAUUGAAAGUUCAACUAUUUAGUACAUGACGACCAUAAAAGAAUGAAAUAUACAUUUUGAAGAGGUAUUCAAAAAGCACACAUUACAUUUCUGCACCUCUCUCCGAAACUAAAGUCUUACAGGUACAGCAAACUAUUUGCAGCAGGAGAGCAACAAAGUCACUUUUCUACUGUAAGCCAAAAGGACUUUAGCAAGUUGUAGGAAAGAAACUUACAGAUUUAGGAUCAAUGGAUAUCCCAGACAAUGACGCCCCAGCAAUUCUAAAAGACACCUACAAUCAUGCAAACAGUAGCUCAUAACAGAAUUUCCCACAUCAGUUAUGAGAGAUAAAAAUGUGAAGCACUAGUUGAAAUGGGAAUGUAAAACCAAGCACUAGUAGUGCAUCAACAGUAAACCUAAUAAAACAUCUCGAGUAAUCCUCUCUAGAACAUUUGCUAUCUUGCAACCAAAUUGCUGAUGCCAAACUAUUUUGUAGCGUGCCGACUCUAAGACAUCUCUAACAAAGGUCCUCUAUGAUAAUUACCCACCUGACAUAUCAACCAACAGAAGACACAUGGGAUUGGCUGUAUAAGUAGUUCAUGAUGAAUGGGUUUCCUUUUCCAUUCACACUACGAACAAGUAUAGUUAGUUGAACAGUCCAGUACCAUCAAGAGUGCACCAACAUAGUUUCAAGUAGACAAACAAUACUAAGCUAAGAAAACCAUUUCAUGAAUACCUAUCCUGGGAAGAAUGACUAUGGUUUCUCUUGGCAGAAGAAAGACAACCAGUGAACUCCACUUUGUAAGAAAGGUACAGCUUUUGUCUAUACCCACAGAACCACAUACAUGAAGCCAUAAAUGCAUGAUGCAUCACAAGAAAAUAAACUAUGUACUAACACCCAAGUGAGCUCAGACAUUCAUACUUUAGCAUAAUUGUAUGCCUGUCAACAAAAUGGUUCCUCUAAAUCAACUGGAGGGAGAUCCUUGGUCAUUUUCCCCAUCAGAAAUUAUCAUAUUAUUGCUGUGUCAACAUCACUGUCUUCCUCUGCCAUGCUUCCGAAAAAUGAUUUUGUAAAAGGUAACCUUUGGAUUUGCCAUGGUGCAAACUUAACUGUCCCCGGGAAGGUAGCUUCAAUGCUUUUUCUAACAAGACCCCGUCCACUUACCAAAAGUUUCCACUCAACAGAAUGCUCUGUAGUUGAAAUAGUUCCGACUGAAGGAGUUCCAUCCACAGCAAUAAUCCUCCUAGGAAAAGGCAUUGUUAGAGUACAGAACUCCAUUGUCAAAGGACUUUACCAAAAAAGAAAAAAAAUCCAUUGCCAAAGGAGCCUUGUAACCUUCAAUCAAGCUUAGUCUGAACAAAAAUGCAUCUUCAUCUUCAAAAACCAUUGACAAUUGAUAGAAUCCCUUUAUGGGAAGUCCAAGCCCACAGGAUGCUUGAUAAUGCAUCAGGACAAAAUUACCUAACAGUGGUGAAAACAUCACUGACUGCUUAUCCGCCCCCGGUUCUGGAACUUGAGCAGAUGGAUGGAAUGAUAAAGAUUCAAUGUGGCUGCUAUUCAGUCCUGUCAAAGGAAGGGACACAUCAGGCAGUCCUUCUAAUUCUGCUCGACAAUUAACCUGACCUGAAACUGAAAUGCUGUCUGGAAUUUCAUCACGAUCAUACAACGCAGCAGCAACAGUUUCAUGAAUAGUAAAAAGUAUUUUCUGCUUCCCCUGGUAAAGAUAUGGCUUCCAUGCAGGCUGUUUGACAUCUGCAGGAGGCAGAUCUGCUGAAGAAAACCCAUUAAGCUUGAUGGAGAAAAUAUUGGAAGCAUUGAGUUCCAAAGGGGUACAUAUAUUUAAAGAAUAGAAACAAAUAAACCAUUAGUCUAUCCUAGAAAGAGGAAAAGCACAGGUCAGAAGAAAAAGGCGAUAAAAGCAGCUGCCAUAAGCGGGGUAAACAUCACUGACCAAAGGGCAUUGAGCUACUAAUAUAAGUCCUUAUUGCAUCCUUAUUCAAUGGCCUUGAACCAACUUUCAAAGCAUCUGAUGAGACAGCACCAACAGAAGUGUAAAUGAUUGUUCCUGGAGGCUAUCUACAUCAGACACAUCAGCAAAAAACAUGCAAAUGCAGUUUUGACAUAGGGAAUUAAUAGAAGUAUUCAAUAUGUGUAGAAAUAUAAGCAAAAAUACAAGUAAACUCAUCAAGCGAAACACCAAGAGGCUCUCAACUCGUUGUAGUGACAUCUUGACAAACCUCUUCUUUCUCUCUGCAAAUGAAGACACCAACCCUGAAUCAGACGGCAAAUACGGCGAUGCCAUGCCAUCAACACUGCCACCAUUGUGCUCAAUCUCACUUUUGCAAGCCGCCCGCCACUGUUUCGAACACAAAAACGAAAACCCACGAGAGAGAGCGACCUGGAGAAGACGACGGCGUCGUGGCUGUUGAGGAUCCAGAGAGCUCUGAUGCCGCAACCGGUGGGCAUGGUUUCGGUAGCCUUCUUCUACGACUGCGGUCAGCUUUCGCCGGAUCGGAAGAGAAAGGGAAAGAAACUUGGACGACGUUGAGAUUGAAACUUUGAUUGAAGAACGGUUAAAUGACAAGCCGUUGCGCUGAGCAGAGGGACUCGCGCGACUCGGUAGCUCUUUGUUGUUUUCACCAUUUUCUUUGGUUAAGGAUCUGAUCCGUUUCCCUUUGCUUGGCCAGGUGGUGUCUUGGUAAAUUUUCUCGCACCAGGGGUUAAAUAUAUCUUUUCGAUUUAGUCAAAAGACAAAUUAUCAAGGUCGGGAUUAGGAAAUUUUGGAAGAAUUACUCUUCUAUGGUACGGCCUAAAUAGUUAUUUUGAUGGAGAAUUAAACUUGAGAUUUCACGCUUUUUGAGACAUAACAUAUUGAUCGCUCUUAUGAUACAUAUUUAACUUUUUAAUUAAAUUCAUGAUUUAAAAGGCACGGGUGCAUCGCAUUGAAUAAGCCGAUUCAUUCAUGGGGCUUGAAUAUGACUUAGCUCGCCUUAUGAAAGUUUGCUCAAGCAAAUAAUGCUAAAGGCAUUUAAAUGCUCGAACAAUUAUCAGAAUGAGCGUCAUAAAUCGAGGGGUAAAAAAUAAAUAUCCAAAGGUUAAGUUAAGAGCAAUAACAAUUGAACAUUAGACGGGUAUGAAUCUAUGUAGUCAUGUUGCAAAUAAACUAAAGGGACAAAUGCAUGAAGUCCGACAAUGACCAAAGGAUGGGAGAUAACUACACAGAAUAAUCGAGGUACGAAAUAUGCUUGUGCCAUAUGAACAUAUUUUAUUUCCUUUAUGUGAUGCUUUUGUUUGUUUGACUUGAUCUCUCAAUAUAAUGAGAUGCAAGCAAGAGGAACUCUCUUCGUCGCUUGAACUUCGGCAUGCACGUCUAUUAGCAGUGGACCAUUAUGUGAAAAGUAUCUUACAAAAUUGGCCCGAUUGUUUGGGAUAUGAGGGGCUUAUCAGCUCAAAAAUUGUCACUAUCCAAAUCCUAUCAACUACAUGCAACUACUUUUAGUCAAGGCCACCUGCAUAGGCUAAAAGUCUAAGCUUUUAGGAUAUUUCAUGGGUCUUUAAGUAGCCGAGCUCUAUGCUUGUGUACCUGAAUUGUGAAAAAUGGUAUGCAGUCGCCCUAAACAAUGUUUUGAUAUGUCUGUAUCUAGUGGAGAGAACUACACUUUUAUCAUUUUGAUGGAUUACUGGUAAUGUAGAAGCUCCAAUCACAUGAUGAUGUAUAGUUAAAACUAGAAGUGAUAGGCCAAAAUAACAAGACUUCCUUAAGGAUUACUUAGGAGUACAUCUUGUGCAAGCUUUGGUCUUUUAGGGGGUGCCUGACAAACUACAAUUAUUAUUCCAAAAACAAUUUAACUAUUCUAGACUUGUUUUUCGAUAAAAUUAUUUCAUUUUUCUAUUUCUGAAAUAGAUUUUUAUUUCAGAAAUAGAUUUAGAAUAGAAAUUAGAAUUAAAAUUAGAAUCAAAAGUAUUUUUUUUUUUUACUUUUCUAUUUUUGGAACAGAAAUGAGAAAUAAAAAUUAUUUCUAUCGUUCAUCCUUCGUCCAUCCGUCGCCGCCGACCAUCGUUCGCUGGUUGCCGUCCAUGGCCACCGCCGUUCGCUAGUCAUCGGUUGCCGCCAUCCGGCGAUUGUCGCCGCCAUCCGACAAUUGCCACCGUCAUCCACCGGUAGCCUGCCGUUGGCCGCCAUCCCAAAGAAAGAAAUUUUGUGUUGUUAUCAAACAAAUUUCUAUUUUUAGAGUAUAAAUUUUGUGUUAUUAUCAAACAUAUAUUUUUGUUUAAAAACUCAUCUAAAAAUAGAAAUAAAAAAAUCUAUUUCUAUUUCAAAUAUCAAUUUCUGGCAAGAAUGGUUAUCAUUCGCAAAACCUUUUGUGUAUCUCAUUAUUCUUUUUUAGCUAAUACAAGGCAGUCAAAAUAUCGACAUAGUAUAUUUACAUAUUUUUUGUAGAUAUAAUAUACUAAUGAUUAUUUCAUAACAUGGAUUUAUUCUGAAAAUCCAUGUUUGAUUACUUGAUCCCAAUUAAAAUAAUUGUUUCUAUUACAGUAAAUUUUGAUUUGUUAGGCAACAUUUAGAAUGGGACGAAAAAAUAUACCCAGACAAUAAUAGAGCAACCAUAAUGGAAGACUAAUUGUAGAUUGAUCAGAGCUGGCCCCAAAUUCAUUCACACUUAUUUUUUUUUUUUUGGUAAGGUAAUUCAUUCACACUUUUAGGACCUUGAGCCUUCGCUAAUGCCCAAUUGGAGGAGAAAUUCUUGCUUUUAGGAUGGAUUUGCCUACGCCGGUUAUCACUUUUUUCCAGUAAUUAUCAUCAUAAAAUAUACAAAACUUAGUUAAAUAAAUUAAUGAGUCAUUUGAUAGACGCUAUAUAUAAGUUAGUGUUAGAUUAAGAAUUGACGUGAGUAGGGCAACCGCUUGUUACGAUGUGUAGGGCAACCGCUUGCUUCCUUUCCAACGGUAACUAUAAUUUUAUGCGGGAUUAAAGUAAUUAAAGCUACUGAAUAUCUUGACGAAGUAAUUACUCGCUGAAAGAAUAACCAAGGCAACCUGAAAACAGAUGCCUUUGUCGAAGUUAUAUCAAGUCCAAGCAGGCUAAACAACCAAACAAGCAAAUCCCUUCCUUUAAGCCGGGAUCGGAUGAUUUUUCAGAUUCUAUGUGAACACAAAGUUCAAGAAAUAUAGAUCUUGAAGGAACAACGUCGACAUCAAAUUUUCCUCACCUUGCAAAUACCUGCAUAUGGGGUACAAACAAGGAUAUGUCCCAAACUAUCAGCGAUUUGUCCAUGUUCCCCAAUAGAAUCAAUUAUCGAAGCCCAAUUUGAACGAAAUUAUACAUGUAAAUUCUGGGAAAAAGGGUCCACAUACCUACAGAAACAAAAAGUGGAAAAUUUCUAGUCAAGGUAUAGGAUUUGCUCGUAAUAUUCAAGCUGGUGAGUCAUGUGCGGGAUAUGAGCAAUCUUGUACUAGUCCUUGCCUGCAUCUUUUUCCCACCUCUCCUCCAAAUCUGGGCAAGCUGCAAUUUUUAGGUGACUAAGGGAUUCAAACCUUCGCAAUUUUUCAAGUAAUGAUGCCAAUGAGGGACAUUGGAUGAUUUCAAGCCAUUGAAGUGAUUAUAGGUCAGCAAUCAAGCUUCUCACAACCCUCUAAAUUGAGAUGCACAAGGUUUGAUAGAUGUCGCGUGCCGAGUGAGAGGGAAGUUAACUGAGGACAAUCAUAGAUAUAAAGAAUUUCAGGUGACAUGAGACUUUUCAAACACUUCUCAGGCAAACAUUCUAGAAACUGCAUCUCCAAGAUAGACAGAGCCUUCAACUUAUAAAGGCAAAAUAUAUGAUUUAUCAACUUUAUGUUGACUUUAAUAAGCAUUAAAUCCUCAAGCUGUGGAAUUAGUGGCAUGGCUUUCAAGUUUUCACAAUCACUAAUCUGUAAGCUCAGUAGACUAGGAAAUGAUGCUAUUAAAGUAGAUGAAUGGUUUGACUCAAUAUAUUCCGAUGCAGCCAGCCCAAAAAUCUUUAAUGACUUAAGGUGAGGUAGUUGGCCCAGUUAUGGGAGAUGUUUACAUCUUGCAUAGUCCUCCAAGCAAAUGUCAACUAAAUUUGGCAAGGAAAACACAAUGCUAUCACAACCCCUCACAACCCCUUUACUCAGAGGUUGAGUUGUGGGUUAUUUUGCGACAUCCCAGGCUUUGUCAUUGUCUCGAAUUCAUUUACUUCUUAUUUAUGCACAUGCGGAAAGUGUAAACAUACAAUCCCUGACACAAAUAACAUGGAAACAUGAGAUACAAACACCACUAACAUAUUUCAUAUAUUUAAUGAGUAGUGAUGAUUACAAGCCUAUCUUACAUACAAAAGUGGCUUGGGGUAUCCCUGUCUCUGCUACGACUGGUACUAACCAAAAUUGGGAACAUUUCUUCUAUUACAUAGGGCCGAUACACUUAACUUAGUCUGAAUCCUCGGGCGGUUCAUCCAUAUUUGUGGCAUCCUAGAAUUUCUUGUCAAUCCUUAGAGGUGCUUUAAUUCAUGUUUUGCAUUGAGAUUUUGGCCAAGCUUUUGAUGGGUAAUUAUUUGAUAGGAAAAUUCUAUUUUUGGCCAUGUGAUUUAUGGGUUGAAUUUAUUAAAUUAGGUCACAAAAUUUUGUGAAUUAUAAAUUUCAAUUAGGUGUUUAUAUAAUUAAGGUUUAAGGUGGAUUAUUAGGAUAAGGGUGGGCUGGACAUUUAAAGACCAAACCAGCCCAUAGCCCCACCCCUUUUUCGACCGGCCCACGAAGCCAAGGAGGAGGAGUUGCUGUGGACCAAGGCUGGCCCAAGCCCAGCCGGAUGAAGCCCAUCAUGUGCAUGGGAGAAUUGACAAGUGUUAUUCCCCUAAGUCCAAGCGUCUUGCAUGCAAUCAAAUGAUUGCUCAUCAUUGAAGGGAAGAAAAUAGGAGAACCGGCUUGAUGAUGAGGGGGGAGUGUCGACCGAGAAGGAGAGAGAGAGAGGGUUACCGAGAGAGAGAGAGAGAAAUUGAGAGAGAGGGAGAGUGAGCGUGCGGGAGAAGAAGGAAGGAAGCCGAUUGCCGCCGUUUGCUCAGUUUGGAGGCAAGUGGGAUCCCUUGAUCUACUCUUGCAUGCUGUGCUUAGUGUGUGUGAUUGAAUGGUAACAAUUUCGGAUGUAUAGAAUGUGAAAAAUUGAAGAUAUAAGAGUGGUGUUCUAGUCUAGUAUACUGUUCUUGAGAAAAACAACUCGACCUUGGAUGUUCUAGUGACUUGCAUGUAUGUUCUAGUUGAAUUUUGACUUUGACUUCUAAAUGAAAGUUGUAAAGGACUUCUUGGAGUAUAACAUAAUCAAAUUUGGGAAAAAAAACAAGUAUAAGUGGGUGAAAUUGUUAUAUUUUGGAAAGACUGGAUCUGGAAAUUUUGGUACUAGGAACAGGGGUUUUAACCGUCCAUAUUUAAUUACCUAGGACGAUGGUGUCUUGAUGAAGUAUCUACCUUAUGGUCUUAGCUAUCACAUAGUCAAAUUUUAUAAUUUUUGAAGGUCAUCUGGGUAUUUAAUCGGAAAUGUUUCUAAAACUGUGCAAUCUGAUGUGUUCGGACUUUGUAAGUUGCAAUGCGUGGACUAUAUCGUUUUGUAUGAGGUUCUUUUGGAAAUUUUUUAUGAAUAAAAUAUCUCUAUUCAUGUCUUCCCUACAACAUAUUCAAAUUUCGUAAUUUUUGAAGUUCAUUUGUCUAUUUAACCAAAAAUGUUUCAAAAACUGUGCAAGUUGAACUGUUAAAAUAGUAGUGCUGUGAUGCAUGGUCUAUACCGAGUUAUAUGGGGAUCUUUUGGUGUAGUGUUCUUCAUGAAAUAUCUGCCUUUAUGUCUUGACUAUCACAUGUCAAAUUUCAUAAUUUUUUAAGGUCAUUUGGGUAUUUAAUUAAAAUGUUUUCUAAAACUGUGCAAGCUGGAUUGUGCGAAUUUCAAAAGCUGUAAUGCAUGGACUAUUCUGUUUUGUAUGAAAUUCUGGUGGUGUUGUGUUCUUCAUGAGAUAAAUGCCUCUAGAGCUUGUCUAUGAUGUCUUAAAUUCUUAGAAAUUAUUAGGGCCAAUCACUAAAUUUUAAGAAGUGUAAAUUAAAAGAACCCAUUCCGUUUCUAAAAUAAUAGCAAUAAUCCAUGAGUUUGCCCCAUGAAUUAUAUUGUUUUUAAGUGAUUGAAUCUUGCUGCACAUGUGAUGAUAUUUGGCAUUACAUAUAAAAUAAAAAGCUGAAAUUGACCUUGUUGCCAUCACAUCAUGUGCCAUGUUGAUAUUGAGACACAAUUGUGAAUAUGAAUUAUGAUAAAUGAGGAUACCGUCGGAGGUGUGAGCCGACGAUACCCUGGGAGUGUCGGGAUGCCCGAAGGUGAGUGCCGGAUGCCUGGAGUGUUUGUGCCGGAUGUCCUCGGAAGUUUCGAGAUGCUCAGAGGUGUGUGCCGGAAGCCUCGGAGGUGUGUGCCGGGGGAUACCUCGUGAUGCCAGUCGGGGUACGAGAUGCCCGGAGGUGUGUGCCGGAGGUUCCUCGCGAUGCCAGGUUGGAUGCGAGCGAUAAAAUGUGGGAUGCAAUUACUGGUCCCGGGAAAAAAAAAGUGGUGACCCAAUUGAAAGAUAAAAAGCUAAAAUUGAAUCAUGCAUGGUAUGGUGACAUGUAUGCAUGGCUAUAUGAUGUAAUAUGUAUUAAGUGUAUGGUGGUAUGUGCACAUAAGGCAUGGAUAUGCAUGAAUGCUUGAUGAUGAGUGCAUGGUGGUAUGUGCACAUAAGGCAUGGAUAUGCAUGAAUACUUUAUGAUGAGUGCAUGGUUGUAUAUGCACAUAUGGCAUGACGGUAUAUGCAUGAAUGCUUGAUGAUGAGUGCAUGAUGGUAUAUGCACAUAUGGCAGGAUGACAUAUGCAUGGCUGCAAGGUAAGUUAUGCUUGGACGCAUGAAGGAUAUGUGCUUUGUUUAUGAUGUCAUGAUUGUUCUGUUUGAUGCAUUGAGUGGUUUAAUGGAUUUUUUACUUGUUGAGUGGUUGUACUCAUCCCUUUGGGGACCAACAUUUCAGAUUAGAAAGAUGCCUAUCCCGGUCACGCGGGGUACCUUUUACGGCCUUCCAUCUGACGUGGAGGUCGAGUGUAUGGAGCUUGAUUGUGUCACCAUCCCUGGUUUGACGUUCAUACGGGUUUGUGUGCUCGUGAUGUAUGAUGUGGGCCUAGCUGGGGGCCUGGUCAUCUAGGAGUUCUUGUCUGUACACGUCCGCCGUGACGGAGUGAUGCGGGGGAUGUUGCCGCCGCCACUGCCCGAUGCACCAGGGUGGGUGUGAUGGCCCGCGUGAGGAGUGGGAGCUGACACUUUUUGGGGAUAGCCGACACUUGUAGAUGGAGGGUUAUACGUGAUCGAUAUAGGGGGUCGAGAUCUCUUUUUGAGCUGUAGCCAAGUUUAGCUAAAAGUCUUGGCUUUUUGGUUGUACCGACCCGAGAUGUCCAUCAUGAAAAUAUAAAUAAGAGUGAAUUAGCAUUAUCUUUUCUUAUGGUGCGUAGUUGGUGUGCAUCGUUUUCUGAAUAUAGGGAAAGGAGUUGUUGGAUACGUUUCCACCAUAUUUCUACGCAGGGACCUAUGGAAAAAAAAAUGCCUAUGAACUACGGUUCUUCUUUAACCCCAAAACAAAGAUAUGUAACUGGUAUUCAUUAGGUGGAGCGAUAGGUAUCUGUGGUGGCCUUGCCAGAUCGGGGGUGCCACAAUAUCACUAAGAUUCAGGUUCAGGUUGUCAAACCCACGGAGAGAUCCUAUCCAUAUGUCCUCGCAUUUCCUAUAACAGGCUUCGAAAUGCAUUGAGACAAGCUCACCUAGGCCCUUUUCUAUACAUACAAUGGAUGACGCUUUACAACAAGUAAUAUUAGUUUUUACAUCUACCACGUCCGUAGUAGUGAUAUAUAUCUUUAUAGGGCAACCAAAAUGCACAGUAGCCACGAUUCUAAGUACUUGUAAAAGAAACAAGGGUGAGUACUUGGAAUACUCAGUAAGUAUAGCCUCUGGCCUUCGUAUAGAACAUCGAUUCAUCAUCAACACUAGUUAAUCAUUUCAUGCAAACCAUGGCGGAGGCAAAUCAAUUGCAAAGAUGCAACCAAGCUUCAAGCACAAAUGAAUGACAAUUCUUGCAAUCAUUCGUACAUAUGAUGCAUGCCUUGAGCUCAUGCACUCUAGCCUUUCUUUCAUGCUCAUACAUGCCAUGCUUAUUUGGCUUUUCUCUUGUGUUCGGAACUCGAACCCAAGUCUUCCCAGAGUCGUCUCGGGACUCGAACCCAAUUCAAUUCAGGCUUUUAAAUUGGGCUUCCUGGAGCCGUCUUGGGACUUGAAUCCAAUUCAAUUCGAGCUUUUUAACUGGGCUUCUGGCUUUUUGCCGGUUUUUGGGACUCAAAUCCAGUUAAUAUGCUAUGGACUCGAAUCCAAGUCUUAUGCUAGCCUUUGGGACUCAAACCCAAUUUUUGCCAGGAAUUCAGAGAUUCAAACCACAUUCUUAUAUUUUCUUAUCAUUACUCAAGCACGAAUCCCUUCUUGAGGAUGUACUCGAGCCCUAUGCAUGUGCCAUGAACUAUGCACUUUAUGCUCAAACAUGAUGCAAGUGUUAUGAAAUCAUGAAUUUUCUCAUAAACAACAUCACGAAUGAGCCUAAGCCCAAAGCCCCGCUUGAGUAACAAGCAUAAAGGAACCCCCACACCAAUUCAAGACAUGAAUUCGGUAAGCCUUAAUACCGAAUCACAUCUUAUGGUUAUGAGCGAACCUUGACUUAUAUCGAACAAAAGCUAUGAACCAUGACUUCAUUCUAAUCAUACAAGAAAUUCAAGUACAUGAACAAGUCAUAGAAUACAUCAAUCAUCCAAGAAUCAAUCGACCUACCCUCGGCUUGUUCGCAAGAUGAUUUCUUAAAGUCGAAGACGUCUCGAAUGUUACUAAAAGAAGGGAGAAACUACACUUACUUGGAUGAACCUUGAACUAAAGCUCAAACUACACAAGAUGGGCGGCUUGCUUUGAAGUCCGAAGGAGAGAGGGUGUGAGGAGGAGGAAGGAAGAGGAAAUGGGAGCAAGGUGGUGGAAAUGAGAAGGGGCACCUCAUAGUUAUAGCCCUUAGUGUCAUCAUUACUAAGCCAAGCGGUCCAUUCUAGUGAUCUCAAGUGUCCCGCCUAAUUUUCUUGGGUGGCAAGUCUACUUUACCUCAUGAUUACACCUAGAAGAUGAGUUGGCCAAGCUAAAGGCCUUGCUUGGCAAUCUAAACUCCGAGGCGUCAUCGAUUAUGGCCCGAUUUUCGCUCUUCCAUUAGUCCACCUAUAUGCCACAUUUAAUAGACAUUUAAUGAAGUUUGAUAAUAAUUGUACUAUAGUUGCCAACUCGGCAAUUCUAGAACAUUCAAUCAUUAAUGAUGGCUUGUAUGUCGUUCUCUAAUUGGUCCACUUAUGUGCUGCCUUUUUCUAUAAUCUUCAAAUAUAUUUUGGCCACCAUCAUGACUUUUGACUAUUCAAAGAACAACUCACCCCUUCAUUUAAUGAGGGGAUUCUAGAAUUUUCCUUACUUUUGUCUUUUUCUUCAUUAAUAAGGCGAUCUAGAGAAUUCUAUCAUCCAAGUUUGUUCCAGGGUCGAAGAAGGGAUCAUUAGGUAUACCUCGAAAAUCCAACUCACGUACACUCGAGAUUCGGCCAUCACGUCUCAUAUUCGCUUAAACCGUUCCUUUGGACGGUCGGUCGGCCAAUAGGGUCGGUUGUCCUUUGAUCACUUCAAGACCAAUUCUAAGGCUACCCAUGUCCUAACACUAAGCUAAGGCACUCAUGGACCUUAGAAUUAGUGAUGGAAUAGCCAAGUCCAUCCCUGGACUCAUUCCGGUCAGCAUCCGAUCCACCGGUAGGGUUCAUGAUCAGUGCAUUAUCGAUCCAUGAUCGGACAUCACCAAUUUGAGAUUCUGCUCCAAUCGCUAAGAAUUAAAUAGGGAAUGAUGCAUUUUUGGUCGAAAGAUAAUCGCAUUUGAUCAAUUUGGAUCGUCUAUGUAUUGGUGCAUAACCGAGCGGAAUCACCCGCAACCAGAAACUACAACCGGUUGAUCGACCCAUGACCACCUGCCAUCCAAAACCAUCUCGUGAUCAAUUCUCAUAUCAAAAGUUCAUCGUAUGAGCUGGUGAUCCUAUCUAAUUGGUAUGGUUGGUAGGAAAUUCACGGCCGACACCUUGAUCAAUUUGUGAUUGGUCGGUCGAUCGAUCGAUCGGUUAGUCAAACCAUGACCGAUCCAUGAUUCCUUGCUGAUUGAACCGAUCGAUCCAUGGCCAAUGGCCCAUGAUCGAUCGUUUUAGGAUCUUAUGGCCAAUCUUUAUGGGAUUGGAAUCGAGGAUGUUACAAUGCUCCCUCCCUUUAAAAAUUUCGUCCAUGAAAUUUCAUAACGUACUUGGGUACUCAAAAUAAGUAAGGGUACUUGUGCUUCAUAAUUUCUUCACUUUCCCAAGUAGCCUCUUCCUGUUCCAUGGUGUUUCCGUAGGACCUUAACUAAGGGAAUGGCCCUAUUUCUAAUUACUUGCUCACGUCUGUCCACGAUCCGCACUAGCUCCUCAACAUACGACCCUUGGUCGUCUACCUCGAUCUCUUCGAAGUUGAGCACAUGUGCCAGAUCUGGCUCAUACUUUCUUAACAUGGACACAUGGAAUACAUCGUGUACCUAAGCAAGUUUUUGUGGCAAUGCCAACUGAUAAACCAUAUUCCCUAUCCUUUUUAGGAUUUCAAAAGGUCCUAUGUACCAUGGACUCAACUUACCUUUCUCACCAAAACGAGACAUGCCUUUCAAUGGAGACACCUUGAGGAAUACAUGGUCUCCUACCUGAAAUUCUAAAGGCUUUCGUGUCUUAUCUACAUAACUCUUUUGCUUACUCUGGGUGGCUCUAAGUCUCUUUCCAAUUACUUACAUUGCCUUGUAGUAAGCUGCACCAACUCAGGACCAGUAAGCUUCUUUUCCCCGACCUCAUUCCAACAAAUUGGAGUUCUACAAGUUCGACCAUAUAAUGCUUCAAAUGGAGCCAUACCAAUGCUUUGCUGAUAACUGUUAUUAUAAGCAAAUUCAACGAGAUGCAAGUGCUCGUCCCAGCUUCCUUUAAAAUCAAUUACAUAAGCUCUCAGCAUAUCCUCUAAUGUCUGGAUAGUUCUUUCUGUCUAGCCAUCAGUUUGGGGAUGGAAAGCCGUAUUGUACUGCAGUAUUGUUCCCAAUGCAGCUUAAAGACUUUGCCAAAACAUUGUCGUGAAUUUAGGAUCUCGAUUAGAAGUGAUUGUCACUAGUACUCCAUGGAGACGUACUACUUGUCGUACAUACAAGUGCGCAUAAUCUUCCGAUGAUAAAUCCUUCUUUACCACUAGAAAAUGAGCCGACUUUGUCAAUCGGUCGACUAUUAUCCAAAUCAAGUCAUUUCCUCUUGGACUCCUUGGUAGUUCUAGAACAAAAUCCAUGGUAAUGUGUUCCCAUUUUCAUUUGGGAAUUCCAAGUGGUUGUAAUAAUCCACCAAGCUUGCAACGUUGAGCUUUCACUUGUUGACAUGAUAAGCACUUGGCAACAUGCUUAGCAACAUCCGCCUUCAUGCCAUUCCACCAGUAGUCUAGUACAUCUUCGUAUUACCAAGGUAGAUACUAUAAUUUCUUCGGUGCACUUCCGCCAAAAUUUCUUCCUUGAGCUUAUUGUCAUUGGGUACACACCAAUGUUCACAUAAUUUCAAGGUUCCGUCUUUCGCAAUGCGGAAAUCAUUUCCUUUCUUAUCCCUGGCUUAUUUCUGAAGCUUUUGAAUCUGCAGAUUGACUUGCUGUAAUGUUUUUAUCUUCUGCAUUAUUUCUUGCUCAAUUCUAAGUGUUGCUAGUAAGCUUGAAGUCAGAAUCUUGGACUUCUUCUAAGAGAUUCCAUUCUCGAGCCAUCAUUCGUGCAAGGCAUCCGCAACUCGAUUUGCUUUGCCAGGAUGGUAUAAUAUUUCACAAUCAUAGUCUUUCAGAAAUUCCAUCCAUCGCCUUUGCCGCAUAUUCAACUCCUUUUGGGAGAAUAAAUACUUCAAGCUUUGAUGAUCAGUGUAUAUUACGAACCUUUCUCCGUAGAGAUAAUGUCACCAUAUCUUCAAAGCGAAAAUAAUCGCAGCUAGCUCCAGGUCAUGAGUUGGGUAAUUCAACUCAUAGGGCUUCAAUUGCUUGGACGCAUAGGCCACCACUUUACCAUGCUGCAUUAACACACAACCAAGUCCCUUAUGCAAGGCAUCACUGUAUAUUUUAAAACCUCAUGAUCUAGACGAAAUUGUGAACACCGGAGCCGUUGUAAGUUUCCGUUUUAAUUCUUGAAAACUCCGUCCACAUUUAUCCGUCCACUCGAACUUCACAUCCUUCCUUAGUAAUCGAGUGAGGGGAGCAGCAAUGCUAGAGAAUCAUUCCACGAAUCUCCGAUAAUAUCCAACCAAACCACGGAAACUUGAAAUUUCGACAACCCUAGUUGGUCUUGGCCAAUUUAUUACUAUUUCCACCUUGGCAAGGUCUAUUGAUAUCCUUUCACCAGUCACCACAUGGCCCAGAAAUACCACGCUAUUUAACCAUAACUCGCACUCACUGAAUUUUGUGUAUAGUGCGUGUUCUCGAAGCGUUUGCAACACCAUUCUCGAGUGUUGCUCAUGUUUUGUCGUAUUCUUUGAAUAGAUCAGAAUGUCGUCAAUAAAUACUAUGACGAAGUGAUCCAAGUACAACUUGAAUACUUGGUUCAUGAGAUCCAUGAAAGCUGCUAGGGCAUUUGUCAAACCAUAUGGUAUAACGGAAAAUUCGUAAUGACCAUACCGAGUUCUGAAGGCCAUCUUCAGAAUAUCUUCUUUCUUGAUUCUCAACCGAUGAUAUCCUGAGCGUAAAUCAAUCUUAGAAAGUACCACCGCUCUUUGAAGUUGAUCGAACAAGUCAUCGAUAUGUGGCAAUGGAUACUUGUUCUUGACGGUAACUUAAUUCAACUGUUGAUAGUUGAUACAGAGACAUAACGACCCAUCUUUCUUCUUUACGAACAGGACUGGCGCACCCCAAGGUAAGGUACUAGGGCGUACAAAACCCUUAUCAAGUAACUCUUGUAAUUGCACCUUCAACUCCUUAAGCUCCACCAAAGACAUUCGGUAUGGUGCUUUAGAAAUAGGUUUCGUUCUCAGAACUAGCUCAAUAGUGAACUCUAUCUCCCUUUCAGGUGGUAAUCCCCGUAGCUCCUUUGGAAAUAUGUCAGGAAACUCCCGCACCACGGGGAUAUCAUCCAACUUUGGUUCUUCAACUAACUUAUUUUCUACGGUUGCUAAGUAACCUCGGCAACCCUUCUUAAGAAGUCGUACUGCUUUUGUUACAGAAAUCAGAGGCGUUGAGGGUCCUCCUCCAUUUCUGAUAAAUUGAUAGUCGAUUCCAUUUGGUGGACUAAACUUGAUUAUCUUGCCAUAGCAGUCCACUUUGGCUCGUUGUUUACGAAGCCAAUCCAUUCCAAUAAUAGCAUCGAAAUCACACAUAUCUAAUACGGCUAAAUCUAUUCUUCCCUCUUGUCCACUUAUGACAAUUCUACACUCCUUACAUUCCAUAGUGGACAACAUUUCAUGUCUCAUCGGGGUGGAUAUACUAAGAAUUAUCGUAAGGGGUUCGAGCUUCAAUCCUACCGUACACACAAAUCUCUCCGAUACAAAGGAAUGCGUUGCACCCGUAUCAAACAAGACAUAAGUCGGAUGAUUGUGUAAAGAGACCAUACCUGUGAUAACGGUCUUGGAGUUCUCUACUUCUCUUUGUGUCACUGCAUACACUUGUCCUUGAGCUAAAGGACAAUUAUGUUGCGUAGAACUCCAUUGGAUGUCAUCGGCUGUUGUUGUGAUGGCAGUAAAAUUUGUCGCCUUUGAGGGCAAUCCCUCAACAUAUGGCCGGGUUGGCCACAACCAUAACAUACUCCUUUUUCUAGCUAAACAAGGGGCAUUACCAUGCUGUUUUCCAUAGUUACAGCAUACUUCAGACAACACCACAUUCACUUUUUGCUUCUUACUCUUUUUAAACAUGUGCUUUCCUCCUAGCGCGAACCUUUUGCCUUGUCGUUGAUUAGGAUGGAAGGUCAAAUAAGAAGACCUCCCUUGGAAAUUUGAUGCCGCGACGCGUUCUUGUCAAUCCUUUUUCAACCAACUAAGCCCGUUCAUACAAUUCAUUAUAAUCUUUAAGAUUUAAGGGUACCAGCUAACUUCGAAUGUCAGGUUUGAGGCCAUAUUUGAAUCUUUAGCUCGAUCAAUUGGGUUCUCAAUCAAUCGAGAAGCAUACUUUGAUAAUUCGGUAAAUUUGGCCUCACGCUAAUCCACUAUCAUGUUUCACUAGUGCAAGUGCAAAAAUUCGGCCAUCUUUCUAUCUCGAGCACUUUCAGAAAAAUACUUGUUGUUAAAGGCCGGCACAAAGGCAUCCCAAGUCAUAGGAGCACCUUUAGGAAAUAUUAUCCUCUUAGUGGCUCUCCAUCAAUGACUGGCAUUACCCUGUAAUCGAUACACUACCAAGGUCACUUAUCCUCAUUAGAACACCUUAAAAGAUCAAAGAUUUUCUUGAGCUCUUCAAUCCAAGACUCAGCCUCAUCAAUGUUUCCGGUUCCAGCAAACUUUGGAGGCUUUAAUUUUAGGAACUGUUCGACCAAUCCACUCUUUGGACGGUCUCCAAAUUCAUCUCCAUUUGAGGUGUUAGUGGAAACAGAGGCUUGCUGCUAUUGAACUUGCUAUUCCAUCAAGCUCCCAACAUUAGUCAGAACUUGCAGAAUUCCAUCAAGUCGGGGGUCCUACCUUGAUUUUCCUUUCAAAGCAUUUGGGUCUUGAGCUGAUUUUCCAUGGGUAGUCACUGGGUCUUGGGAACUCAUACUAGUUACUAAGGAAUACGGCUAUAGAGUUCUAGAGGAUUUAUCUACAAUACAAUCAAAAUCAAUAACUUUCAUAAAAAAGAAAAAAGAAAAAAAAAGAACAUCAAGCAAACAAUCAUAUAUCAUGCAUGUGAUCUUCCUAAUUUUUUAUCCCACGCUUCCCAGCGCACCUUAUGACUCCUGGUAAUAACCCCUACUCUGAUACCACAACCUGUCACAACCCCCUUUACUCAGAGGUUGAGCUGCAGGUUAUUUUGCAACAUACCAGGCUUUGUCGCCAUCCUGAAUUCAUUUGCUUCUUAUUUAUGCACAUGUGGAAAGCGUAAACAUACAAUCCCCAAUGCAAAUAACAUGGAAACAUGAGAUACAAACACAAAACACAACUAACAUAUUUCAUAUAUUACAUGAAUAGUGAUGAUUAUAAGCCUAUCUUACAUACAAAAGUAGCUUUGGGUAUCCUUGUCUCUGCUACGGUGAGUUCUAACCAAAAUUGGGAACCCUUCUUCUAUUACAUAGGGCUAGUACGCUUAACUUAGUCCGAAUCCUCGGAUGGUUCAUUCAUAUCACUGAGAUUCGGGUUCAGGUUGUUAAACUCGCGGAGAUUUCCUAUCCAUAUGUCCUCGUAUUUCCUAUACUAGGCUUCGAAAUGCAUUGGGACAAGCUCACCCAGCCCCUUCUCUAUCCAUACAACGGAUGACACUUUGUAAUAAGUAAUAUCAGUUUUUAUAUCUACCACGUCCGUAGUAGUGGUAUAUAUCUUUAUAAGGCAACCAAAAUACGUAGUAGCCAUGAUUCUAAGUACUUGUAAAAGAAACAGGGGUGAGUACUUGGAAUACUCAGUAAGUAUAGCCUCUGGCCUUCGUAUAGAACAUCGAUUCAUCAUCAACACUAAUCAAUCAUUUCAUGCAAACCAUGACGGAGGCAAAUCAACUACAAAGAUGCAACCAUGCUUCAAGCACAAAUGAAUGACAAUUCUUGCAAUCAUUCGUGCAUAUGAUGCAUGCCCUGAGCUCAUGCACUCUAGCCUUUCUUUCUUGCUCAUGCAUGCCAUGCUUAUUUAGCUUUUCUCUUAUGCUCCCAAGUCUUCCCGAAGCCGUCUUAGGACUUGAACCCAAUACAAUUCGGGCUUUUUAACCGGGCUUCUGGCUUUUUGCGGGCUUCUGGGACUCAAUCCUAGUUAAUAUGCUCGGGACUUGAACCCAAGUCUUAUGCUAGCCUCUGGGACUCGAACCCAGUUCUUGCUAUGAAUUCAGGGAUUCAAACCCCAUUCUUAUCUUUUCUUAUGUUUGCUCAAGCACGAAUCCCUUCUUGAGGAUGUACUAAAGUCUUAUGCACAUGCCAUGAACUAUGUACUUUAUGCUCAAACAUGAUGUACGUACCAUGAAAUCAUGAAUUUUCUCAUCAACAAUAUCACGAAUGAGCCUAAGCCCAAAGCCUUAUUUGAGUAACAAGUAUAAAGAAACCCCGCACCAAUCCAAGACAUGAAUUUAGUACGCCUCAAUACCGAAUCACAUCUUAUAGCUAUGGGCGAACCUCAACUUGUACUAAACAAAAGCAAUGAACCAUGACUUCAUUCUAGUCACACAAGGAAUUCAAGAACAUGAACAAGUUAUAGAAUAUAUCAAACAUUCAAUAGUCAAUUGACCUACCCUCGGCUUGUUCAAGAGAUGAUUUCCUAGAGUUGAAGACGUUCCGAAUGUUACUAAAAGAAGGGAGAAACUACACUUUCCUGGAUGAAUCUCGAACUACACAAGAUGGGCGGCUUGCUUUGAUGACCGAAAGAGUGAGAGAGUGGGCGUGAGAGGAGGGGCGACUAAGGAGGAGGAAGAAGGAGGAAAUGGGAGCAAGGUGAGGAAAUGAGAAGAGACUCCUCCUAUUUAUAGCCCUUGGUAUCAUCAUUACUAAGCCAAGUAGUUCAUUCCAAUGUUUUCAAGUGUCCCACCUAAAUUCUUUAGGUGGCAAGUCUACCUUGCCUCAUGAUUACACCUAGAAGAUGAGUUGGCUAAGCUGAAGGCCUUGCUUGGCAAUUCAAGCUCCUAGGCGUCAUCGAUUAUGGCCUACUUUUCGCUCUUCCAUUGGUUCGCCUAUAUGCCGCAUUUAAUGGACAUUUAAUGAAGCUUGACAAUAAUUGCACUAUAGUUGCCAACUCGGCAAUUCUAGAACAUUCAAUUAUUAAUGAAGGCUUGUGUGUCACUCUCUAAUUGGUCCACUUAUGUGCCACCCUUUUUAGAAUCUUCAAAGAUAUUUUGGCCACCAUCAUGACUUUUGAUUAUUCAAAGAAAAACUCACCCCUUCAUUUAAUGAGGGGCUUCUAGAAUUUUCCUUACUUUUGUGUUUUUCUUCAUUAAUAAGGCAGUCUAGAGAAUUCUAUCAUCAAAGUUGGUUCUGGGACUGGAGAAAUGAUUAUUAGGUACACCUCAAAAAAUCAAAUCACAUACACCCGAGGUUUGGCCAUCACGACUCAUACUCGCCCAAACCGUUCCUUUGGACGGUCAGUCAGCUAAUAGGGUCGGUUGUUCUUUGAUCGGUUCGAGACUAAUUCUAAGGCUACUCAUGGCCUAGCACUAAGCCAAGAAACAUAUGGACCUUAGAAUUGGUGAUGGAAUACCCGGGUCUAUCCUUGGGCUCAUUUCGGUUGGCACCCGAUCACCAGUAGGGCUCAUGGUCGGUGCAUUACCGAUCCAUGAUCGAACAUCACCAAUUCAAGAUUUUGUUCAGAUCACUAAGAAUUAAAUAGGGAAUGAUGCAUUUUUGGUUAGAAGAUGAUCACAUUUGAUCAAUUUGGAUCAUUCGUGUAUAAGUGCAUAAUUGAGCGGAAUCACUCGCGACCAGAAACUAAACUGGUCCGAUCAACCCAUGACCAUCCGUCAAUCCAAAAUCAUCCCGUGACCAAUUCUCGUGAUCAAAAGGUCAUCUUAUGAGCUGGUGAUCCUAUCCAAUCAAUAUGGUCGAUAGAAAUUCACGGCCGACACUUCGACCAAUUCAUGACUGGUCAAUCGGUCGGUCAAUCAGUUAGUCGGACCAUGACCGAUCCCUAAUUCCUUGCCAAUCGAACUGAUCGAUCCAUGGCCGAUGUGUGGUAUCCGGAAAUUUUGACGACCCUCGAAUAUGUGACGGUCCUUGACUGAGCGACGGAAGUAUCGUCGGAUGAUGUUAUCGACACCACAACGGACAUCAUUUUGUUAUCGUCAUCGGACCAAUGUGCCUUGUUUAGUAAUGGUCCGAUCAUCGAAUAAAUCAUAGUCUUAUUGGAAACCUUUCAUAUGUUCAAGCGAGACCAAGACUCGUUCCAAAUGAUUCUUGACCCUGCCAACUCGGGUAUGCCAAUGAAAAAACACCCAAGGAUCGGCCAUCGGGAGCUGCCCAUUUUCUCAUGUGCAUGAGAAAUAGGAAACCUCGAAUACUUCAUGCAUGUUUAUAUUUUUCUAUAGGCAGCUAACAAAAGGAAGAUUGGAUCACGCAUGGGGGCUGUUUUCUCAUCCAAGCUGCCCUACGAAUUUGUGUUUAUUGACUAAAGAAGUCAAUUAACUUAAGAGAACGUCCAAAAGCGUGCAUGCGGACGUGAGGAAUCGUAACCACCGAAGGACAGCUCCAUAUUGCUUUUCUUUUAUAUGGCCGGUCAAUUAUGGAAGAGGAUUAUUGAUUAAACGCCAGGUUGCUCUUCUUUCGGUGGACAACAAAAAGGGAGGAUGUGGCUUUGCGGAAGACACGCCCUGCAUGAAGAGUCGAGUUGGCUCGGCAAGGAGAGGGACUCGCAUGCAGGAGGCCACGUACACCCCAGCUGUCUUCGGUUCCUGCACCCACCGAAAGAAGCCCCAUGCAGUUGACUAAAUUGUCAACAAAGUGAGGAACAAAACCCUCGUACACAGAGGGGAAGAGAGAGAAGGAACCGAAUGAAACUUGGGCAAAGAGAGAAACCGAGAGUGAGCGGGUGAGGGAGUGAGAGAGAGAGAGAGUUUGGGCGAGAGUGAGCAGCGAGUGGGUGAACGGCGAAGAGGAAGAAGGGACCGCCUUCUGCCGUGCUCAAGCUGCCGCUGUCGAUGCCGCUAGUCUCCGCGCCGUUGAGCCAAGCCCGAGAUCCACGAGCCCCUGUUUUUGGCCAGCAAUCAAGUAGAGAGGUUUAAAGGCAAGUAGAAGUUCUUCAAUCUAUGUUUUGCUUGCUGUUUUAUCUACCUAAGAGUUGGUAGAUGUGAGAAAAUGUGGAAUUUGGAGUUGCAUGUCGAUUUGUGAUGAAGGAGAUGAAGCUGGACUAAGAAACCGAGCAAAAACAGAGCAUGCAUUGUGGAUUUCGAAUUUGAGAUGGAACAAGAAUUUAAAAAUCUGACUAUGGAGGGUUUUUGGAAGUGAUAAGGCUGUGUUACAGUGUAAUACACUUGUAUCUAUUUGACUGUGGAUGUUGGAGGUCGAAAUUUAAGGAGUAGGAGAAACUCUCAUUAGGUUAAUGGACUGUUUUGUGGAGAACAGUGUGACCCUCGGUGACCUUUUGAUUUUUCUGUAAUUAUCUAGCCACAAUUUGAUUUCGAGUUCUUGAUGAAAGUUUUAGGGAAUAUCCUCAUGAAAAACAUAUAAAAAAUUCAGAGAAAAAUAACAAGGUAUGACCAUCGAAAUAAUUUUCCUAUGAAAAUAUCAAAUCUGAAAUUUUUACAGAAUGAUGGUUAAGAAGAAAAUAGAGAUUUUACCCUCGUUACAUAAGGAAUAUGACCUAGUGGAAUUCUUGAGAUUUGUUCCUCUAGGUUUCAUGGAUAACGUGUCAAAAUUUCAUAAUUUUCUGAGCCCGUUUAGUAAUUAAUUCGGAAUUGUUACCAGAACUGCGCAAUUGUAGAAAUUAAGCUGCUAUUUCGAGAUUUCCACAGAAAUUGUCCUAUAAGAAGUAUGGUUUUCGAAUUGCUAUGUGACUCGGUGAUGCUGAUGGUGGGAUAUUGUGAUUGAUAAAAGGUUCAUGAGAUAUCUUGUUUGACACAUGAUGAUGCAUUUGUGAAUUAAAAUGCGAUUUGUUUGAUAAAAGGUUCAUGAGAUAUCUUGUUUGAUAUAUAUGAUGCAUUGGUGAAUUAAAAUGCGAUUUUUUACCCAUCGAACCCUCGAGGUUCCUCGUGAUGCCAGGUGGGGUACGAGAUGCCUGGAGGCGUGAUUCGCUCCAGAUGCCCGGUGGCCCUAAGUGGUUGAAUGCCGGAGGCUUUCGCGAUGCCUGGAGGGAUGCGAAUGCCGGAGGGACGCAAGCACUGAUCCUCCGGGAAUGAAACCCUUUUGAAUGAUAAAUUGAAUGAUUCUACUAUAAAUGUGUGGGGUCUGGAUAUAAGACCGAGUGUAUGGCAUGGAACGGAACAUGAUAUUUUAGUUUGGCCCUAUGAUUGAAAUUUGUCUAUCUUGGAUAUGUUAUCAUCACAUGGAAGGAUUUUAUGAUUUUGGUGCAUACCUAUCCUCUAUUUCUUGUCUUGUCUACUAUACUUGAAUCUGGAUAUUAAUAGUAAUGCUUGAUAUAGCUUGAUGAAUCUUUUAUUGCCGAGUGGUUGUACUCACCCCGUUUGGGGACUAACAUUUCAGACUAAGUCAAGAUACCUUUGCUACCACCGCCACCAGUAGAUGGACCGAGUGAUUGAAUAUGACCAUGAGGAGGAGGACAGCAGAGGAAGGAACUUUUGGAUGCCAACACUGAUCGAUAAACUUUAAGUAUACGACUGUUGGAAAAGAUGUUGGUCUUCUUUUGAAGUAUAGCCAAGUAUAGAAGAUUAUGGCAUUUUGGUGUACCAACUAAAGAUGUCCAUCUAGUUUUAUGUGAAUAAAAGUGUUCGGCUUAUUACUUAUAAAUGUGUUUAGUUGGUGUGUAUCGCUUUAAUUUAUGAAAGGGGAGUUGAUGGAUGUGCGUCCGUUAUAUAUAUACUGUGCAGGGACCGAUUGAGUGAUAUAAACCCCUAGGACUUAUGGACCCACUAUAAUUUUAUGGUAUCAUAGUGACAUAUUAUCAAGACAACUGAAAGGAAAUCGAACUGUGGCGACCCUGACGGAUCGGGGGCCGUUCGGGAGGUGCCACACGAUGGCCCAUGAUUGAUCCUUUUAGGACCUUAUGACCGAUCCUUAUGAGGUUGGAAUCAAGGAUGUUAUAGGUACACGAUGUAUUCCAUGUGUUUAUGUUGAGAAAGUAUGAGCCAAACCGGCACAUGUGCUCAACUUUUAAGAGAUUGAGGUAAAUGACCAAGGGUCGUAUAUUGAGGAGCCAAUGUGGAUCGUGGAUAAACAUGAACAAGUAAUCAGAAACAAUGCCAUUCCCUUAGUCAAGGUCCUAUGGAAACACCAUGGAACAGAAGAGGCUACUUGGGAAAGUGAAGAAAUUAUGAAGUGCAAGUACCCUCACUUAUUUUGAGUACCUAGGUACGUUAUGAAAUUUCGGGGAAGAAAUUUUAAAGUGGGGAGAAAUAUAACAUCCUUGAUUCCGACCCCGUAAGGAUCAGCCAUAAGGUGCUAAAAGGAUCGAUCAGAGGCCAUUGGCCAUGGAUCGAUUGGUUCGAUUGGCAAGGAAUCAUAGAUCGAUCAUGUUUCGAUUGAUCGACUGACUGAUCGACCAGUCCUGAAUUGGUCAAGGCAUCGACAGUGAAUUUCUACUAAUCAUAUCGAUGGGAUAGGAUCACCAGCUCAUAAGAUAACUUUUUUAUCACGAGAAUUGGUAAUGGGAUGAUUUUGGAUUGGUGGAUGGUCAUGGGUCGAUCCGACCAAUCAUAGUUUCUGAUCGCGGGUGAUUACGCCUGGUUAUGCAUUGAUACACGGACAAUCCGAAUUGAUCAAAUGUGACUGUCUUCCAACCAAAAAUGCAUCAUUCCCUAUUUAAUUCUUAGUGAUUGAAAUAGAAUCUCGAAUUGGUGAUGUUCGAUCAUGGAUCAAUAAUGCAUCGACCAUGAGCUCUAUCAGUGGAUCAAGUGCCGAUCGGAAUGAGCCUAGGGAUAGACCCAACUAUUUUGUCACUAAUUUUAAGGUCCAUGAGUGCCUUGGCUUUGUGCUAGACCUUAGGUAGCCUUAGGACUGGUCUCAAACCGAUCAAAGGACAACUAAUCCUAUUUGUCAACCGACCAUCCAAAGGAACGGUUUGGGUGAAUAUGGGGUGUGACGGCAGAACCUCAGGUGUACGUGAUUCAAUUUUUUGAGGUGUACCUAAUGAUCCAUUCUUCGGUCUCGGAACCAGCUUGGAUGAUAGAAUUCUCUAGACUGCCUUAUUAAUGAAGAAAAAGACAAAGGUAAGGAAAAUUCUAGAACCCCCUCAUUAAAUGAAGGGGUGAGUUGUUCUUUGAAUAGUCAAAAGUCAUGAUGGUGGCAAAAAUAUCUUUGAAGAUUCCAGAAAAAGGCAGCACAUAAGUGGACCAAUUAGAGAGCGACAUACAAGCUCUCAUUAAUGAUCGAAUGUUCUAGAAUUGCUGAGUUGGCAACUAUAGUACAAUUAUUUUCAAACUUCAUUAAAUGUCUAUUAAAUGUGACAUAUAGGUGGACCAAUGGAAGAGCGAAAAGCAGGCCAUAAUCGAUGACACAUAGGAGCUUAGAUUGCCAAGUAAGGCCUUUAGCUUGGCCAACUCAUUUUCUAGGUGUAAUCAUGAGGCAAAGUAGACUUGCUACCCAAAGAAUUUAGGCAGGACACUUGGAAACAUUGGAAUGGACCGCUUGGCUUAGAAAUGAUGACACCAAGGGUUAUAAAUAGGAGGAGCCCUUCUCAUUUCCUCACCUUGCUCCCAUUUCCUCCUCCCUCCUCCUCCUUAGUCGCCCUCCUCCUCACACCCUCUCUCUCUCUCCUUCGGCCUUCAAGCAAGCCGCCCAUCUUGUGUAGUUCAAGCCUUAGUUCGAGGUUCAUCCAAGUAAGUGUAGUUUCUCCCUUCUUUUAGUAAUGUUUGAGAUGUCUUUGACUCUAGAAAAUCCUCUUGUGAACAAGUCGAGGGUAGGUUGAUUGAUUCUUGGAUGUUUGACAUAUUCUAUGAUUUGUUCAUAUACUUGAAUUUCUUGUAUGACUAGAACGAAGUCGCGGUUCAUAACUUUCGAGCGGUACAAGUCGAGGUUCACCCAUAGCCAUAAAUGUGAUUUGGUAUUGAGGCAUACCGAAUUCAUGUCUUGGAUUGAUGCGGGGUUCCUUUAUGCUUGCUACUUGAGUGGAGCUUUGGGCUUAGGCUUGUUCGUGAUGUUAUUGAUGAGGGAAUUCAUGAUUUUAUAGCACACACAUCAUGUUUGAACAUAAAGUGCAUAGUUCAUGGCAUGUGCAUAAGACUUGAGUACACCCUCAAGAAGGGGUUUGUGCUCGAGCAAAGAUAAGAAGAGAUAAGAAUGGGGUUUAAGUCCCUGAAUUCCUAGCAAGAACUGGGUUCGAGUCCCAAAGGCUAGCAUAAGACUUGGGUUCGAGUCUUGAGCAUAUUAAUUGGGUUUGAGUCACAGAAGCCGGCAAAAAGCCAGAAGCUCGAUUAAAAAGUCCGAAUUGAAUUGGGUUCGAGUCCCAAGACGACUUUGGGAAGACUUGGGUUUGAGUCUCGAGCACAAGAGAAAGGCUUAAUAAGCAUGGCAUGCAUGAGCAAGAAAGAAAUGCUAGAGUUCAUAAGUUCAGGGCAUGCAUUAUAUGCACAAAUGAUUGCAAGAAUUGUCAUUCACUUGUGCUUGAAGCUUGGUUGCAUCUUGCAAUUGAUUUUCCUUCGCCAUGGUUUGCAGGAAAUGAUUGACUAGUGUUGAUGAUGAAUCGAUGUUCUAUUCAAAGGCCGGAAGCUAUACUUACUGAUUAUUUUAAGUACUCACCCCUGUUUCUUUUAUAGGUACUUAGAACCAUGGUUACUGUGCAUUUUGGUUGCCCUGUAAAGAUAGAUACUACUAUGACGGACGUGAUAGAUGUAGAAACUAAUAUUACUUAUUGUAAAGUGUCAUUCAUUGUAUGGAUAGAAAAGGACUUGGGUGAGCUUGUCCCAAUGCAUUUUGAAGUUUGGUAUAGGAAAUAUGAGGACAUAUGGAUAGGACUCUGCGGGUUUGACAACCCAACCUCGAAUCUUAGUGAUAUGGAUGAACUAUCCGAGGCUUCAGACUAAGUUUAGGUGUAUCGGCUCUAGGUAAAAGAAGAAGGGUUCCUACUUUUGGUUAGUACCUAUCAUAGCAAAGACAGGGAUACCCCAAGCCACUUUUGUACAUAAGAAAGGCUUGUAAUCAUCACUACUCAUAUAAUAUAUGAAAUAUGUUAGUGGUGUUUGUAUCUCACGUUUCCAUGUUAUUUGUGUUGGGAAUUGUAUGUUUACGCUUCCCACAUGUGCAUAAAUAAGAAGCAAAUGAAUUCAGGACGGCGACAAAGCUUGGGAUGUCGCAAAAUAACUUGCAGUUCAACCUCUGAGUAAAGGGGGUUGUGACAUUAGUGGUACGGAUUGACAUAGGUGCACCGAAGUAGAUCUCUCAUCAAUUUGUUGCCUAGUACACCAACAUUGAUGGGGAGUUGGUUGGAUCACUUAGGAACUUCGAUGGUCCUCCCAGUUUCGACAACAAUAGCAUGCCAAUUGGCAAAUUUGUCGAUCUGUAGUAUAGUAGCAUGGAUGUGACCUGACCUUCUUCUGAAAGUUAUUGUGUUGUAUUAUGCUUAUUAUUAGUACUUGUACUAAUACUUGGAAAAGGUUUAUGAAAGGAAAAUUUGUCUUUGUGAAUCAUUCAACUCAUGAGAUUUCUUGUAGGGGAUGUUGUGAAAAUUCCAUUGUACUUCCACAUGUUAAUAAUAAAUAUAAUUUAUAAAUUGGAAAAGACACAUCGCGUGACGUUUUGGAACGUCACAAAUAGUCCCCAUAACAAACACCAUAGAAGGAUCAUUGAUAACCCUUCAUUUUUAUCUCUUGAGUUUCACGGAUUUUCUUGAAUUCAUUUCUAAUUGGGCAAAUACCAAUAAAAAAACUCAAAUUGUACUCACUAUGACAUAAAUAUCCUAAUUUUUUGUCACCAAAAAUUCCAAACAUGAUACAAAUACUCCCAACUUUUUUUUAUUUCACAACAAAAUUCAAACUUACACACGUAUGAAUUGUCACAUUGGUAUAAGAUUUGGGCUUUUUAUGACUAAAAACAGUUUAGAGUACUUGCAUCAUAAUUGGCAAUUUUAGAAUUUUUAGUAACAAAAAGGAAAGUCUGAUAUUUGUGUAUACUGAACACAAUUUAGGUUUUUUUAUUAAUUAAUCUUUUCUGAGUUGUCGCUUAUUAAAAAGAAACAGCGGCGGCAGCAUCAAUGCUGAUGUCCACACGUUCUGUUUCUCACGCUCGUGGGAUCCAAUGUCCAUGGAGUACCACAUGAAGAGACCUUUCAGACACACGAAUACUUCUAUUUCAUAAGAAAUCAUGCGCGCUUCCGUUCCUUCCCAGGCGUCCGAUGGAGCCUGCGAACCGAACAACACCGCUAGUUCAUCGAAAGAAGAUGGUUCAAAAAAUCGCGCAAAUAAAGAAUAUGGAUAAAACCAGAACAGCCAAACAUCAUCCCGCGUACAAUGCACAACCUUCGUGCAUGUUUAUGUCCUUUAUAAGUCCGAGUGAAUAGGAGGCAGGGAAGUGAAGUUGCAGAAAUGGUAGGCGUGGACAGGUACUAAAGUACCACCUAUGUAUGUCCUUAUUGUGAUCCCUCACUUGUUAGAAUAAUAUAAAAUUGAUUGUUGAAGAUUUGAGCAUAUUGGAUUUGUUGUUAGUAUUCUUCAAAAUGCUUGAUCUCUGGUGAGUGUCAGAAGAAGAUUGAAGACGAAAGAAUAUUGGCACAAUUUAUGGUGGGCUAUAUUUGAGUAGCCCCUCUACCAUUCAACGAGUAAAUGCUUUCAUAUUGAAAAGGAAGGGUCUUGUCUUUUUUUUUUCUUUUGUCAAAGAACAUGAGGUUUCUUCGUAAGAAGCAAGGACUUCAUGUCUCUGUCUCAUUUGUUCUUCAUGUGUUUUUUCUUCACUUUGUGGACUAUCGGCACGAUUUAAGGUGGGCCAUGUUUGAGUAGCCCCUCCACCAUUCAACAAGGAGUGAAUACUUUUAUAUUGAAAAGGGAGGGUCUUGUCUUCUUUUUUUCUUUUGUCAAAGAAAAUGAGGUUUCUUCUUAAGAAGCAAGGACAUCAUGUCUCUGUCUCAUUUGUUGUUCAUGUAUUUUUUCUCCACUUUGACAAAAGAAAAAAAAGAAGACAAGACCCUCCCUUUUCAAUAUGAAAGCAUUUAGUCGUUGAAUGGUAGAGGGGCUACUCAAAUAUAGCCCACCAUAAAUCGUGCCGACAUUCUUUCGUCUUCAAUCUUCUUCUGACACCCACCAGAGAUCAAGCAUUUUGAAGAAUACUAACAACAAAUCCAAAAUGCUCAAAUCUUCAACAAUCAAUUUUAUAUUAUUCUAACAAGUGAGGGAUCACAAUAAGGACAUACAUAGGUGGUACUUUAGUACUAGUCCACGACUACCAUUCUGCAACUUCACUUCCCUGCCUCCUAUUCACUCGGACUUAUAAAGGGCAUAAACGUGCACGAAGGUUGUGCAUUGUAUGCAGGAUAAUUUUCAACGAUGGUCAACGCUAGAUUGACUGGGUUGACUUUUUGUUUGAAUUUUGUUCUAUUUUUUUUUCUAGUUUUGCCCAAUUUAAACAAAACCAAACAUUUCUUCAUGAAUUGGAUCAAAUGAGAUGCAAGUGGGCUAUCUCAAGUCGAUUAAUUGUGCACAAAAUUUUUAAAUCCAUUGAAUUCUUAUUGAAGGGAGGCCACAAGCUAAACUCAUAUUUUUAAUUGAACCUCAAUUGGCCAAAUUGAAGCUCAAUUAUUUCAAUUACAUUCUAGUCUAGAAUGGGCCAAGUCAAAUUAUAUCAAUUGAAGCAUCUUAGUAGGGUUUUCUAAUCUCUGAAUAGGUCAAAUCAACCAAACUAGAAUGUACCCAAGUGAAUCUCUCAAAAUUGACCCUAGAUUUGGACUUAUCUCAAGAAUAUGAGUGAAAUGCAUACGUUCGUUCGUAGGUCAUGAAUAAUCGAUUUUAGUCCCCUAAUUAAGGCUCAAAACGGCAAUUCGUAUUUUGACUCGAUAAAUUGCGCAAUUGAAUGCUCAAAUAGGUUUUAGAUAGUCCCUAAACCAAAUGUCAAAGAAUGAACCAUACCUAAUUAUGACUAGAAUAAAAGUAAUUUUAUUUUUGAUCGAUUUAGAACCUAAAACUGAAAAAUUUAGAAAUCACGAUUCUUAAUCGAAUUUUGUGAAAUUUUUGACACAAAAGUCAAAUUAGCAUUAAAAGAAAUAUAUUUGUGUAUUUUUUUUUUGUCAAAGGUUUGACAAAAAGUCAACCGUUUAGUUGACUUUUGUUAAAAAGUUGAUUUUUUGGUCAAAUCUUUGAAUCUUCAAGAAAUUCAUUUGAAAAAAGUGAAAUUAAAGCUAAGUGGAAUUUUUUUGGGAAAAAGUCAAUUUUUGACCUGAGGUUAACUUUUUGUUGACUUUUGGUCAAAGGGCUGACCAAAAAGUCAACCUGAAAGUCAACAGUUUGACUUUUUGGGUUUUUCUUGAAAAUGAACUAAAAACUGUUUAAAAAUGACAAUGCAAAAGAACGAAAUGAAAAACGACAUUUUUUUGGUCGAGAGAACAGAAGGCAGGGAAGUGAAGUUGUAGAAAUGGUAGUCGUGCACGUUUAUGUCCUUUAUAUAAUGCACAACCUUCGUGCACGUUUAUGUCCUUUAUAAGUCCAAGUGAACAGAAGGCAAGGAAGUGAAGUUGCAGAAAUGGUAGGCGUGGACUGGUACUAAAGUACCACCUACGUAUGUCCUUAUUGUGAUCCCUCACUUUUUAGAAUAAUAUAAAAUUGAUUGUUGAAGAUUUGAGCAUGUUGGAUUUGUUGUUAGUAUUCUUCAAAAUGCUUGAACUUUGGUGGGUGUCAAAAGAUUGAGACGAAAGAAUAUCGGCAUAAUUUAUGGUGGGUUGUGUUUGAGUAGCCCCUCCACCAUUCAACACGGAGUAAAUGCUUUCAUAUUGAAAAGGGAAUGUCUUUUUUUUUUUCUUUAGUCAAAGAACAUUAGGUUUCUUCGUUCGUAAGAAGCAAGGACUUCAUGUCUUUGUCUCAUUUGUUGUUCAUGUGUUUUUUCUUCACUUUGUAAAGUUUCUUGUUUUCUAUCUGAUCUUAGUUAAGCUAUGCACACAUCUAACCACUUUAAAAGGCUGUGGACUUCAAAUCUGUGGCUAUACAGAAGCAAAGAGCAUUCUCAUUUCCAUUAUUUCUCUCUCUAGUCUUCAUUUGUGCCUUGUUCCAAACUUCCAAAAUUUGUCAUAUUCUUUUUGGUUCCACCAUCACUAUUGGAGGGAUCAUCAACAAUAAAUCUCUCUCGCAUUCAAUUUCUGGGUGCGCAUAAUCUACAUACUGGCCAAAGCCGUUUCCUACUCGAGCCUCUCUAGAGUCACCAUCGAUAAAAAUUUUAGCUGUCAAGCCCGCUGUUCUCAUGCUACUUCAUCCCUAGUUGAAGAGUGUAGGAGAUACCUAAUCUCCAUGAGAUAAACGGAUAACUCACUUGAAUUGACACCUAAUUAUUAAACUAUCAUGCCUCUAGUUUAUAUGUGUAGGAGGAACGCCACGAGAAAAAUAAAUUGAUAAAGCAAUCCGUGAAAUCCAAGUAAGAACAAGACAUCAAUAUAUUGAAUAUUGAAUUAAAGUUAUACGGCUUGAUUGCACAAAUUAAGAGUUAGAAGAUUAGAUUGCAUAAUUUAUGUAAAUUUUUGGACCAAAAAUGAAAUUAUUAUGAUGAUGUAAGAAUCGAGUUUUACCUAUUUCGAUGAAAUGGAUGGAUAACAAGAAUCAACGUGACCAGCAUGUUUACCCAUUUUCAUUGCCAAAAGAUAAAUUAAUGUUUUCUCCUGUAUUUCUUUUAUUUAUUGUUUUGGGUUGCUUUCUUGUGAACAGGAUAAGAGUGUAUUUAUAUCGUGUUUUCCGUGCAAUAAUCGCAGAAGUGCAAGGUGAGAAAUAGCUCAAAGCUUAGCCAAUGGAGUCCUGCUCUAUUUCGCUAUUUUGGCUGGGCCUCCUCCUCCCGGCACUUCUAGUUUUCCUUCUCAACCGUCGGAAGCGCACCAAGCUUCCCCCUCAGCCCCCAGCAUGGCCCGUGAUCGGCAACAUUUUCGACCUCGGGACCAUGCCGCACCAGAACCUCCACAACCUCCGAGCCAAGCAUGGGCCUGUCUUGUGGUUGAAGCUCGGUUCCGUGAACACCAUGGUGAUCCAAUCAGCUCGAGCGGCCAUGGAGUUAUUCAAGGGCCAUGACUUCGUGUUCGCAGACCGCAAGUGUUCCCAAGCGUUUACUGCUCUCGGCUAUGACCAAGGCUCGCUCGCUCUUGGUCGUCAUGGUGACUACUGGCGCGCUCUCCGGCGUCUCUGCUCCGCGGAGCUCCUCGUGAACAAGCGCGUCAACGAUACGGCCCACCUCAGGCAAAAGUGUGUCGACAGCAUGAUCAUGUAUAUAGAAGAAGAAAUGGCAGUCAAACAAGCAACAAAAGGUUAUUUCUUAAGUACUUGGUGUCAUUGCUGACUCUGUGUCCUAUGUGUCGCCUCGAAUGGUUGAAGUUAUAGCUUUUAGAAAAGUAAAAAAGCAACAGGGAGAGAUAGAUGAACUUAUCUUAAAUUCCAUAUAAAUAAGAUCAAGGUCCUAUACCCUACCCAAUAUUUUUACUAGGGUCACAACCCUUAAUUAUUUAUUAAUAUGAAGAAAAAGCUAAGAAGACGGUCCGAUCACUAUUUAGGAAACCACGAGGACACGCUGACCACAAAUCUCCGUUGUGGGAUAUUAGCAACAAGAAUAUAACAUUUUCAAAAUUCAAUUGCCAAAAAAUGACUUUCAUAGAGUAAAAUCAGAAAAAGUUAGACCAUAUAAACAUAAUAUACAUUGAGCCCAUGACUACACACCUGUAGGAAACCAAAGCUUGUUUAAGAUUUGUCAAAUUAGAAUUUCUAAGGUUUGUGUUUCAUUAUUAUUACUAAAUUAUUGUAAUAGGUAAAAUAUAGCAUCUUCAUAUCCCUUCUCUAAUAUGUCACUAGCACGAAAUUAUCUACUCUCUCAUGAUGAUCGAUGUCUACACAAAUUUAAACUAUGUGCUACUAGUUUCUGGUUUAGGUGUGACUAGGGCUACCGAAGCAAUAACUCGAACGUGAGCAACAUGAAAGCAGAGAAAUGAUGGGGAAUCAAAACAUUCGUAGUUUUUAUUUAAGAAAACAUUCUAUCUUGCCUUUUAGGCGAUGGUUCUUCAUUUGCCAUCUUGAAGUGUACUACCCCUAUAUAUUUGAAGUCGUUUUCUAGAUAGCAUUGGAUUCAUAUAAUUUUUUACUUCUAAAUUUCGAUUAAAAUUUUUAUUUUCCUUUUAGAGUCAUUCAUGACAUUCUACAAAUUAAUUUUGGUACAAGCACAUAAUCUAAAAUUGAUAAGAAAAGUUGGUGUUGCGUUAACUUUGGUUUCUUAUUAUGCUAAAUGAUUAUACUNNNNNNNNNNNNNNNNNNNNNNNNNNNNNNNNNNNNNNNNNNNNNNNNNNNNNNNNNNNNNNNNNNNNNNNNNNNNNNNNNNNNNNNNNNNNNNNNNNNNNNNNNNNNNNCACACUGACAUAUGUGAUCAGUAUAUCUGUCAGCUGACAACGCUGUCUUCUUAGCAUGGCCUAUUCAUAUAGGUAAAGAAAGCAACCUACAACUAGAUUUAACUUCUGGCACUUCCGCAAAAUGUUCAGUUAUAUAUUUUUUAGUUCAAGUGGGCCCUCGUCUUACAUAUGUAGAUUGAAUAUCUACGAGGAAUGUCGCGCCAGCGUUAUACGUUGGCACUAACUAAGCUAAUUUAUUUGGUGAAUUUUUUUUUUUUUCUAAACAUAGUUCUGAUAUGGGUAAGAAAAAUAAAUAAAAUAUUUAAAAAAAAUCUAACUAUAGUUCUGAUAUGGCUAGCUGGCUAGGGUAGACCGCAGUUUCGAGGCACGACGUGGAUCGUUGGGUGCUCGCCGUUCGCGAACGCCACCUCCCGUGCAAGCACACCCUUGCCACCUUAGCGACGAGUCGCCUCUAUCCUUAAUUCAGCAUAGCCUCCAUUCACGAACGUCUCCCCCUAGUUCACUCGCGACACUUCUGUUUUUCAUUUCUUCUUUUGCAAAUUUCCUUAUUUUUGAUUUGUUGAUAUUUAUGUUAUUUUUUAAUUUCCUUAUUUGUGAAUUUUUUGUUAUUCUAUUUUAAGUUUUUCCAAAAGAGAAAUAAUUGCGUGACAGUCUUUAAUAUACUAUAAGAAUAACAGUCAAUUCUAAAUCACAAAAAUCAAAUCAUAAAUAAUUAUAAAUUAUUAUAAAACUCAUUUUUUAAAGAAUUUAUGAUUCGCAGUAUAUUGUUAUUCUCAUAAUCCUUUCAAAAACUUAUGUAGGUUUACCGUGUUGACAUUCAACGAGACCUAAUUGCCAUUUCAACAUUUAUGUUUCCUUUUAAAUGGAAAGACCAAACCAAAUAAGAACGUAUAUGAUUUAGGGAUCUAAUUCCACCGAAAAAAAAGGGACCUAAUUAAACCCUUUGUAAAAGUUUAGGGAUUACCUAUACUUCUAUCUUUUUUUUUUCUUUUUUUGUGUACUGUAAUUGACAAAGUCAACAAAUUAAAUACUAGUGUAAAUAACUCAAUUUACCAAAGAGCUACUGGAAUUUAAUUUGUUUUUCAGUCGAACUCGCUUUCUUUUUUUGGGGUUCGAGUCGAACUAGAGUGGCUAAACUGUUGAAUUAUGUAAAGCUCGAGUGGCUUUAUCAUCGAAUUGCGUAGGUAAACUUUCGUGUUGGACAUUGAAGCAUACACAGUAAGUCAAGGAGCUUACGAGCAGUUUAGAGAUUGGUUCCUCUUGAUUUGACUGCAUCUUUCCUUUAACUAGUUGCACGACUUGGUACAAUCUAUUUUUCUCAUGUCUAAUUUUGUUAAGUGUGGUUAUACAUCAUCUGAUUAGAAUUAAUCAUAAAGAAAUUUUAUUUUUAUGAAGGACAAGGAAUCGACUUAUCUCACUUCCUCUUUCUCCUGGCAUUUAAUGUGGUGGGCAACAUGGUGCUCUCACGGGAUCUAUUGGACCCAAAAUCGAAGGAUGGGCCCGAGUUCUACGACGCCAUGAACCGGUUCAUGGAGUGGGCUGGCAAGCCCAACGUAGCCGACUUCAUGCCAUGGUUGAAAUGGUUGGAUCCGCAGGGGAUCAAGGCAGGCAUGGCGAAGGACAUGGGUCGAGCCAUGAGGAUUGCCGAAGGCUUUGUGAAAGAGAGGUUGGAGGAGCGAAAGCUAAGGGGAGAGAUGAGAACAACGAAUGAUUUCUUGGACGCAGUAUUGGAUUAUGAGGGCGAUGGAAAAGAAGGCCCUCACAAAAUCUCUUCCCAGAACAUAAAUAUAAUCAUUCUGGUGAGUUUGCUCCUCUCUUCCACGUUUAACAUGACCACACUUUGAGACAUUAGGUCGAAUUCGGUUGAUUAAGUGGCGCGACAAACUUAAGUGACCUUUAUUUCUUCGUAGAUUAACAACUAGGGUCACAUCACGCAUUACGGAGAAGUUUUAGUAGCUUACUUAAUAAAUCAAUCAUGGUGCUGUCUAAGCACUGAUUUUUCUUUUCAUUAAAAUAAACUAAAAUCAAUCUUAUGUCUUCGUCAAGCAAUUUAACUAGUUAUUAUAAAAUUACCAGGUUAGUCAAGUCAAUGUCAAUCAAGUCGAGAAAUUUUGACAUUGGCUUACAAAAUUUGGCUGAAAUCAAAUUGAUUGCAAGGAUAAAAACCAGUGCAAAUAAUUAUUGCAAUCAAACUCUUAGGCAGGAAUAAUUUUCAAAGCCGUUGACGGACAAUUGCAGUAAAGCAAUUAUUGUAGCUGAGACUAUAAGAAGCGCACAUCUUAAUGGAACGCGCAGACAUAAGAAGAACAAGCUUUACUUAUGUUAAUCCAUUUUGCUCUCUUGCAAAUCUUUUUCAGUUAUUUCCCAGCAACCUAUUUCUUGCCAUUCCAGUUGUUUAUUUCCUUUUGUCAAUCAAGCACUUGCCCCAUCUCUUUCAUAAAUACUUCUGUUGUCACUGGUGGAUUCAUUUCGUCAACUUCAAGUUCUUGUUCCUUUCUUUGUGUGCCAAUCAUCUGCCAAUUCGAAGAAUAGGAACUGCUGUGUUUGAUCAGGAUUGUUGAUCAGGUGAAGCAUGAUAAUUUUUACUAUUGAGCUGACGAUUCGAGGGUGACCUUUUCCAGCCAAAGAGAAUCUCUUAAUUAUAGGACGAAACUCGGACACUUGUGGUAUCCAAGACCUAAUCUUUGUACUAAAUGGGUCUACUUGAUGGUGCAGGAAAUGUUUUUCGCCGGAUCGGAGAGUACAAGUAGCACCAUCGAGUGGGCGAUGGCGGAGCUACUCCGCCAACCCGAGUCGAUGAAAAAGGCCAAAGAUGAGAUUGACCAGGUUGUGGGGUUGAACAGAAAGCUCGAAGAAAAUGACACGGAAAAGAUGCCAUUUUUGCAAGCCGUGGUGAAGGAAACCCUAAGAUUGCAUCCCCCAUUACCUUUACUUAUCCCACGAAAUGCUCUAAAGGAAACCAAAUUCAUGGGUUUUGAUAUACCCAAAGAUACCCAGGUUUUCGUGAAUGCAUGGAGCAUUGGAAGAGACCCCGAUGCUUGGGAGGACCCAUUGGCAUUCAAACCAGAGAGGUUCGUGGGAUCUAAAAUUGACUACAAGGGUCAAAACUUUGAGCUAAUUCCAUUUGGAUCAGGCAGAAGAAUAUGCGUCGGACUUUCAUUGGCGGAUAGGGUGCUUCAUCUUGGUCUUGCAACACUGCUUUACCAUUUCGAUUGGGAACUAGGCGAUGGUUCAACUCCAAAGACCCUCGACAUGAAAGAGCGGGUGGGAAUAACACUUAGAAAGCUCCAUCCUUUGAAAGUGAUACCUAAGAAAUGUAGCGUGUGAGGUAUAAUUACCCUAAGGUUAUUAUAAUGUUAUCGUGUCAAGGAUUAAAAAAGCUGUCCAAGAAAGACUUCUUAAGAACGAUGUCAUCCCUGCACAAAUAUCUUAGGGAAACUACAAGUUCUUAUGUUAGCAUUUGGGUCCCGUUUGAAUUGUAUGACUUGAGCAUGUAGCAGGGUAGCUCCCCUGCCCUUUAUACCAUCAAUAAAACCUCACUUGUCGAAAAAGAAAAUUACUCUACAUUUGGCUCCACACUUAGAGUCCACAAAAUGGACAUUUGCGAUGAACCGGAUUCACUAGACGCAAGACUGUACAAUAGAUUCCCGAAUCAUAUACUAUAAGCGGUUUCUAGUGGGUGAUGGUGGAGCGAUCAAAGAGAGCAAUAUAAAAGAAAAGUAACAGGAAGAUACUGUAUGAUCUUGUCGGAUCUUGUCAAAUCCAUAUGGACAAUUGAUCACGUGGACUCUGCAGUAGGACCCAGUCGGUGUUGGUUCACAUGUUUUGUCACUAUUGCAAAUUAUUCUAAAAUAAACACAAGAUUGCAAAUUUGCUGAAGAAGGCUGUAGAUACGUCUUGAUUCAUUAUCAUGAUCCAUCCGUAUAUAAUCCAAAAGCAUAUAUAUUUGGGCACCCCUCGAAUACCCCUUUGAACUUCUGACCAAUUAAUUUACUUUAGUAAGUUCACCUUUUACUUUUCCGUGGCGGCUACUUAAUUAAAUUCUUGCUAGGACCGAUCGACUACAUGUAAAAUGAAUGCAUCAACAAAAUAUACUUGACCAAAACAAAGAAAAUCAGUUAAAAAUCACGGUUCCAUUUAUGUCCAUCAUCUUAAAUCAUUUGCAAGCUUAGACUUAGCUCAAUAAUAAACGCCAUUUGGAAUGAUUCACUAAAAACAUUUCCUCAACAAAGAUGUUCAAAAUCAUUUGCACUUCAUGGACCUAGUUCAUGAUAGAUUUAGAAUCCACUAUCUUGAGUUCAAGAAUUUGGCUACCACAAAUUUCUCAGUUUUGUAUUUCUUUUCUAAGGAUUCCCAUAAUUGUCUAAUAGUUUCAAUGUUACAAUAAACAUGAUACAAGGAAUUUGCUAGAUAGUUAAGGAUAUAGUUUCAGCAUAGGAAAUCCUUGUGCUUCCAAGGCUCCAGCUCCCCAAGCGUCGUGACAUCUUUUGCUCAUCUGGACUAAUUAUUGAGCACACCUCUAAUGAGUACUUGACUAAAUUCAGUGUGGUCAAUAAAAGAACAUCUUCUAUUACCGUUGCUUAAAGCCCACACUAGUUAACUCACACGGUUUCUCAUUCGGUGUUAUUGGAGAAGGUAUCAUCAUAUUAGGCAAAGCUUGUUAAACCAUCUCUCCAGAAAUUGAACCAUACACCAUUAGAUAUGUACUUUUUUGAAAAAUAGUCCCUAGUGUAUCGGUCAAGCGACUUCUACUGGUACCACCAUAGAUGGUUUCGGCCUGAAAGUUUGCAGCAUUUGUUGUCACAACACUAGACCAUGAGGUUUGAACCUCCCUCAUUGAAACACCAUAUGAACGUCUCACAAACAUUCCAACAUUAUUGGGUACUUGAUUGUUAUUAGUCAUCUCGAUUUUUUGAUAAACCCAACAAAAACAGUAAAAGAUAAUCGCCUUAAGAUUGUGGGAAAUAUUAAUACGUAUUGGAGAAAAUAAUAAUAAUUUUAAGAAAGCAAUAUCAAAAUAAACAAGAGGUGAGGCACGGCUAAUCAAAUCUCCUUAAGGCGAUUAGUUCAUGUCAACCAAUUAGUUUCGCGAACUAUGCCUAUCAAAAUACAACACCUCAAACCCGUUUGUAUAAGCACUAUAUGAACAAGAUUUUAUCGAACACUUCUUUAAAUCAGCACACUUAAAGAAACUACCAAGAAACUAGAGGAAUACUUUGAGGAUUUUUUGUUGUUAUUUUGAAUUAAGAAGACGUGUCUAUUUAUAGACAAGGGAACUAGCUGUAGAAAACUGAAAGGACAUGAACUCAAGAGUCACACUGAUUAUGCUCACAUUAGUUGAGCCAUUAACCCUUAAUAACAACAUUAUUAGAUCAGAAACUACAGGAGAACAAAGAGUCAUGAACCCAUAAUUGCAACAAUUAGGGCAUGAUCCAAAGAGACAAACUGGUUGCAUGUGAAUUGAAAAAGGCGUGAAUUGAAGAGACGUUUCAUUAACGUUGAGCCAUUAAAACCUAUGAUUACAAUAAUAAUUACAACACACUGUGCCUCCCUUAGUUCUUGUCCCAAGAGCUUCUAAUUUGAAUUCAUCAAGUACGCUAUGUGCAUCAUAAAAGCAUCUUUCAGUUUCUCAAGCCAAAAUUAGGUCACAUAAACUUGUUAUACAUGUGUCCCUGAGCACCCCGAUCUCAUGCUUGAUGCCCUCUAAAUUUCCAACUUUUUCUAGUGCUUGUGGAGCCAUAGCUCUAGCAAUGCUAACGAUGACAGAUGCCAUCUCUCUCUCAUAAUAUAUUAGUCGAGUCAUUCCAAGGCCAGAGACUGCAGGUAAGUAUAAUAAGUUUAUGUGACCUGAUUUUUAACUUCUUCGAUGGAGUCGAGUUGUUGAAGGUAGGAUUCUCAUCAUCCACGCAAGCCUAUAUCAAUAAUGCAUAUAGGACGCACCGAUUUGGUUUGUCUAAGAUAUUUUGUGCUUCAAGAGUUUACUCGUUUAACGUGCUUGCAAGUCGUAAAGGCAAUGAAAAGGCUGGCGUUGAAUUGAAAUCCAUGUUUAUUUUGAAUAUUAAAUUAACAAUAAAAAAAUUAACAGUAAUAAAUUAGAAGGAUAGAACUAAGUUCCCUAUGUUCACUUUUUUUCCAUAAAAAUAGCCGCCUCCUUGGAAAGUCCUAACCACGUGAUAUAUGCAAUACCAAUCAAAUGUAAAAAAUCAUAAUUGAAUCUAUUUAAAAUGGGUAUAAUUAUUGGUGCAUCAUUUUCUAAUUAAAUCACUGUCCCCACAUAUCAAUCUUUUAAGAAGAAUAUGGCCAUUUUCAUCUAUUCUUUUCUUCAGGCUUAUUUGGAAACUGUUUCGAAAACUAUUCUCCAAAAUUUUCAAACAUUGCGCUGAUUCUCAACUUUUAUUCUUGACACAAGUGGAGAGCGAUCUGAAGAGGGUUAAUGCGUUUCUAGUUUUUGGUUACUUCAUGAUACAAUGGAUGUUGUUAUAAUUAUCAUUCAAUGAAAUAAUUUGCUUAGUCAAUAUAUAUGCUUACUGCUGUUCGUGGAAGGCUUCGUUCUUUAUUUUUAUUUUUUUCCAAAUAAUGGGGAAUCAUUAUCUAAAUUCUUGGGAUGAAUUUUGGGUAUGACAAGUUUGGAAUCAUAACUUAGGUUAUAAAACCAGUUUAGCUAGCAUUAAUUCGGGCACCGUGAUGUGCGAUGAGUUAGUAACUAGAUGUGUGUGCGUGCGCACGUCACACACAAUAUGCACUCAUGCAUUACAUGUAGCUACUCUUUCAAUGGAUAUAGAAAGUUCUAUAUGCAUAGGUAGCAUGAUCGAUUUGUUAGCAUUCUGAUGCAAAUGUCAUUGCUCUUGGCUUGAAACUAUUCUUCAUAUUGUCAUGAGACAUUAGUACUAUUAUUUUACUAAAACAUUACAAUUUGGAUAGGGAAGUUCACUCUCCUUGCUAAUCUCUCAGAUUUAUUUGCUUCCUAUGAGUAAAAUGCUUCUAUAUAGUUUAUUUCUUUCUUUAGCUUUCCUAUUCUCUAAGUAAAUGAAUAAUCUCUUCCCAUACUAGGCAAUAACAAAACUUGCACAUUUUGCAAACUCCUAACAUUUAGACAUUUUAUGCAUGUCACUCCUUUUCAUGAAAGGGAUGUCUACUUUUUUUUUUUUUUUUUUGAGAAGAAAGAGAAGCCUUUUUUGCCGCAAAUUGCAGGUAUUCCGAUUUGAGAUAUUUACUCGCGGGAAACAUGCAAACGAAGAACAAGUCUUAUGGGGGAAUCUACUCCGAGCACUGAAAGUCCAAUCAUUGAAUUUAAUGGACAAUCCGGGGAGGACACAAGUCAACCGCAUUCCAAGCACAGCCCCUAACAUGACUGUGACACAUCUCAUUUGACAAAUCACCUGCGAAGAGUACAUAUAUCGCAAUAACGGGGGGCAUUCUAGUUCAUUUACCCUGAACGCUACAGAUAUUCUUUUUAACUUACUUAAGAUAAAAGAAAGUGAAUUUGAAACUAUCCCGUCAAGAACCACACCACAAAGGGAGAAAAAUGAAGGUCAGAAUGAAACAAUUAUGAAGAUGUGGAGAAACAAAACUACCUUGUUUCGCUUACAUCAUUCUCUGAAUAAGCAAACUGGAGAAUGGGUUUUUGUAUUGAGUUGGAAGUCCUUGAAAGUUCCUCAAAUUCUUGAUCUGGGGGCACAAUUGGAGAAAUUUCUAUAUUCAUUCCCAGCCGGUAACGAAAAAUAUGAAGUUCUGCAUGCUCUGAAUCGGGUUUCAAGAGUGCAAAAAGGUGAUUAACGUUAAAGAGAAAACGAACAAGAAAAAACAAAAAAGAAGAGAUCAUUCCCAUCAAGGUUUUUCUGUCUGCUCAAGCAAUUUAUUUAUCAAUUUGAUAGUGUUACUUUCUUGCUUCCAUAACUGUAUGAUCAUUCAUCGCAUGUUAGUGGUUUAAGACCAAUCAAUCAAGGCUACUUGCAAAACAUUUUGUGAAAUAAAGUGAAGAUGCCAAAGGGAGAUAGAUUUAUCUAGCAUAAUCAAGUUCCUUAUUCAUGAAAUCUCUAGUUCAUAAAGUAAAGUGUUCUCUCACAUUUUACUUGGGUUUUUAAUCAACCAAAGUAGACUAAUGCCAAUUCUUAAAUGAAUUGAAUUGGAUGUCUAAAUAAUGUAAUUAAAACCCCAAAGUUGUGAUUGUCGGGGGUUUGAGAGAACCCACAUUAGACAAUGGUACCAUCUUUUUAAUGAGUAACCAUUCGCACUUGCAUAAUAAUCCAUUAGCUUUCUCUUAGUGGUCCACCUCUAAGAAGGUCAUGACAGUUGGCAAUUAGAGAGUGGCAACUAAAUUAAAGAAGGAAAAGUGAGCUUGUUGGAUUAGACACGAGUUGACCGAGCAAUCGCAUGGAAACGAUGAAUACACACUCCUCAUUUAUCCGAUUGCACUAAAAUGUCGAGGGGAGUUAGUCAACAAGCCGACGAAGCUUGUGUAAAAGUUUUAGACCAAACGGAUAUUGAAAAGUUUAGUUUUGAAGGCUUGACAUCAUUUUUUUUCCAGGCAUCCUUGUGUAAGAUCAUCCAGCAUUCCUUGAAAAAAUGCAAAUUUAGGAACUAUUCUUGGAACUAGCAUGUGAGCCAUAUAUUGUUUGAAAAUAGACGUAAAGACACUCGUCGUGAUACGUUUUUUUUUGUCAAAAUUGUUGUGAUACUUAUCUUGCAAUCGUUUUGAGCUUGUUUGGGUCUACAAUUAAUCAAGAGAAGUUGGGUAUAAAUUACUAGGAAGAAAAUUGAGUCCAAGUGUGAAUUGGUGCUGUUAAAGCUCUUUGGAGUGAUCAUAAUUUUAGCCGUGGGGCUUGAGGUUCUCAUACUACAUUGUCCCUAGUUGAAGAGUGUAGGAGAUUCCUAAUAUUCAUCAUAUGCACAGAUGACCUAUGUGAACUGAAACCUAACUAUUAAUGAACGAUCAUGCCUUUGGUUUAUAUGUGCAAAAGGAAUGCUGCGAGAAAAAUGAAUGCAAUGUUGUAUAAACUGAUUGUUUUGUUUUUAUCGUGGGUCAAAUUUAUGAGAUGCAAAUGUAUGAUAAAUUCAUCAGUGAAAUUCACGUGUUAGCAUCAAAAAGUCCUUUAAAUAGUGAAGAUUGGAAAUUUCGAUCAAAUUAAUGAUUGGACUUAAAUAUAUGAUGUUUUCGAAAAAGACAAGCCAUCUUACUAAGGCAAAAGUUGUUGGAGUUAUCCCACAUCAAUUAUGGAAUUGUUUGGUGGUUAGUUUAUAAAUAUGAAGGAAAGUUUCACCCUUUGAAUAAACGUUUGAGGUGAGAGAAGCCCAAGACUACCAAACAUUGGUGUUAGAGCCAAUGGUAGAUUGGUGGCCCCAAUCUGUUCUAGAUAUCUCAAUAAAAGGAAUCUAGUGACCAACCCAAUUUAUGGGCAAUGUGUGUUGUGGUAUAAUGCAAUCCCAAUGGUAGUCUUCAUGGUUCAAUUCAAAGAAAAAAAACAUGGAUAAAGGUGGGUGUUGGAGAUUCAAGUUAAGAUUAGUUAAUAUAGAAAGAUACCUAAAUUCAGGGGAGCAAACCUAACAUUGAGCUCAAAUGUGAUGGGGAGAUUGUUGAGAUAUACAUGUGAAUUAUCUUAAGGAAAGGAAUCUAGUGACCAACACAGUUUCUGGGCAGUGUGUGUGGUGCUGUUGCAACACAAUCCCAUGGUAUUUUUCAUGGUUCAAUCCAAUGAAAAAGAACAUGGACAAAGGAUGGAUGAAGGUGAAUGUUGAAGAUUCAAGUUGAGAUAAGUUAAUGUAGAAAGAUACUUGAAUUAAGGGGGAACAUACCUAACAUUAAGCUUACACGUGAUGAGGAGAUUGUUGAGAUACAUAUAUAAGUUGUGUUUGGGAAGUCCCACAGUGGAGAAUUGGUGUAGUGUGAAGUAAUUAAUUUAUCUAGUUGGUCAAUAACUCAUUACUUUAAGCUUUUGAGUGAAGAUGGGUUCAAUUAGAUAUGUUGAUAGACUUAGACUUCGGCUCCCUCUUAGCAAUCUCCUAGGGUAAAGAUAUUGAACAUCUGUUAUACACUCCCAACAAAAGUAAAUACAUAACUAUCCUAUUUUGAUAGGACAAAUUAGUUGAUAAAUCAAUCCAUGAAACCCAAGAAAGAACAAGGCAUCAUAAUUUUGUGGAAACCAGAGGAUUAUAUUGAGUACUAGAGUAAAGUUGUAAGAAUUAAAUGCACAAAUUAAGAGUUAUGGAUUUGAUUGCAUAAUUCAUGUAAGUUGUUUGACCAAAAAUGAAAUUAUUCCAAUGAAAUAAGAAUCGAAUUUAACCUAAUUCGAUGAAAUGGAUGAAUCACCAGACUCCACGUGACCAGCAUGUUACUCCUAUUCAUAGCCGAAAGAUAUAUUAAUGUUUUCUCCUUUUUAUUUUGUGGAUGGCAAAUAAUAGCAUCUCCUGUUUUUUCUUUAUUGUUUUGGGUUGCUUUCUUGUGAACAGGAUAUAUUAUAUCAUUUUUUCCACGCAAUAAUCGCAUAAGUGCAAGGUGAGCAAUAGCUCAAAGCUUAGCCAAUGGAGUACUGCCCUACUUUGCUCUUUUGGCUCGGCCUCCUCCUCCCGGCACUUCUAUUUUUCCUUCUCAACCGGAAGCGCACCAAGCUUCCCCCUCAGCCCCCCGCAUGGCCCGUGAUCGGCAAUAUCCUCGACCUCGGGACCACGCCGCACCAGAACCUCCACAACUUCCGAGCCAAGCAUGGGCCUGUGACGUGGUUGAAGCUCGGUUCCGUGAACACCAUGGUGAUCCAAUCAGCUCAGGCCGCCGCAGAGUUCUUCAAGGGCCAUGACUUCGCGUUCGCAGACCGCAAGUGUCCCCAUGCAUUGACAGCUCUCAAUUAUGACCAAGGCUCGCUCGCUGUGGGUCGUUACGGUGGCUACUGGCGCGUUCUAAGGCGUCUCUGCUCUGUUGAGUUCCUCGUGACGAAGCGCGUCAACGAGACGGUCCAUCUCAGGCAGAAGUGCGUCGACAACGUGAUCGUGUAUUUAGAGGAAGAAAUGGCGGUUAAACAAGUAACGACAGGUUAUUUCUUACGUGCUUCGUGUUACUUUGGACGUUUGCGUUGCAUGUGUAACCUUGAAUGACCGAAAUAAUAGUUUUCUUCUUCAAAGGGAAAAAAAAAAAGCAACAUAGAGAGAGAGAAAGGAACGUUUAAACUCCUUACAAAAUAUCGAAUAUUCCCACUAGUGUCACAAGUUCUUCUCACUAAUAUAUGUAAAAUCAACGGUUAAGAUAUGUUGGGACUUUUGCACCAUUAGGAGUUAAUGAUGCACGCUGUCAAAAGAAUAGUAUUUCAGUAAAGAACGCAACCUGCAACUAGAUCUACCUAAGAAAACAUUGGGCCUGCUUUUUACGGAUAAAGGAACCAGCAGUCUUUCUUUUUUGCAAAAUGUACAAUUAAGUUCCAGAAUCUUUUUUUUAUUUUUAUUUUUUCUACUAUUGAGUUCUUAAAUUAUACAUCUUUUAAUUUGAGUUGGCCCUCCUCUUAAAUAUGCGAAUGCAUUGGUUACGAUGAAUAUUGCAUCCCCACCAUAUGUUAGCACUAACUAGACUAACUAAUUAGGGAGACACGAAAGAAUUACUUAGUGCUAAGAUGGGUAAGAAAGGUUAUAAAAAUAAAGAAAUCUAAAUCCAAGUAAACAUUCACCAACCCAAGCGUUGCCUCAAUUUAUUGCAUGACCCAACUCACCUCCAUCCUAGUUAUUCAAAUUUUCUAUGUCAUUCUAUUUUUAGGUUUUUUAAGAAUUCACUUAAGACACCAUGUUGGUUUUCAAUGAGGACGUAACCACCAUGUCAACAUUUAUAUAUACUUCUUUAAUGGAAGGACUAAUUCAAAGAAGAAGUUAUACGGCUCGAGGAUCUAAUUGCACAACAAAUUUAGGAACCUAAUUAAAACUUUUUAUAAAAGUUUAGGGACUGCUGGUACUUUUAUCCCUUUGUUUUGUUACUGUAAUUGACAAAUUCAAUAAAAUAGAUACCAGUGUAAAUAAUUCAAGUUGUCCAAGAGCUACUGGUGUUUAAAGUGCUAUUUAGUCAAACUUGCUUUCAUUCUUCUCGAGUUUGAGUCGAACUAGAGUGGCUCUACUGUUGAAUUAUGCCAAGCUCGAGUAGCUUUACCAUUGAAUUGGGUCAAACUCGAGCAUGAUCAAGUAGUUGGGUUUUAUAUAUCUUCUGAUGCAUUGAUCAAGUAUAUCCCCAUUAUUAUGCAAGAGAAUGCAAAAGUAAAUUUUCCACUUUAUUUUAUUUGUAGAAGCCAAGUUGGAGUUUUUAAGAGUUCAGAUGCUAAUUUAGUUUUGUUAGUGGAAAAUAUCCGAAAACAAGCUUAUCAAGAACUUUAUUAAGUUCGACUUGAGCUUGAAAAAUCCAACUUUUGUCUUGAACAUUGCAGCUUGGAGGUUGAUUCCUCCAUCCCUCCUUAAACUAGUUGCAAAACUUGGUGCAAUAAUUUUUUUUUUCAUGUCUAAUUCAUUACGUUCUUCUAUACAUUCUCUAAUUAUAAUUAAUCGUUAAAAAUUUCUAAUUUUUAUGAAGAGCAAGGAAUCGACUUAUCCCACUUCCUCUUUCUCAUGGCAUUUAAUGUGGUGGGUAAUAUGGUGCUCUCGCGGGAUCUGUUGGACCCAAAAUCAAAGGACGGGCCCGAGUUCUUCGAUGCCAUGAACCGGUUCAUGGAAUGGGCUGGCAAGCCCAACGUAGCCGACUUCCUGCCGUGGUUGAAAUGGUUGGACCCGCAGGGGAUCAAGGCAAGCAUGGCGAAGGACAUGGGUCGAGCCAUGAAGAUUGCUGAGGGUUUUGUAAAAGAGAGGUUGGAGGAGCGAAAGCUAAGGGGAGAGAUGAGAACGACAAAUGACUUCUUGGAUGCGGUAUUGGAUUAUGAGGGCGAUGGAAAGGAAGGUCCUCGCAAAAUCUCUUCCCAGAACGUCAUCAUAAUAAUUCUGGUAUCCUCUCUUCCACUCUUGGCAAACAAGAAAUGAUUAACAUCUUAAGGAUAUUAGGUCCAGUUCGGUUUGUAAAGUGGGGUGGUAAACUUAAUUGACAAUUAACAAGCAGGUCAUAUCACGCGUCGUUCUCUACAGACUUGUGUUUUCGUAGAACAUUCUAGCACUAGAUUUUAUAAUAACUAGCCUUUUCCAAUCGACUAUCUAUGAAAACAUUUUACACUUUAAGUUUGUAGAGAACGUUGCAAAACAAAAAGCUACUACCAUUAUAAAGAUGUUACCAUUCUUUCCUGAUUUAGCCAAUCUGUGCUCAUUUUGUAAUAACUAGCUAAGAAUGUUCUCCAAAAACACAAGAUUGAUUUAUGGUUUUUUUAUUUAUUUUAAAUCCAGUGCUAGAAAGACACAUUGAAUGAUUUAUUAAAUUAAGUUGAUGUCAAUUUGACUGAUUAAUAGAACAUGUAGGGUAUCCACAAUGGAUGAGUGAAUAGUAUGUUGAUCAGAUGUGUGAUCUGAUAUUGACUAAAUAUAAUCGAUGCUCAAACACCAGCAUUGAUUAUAAGAAGCCAAUAAGAUUAAGUUGACGAGGCAUGAAAAGUUUUUGUCCAUGGACUUAUAAAUUAAAGUCAAGUUAAUGUCGGUCGAGUCAAGAAGUAUUGACAUUGGCUCACAAAAUUUGGUCGAAUCAAACCGACUGCAAGGAUAAAACUAACGCGAACAGUUAUUGUAGUCAAACUUCUAGGACGGACCAAUUUUUAAAGUUGUUGACCGGCAGUUGCAGUGAAGCAAUCGUUGUAGCCGAGACUACAAAAAGAGCACAUCUUAAGGGAAAAAAGACGCAUAAACAUGAAAAGAACACACUUCACUUUCUUGCCAUUCAUUUUCAGUUAUUUCUCAGCAACUUAAUUCUUGCCAUUCCAGUUGUUUAUUUCAUUUUUCCAAACAAACACCUGCUCUUGCCCUUUUAUAAAUAUUCCUGUUGUCAUUAGUGGAUUCAUUUCGUCAAUUUUAGGAUCCAAUCAUCAAAUUCUUGUUCCUUUCUUUAUGCGCAAUUGUCUGUCAAUUCGAAGCAUAGGAGCUGCUAUGUUUGAUAAGGAUUGUAUUAGGUGAAGCAUGAUGAUUUUUACUGUUAAGCCCACGAUUUGAGCGAGUGAUUUUCGAGCGAAAAUGAAUAUCUUAAUUAUAGCAAAAGUAUCAACAUUGGUGGUAACCCUAGCAAGACAUGAUCUUGUACUAAAUGGGUCUAAUUGAUGGUGCAGGAAAUGUUUUUCGCUGGAUCAGAGACUACAAGCAGCACCAUCGAGUGGGCGAUGGCGGAGCUACUCCGCCAACCCGUGUCAAUGAAAAAGGCCAAAGAUGAGAUUAACCAGAUUGUGGGGUUGAACAGAAAACUCGAAGAAAGUGACACGGAAAAAAUGCGGUUUUUGCAAGCUGUGGUGAAGGAAACCCUGAGAUUGCAUCCACCAUUACCUUUGCUUAUCCCACGAAAUGCUAUAAAAGAAACCAAUUUCAUGGGAUUUGAUAUACCCAAAGAUACCCAGGUUUUCGUGAAUGUAUGGGGCAUUGGAAGAGACCCAGAUGCUUGGGAGGACCCGCUAGCAUUCAAACCAGAGAGGUUUCUAGGAUCUAAAAUUGACUACAAAGGUCAAAACUUUGAGCUAAUUCCAUUCGGAUCAGGCAGAAGAAUGUGCGUCGGACUUUCGCUGGCGGAUAGGGUGCUUCAUCUCGGUCUUGCGAAGUUGCUCUACCAUUUCGAUUGGGAACUCAGUGAUGGUUUGACUUCAGAGACCCUCGACAUGAGAGAGCGGGUGGGAAUAGCACUAAGGAAGCUUCAUUCUUUAAAGGUGAUACCUAAAAAACGUAGUGUGUGAGGUUUUUAGAAUAUUAUGGUAACUAGUUAUAUUCCUGACUGGUUAUUUAGGAAAUGACAAGAUGUGAUGUAAUGUAUCCAAGGAAGACUUCUUAAGAAUGGUGUUUUUACUCCACAAAUACCUUAGGAAAAUUACCCAAAAGUUCUUAAACCUAUUAUAUUUUUACAAAUUCAGUUAUAAAUAUUUUUAUUAUAAAAAUUAGUCCCAAACGUUUUCACGUUUUGCCAAUUGAGCUUAUAUGAUCAAUUUUGAUUGGAAAUCACUAACACGAAUGUCAGACAUCCUACAUGGUGCAAUUGGUGUAGACCUGGAAAAUUUUUAAUAUAUAUAUUUUUAAAUUUUUAAAUACUUUUUCUUUUCUUUUCUUUUCUUUUCUUUCUCUGCUAGUUGUUGAGCCUUGAGGAUGACUACUAAUCAACCAUAGGCUACAACCAAUGAUGGUCGUUGCCAAGAUCUAGCAAGGGAGGACUUUGCUACCUUGCCAAAUUCGACAAGUCACAACUUCAUGCGAGGCUCGACUUUGCCCAAUCUAUCGAGGGCAAGGCGCAACCUCGUUAGUCUUCACAAGGGCUGGUCUCAGGUGAGACUUGCCCAAAGAUGGCGAGGCCGACCUUCCCUAAAGGCCAGCAAGGGCCAACCUUGGCAACUUCAAGCAACGCUCAACCUCGUCAAAUCUAGUUAGGACAAGCUUUACUCAAGGCUAACAAGGGUGACCUCACCUAAGGCUAGUAAGGGCAAUCCUCAUCAAUCAUAACCUGUGGCCGAUCACCGGCCAUCACCAAGGCUUGGCAAAGGAAGAAAACAAAAAAAUAAAUGAAAAGAAAAGAAAAUUAACAAUAAUAAAAUAUUAAAAAUUCAAAAAUAUUAAAAUACUAUUUUUUUAAAAGGUCUACUGGCAUUCACUUUUCGUUUUCUAGUCAAAAUAGGCUAGAUGGACUCAAUUAAUAAAAAUUGAAAAAAUUGGGACUCAAUUGAUACAAUUAAAAAGUUUAUGACUGAAUUAAAAUAAGUACAAUAUAUUAUGAUUUUUUUGAUAAUUUUCUCCAAAUAUCUUUGGGCAAUUACAAGUUUUUAUGUCAACAUUUGGGUCUUGUUUAAAUUGUAUGACUUAAGCAUGUAGCAGGUAGCUCACUUGCCUUUUAAGCCAACAAUAAAACUUUACUUGUCAAAAAAAAAAAAAAAAAACAAAUCGCCCUAAAGUUGGUUCUACACAAGAGUCCACAAAAUGGAUGAUUGUGAUGAACUCAGUCCACUAGACACCAAUCCAUAUAAUAUAAGCUUGAAUCAAAGACCAUGAACAAUGCUAGUUCCUUGAAUGGGUCGAAGCUUGACAUAGAUUGAUUUUGAUCCAUCCAAAUUGGAAUCCUGUUAAUGGAUUCAAACACAACGUUGAACCCAAUACCCCGAUUGCUAGUGCAUCGCCGGCUUCCAGUAGCACAUCAGUGGAAUCUGUGAAAGAUAGUGAAACUCAUUUGACUCUUAAGUACAUAAGUGAGAUGCUCAAGGAGGGGAAGUUGGAGGAGAAAAACUAAAUGUUUGCCGGAUUGACUGGCCACCCUCUGGGCCAAAGAAAAAAAAAUCAGCGUGAUGUCCUCUAUUAGAAGGGGACCCUUCCGACCACCAAAAAAAAAAAGUACUUGCCAACCAGCAAUAAUUUGGCCAACCAGUGAGAUCAAGUCUUCAUUUGAGAUUAAUUUAGCCACUUUAGACCCUUAUUUAAAAUAAUGUCCAUCUUAGGCAAUCUUUUGAAAAAAUAACCCACUUUAGAUGCUCAUUCAAAAAAAUUUCUUACUUUGCCAAAAAUUAGUCAUAUGAAGUGCAUGAUGGUAAAUGUAUACAAAUUGCUGAAUCUUUUUGUAUGUUACCAAGGUAAGAUUUUGCUAUAGUGCCAAACAUCCAAAUAGGUUGAUAAUUUACUAUUUAUAUUUUCAUCGUUAAAUUCCUUCAAUAGAUGGCAAUUCUUCGCCCACUUGUAAAUUUACCAAUUUAAUAAAAUCUUGCUAUGUAAUGUACGAGUAUUUUUCACUGAACCAUCCGACUUCGUUGGGCUUGAAUAUGACUCAUUUGAUUUCAUUUGUGUAAUGCUUGCAGAUAUUACUUUCGUUGGUGUUUUUUUUUAUUGCUCUACUUUCUAACACAUGAUAGUAAGGCCGAGUACCGGUCUAGGGUCAACCCUAGACUAAUCUUGGACUAGCCCAAUCCGGCCAACACUGGGUCUGUGUCCUUAGUCCCAGAACCCAAAUUUCUUGAAAAAAUUUCAAAUAAGGGUCCAGGGUUCUAUCAAUUUCUUAAAAAAAGAUUUAAAGUGUAUUUUUUUUUUCCCAAAAAAAGACCUAAAGUUGCCAUAGGAGUUUCAGAUAAAGGUCUACCUCACCGACUGGUUAAAUAUUCUGGCCAAAAUUUUUUUGUCCAAAGACAAUUUUAAACCAAAUUUUAAUUAAAUUAGUUUAAAAAUUAAUCUAAAAGCUUUUCAAAAAAAAAUAUAGAUGCAAUGUGGGGCCCUCACCAUUGGUCGGCAAGGGUUGUGGCCCUCAUCGAGGUACUUGCAACCUCGACGCCCUAUCGGCUAGGGGUGAAAGAUUUUAGGUUCAGUACAUAUUCCACUUAAGACUUGAAACUUACACAUUGGAACACAUUCCUUAUUUUUUGGAACUUGAAACUUAACUUGCAUAUCCUAAAACCUAAAACUUACCAUGUCACAAGUUCUAAGGUCGAUCCUAUGGUCUAUCUAGGUUCCAUCUAUAUUAUCAAUUGACCGAUUGCAAUGAAUUAAACCUUUAAUAAUCACCACUUGUUGCUACAAUUUACUUCAUAACUUAUAUUCAAACACACGAAAAAUAUGGACAUUAAUAUAAAAUGGAAGCUCAGACUAGUGCUUUUAGAUUAUACAUUCAUCAUCGAAUGACAUGGAAUAUCACAAAAUCGCAUGAAGAUAUGGACUAAGAAAAAUAUUAAAACUUGUUCUAGAUUAUAGGUUCCAAUUUCAAGUUCCAAGUUCCUCUAAUCAAGAGCCUAAAACCUACUCGUCGAAAUAGAUUCCUCAUUUUUGGGAGACUAGAAUCUAUCUUGCAUAUAUUGGAACUUGGAAUCUACAAGUUCUCAUCGAUCUAAUUCUCAAGUUACAAGUUCUACUUUAAAACCAUGCUCACCUCCACUACCAACAAUGGGUCAGCAAUCACAACCUUGGGUUUUUAUUUUUUUGUGUAAGUUUCUUUAUUUUUUUUUAUUUCUUUUUAUGUUUUUACCUCUUUUUUUUUCUUUUUUGAUUUUGUCUUUUUAUGGAAUUUUUUUUGGAGUUUUUAAGCCUAAUUUAAUUAAGAUUUUGUGUGAAAAUUAGGAUUCGGAUUAAAACGAUAUCGUUUUAUCACUUUAGUUAACCUUAAAGUACGUAGAACGCUACGUGGAAGAGAUAAGAUAUUUAAAAAGUUAGGUCAACAUUUUUCGUUAGUUAAGUUAAAUGGAGUUAGUGGAAAAACUCAAUUUUUAAACAAAAUUGAGUCUGCCUGUGGCUUUCAAGGGUAGCCUUGCUCGAGUAAGGUGAGGGCGACCCUCACCUGGCCCUCUCCACGUAUGGUUGGUGGCCUUCAAACCAGCCACUGAUGAAAAAGAAAAAAUAAGAAUAAGGAAAAAAGAAAAAAGGAAAGAAAACAAAAAAGAAAAUAAAGAGGGAAAUGCCAUUGACUAGCCAAUAAGGUCGUGCCCUUUUUUGGGGCACAUAUUUGCAAUAACAUUCACUUAAUUCCUUUAUUUAGAACCUUUCCUAAUUUCUUUUUUCACCAACUCUUAAAAAAAGAAAAAGGAAAUUCCCUUUUGAAGGCCACACGUGAUCGAUGCCCGUCCUUAAGAUUGCCGUCUCUAAUAGUUUUGCGUUCAUUAUCCUCUUUUCUUUUCUCUCUUUCUUCCAGCACGUUCAGCUCUGUCAUUUCAGACAAUUCAGCGGAGCCUUUUCCUAGGGUUGUUGAGAAAAAUAUCAAAUACAAUGUCAAGUCAUUGAGCCCUCUUUUGUCGAGAAUAGCAGCUGUCAAAUGGCCUCAUACGCAUCUCACUUCAGACCCAACAGGCUGCCUACGGUGGGCCCAUUCCAGUUUGAUCCCCGCAAAUUUUCAGCAAAAACCGGUCCUCUUCCUUUGCUGAAACCAGUCCCACUUCUAGCUCUGACAGCCCUUUUCUAGUUUUGUUUACAUUAAAAUAAGGCCUUGAGUUUGAACCAGUUAAUUAACACGGUCCAAAGCAAGUCCGAUCGAAUUGAUGAAAUUCGACCGCCUCUUCGAUUUGGUUCGAACCUGCAAUAGAUUCCUUACAUGUGUGUUCAACCGCUACACAUGAAGUUUGUCGUCUACUUUCGUUGAAUUCUCUUCACAAGCAGCAGCAACAUCUAAUGAAGAGCCUUCUUCUAGUAGUAUAAUUUUAUAGAGGAGGAGCUAAUGAUUGAGUAGAAAUAGGGGAGCUUGUUGGAAAAUCUUGUCAACACGAGAAGCAAAUACAAAACAAAAGAAAGAGUAAUCAUUGGUUCUGGUGGCCCCUCGGUCUUUUUAUUUUUUUAUUUUUUUUUUAUUUUGUCUUUUCUUUUUCUUCCGUUUAUCUGACCGGAAGGGAUUCUCUCUCUUUGGUGUAUAUUAUGAAAUUUGUUCCAUAAACACCGUGGGUAUUUGGUGUAAUUAUGGGACUGGAAAUUACUUAAAAGUGUGUCAUCAAUUGUAAUCGUGUGUUCUCCAAUUUACUAGUAGGUCAUUAACAGCUUACUCUUUUUACUAAUACAAGUUUCAACAUUUGUAUCGUAUGACAAUAAUUUCUUGUGUCAUUUAUUAUUUCUCAUUUUAUUUUCUCUGAAAAUUUUCAUGUGUCCAUAUAAUUGUGAAGGUUAUGCAUAUUCAAUGACCCUCCAAGAAUAACCUAAUAUGGGGAUGAAUUGAAGUAAAGAGUUGCCAAUGUUCAGUUCUUCUUUAAAGUAAAAAUCAUUGAUAUUCCCUAUAUGGAGGAAAGAAAAAUAUACACAUGCAAUUAGAGAAUGCAGGACGUGUAGGCACUGGCAUGUCAAAAUAAGGAAUGCAGCCCUACUAAGUACCACACAAGAUGGGACCAUCGUUUAUCAUUCCUCAUUAUAUUUUCUUUGAAAAUUUUCGUGUGUCCAUAUAAUUGCGAAGGCCCGGUCCCUUCUCUGACGGUUUACUGCAACCUCCAGCUGUAUUCACGCCAUUCUAGGUGGACAUUGAUAUAGCUAGUAUAAGCACCUGGAGGGGGGUGAAUAGGUGUAAAAAUAAUUUCUUGAGAUAUGAAAACAAUACUAGACAAAUCAGAAAGGAAGCUCUCCUUUAGUUAACAAAUCGAACUAUGAUUAAAGUAAAGUAGAGAGUAGGGAAGAGAAAAUUGAACACAAAGUUUAUAGUGGUUCGGUUUAUUCCAAGCCUACGUCCACUCUUCUGCACUGACAGCCCACUGGCUGGAUUUCACUAUGAACAAAAGAGAUGUUACAGCACUGCUUUCCCUUGAUUCCACAGUGUAGAUAUUCUAUCACACUUCCUCAAGGUAUCUCAAAAUAUAGACUCUCUUUUGUGUACAAGAUUUCGCUCAGUAAAUAAAUUGACUAAAAAUCAAAAAGCUUCAGACUUUGGAAUUCUUCUAUCGUGCACACCUCGAACAACUGGAAUGACUUCCUUUUAUACUCCUUUGUGCCAUCAUAUCCGUUGGCACUUACCAAAGGAAUUCUUUCAAUCCUCCCGUUGGACAGAAUCAAUUAGGAAGAUUAUUCGAGCUAUUAAAGGAACAUGUCGAUAGCCUAUCAAUCCUGCUCGCCUAUACAAUCAGGAUCUUGGUUUCCAUAAGUAGAACCUUCCAAGAAUACUUCGUCAAUCAUUGGAUCUUUAAUCAUUCUUGAUUUGAAUAAAGGAAUCCGUUAUGUCAUAUCCAGCCAAGAGAUCUUCUCCAGUUGAUAAGGCCAAAUCCUUAAUGAAGCAGUUUUGGAUAGCCUUUCUUCAACGGAUUAGAAACUGUCAAUAAGAAUAGACUUUGAGUCUUGAGUCAGGUAGUCUGGAGGUCUUCAGACUUUAAUAGAAGAGUCUGGAAAACUUCAGACUAGACUGAUAGAAACGUUUUGUCAGCUUCAAAAUAUUCCAGAAAGAUUUCUCCAACAAUCUCCCCCUUUUUGAUGGUGACAAAACUUUCCUGCAGAUUUUAAUAACUUUGACCUGCAAAACAUUACUCAAGCAAAUAUGGAUAUCUCAUAAAGAUUAAUAACUUAAUGAUAACACUAGAAUCUGCAACCACAGAAAAUAGGUUAGUCUUGCAUGAGAGUAAAUCCAUUUAUAAGAUAUCAAUAGUACUUAAUAUAAACAACAGUCAAAUCCAAAUCCACGUUCAGUCAAUCCUCAUCCAGACACAGACACACAAGUCAAACAUCAAAACAAACUAAAAAUUCAACAAGUUUAAGUUCAAAGAUUUCAAAUUUCACAUCUCUCCCCCUUUUUGUCAUCAUAAAAAAGAAGUUGAGAUGGGAAUAGAAUGAAGUCAAGUUUGCUUGGGAAUGCGAACAAGAUGGAAAUCUCCCAUGGACUGGAUGAUGCCUUCCAGCUUUUUCAAUUCUUCCUUCAGUUGAUCCACCUCUUCACCUUUAGCAUUGGCUUGAAUCUGAAGAGUAAGGGCUUGGAUCUGCUCAGACAAUGAAACGGAAGAAGCUUGACCAGCAUUCUUCAAGUUCUGAACUUCGCUUUCCAAAGCAUAUAUCUGACCCCGCAAUUCCAAAAGAACAUUAAUGAUUCUGCAAAAAUCUGCUGAGUUAUCAGUCUACGUAUUGGCUUCGGCAUGAUUUGAUGGAGUAAAGGCAGACGAUGGUAUAUCAGCAUAAUCACGUAGAUUUGGCGAUGAAGCACCAUGUCCCUCCUCAGGAAAUUGAGAGGCAUGAAUGUCUUCUGGAUCUGCUGGAGAGCGACUGACUCCUUCACUGGUAACAGGAUAUGAGGACAUUCCUCUAUUUUCACCAUCUCCCCCUGUUUCCAUGGCUUCAAGUGGAGAAGAGUUUUCCUCAUGCUCUCCUUCCUCUUGAUUUUCUCUUUCUUCUUCUUCUUCAAACCUUUCCUCGUCUGUUUCUUUUUCUUCAGCUUCUUUCUCCUUUUCUUCCUUCUCCUCUGCUUCUCUCUCCUUUGCUUCUGUUUCUUCUUCUUUCUCCAGUUCUUCUCUCUCCUCUGCUUCUUUCUCCUGUCGUUCCAUUGAUUCAGGAACAGAAUGACUCAGCUUCUUUAAUGCUAUAGCAAAAAUUGUGAGGUCAUCCUCAUCAUCUUCAUCAAUAAUGAGAGCUUUUCUUUUCUUAGAUGGAGCAACCAUGGGUUCCUUCCCUUUCCUUUUCGUUGCUGAAGAGACUUGAUGAGAUUUGACAGGGGUUUUCUCCUUAAAUUUCUCCAACGCCUUGUCAAGCUCUUUCAGACGCAUUUUGGACACCAUUUUUAGUCCUACCACCAUUUUGUUAUAAGGUCGAACACAGAGAAUUUGUGGAUGCUGAAUAUUCAAAUGUCUGAAUAUCUUUGACACAAGACCUGGAUAAGGAAGUUGGCCCUUGUCCUUUACCACUGCUCUAUACAUGUGAAACAGAAUAGUGUGAGGAAGAGAACUUUUUCCCAGCAUUGAUGACAUACAUCAGCUUUGCCUCUAAGUUAGAAACAUUAGUCUUGGAAGUUGAUUUCGGUUUGAGGCAAUUGAUCACAAUCUUGUGAAGCAGAAUGUUGAACGCAUGCAUCCUUGAGUAGGAACUUCCCUUUGUCAUUCUGUCUUUAACAAGUUCCAAUGUGGCACGAGCUAUAGAGACACUGAUGGGUUGAUAUCUCCCUCUCUCAACCCCAAUAACAUAUGCCAACAUAUCCACAUCCACUACAAAGUCCUGAUCUCGGACACUGAAAGAGAUUCUAUUUGCAUUAAAGAAAAUUGAACUUUUCCCACAAAUUGACAUUCAUAGCAUCAAGGAAAUCAAAAUCUACACACAGAACUGUUCAAGUUGAAGAAAACUAAACUUUUCCCGCAAAUUGACAUUCACAGCAUCAAGGAAAUCAAAAUCUACACUCCUAGGGUUUAUCACCCCACGCUUCAACAAUUUGGAGUAUAGAUUUUUUGUUCCCUCGAUCUAAACAACUUUGUUCUUUUUCCUCAAAUUUUCGCCGCAACACCCAUUUUCGGUUGAAAUUGGAUGUACAAUAUGUCAUCAUCAUUUCCAUCUAUCGGAUUAAAUCCCCUAACACACAGAUCACUUGGGAUAUUUGCAAGGGUUUUUUCUGCCAACCCCUUAGGAGCAAUUUCCAAACUCUCUAUUUUUCGCAAAAAUAUGUACUCAUUCCCAUAUCCCUUGUCCUUAAGAAACUCAUCGAUGUAGUUCAAUGGAGUACCAAUACUCUUUAAAGCACGGUAAAUCUUAUAAAUAAAAGAGGGCUUUUGAACUCUUAUAGGAUCUGCGUCUUCGACGAUUUCUUCCUCUUGUUGAUGAACAGCAUUCUGUGGACUAGAUGGUGGAGAAUGACGCUGCUGAGAAUGUUGUGGGCUCUGCUGCUGACUUGGUGACUCCUCUUCCUCGGUGAGAUCAAAGUGAGUAGGCCCCUUACUCAUUCGCCGUGGUCCCCUGCUUGCGAUCCUCGAAGACUUUCUUGAAGAUGACAUCUUUCUUAGUCUUUGAGAGAUUCCUUGCUUGACUUUCCCAAGAAAGAUGUCAACUUUUUCGAAGAUUAAACAAGAGAGAAAGACAGGAAUGGAAGAUCGAUGCUUUUUAGGGUUUUCGAGUUAAGUGAAGAGGAAUCGUCUGUAUAUAGUUUAGUCGAAGAGAGGCAUACCAAACGUUGUAAACGAAAGUAAAAGAUGCCCCUUUUAAAAAUAACUGCAUUUAAAAAAAAUAGAUAACUGCCAACUUUGAAAUAUUAACUCCUUUUUGAAAAAGAAAAAUUGCACUUUUCACAGAAAUUGAAGAUAGCAUAGAUCAAUUAUAAAUAGAUAAAUGAUCGUACCUUUCCGAGAUAAGAGAAAAUAAAAUAACUUACAGUCAAGAACCAUGAUUGUCUGAGACUGUGAGUCUCUAGACUUUAACUUCUUCAAGCUUCAAGAUGUUGAGUUUGGAACAGAUGAUUUCAAAUUGAUUUUUCUCCAAAGGCUUCGUAAAUAUAUUCGCCAGUUGAUUCUUUGAGUCAACAAACUGAAUCGAAACUUCUCCAUUUUGAACAUGAUCUCUAAUGAAGUGAUGUCGAAUUUCUAUAUGCUUUGCUCUUGAGUGAAGAAUUGGAUUUUUGGUAAGAUUGAUUGCACUGGUGUUGUCACAGUUAAUCUCCGUGCAUGAAUCUUCAAUUCCAAAGUCUCUUAAUUGUUAUUUUAUCCACAAAAUUUGUGAACAACAACUUUCGAGAACUACAUAUUCUGCUUCUACAGUAGAAAGAGCUACUGUAUUUUGCUUUCUUGAAAACCAAGACACUGUCCUGCUUCCAAGUAAUUGACAAGUACCCGAAGUGCUCUUUCUAUCAAUUAUGCAACCAGCUAGAUCUGCGUCUGAAUAUCCAAGGAGAGUAAAGUCUCCCUUUUUAGGAUACCAAAGGCCGAUACUUGAAGUUGAAGCAAUGUAUUUGAUAAUACGCUUUGCAGCACUUAGAUGAGAUUCUUUAGGGUCUGCUUGAAAUUUGUCACAAAUGCAAAUACUAAACAAAAUGUCAGGUCUAGAAGCAAUAAGAUAAAGAAGUGAACCGAUGAUACUCCUGUAUAGCUUAUGGUCAACUUUCUUUCCUCCUUCAUCUUUGUCUAUCUUCAAGGAACUUGACAUUGGUAUAUCAAUCUUUUUGUAAUUUUUCAGUCCAAACUUUUUGACAAGAUCAUUAGGAUAUUUUUCUUGAUGAAUAAAAGUCCCUUCCUUCAAUUGUUUCACUUGAAGUCCAAGAAAGUAGGUUAGUUUACCCAUCAUGCUCAUUUCAAAUUCAUCCUGCAUAGACUUAGAGAAUUUCUUGCACAAACUUUCAUUAGAGGAUCCAAAAAUGAUAUCAUCAUAAUAUAUUUGAACAAGCAGAAAAAUUUUGCUUUAUCUUUUGAUAAACAGAGUAGUGUCUACUUUAUCUUUUUCAAAGCCAUUUUGAAUUAAAAACUUACUCAGCCUGUCGUACCAAGGUCGAGGUGCUUGCUUUAAUCCAUACAAGGCUUUUUUCAGUCUGAAUACUGGGUCUGGCUUCCUUGGGUCUUCAAACCUAGGUGGUUGUUCCACAUAGACUUCCUCAUGGAUAAAUCCAUUUAGGAAAGCACUUUUGAUGUCCAUUUGGAAUAACCUGAAAUUCUUAUAACAAGCAAAAGCAAGUAAUAAUCGAAUUGCUUCUAAUCUUGCUACUGAUGCGUAAGUCUUGUCAUAGUCUAUCCCUUCUUCUUGCGUAUAUCCCUUGGCCACGAGUCUUGCUUUGUUUCUUACGACUUUACCUUUCUCGUUCAUCUUGUUCCUGAAAACCCAUUUAGCUCCAAUAAUAUAUUUACCUUUCGGUUUAGGAGUCAACUCCCAGACAUUAUUAAUACUGAAUUGUCUAAGUUCUUCUUGCAUAGCUUCAAUCUAGCUUUCAUCAGAUAAAGCUUCUUCUAUGCUUUUUGGUUCAAUUUCAAAAAUAAGAGCCACAGCACUAGACUCUUCGCGCCUUUUGGAUCUUGUGCGAAUUCUUUCAUUAAUGUCGCCAAUAAUGAGGUCUUUGGGAUGACUGGACUUAUGCUUCCAGUUACUGGUUGAUUUGUCAGGUUGAUGAUCACUUCCUUCAUUUGAAUCUUCAAUAACCAUUUGUUGCUCGUCUUUCAGAGUCUGAGUUGCUUCUUGAGAUUUAGACUUUGUAGAGUCUGGAGCAGCUUCAAAUUUUUCAAGAUAAGUCUGAGCAGAUUCAUUUUGCAUAGAAUCUUGGAAUUUGACAUUUAUUGAUUCCUCCACAGAUUGACUCUUCUUGUUAUAGACUCUGUAGGCUUUGCUUGAGGUAGAAUAUCCAAGGAAGAUUCAUUCAUCUGAUUUUUCUUCAAACUUACCAACUCUAUCAUUUGCAUUUUUCAAUAUAAAGCAUUUGCAUCCGAACACAUGAAAAUAUGAAACAAUAGGCUUCUUUCCUUUGAAUAACUCAUAGGGGUUUUUUUUUUUUCCAGAAUAGGCCUUAGAAAAACUCUAUUGAUAAUGUAACAUGCUGUUGAAACUGCUUCAGCCCAAAAACGUGAAGAUAUGUUACUUUCAAUUAAAAGAAUUCUAGCCAUUUCUUGAAGCGAUAUGUUCUUUCUUUCCGCAACUCCAUUUUGCUCUGGAGUAUAUGGAGAAGAGAACACAUGCUGAAAACCAGAUUCAUUACAGAAUUUUAUAAAAUCAUGAUUUUCAAAUUCACCUCCAUGAUCUGUUCUUAUACUCGAGAUAACAUACCCUUUUUCAUUUUGAAUCUUUUUUGCAAACUUUUCAAAGUAAGAGAAAGUUUCAGACUUACUUGCUAAGAAAUAUACCCAAGUAAACUGUGAGUAAUCAUCCACAAUUACUAGGCAAUAUUUCUUACCUCCAAUGCUCUGAAUUCUGGUUGGUCCGAAAAGGUCCAUAUGCAGAAGCUGUAAUACACGAUUAGUGGAAACUUGAUUUAUUGGUUUAAAGGAAUUUCUUACCUGCUUUCCCAAUACGCACGGUGUACAUAGAUCAGACUUUUGGUAUGACAAUUUGGGUAGACCAUGAACAAGCUUCUUUGCUGAAAUUUUGGCUAUUUGCUUCAUAUUGAUGUGCCCAAGCUUUCUGUGCCAUAAGCUCGCUUCAUCUUGAAUUGAGAUUAGACAUUACGAUUCAUCUGGUUUCACAUCCAAGAGGUAGAUAUUUCCAUGUCUUCGGCUCAUGAAUGACUGAGUAGAAUCUUUAUUGGUUCCUGAACAUAUUCCCUCUUGAAAGUUGAUUUUGAAACCAGUAUCACAUAGCUGACUGAUACUGAGUAAAUUGUAGUUGAGUCAUUCCACUAGGGAAACAUUGCUUAUAAUGAGAUUUCCAAUCUUUACAGUUCCAAAUCCCACAAUUUUUCUUUUGCUGUUUCCUCCAAAUGAGACUUUUCCACCAUUUACUUGAAUGAGUUUUAUGAAGCAAUUUGAGUCUCCUGUCAUAUGUCUUGAGCAUCCACUAUCCAGAUGUCAUUUUACCUUUUUCUUGAUAGUAACCUGUAUUUAAAAGAGAGACUCAAGCUUUCUUUGGUACCCAUAUUUUCUUAGGUCCAUUGGUGUUAGUAUGGUAUGCGGUUUUUGCCCAUACUUUCUUAACAGGUUUCCAAACCAUAGGACACUCUUUUUCAAAAUGAUUUGCACUAUUGCACUUUGAACAUCUGAGAGCAUUUUGACCCACUGGUUUUACAAACACUUUUUGAAAAUGAUUUUUGUAAAAUGUCUUUGAAUGUCUUUGCUUAAUUCUUUCCUUCACUUUAGGAAAAUCAAUUAAAGUGAUGGUUUCUACUGUCAUUCCUAAACCAGAUUUAUUGAAAUAAGGUCUUUGUGCUGAAAGAAUUUUUUCAAGUUUCUCAGAUCCUAUUGAAAAUCUUUUUGAAAUAUUUGAUAAGUCAUUUUUUAAAAAUGCAUUUUCUUUCAAGAGAUUAUCUUCGCUUUCUUUAAGAGUAGAAACAUUCGUGUCUAAAUGUUUCAACUUUUCUUUCAAAACAUUUUCCUGUUGUUUUAGUGCAGAGUUUUCCUUUUUAAGUUCGGAAAUCCUUUUAAGAGAAGUCUUAACACUAAAACAUAGCUCAUCAAUGUAUUUGGAAACUUUAACAGGGAUUUUAAAGUUACUUACCUCAAAUUCACUGUCUGAAUUUGAGUCUGUCUCGGACUUUGAUUCAGAAUCCGAUUGUGCCAUCAGACAUAUAUUGGCAUAAUCAUCAUCACUUUCUUCACACUCUGUAUCACUCCAGGUUUCUGCUUAAGAGCCUUUCGAUACUUUUCAGCUUUUCCUUUCUUCUUUUUUAGAAGAGGACAGUUGGGUCUAAUGCGUCCCUUUUUCUUACAUUCAAAGUAGACUACAUCUUUGUUUGAUUCAUCAUCAUCAACAGACUUGGUCUAUUGCUUUUGAAAACUCUGUUUCUUUGGAUUGAAUCUUCUUCCUUUUCUGUUAAGCUUUCUGAAUCUUCUUAUCAUGAGAGCAAGCUCCUCAUCAUCCAUAUCGUCUUCAUAAUCUGUGACAUCAGAAUCAUCAUUGGAUUUUAAUGUAAUGGAUUUCUUACCUUUAUGAUCUUCGUCUUCAUUAAUUCGUUCCACUUCAUAAGACUGAAGACUUAAUGUAAUGGAUUUCUUUGUGUCUCUCUUAUUGAGGUCUUUAUGUGAUUCCAAUCCUUGGAGAGUCCACGUAGUAACUUGUUUACAUUCAUGGGAUUAGAAAUUGGUUGACCUUGAUUUUGAAGACCAUUCACGAUUUCUGUAAAACGACUAAACAUAUCAGUUAUAGAUUCUCCCGAUUUCAUUUUGAAGGCUUCAUAUUGACCGGGGAGAAUGUUGAUUCUGGUCUCUUUCACUCGAUCAAUUCCUUCAUAGGUGAUAUGUAAUCUAUCCUAGACUUCUUGCUGUAACACAAGAAGAUAUUCUGUUAUAUUCAUAAGAUGAUAAAGCACAAUAUAAAGAAUAAAUUGCUUUUGCAUCAAGAGCUUGUCUCUUGAUUAUCUCUUCCUGAUUCAUUUCACUUGACUCAACAGUUUCUUUUCCUCUAUUUGUGACAGAUGCAGCUUUAGGAGUGAUUCCUUUUUCUACAACGUCCCAUUCCAGAGGAUCUUUUGAUCGUAGAAACGCUUUCAUCUUGUUUUUUCAGAUGUUGUAAUCCUUUCCAUCAAAAGUAAGGUGGUCUGGUAUUGCUCUGCCCUUCCACCAGCCUUGGAGCUAGCAUACUAGCCAUGAAUCUUUAACUCUGAAGUAAAACACUUCAACCAAAGUGAGUACACAGGCUUUGAUACCAAUUGAUAUAACUAGUAUAAGCACCUAGAGGGGGUGAAUAGGUGUAAAAAUAAUUUCUCGAGAUAUGAAACAAUACUAGACAAAUCAGGAAGCUCUUCUUUAGUUAACAAAUCGAACUAUAAUUAAAGUAAAGCAGAGAGUAGGGAAGAGAAAAUUGAACACAAAGUUUAUAGUGGUUCGGCUUAUUCCAAGCCUACGUCCACUCUUCUGCACUGACAGCCCACUGGCUGGAUUUCACUAUGAACAAAAGAGAUGUUACAGCACUGCUUUCCCUUGAUUCCACAGUGUAGAUAUUCUAUCACACUUCCUCAAGGUAUCUCAAAAUAUAGACUCUCUUUUGUGUACAAGAUUUCGCUCAGUAAAUGAAUUGACUAAGAAUCAAAGAGCUUCAGACUUUGGAAUUCUUCUAUCGUGCACACCUCGAACAACUGGAACGACUUCCUUUUAUACUCCUUUGUGCCAUCAUACCCGUUGGCACUUACCAAAGGAAUUCUUCCAAUCCUCCCGUUGGACAGAAUCAAUUAGGAAGAUUAUUUGAGCUAUUAAAGGAACAUGUCGAUAGCCCAUCAAUCCUGCUCGCCCAUACAAUCAGAAUCUUGGUUUGCAUAAGUAGAACCUUCCAAGAAUACUUCGUCAAUCAUCGGAUCUUUAAUCAUUCUUGAUUUGAAUAAAUGAAUCCAUUAUGUCAUAUCCAGCCAAGAGUUCUUCUCCAGUCGAUAAAGCCAAAUCCUUAAUGAAGCAGUUCUGGAUAGCCUUUCUUCAAUGGAUUAGAAACUGUCAAUGAGAAUAGACUUUGAGUCUUGAGUUUGGUAGUCCGGAGGUCUUCAGACUUUAAUAGAAGAGUCUGCAAAACUUCAGACUAGACUGAUAGAAACGUUUUGUCAAUUUCAAAAUAUUCCAGAAAGAUUUCUCCAACAGACAUCACUAGGGAUGGUGCUAGUUUGGAAGCUAGUUUGGUUCUUUAAUUCUCUAGUUCAAUUCUUGUUUGCUUCUAGUCCAGUUGGGAUUAGAUGGUGGCUGGCUUAGGGGCUUAACUAUGGGCAAUUAGAAGAUGGCAAUGGGAAUUAAAAAUAAAAAAAAGGAAAAGUGAGUUUCUCGGAUCAGACUUGAGCUGACCGCGCAAUCGCGCGGAAACGGAAAAUACAUGCUCAUCGUUUAUUCAAUUGAGCUGAAAUGUGAGUUAGUCAACAGGCUGACGUAAACUUGCGUAAAAUUUUUAGGCCGAACAACUAUUAUGAAAUCCACUUUUGAAAGUCUGACAUCACCCCGACAUCACCAUUUUUCAUUUAGGCGGCCAGUACAGGAUCAGCUGAUGUUUCUUAGAAAAAUACAAAUUUAGGAAACUAUAGUUAGAAUUAGUCCAUGAACUAUAUCAUUAGAAAAGAGACUCGAAAACGCUGACCUUGAUACUUAGCUUGCAAUCUUUUGAGCUUGUUUGGGUCUUUAAUUGAUUAGGAGAAGCCAAUUCAAAAUUAUUGAGAAGAAAAUUGAGUCCAAGUAAGAAUCAUAGACUCACUGUCAAUCAAAAUAAUAGCCAUCGGCCGGUGGUUCUCAUGAGACAUUGUCCCUAGUUGAAGAGCGUAGGAGAUCCCUAAUCUUCAUAAGAUAAAUGGAUGACUUAGUCAUAUUGAAACCUAACUAUUAAUGAACUAUCAUGCCUCUAGCUUAAAUGUGCAUAAGGGACGUUGCAAGAAAAAUGAAUGUAAGGUCAUAUAAAAUGAUUGUUUUUAUAUCAAGGAUCAAACUCCGUUCUCAUUGGUGAAUUUGAUUGCUGAAAUAAUUUUCUUUGAAAAUACAUGAUGAUUUCAUCGGUGAAAAUCAUGUUUUAACAUGAUCGUGAGGAAUGUGUGGGCUUGAGAAGUAAGUGGGCCACACGAAUUGGACUUAAGAAAUUGAAUGAGAGAUUAUGGGUUUGGACUUGGCUUGAAGCGGGCCAAGGUUCAGAAUUAUUAGAUUUGUAGAUUUAGUUUAGUGGGCCGGGAUUGUUAUAGAUUAAGCCUAUUGGGCCAAGAAUGAAUAUUUAGGCCCGAAUGAUUUUAUUUUAUAGAUUAUAGUUAUGAUGACUUAAUUAUUGUUUACAAUGCUAAUAUAAAUUUCUAACUUUAGCAUUUUGUGAUGAAUUCUUUAUAGACUAACGUUGACUAGUCGAUUUGUUAUAUAUAUGUUAUGACUUUGUAUAAUUGGGAUUAAGUAGAAACAAAAGGCAAUUAGAUGAAAAUAUUAGAAGCUAAUGAACUAACGAAUGAUAUCGAUAAAUUGUUAAUUAGCGACGAUCGACAGAUGGCGAAAAUCUUCAUGCAUGAAAGCCAUGACACUUUACUCUCUCUCGAUUCUCUCAUCAACACCCACGGUUUUUCUCAAUCCAUAGAACCGAAGAUGGCAACUCCAAGGAAGCAUAAUCAUUAGCCAAACUAAUCAUUACACUAGCCUAGGGAUUAGUUUGUAGACCUAUUUACCCCGGGAUAAGUACACUAAUGAUGCCAUAAGUUGUGUACGGCGCUCACUUUGGUGCCAAAAGUUUCCGUCGGAUCACUUAAGUGCCAAAAAAUUUGAAAAAUGCUCACUUUGGUGCCAACUCCGAUCCGGUUGGCCGGAAAUCCGACGUGGCACUUUUUUAUUAAUUUUUUAAGCUAAUGUGGCUCACCGGGGGAUAAGUACACUAAUGGUGUCAUAAGUUGUGUACGGCGCUCACUUUGGUGCCAAAAGUUUCUGCCGGAUCACUUAAGUGCCAAAUCGGCGGAAAAACGCUCACUCUGGUGCCACCGACGAAAGAUUCCGGCCACCGGCGAAAGAUUCCAGCCAAAAUGAUUUUAAAAAAAAAUCGAUAGGCCUUUAAAUGACGUCGUUUUCGGUCCUCCUUAAGAAAACGACGUCGUUUUGCCCUCCUACAUGGAUGGCUUCAUGGAAACGAUGCCGUUUAGCUCACAUAAGGAUUGAAAUUAGGGUUUCCGCCGCUCGGCCACCGUCGCUCGGCCACCGUCGCUACUCGGCCACCAUCGCUCAGCCACCAUUGUAGUUGCUCGACCAGGUGAGUGAGGAGAGACUGAGAUUGUUGCAGGAAAAAUCGAAGGCGAGGGGGGAGGAGGAGGAGGAAGAAGAUGGGUCGAAGGGCUGUUGGUGCACUGCUGCUGCUGGUGCGUUGCUGGUGUCGUUGCUGGUGUGCUGCCGUUGCUAGUGUAGGUCUUCGAGGAAGAAGAAGACACAAAGACAAGCCUUCCCUCUCUCUCAAUUUGGGGAUUAGGGUUUCAAAGUUGGGGGAAAGAUGCCAAACGGCGUCGUUUUGGUGUUUGGAUGCUGACUCAACUCUCCAACGAGCCACGUCAGCUUCAAAAAUUAAUAAAAAAAGGCCACGUCGGAUUUCCGACCAAUUUCGUCGGUGUUGGCACCAAAGUGAGUGUUUUUCAAAUUUUUUGGCACUUAAGUGAUUCGACGGAAACUUUUGGCACCAAAGUGAGCGCUGUACACAACUUAUGGCACCAUUAGUGUACUUAUCCCACUCACCAGAGAAUGCACCAUUAGUGUACUUAUCCCGCUCACCGGAGAAUACAGUCAGCAUCCUAACACCAAAACAACACCGUUUGGUGUCUCCCCCAAUUCAAAACCCUAAUAUCCGGCCGUCGCCGUCCUCGACGGUCCUUGCGCUCGGCGGCCAUGGCUUCGACCCCGACCUCGACCUCGACCCCAACCUUGACAAUGGCCACUCAAUGGCAGCGGCUCUGACCUCGACCCUGACCCCAACCCCGACCCCAACCCCGACAAUGGCCACUCAAUGGCAGCGGCUCCUACCUCGACCCCGACCCCGACCCCGACCCCGACGAUAGCCACUCGGCGGCCGUAACUCCAACCCCGACGGCGACGAUGGCCACUCGACGGCCGCGGCUUAGACCCUGACCUCGACACCGACCAUGGCCACUCGACGGCCACAGCUUCGACCCCGACCCCGACCUCGAUGAUGGCCACUCGGCGGUCGCAGCUUCGACCCCGACCCCGACCCCAACCCCGACGACGCCACUCGAAAGCCAAGUUGAAACCCUAAUUUCAUCCCCAAUGAGUUAAACGGCGUCGUUUUUGUGAGGCCUUCCAUGUUGGACGGCAAAACGACGUCGUUUAAAGUCUUGUCGAUUGUAAAAAAAAAAGCCACGUAAAGUAUAUUUGGCCGGGAUCUUUCGCCGGUGGUCGGGAAUCUUUUGCCGGGUGGCACCAAAGUGAGCGUUUUCCCUCCGAUUUGGCACUUAAGUGAUCCGGCGGAAACUUUGGGCACCAAAGGUGAGCGCCGUCCACAACUGAUGGCACAGGAGUGGUACUUAUCCCUAUUUUCCCCUCUCUCUCUCUCUCUCUCUCUCUCCAUAUAAAACCGAGAAACCCUCAUCUUCAUCUUCUUCUUUCUUUUUCUCUCGGCUGAGCAGCAAAAAACCAGAAGCAAACCAGCGAUGUCUCCUUCUUGCAUGCUGAUUUUGAGUGUUGAUCUUUAAGCAUCUCUGUGUUGUUUAGUAGCUGAAGCAAGGUAAGGAAAGAUCAAAUCUAAAUUGAAAGUUAUCCAUUGUUUCAUCAAGGGAGCUUGAGGAUCUAACCAAACAGUGAUGGAUAUAGUUUGUAGUUGUUGUUUUGUGAUUGAUCUAAGCUUAGUGAGUGUUAGAUUGAAGGUAGGAGCUAUUGCAUGUCACUCUUGAGUCUUGCAUGUCUCGAAAUCCAAGUGUGAGUAUGCUUUUUUGUUGAGCGAAGUGAUGAAAUGGAUGCCGAGUGUGUUGUUUUGGUAGAAAUCAUGAUAAGUGGCUUACGGAUGCAACGACACUUCGAGCCGAGUUGUGAAAUUGAUCAUUUGUUAGAGAAAGAUAUGCUGAAGUUGCUUUGAGUUGCUGUGAGUAAGCAUUGGAGUACUGUAGAAGAUAUUUGUGGAUAGACAAGUUGUUUUGUUGAGUUAGAAGUGAGAAAAUUUGUGUAUCUAUUCUGUUCUAAGUGAAAACAGUUAUGGAGUCUUCUGCUUGUGUUUAAUUUUCUUUAUGUAUGCUAAUAGAAAUAAGAAAGAAACCAUUCUACAUGAUAGAACGUCUAUAAUAUCAAGUUAUACACGUAGCUAUAAUCAUAUGACUAUAAAAACAUAGAGACAGAAGUGUACUUAGGAAAACCAGUAAACUGUUCUUGUGAGAAACGGUUUGACCUUUACUGAUUAUGCGAAUUUUCUGUAUUCACCUAGUUAGAUUUGGACUUCGAAUCCUUAAUGAAAAUUGUAUAAAACAUCUUAAGGAAUGACGUGUCAAAAUUUGAGACUAAAUCGAUAAGAAUUGGCUAGUGAAACAAUUUUCUUUGUAAAUACGAAAUUUGGACGUCGAUACAGGGUGCUAGUAAAGAUUAUGGCAAUUGUUACUCUUAAUACAGUGAGAAUCAGACUUAAGUUUCUUCACGGGAAUUGUUAGUCUAUGUCUUAAAUAUAACAUACUAAAAUUUGGUAGUAUUUAGACAAGAAUUGAUAUACCUUUUGUAUCCGAAACCGAAACUGUACAUUUAGUUAGGAAACUGUCUAGACCCGAGAACAUAUAUUAGAGGUUGUGUCUUUUAUAUUAGGCUUUUGUGAUGCACGUAGAGUCUAAUAAACCUCAUAAUAGCAGUUAUUCAUAUAAGAGUAAGUCUCAUAUAUCGUGUGAGAUAUAAGUGCAUAUAGUAUCAUGUGUGUGCAAUGAGUGCGGUGCAUAGUGCUUGAUUAUGGGAUAAAUAUCUGUUCGCCAUGGAAUGGGAAAUGACGUAAUGGGUUUAAUCUUAUAAUUUGGACAUGCACGUGUGCUAGUUUCAUGAGAGUUAGUUAUAUACUUUGGAGUCUUUUCUUUUGCAUAAGAUAAAUGCAUUAAUCAAAGGUGUGGUGGUGUGAAACGUGUGCUUAAGAUGAAUGAACCCACCGGUACCGAGAUACCGGUGAUGCCCCUGGAAGUUUGGGAUGCCCCUGCUGCGUGGUCUUGGAUGCCUCGGUAGAGAGAUAUUGAGAUGCCUCAGAGUGAGAUGCCCUUGUUUGUGAUCAAGGAUGCCUCGGUUGUGUGAUACCGGGAUGCCUCGGAGUGAGAUGCCCCUUGCUGUGUGGUCUUGGGAGGACCUCAGUUGUAUGAUGCCGGGAUGCCUCGGAGUGAGAUGCCCAUAAUUAGAGAUAUUGUGGAAGUCCGGAUAACGUACUUUCCGGAAGUGACUCGAUCGGCUAGUUGAAUUCCGGUUAGUGAUUGAUCGAGGGUGGAUUUUAUGCACACUAAAUAUAAUUCUAUUUGGUGAGUGAGUUCAUUUAUUAUUAUUGUUGCAUUACAUCUUGAUAUGAGAUUGAGUUUGAGAAAGGUAAGCAUAUAAAUGGAUGCUCAUAAGGUGAUUAUGUACAUAUUGUGUUAUUAUCCAAUUGUUUAUGCUGGUGAUAUACUUCCUUUAGCAUCCUAAAUUGUUUGAUGAUUCACUUGUAACUUUGAUGGCUAUGGAUUGUUUAAGUUAGAGUUUUAUCAUUCUUUACUGGGCAAUGUUGUUUGCUCAUACCUUACAUUUUCAAAUUGAUAGCAUGGAUGUACCGCCAAUAGCUCGAUACAAGGUGGUAGUGCAUCUUGAUGUUUCUCUUCAUGACGUGUAUGAUCCUGACAUUGACAUGGUUUUCUCCAAAUAUGAGGCGACUUUAUGGCUGGAUGACGGUAGAGCUGAGUUAUUACCGAUGACGUUCGUUGCAUGGUUUAUCAACCAUGAAGGGGAGAUGUUCGGACCUUUACCCUUUGGAGCUGGAGGACCUGGAGCGGGGAUGGAUGGCGCCUAGACGCCUUUGAUCUUGUUGUAGCUGACUGACUUUUGUUUUUUGUUAGACGUGGGCUUGUGUGGGAAGCUCAUGGAGUAGAUAACGUCACCCAUAUCCCUGGCUUUUGUUAUGCCUUACUUUUGUUUUGUAUAUGAUGUAAAUAUAUAGGUGAAGAACAUGGAAUGAGUCCAGGUUGAUAAUUUUGUAUGUACUGAUGAUGAUAAAAUGAAAGGAAGCCUUUUAUGAUCUUGUCUAUGUGCAUUGCAGGAUAACCUUAUAAUAUAAAUUUAGGAUUUUAAAUAAUCCAUGUUAUACAUGCUAACCUUCAAUGGUAAAUACUAUGGGUUAUUUAAAGGAGAUUACUAGUUAGGAAGAUAAUAAUAAUAAUAACUAUAAUUCCGCUUGCGCUUUGUACGUGACACCCUGGGACGUCACAGCUGCUCGUUACAUCUUGUUUACAAAAACACUGUAACAAGCAGCUGUGAUGUCCUAGAGCGUCACGUACUAAGCACAAGCGGAAUUAUAAUUAUCAUUAACAUCUUACCUAACUUAUAAACUCCUUUAUAUAACCUAUAGUGUUUACCAUUGAAGGUUAGCAUGUAUAACAUGGAUUAUUUAUAUCUCAAGUUUAUAUUAUGAGGUUAUCCUGCAAUUCACUCUACCUUCAAUUCAAGUAUUGGCCAAAUCAUUCAUGCACAUAAAAAAGAACACAAGAAACUUCAUUACUUCUUUUCAUCAUCGGGGCUUACAAAAUUUAUCAACCUGGACUCUUUCCACGUUCAUCGCCUAUAUAUACAACAUAUACAUUACAAAAGUGAGGCGUAACACAAGCCAUGUAUAAAGGGGUGAGGGAAUCUACUCCAUGAGUUCCCAUACCAGCCCGCAUCUAACAAAAAACAAAAGUUAGUCAGCCUCUACACGAUCCAAGGCGUCUAGGUGCCGUCCAUCCCCGCUCCAGGUCCUCUUGCUCCGAAAGGUAAAGGUCCGACCAUUUCCCCUUCAUGGUUGAUAAACCAUGCAACGAAUGUCAUCCGUAUCAACUCAGCCCUACCGUCAUCCAUCCAUAAAGUCGCCUCAUACUUGGAGAAAAUCAUGUCAAUGUCGGGAUCAUACACAUCAUGAAGAGAAACAUCAAGACGCACUACCGCCCCGUAUCGAGCUACUGGCGGUACGUCCAUGCUAUCAAUCUAAAAAUGUAAGGUAUGAGCAAACAACCUUGCCCAGUAAAGAAUGAUAAAACUAUAACUUAAACAAUCCACAGUCAUCAAUAUUGCAAGAGAAUCAUCAAACAAUUUAGGAUGCUAAAGAAAAUAUAUCACAAGCAUAAACAAUUGGAUAUUAACACACUAUGUACAUAAUCACCUUAUGAGCAUCCAUUUCUAUGCUUACCUUUCUCAAACUCAAUCUCAUAUCAAGGUGCAAUGCAACAAUAAUAAAUGGACUCACUCGCCAAAUAGAAUUAUAUUUAGUGUGCACAUGAUCCACCCUCGAUCAAUCACUAACCGGAAUUCAACCGGCCCGAUCGAGUCACUUCUGGAAGUUACCUUAUCCGGACUUCCAUAAUAUGGGGUAUCAUGGGCAUCUCACUCCGAGGCAUCCCGGUAUCACACAACCGAGGUCCUCCCAAGACCACAUAGCAAGGGGCAUCUCACUCCGAGGCAUCUCAGUAUCACACAACUGAGGCAUCCUUGAUCACACACAAGGGCAUCUCACUCCGAGGCAUCUCAGUAUCUCUCUAACGAGGCAUCCAAGACCACGCAGCAAGGGCAUCCCAAACUUUCGGGGGCAUCACCGGUAUCUCUCUACCGAUGGGUUCAUUCAUCUUAAGCACACGUUUCACACCACCACACCUUUGAUUAAUGCAUUUAUUGCAUUUAUUGUAUGCAAAAGAAAAAGACUCUAAAGUAUCUAUCUACUCUCAUGAACCUAGCACACGUGUGUGUCCAAAUUAUAAGAUAAAACCCAUUACGUCAUGUCCCAUUCCAUGGCGAACAGAUAUUUAUCCCAUAAUCAAGCACUAUGCACCGCACUCAUUGCACACACAUGAUUCUAUAUGCACUUAUAUCUCAAAUGAUAUAUGAGACUUACUCUUAUAUGAAUAACUUCUAUUAUGAGGUUUAUUAGGCUCUAUGUACAUCACGAAGACCUAAUAUAAAAGACACAACAUCUAGUAUAUGUUCUCAGGUCCAGACAGUUUACUAACUAAAUGUACAGUUUCGGUUUCAGAUACAAAAGGUAUAUCAAUUCUUGUCGAAAUAUUACCAAAUUUUAGUAUGUUAUAUUUAAGAUAUAGAAUAACAAUUCCCAUGAAGAAACUUAAGUCUAAUUCUCACUGUAUUAAGAGUAACAAUUGCCAUAAUCUUUACUAGUACCCUGUACCGACGUCCAGAUUCUUUAUCUACAAAGAAAAUUGUUUCACUAGCCAAAUAUUAUCGAUUUAAUCUCAAAUUUUGACACGUCAUUCCUUAAGAUGUUCUCUACAAUUUUAAUUAAGGAUUAGAAGUCCAAAUCUAACUAGGUAAAUAUAGAAAAUUCGUAUAUUCAGUUAAGGUCAUACUGUUUCUCACAAAACAGUUUACUGGUUUUACUAAGUUCACUUCUAUCUCUACAUUUUCUAUAGUCAUAUGGUUAUAGCUACGUGUAUGACUCAAUCUUAUAGAUGUUCUAUCAUGUAGAAUAGUUUCUUUCUUAUUUCUAUUAACAUACAUAAAGAAAAUUAAACACAAACAGAAGACUCCAUAACUGUUUUCACUUAGAACAGAAUAGAUACACAAAUUUUCUCACUUCUAACUCAACGAAACAACUUGUCUAUCCACAAAUCUCUUCUAAAAUACUCCAAUGCGUACUCACAGCAACUCAAAGCAACUUUAGCAUAUCUUUCUCUAACAAAUGAUCGAUUCCACAGCUUGGCUCGAAGUGUCGUUGCAUCCGUAAGCCACGUAUCACGACUUCUACCAAAACAACACACUCGGCAUCCAUUUCAUCACUUCGCUUAACAAAACAUCAUACUCACAAGGAUUUCGAAACAUGCAGUCCUCAAAAACAACAUGCAAUGGCUUCUAACUCUAAUCUAACACUUACUCAGCUUAGAUUAACCACAAAACAACAACUACAAACUAAAUCUUUCAUCGUUUGGAUUGAUCCGCAAGCUUUCUUGACAAAACAAUGGAUAACUUUCAAUUUAGAGUUAUAUCUUUCCUUACCUUGUUCAGCUGUUAGACAACACAAAGAUGCUUCAAGAUCAACACCAAAAUCUCGCAUGCAAGAAGAAGAAAUCACUGGUUUGCUUCUGUUUUGUUUCUGGUUCUACCGCUCAGCUGAGAGAAAAGAAAGAAGAAGAUGAAGAUGGGUUGCUGGGUUUUAUAUGGAGAGAGAGAGAGAGGUACAAAACUUAAGGGGGAAAAUAGGUCUACAAACUAAUCCCUAGGCUAGAGUAAUGAUGAAAUUUGCUAAUGAUUUUUUUCCUUGAAGUUUACAUGUCUCGGUUCGUGGGUAUCAAAACCGUGGGUGAAGAAAAACAAAGAGAGAAGAGAGGUGUCGAGAAUCGAGAGAGAGAAAAGUGUCAUGGCUUUCAUGCAUGAAGAUUUUCGCCAUCUGUCGAUCGUCGCCAAUUAACAAUUUAUUGAUAUCAUUCGUUAGUUCAUUAGCUUCUAAUAUUUUCAUCUAAUUGCCUGUUGUUUCUACUUAAUCCCAAUUAUACAUAUCGAAUGACAUAACAUAUUGACUAGUCAAUGUUAGUCUAUAAAGAAUUCAUCACAAAAUGCUAAAGUUAGAAAUUGAUAUUAGCAUUAUAAACAUUAAUCAAGUUAUCAUAACUAUAAUCUAUAAAAUAAAGUCAUUCGGGCCUAAAUAUUCAUUCCCGGCCCAACAAGCUCAAUCUAUAACAAUCUAGGCCCACUUAACCAAAUCUACAAAUCUAAUAAUUUCGAACCUUGGCCCGCUUCAAGCCAAGUCCAAGCCCAUAAUCACUCAUUUGAUUUCUUAAGUCCAAUUCGUGUGGCCCACUCACUUCUCAAGCCCACACGUUUCUCACGAUCCAUCGGGUUCACUUUCUGGCCCAAUCUAAUUAAUCUAAGUUCCUAAUGAUCUAAUUACACUAAUGAAAGUCAAUGAAAUUUGGGAUGUCACAACUCUCCCCUACUUAGAAAAUUUCGUCCUCGAAAUUGAAGUCUUACCUUAUUCACUUGAAAAGCUGAGGAUACUUUUGUAUGAUCUCUUCCUCAUUUUCCCAAGUUGCUUCCUCUGAAUCAUGGCAUCGCCACAAAAUUUUGACUAAAGGUAUAGUCUUAUUCCUCAAUACUUGCUCUCUUCGAUCCAAAAUUUGCACAUGCUCUUCUACAUAUCUAGUUCUUUCAUCUAUUUCUAGUACCUCAAAAUCUAACACAUGAGUUGGAUCCGGCUCAUAUUUCCUAAGCAUAGAUACAUGAAAAACAUCAUGAAUACUGGAUAGCUUUGGUGGUAAUGCUAUUCUAUAUGCUAACUCUCCAAUCCUUUCUAAUACUUCAAAAGGUCCUAUAAAUCUUGGGCUCAACUUUCCUUUCUUCCCAAAUCUUGACACAUUCUUCAUAGGUGAUACUUUCAAAAAUACAUGAUCUCCUACAUUGAAUUCUAAAGGUCUACGACAUUUGUCUGCAUAACUCUUUUGUCUACUCUGAGCUGUCCUGAGUUGUUCAUGUAUAGUCUUCACUGCUUCCAAUGUGAUUUGAACUAUUUCUGGUCCUGUCAACUUUUGCUCUCCAACUUCAUUCCAGCAAAUAGGGGUUCUACAAUUUCUACCAUAUAGAGUUUCAAAUGGAGCCAUACCAAUACUUUGCUGAAAACUAUUGUUAUAAGAAAAUUCCACUAAAUGUAAUUUCUCAUCCCAAUUUCCUUUGAAAUCAAUGACAUAAGCUCUUAGCAUAUCUUCCAAUGUUUGUAUAGUCUUCUUUGAUUGCCCGUCUGUCUGUGGAUGAAAGGCAGUACUAUAUUGGAGUUUAGUUCCUAAGGCAAGUUGAAGACUCUUCCAAAAAUUUGACGUAAAUCGCGGAUCUCUAUAUGAUGUUAUGGUUACAGGAACACAAUGUAGUCAUACUAUUCGUCUAACAUACAAUGUGGCAUACUUCUCUAGUGAAUAGUCUAUCCUGAUAGCUAAAAAGUGUGCUGACUUUGUUAAUCGGUCUACUAUUUCCCAGAUUGAGUCAUGACCGCUUGAAGUCCUUGGCAAUCCUUCUACAAAGUCCAUGGUUAUAUGUUCCCACUUCCAUUCUGGAAUUUCCAAUGGUUUUAGCAAUCCUGCAAGCUUUCGAUGUUCAGCUUUCACCUGUUGACAUGUCAGACAUCUUGCAACAUACUUAGCAAUAUCAGUCUUCAUUCCGUUCCACCAAAAAUAUUGACGAAGGUUCCUAUUCAUCUUUGUACUUCCUAGGUGAAUACUAUAACUACUAUGAUGAGCUUCAGUCAGAAUUUCUCUCUUCAAUUCGUCACUACUAGGCACACAAAAACGUCCAUGAAAUUUAACUAUCCCAGAAAAUUCAAAUUUGAUUGGUCAGAGGAAUGUGAGCAAAGUUUCCAAGAACUCAAGAGGAGAUUGACGACGGCACCAGUGUUAACAAUACCCAUAGGAUCUGGAGGUUUUGUGGUGUAUAGUAAUGCUUCUCAUAAAGGAUUAGGAUGUGUUCUUAUGCAACACGAGAAAGUUAUAACAUAUGCAUUGAGACAAUUGAAACCACAUGAAUUGAAUUACCCUACCCAUGACUUAGAGCUAGCUGCCAUUGUUUUUGCUUUAAAGAUUUGGAGACAUUAUCUUUAUGGAGAAAGAUUUGAAAUUUUUACGGAUCACAAGAGUUUAAAGUAACUAUUCUCUCAAAAGGAAUUGAACAUGAGGCAAAGGAGAUGGAUAGAUGAGAUGGAAAAGAUAUUUGCAUUACUGAAUUGUACUGAUGUAGAGAAGGUAUCAUUAGUAGAAUAUCAACUUCAAGGAAAUGCUGAUUAUUGGUGGAAAGCGACAAAAGGAACAGUAUUCACUGAAGGUGUAGAUGUGACUUGGACUGGAUUUGUAGGAGUCUUCUAUAGUAAGUAUUUUUCAGACUGUGCAAGGGAUAAAAAGGCAAUGUAAUUUAUGCAGUUGACCCAAAAUAACUUGACUAUAGAUCAGUAUGAGGCGAGAUUUGCUGAGCUCUCUAGAUUUUCCUCUAGAUUAAUAGAAUAUCCAGAGGAUAAGGCUAAGAGAUUCUUGAAUGGGUUAAGGUCUAAUAUAAGAGGAUGAUUGGUGCCUUUGAAUUUGAAGGAUUAUAGUGAAUUGUAUGAAAGGGCACAGCUAAUGGAAAGAGAUUUGAUGUCAAGAAACCAGACAUCGGCAUAUCAGGUAAGACCACAAUCUCGAGGAGACUCAUCAUCGGCAUAUCAGGUAAGACCACAAUCUCGAGGAGACUCAUCGAAUUUUCGUUAUAAUAAGAGAUCUCAUUAGGUUGGAAAGUGUGGAAUAAUCAACCAAUGGAACGACCACAGUAUGGUAACAAUGAGUGUCGUCGGUGUGGUAGAUCACAUGGGUUUGGACCAUGUUAUAGAACAAAUGUUUGUUUUAAUUGCGGACAGUUAGGGCAUUAUAUGAGAGAUUGUCCUCAGAAAAGAAUGCAGCAGCCACAACCACAACAGAAUUCAGGUAGACCAUUACCACCAAGAGAUAACCAACAACCCCCAGCUCAAUGAAGAAUUUAUGCGAUUACUCAGGAUGAGGCUGAAGGGUCUCAAACAGUUAUUACAGGUAUCAUUUCCUUGCCCAAUCAGAAUGCUUAUGCUUUGUUCGACACUGGAGCAACUCUCUAUUCCUUUGUAUCUGCUCAAUUUGUGCGACUGAAUAGGAUGGAACCUGAAUUGUUAGAAGUGCCUCUUAGUGUCUCUACUCCAUUAAAGGAUGUCAUUUUAUCUAAUUCAGUGUGUAGGGAUUCCACUAUCCAUAUAGGUGGACAACACUUGUUAGCUGAUUUGAUGGUGUUAGUUAUGUAUGACUUUGAUGUAAUUCUAGGAAUGGAUUGGUUGCAUAGACACCGAGCUAGUGUGGAUUGUUAUAGGAAGAUGAUUCGAUUUGACCCACCAGAUAGGCCAAGUUUUGAAUUUUAUGAUGGAAAGACAACUCCCUCUAUACCUCUUAUUAAUGCAUUAGAAGCCCACAUAUUUCUUAGAAAUGGUUGUUAAGGGUAUUUGGCAUAUGCAAGUGAACAAACCAAGAAGGAAGUACAACUUGAGGAUAUCCGUGUAGUACUAGAAUUUUCUAAUGUAUUUCUCGGGGAAUUGAUAGGAUUACCCCUAGAGCAAGAGAUUGAGUUUACUAUUGAAUUGGCACCUGGUACAAAACCCAUAUCGAAAGCUUCUUAUAGGAUGACGUUGACAGAAUUAAAGGAAUUGAAGGUACAAUUACAAGAAUUACUUGACCAAGUAUUUAUUAGACCAAGUGUUUCCCCAUGGGGUGCACCAGUGUUAUUUGUUAGAAAGAAGGAUGGAUCAUUAUGCCUUUGUAUUGAUUAUAGGCAAUUGAAUCAAGUGACAAUUAAAAAUAAGUACCCAUUACCAAGGAUUGAUGACCUAUUUGAUCAAUUACAAGGAGCGUCAGUUUUCUCAAAGAUUGACUUAAGAUCAGGAUAUCAUCAAUUACGGAUAAGGAAAGAAGAUAUUCCUAAAACAACUUUUCAAACUAGAUAUGGACACUAUGAAUUUUUGGUUAUGCCAUUUGGAUUGACGAAUGCCCCAGCAUCUUUUAUGGACCUUAUGAAUAGAGUAUUUAAGUCUUUUAUGGACCAAUGUGUGAUAGUCUUUAUAGAUGAUAUUUUGGUGUAUUCAAAGAGACAAGAUGAACAUGAAGAACAUUUAAGGAUUGUGCUCCAAACUCUUAGAGAACACAAACUGUAUGCUAAAUUUAGUAAAUGUGAAUUUUGGUUGGACCAAGUGACAUUUUUAGGACAUGUGGUGAUCGGUGAAGGAAUAUCGGUGGACCCAGUUAAAGUUGAGGCUAUGAUUGAUUGGCCUAGACCAUCGACAGUGACAGAAAUACGAAGUUUUCUAGGUUUAGCUAGAUAUUACCAAAGAUUUGUAGAAGGAUUUUCUUGAAUUGCAGGACCUUUACCCUUUGGAGCAGGAGGACCUGGACCAGGGAUGGACGGCGCCUAGACGCCUUGGAUCGUGUAGAGGCUGACUGACUUUUGUUUUUUGUUAGAUGCGAGCUGUGUGGAAACUCUGGAGUAGAUACCCUCACCCUUUAUCCCUGGCUUGUGUUACGCCUUACUUUUGUUAUGUACAUGUUGUAUAUAUAUAGGCGAUGAACAUGGAAAGAGUCUAGGUUGAUAAAUUUUGUAAGCCCUGAUGAUGAAAAGAAGUAAUGAAGUUUCUUGUGUUCUUGUUUAUGUGCAUGAAUGAUUUGGCCAAUACUUGAAUUGAAGGUAGAGUGAAUUGCAGGAUAACCUCAUAAUAUAAACUUGAGAUUUUAAAUAAUCCAUGUUAUACAUGCUAACCUUCAAUGGUAAACAUUAUAGGUUAUCUAAAGGAGUUUAUAAGUUAGGUAAGAUGUUAAUGAUAAUUAUAAUUCCGCUUGCGCUUAGUACGUGACGAUUUGGGACGUCACAACUGCUCGUUACAGUGUUUUUGGUAUCAAAGCAUAAGAUUUAUCUGGAGUGAUAAGGUGCGGUAGUGACUAUGCGUUAGGAUAAUGAUAUUUUCUUUGUAAGGAACAAGUAACUUAUGUUACUCAUAGGAUAUCAAUAACAAUUGUUGCAGUUGUUACUUAUUUGUUUUGUAAGGAGACUCGGUAGCCUAAUGAGUAGUGACCGAUGUGCAGAAACCAGGAAUUGUCAGGAUGAGUAGAAAUGGACGAGGAAUGACCAUGGAUCCCUGUGUGGAAGGAAUCUUGGAAGCACUUGCUAAUGUAGGAACCUUAUUGGAAAGGCAAGCCCAACAACAGGUAGGAGGUGACCGUAGAAUGCAAAGCUUAGUAGAACAAUUUCUGAAACUAAAACCCUCUAGAUUUGCUAGAUUAGGAGAUCCCGUAGAGGUAGAAUUAUGGAUAGAUGAAGAUGGAUAGUGUUGCUGUUAGUCCUUUGGAUAGUGAAGAUCAGAAAUUUCAAUCAAAUUGAUGAUUGAAUUAUUUUUUAUUUUUACUUUUUUGGCAAAAUGUAAGAAUAUAUUGAGGAAAUGUCAAAUGUACAAAAGAUCUCGUCACCAGAAACUUACACUCCAGAUACAGGAACAAAGGAAGUGGAAGGGUGACAAGAUGUAAAAGUCGCAAAGCGCGGCACACACACUACAACACCAAAACCAAAAGAAGCACGGCAUGGACAACUAGCUACCAAACACGCCACAGGCGAGGAAGAGGUCAUCGUUGAAUUGAACUACCUAUGAGUCCCCAGUGAAAAUAAUCAGUAUCUAGGCCCCAACUUCUCUGCAACCUUCUAUUUCUGAAAUUAUCUUCGAUGUUCUUGAAGGUAAUAGCCUUGUCUCGGACCACUUUGAAGAGGUGGUUCUUCAUGGCCAGAAUUGUCAGGGGCUGGUCUCUAAAGAUGAUACUAUUCCUGUUUUUCCAAAUGAUAUGACAAAGUGCGCCAAAGGAAAAAGGGGCAAAUCUUUACCCACUAAAUAGGUAGCGGCUCAGCAGAGGUUCUCCCUCCAAGUUCUGUUGCGCUAAGGCAAAUUGCAUCUAGAAACCCAAAAGAAAGCAAUGCCAGUUAUGACACGGCAAUAAAAAAAUAGGCGAUCAACAAAGUCGGGCAUACUCUUGCAAAAUGCACAGGCAGCUCUUUCAAUUCUACCAUAAGACAGAAGGAGAGCCUAGGUUAGAAGUUUGCGCUUGGCAAUGAGCCAAAGAUUAAGCUGAUAGCAAGGCACUAUGACGUUGUCCCACACGAAGGAGUACCAAUGGACUCUCGUUCUCUUCUUCAUGAUAGAGUUCCACACCAUUGCUACCAUGAACCGACCCGAAGAGCUUUCUCGCUAGCAACAACGAUCCAGGUCACUCGACAGGAUCGGGAGAGGAUAACCCCAUGAUUCAAGCACUAUCCUAAGAGCUUAGCCAACAUCUGAGAAAAGGUCAGCAACACAGGCCUGCCAAGAGAACCCUGAGCUGUAGAUAAGUGAAUCCGAGAAAAGCAGGUUUAGGGGCCCCUUAGGGUGCCAAUUAUCAAACCGAAUAGAGAUUGUUUGGCCAUCGCCAUUUUUCCAGUAGAAAGCCAUCCAGAAAUCACUCAUUAGGUUCAACAAGCUCUUCCAAGCCUAAGAGCCAAAGGUUGGCUUCCUAACAACCCAAAAGUUCUUGUUCUUUAAGAAAGUGGAAUGGACCCACCUACACCACAACGCUUCCUUGUUAGAGAACAAGAACCAGGUAUGCUUCAAUAUGACGGCUUUAUUGCAAUCUCGAAGCCUCCUGAUACCUUGCCCUCCUUCAUCCUUUGGAAGGCAAACUUCAUCUCAAGCUACCUUAGCACCACCCACCCCUGCCCAGGUCCGGACCUUUCCAUAGGAAUUGUCUAAGGAUUUUCUCUAUCUGGUCCACUACAACUAUAUAUAAAACAAAUACACUAGCCUAAUAGGCUUGUAUAGUGUGAAGAAUUAACCUUAUAAGCUAAAGCCGUCCAGCAAGAGAGAGGAAUCUGUGAGUCCAAAACUGAACCCUAGCAGCGAUACGGUUGACAAGGGCACAAGAGAGAGGAAUUGGUGAGUCCAAGAUUGAUGAUUGAAUUAUUUAUAUAGUAAUUUUGGAAAAUUGACAUGCUAUCUUACUAAAGCAAAAGUGAGUGCAUAAUAAUUAUGCAAAAGUGAGUGCAAAAAUUAACAUGAAGUAGUCCACUUUGGGUGCUUUUGCCGCUGUUUUGGCUUUGCCCUCGUUCUUUUACCUUGGCACCCUUCCACUCGCUCUGACUUUUGUGUUCAUGAGUAUAAGUUUUUGGUGCCGAAUUCUUGCUGUAUAGCUUUAUAUAACUCUUUGGUUUAAAGUCAAUAUAAUCUUACCUUUUACCCCCCAAAAAAAAAGUUGAUAAUACAAUCUGUGAAAUUCAAGAUAGAACAAGACAUCAUAAUUUUGACAGGAAUUUUCGAUCUUUGGUAGCUGUAGAUUACAUUGAAUACUAAACUUAAGUAAUAAGAUUCAAUUGCAUAAAUUAAGUACAAGAUUUAAUUGCAUAAUUCGCGUAAGUUGUUGGACCAAUAUUGAAAUUAUUAAAACGAAGAAUCUAAUUUUACCUAAUUCGAUGAAAUGGAUGUGCGAGAAUCAACAUGACCAGCACGUUUACUCCAUUUCGUAGCCAAAAGAUAUAUAUAUAUAUAUAUAUAUAUAUAUUUCCUUUAUUAUAAUGUGGACGGCAUAUAUUUCGGCAUAUAUUUCUUUUUCUUUAUUGUUUUGGGUUGGUUUCUCGUGAAGUGAAGAGGAUAAGAGUGUAUAUUUAUAUCCUGUUUUCCACGCAAUAAUCGCAGAAGUGCAAGGUGAGCAAUAGCUGAAAGCUUGGCCAAUGGAGUACUGCCCUACUUCGCCCUUUUGGCUCGGCCUCCUCCUCCCGGCGCUUCUAUUUUUCCUUCUCAACCGUUGGAAGCGCACCAAGCUUCCCCCUCAGCCCCCAGCAUGGCCCAUGAUCGGCAACAUCCUCGACCUCGGGAUCAUGCCGUACCAGAACCUCCACAGCUUCCGAGCCGAGCACGGGCCUGUCACGUGGUUGAAGCUCGGUUCUGUGAACACCAUGGUGAUCCAAUCAGCUCAGGCCGCCGCAGAGUUCUUCAAGGGCCAUGACAUGGCAUUCGUGGUUGACGGCUCUCGGCUAUGACCAAGGUUCGCUCACCGUGGGUCGUUACGGCUGCUACUGGCACGUUCUCCGGCAUCUCUGCUCUGCAGAGCUCCUCGUGACCAAGCGCAUCAACGAGACGGCCCAUCUCAGGCAGAAGUGCGUCGACAGCAUGAUCGGUUAUUUAGAGAAAGAAAUGGCAGCUAAACAAGUAACAACAGGUUAUUUCUCAUGUGCUUGGUGUUCCUUUUGACUUUUUUUUUUUGAAGAGAGAGUAGGGAGGGGGACGUCUCUUUAGCUCCUUAUAAAAUAUCAAAGCAGAAUCAAGAUCAUAUACACUACAAGAUAUUUCCACUAGUGUCACAACCACUUCUCGAUUAUUAAUAUAGGUAAAAUCAAUGAUUAAGACAUGUUAAGACUUCUACAAAAGUGCGGCUAAGAGGAAUGAUCCCUUGCGUCAAAAUAAUGCAUUUCAGUGAAGAAUACAACUUGCAACUAGAUUUAACUCAAAAAAAUAAAAUAAUGGGACCUGUUUUUUAGGGAUAAAGGAACGACGGUUUUUGAACUUUUGUAAAGUGUUCAAUCAGGUUCCAGAAUCUUUUUUGUGUGUGAAUUUGGUCCUCAAAAUUAUACAUCAGCUGACCCUCCUUAUAGAUGUGUAGAUGGAAUGAUAAUGAGGAAUGUCGCCCCAGCACUAUAAGUUAGCACUGACUGUACCAACUUAUUUGGUGACAUUUAUUUAUUUUUAAACAUAGUGCUGAUAUGGACAAGGAAAAAAAAAUCUAACUAAUAAUUACGCACAAGGGAAUAGAGGGCUGGCUGGCCAGUGUGGGCGGCAGCCUCGCGGCACGACAUGGGUCGUUGAGUGCAUGCCGUCCGCGACUCCCACCUCCCAUCCAAGCACGUCCCCCCUACUUUAGUAACGAUACUUCUUUUUAUCGUUUUUUUUUUCAAAUUUCCUUACUUUUCAUUUUUUAAUAAUUAUUUUUUAAAAUUUCCAUAUUUAUGAAUUCUGUGUUAUUCCAUUUUAAAAAUUUUAAAUGCCACACAGAAUAUCAUAUUUGCAUUCUGUAAGACUUAAAAGUGUCACGUCAUUACUUCUAUUUCCUUUUUUAAUGAAAUGACCAUGUCGGAUAUGAAAGUAUAUGAUUUAAGGAUGUAAUUGUACAAAAAAAAAUUUAGGGACCUAAUUAAACCUUUUGUAAAGGUUUAGGGACUGCUCAUACUUUUGUCCCUUGGUUUUGUGUACUGUAAUUGACAAAGUCAACAAAUUAACUAGUGUAAAUAACUCAACUUACCCAAGAGCUACUGUGAUUAAAUAUGUUAUUUAGUCCAACUCACGUUCAUUCUUUUCGAGUUCGAGUCUAACUAGAGUGACUCUACCGUUAAAUUACUGCAAGCUCGUGCAGCUUCAUCAUUGAAUUGAGCCAAACUCGAGCGUGAUCAAGAAGUUGGGUUUCAUAUAUCUUCCGUUGCAUUUAUCAAGUGCAUCUCUAUAAAAUUAAAAAGCAUGCAUAAGUAAACUUUCCACUCAAUUUUAUUUGUAGAAGUCAACUUGAAGUUUUCAGAGUUUAGAUGCUGUAGGAAAUGGAUUCCUAAAAAUCGAACCGAUACUCGAAUGAUCAAAUAGCAAAAAAUGAAUAUGGAAACGAGUCCAGGAAACAUGUAACACUGAUCAAAGGUAUAUUACGGAAAUAGACAUACCUUACUUGCCACAUAUUAAGUACCAUUGCAGUCUCAGAUGAAUCAGUUAAAGCCCUAGAGUUCCAUUCUUUAAGAGGGAGUAUACUAUUUUAAGAGGAAGAAAAAUGGAAAAGCGUAUUUUCUCUCUGAAACGCUAUAGGUAAUGUUAUCCCAUUUUAUUUUUUAUAUUAUAUAUUGCAAUUAUUUUCAGUUAGAAAAUAACUACCCUUUCCUCUUAUGAGCCAUUCACUUAUGGGUCUAGUUUUAGCCCAACAUGAGCAAAUGGACUUAACUUGGCCAAUCAAAUAAAAAACCAUAAUCUCUCACUUGCACAUGGUGGGUCAAACAUAACAUUUUCUUCAUCUUUCUGUAACAUUCAUAUCAGUAAAUAAUCCGUGCAACCAGUAUAUUUUAAGAGCUCGUUGCCAUACAUCUGUUGAUAAUAUAUAAUAGCUCAUAAUAGGUAUCACAUUUUUUGAGUAAAUAUAGUAUACAACAUCAUAAAUCAAUUAAUCACAUUUAUAUCUCUCUUGAUUUCUUUUUAAUAAUGAUAAAUUGUAUUCACAAUUAUGAUUAUCUCAAAACAAUCAUAAUUUGUCAACUAGUGAAUAUAAAAUUAGAAUGUAAUUUUCCAAACUUGAUAUUCUUCUUUCCUUGAAACUCUCAAUUUUAAUUCAACUUGCUUUUCUAGAAAUAUCCCAUUAGAUUGAAUCAAUUCAUGAUAAUUGAAAACAUUCUAAAAUAACAAACACUAAAUAGAAAUAUUGAGAAUAAGAAAGAAUCAUGAGGGUACUUAAUUGAGGAACUCUUUUCCUUAAGAGUCUCACAUGGCAUAAAAGUUAAGAUAAAAACUUUUACUACUCUUGUUGAUCAUCUCAUGCAUACGUAGUAUGAAAUAUGUAUUAUAGUAUUAACUCCUUUCCACAGAGUAUAUAUUUAUACUUUCAAUAUCGUACAAAUGAUAGUUCAAACAAACCUAAUGUCUAAUUUGAGUUCACGUAUCUAUUCUUUCACAAAAUUCAUUAGAACUCACAUUUGGCAUUAAAGACAGAUAUAGUAAAAUAUGUGGAUUAUUUUACUUUCGGACAUAGUAAAUAUUAUGUCAUUAUCUUAAUACUCAGUUAAGGUGACAUUUAUAUUUUAAGUUUGAACUCUCGAUUAUCACAUAGAUAAUAAGCUUAAAAAAUUGUUUCAUUUCUAUUUAUCACAUAGUAAAUAAAUGUGAUUACUUGUGUGAGUGGGCUACUCUCUUAUCUGACCAACAUACUUUCUCAAUUUUAUAUGAUGCACUAAGCAUUAAGAUGCAUAAACAUCAAAUAAGACUCAUAAGCAUUAAUAAUAAAAAUACAAAUUCAUUAAAUGUGAACAUUUAAGGGAUAUUACAAUAUUCAAUACAUCAGCAUCUAUGUAGUCCUAGAAAUUUUACAUAGCCACAGAACACAUCCCUAGGUACUAGCUUCAUCAUAAGAUCUACUAUCACUCUAUAGGUAGAUAUGUACUGUAAGUUUACAUCUUUUUGUGCAACUAUAUCUUUUACAAAAUUAUAUUUGGUAUAUACAUGUUUGAUUCUGUCAUGAUAUUUUGGUGUAUGCUAUUGUUGUUUGGUUAUCACAGUUAAAUAAUGAGUUUGCAACAUUCUUAAUAACACCUAAAUGAUCCAAAAAUUUCUUAAAUCAAACCCUUUCUUGUAUUGAUAUUAAUAAUGCCACGAACUCAACCUCCAUCGUGGACAAUAUUAUAUAUGUUUGUUUCUUACUACUCCAAAAUAUGAUACCAUCAUUUAAUAAGAAAACAAAUCUAGAGGUAAAUUUCAUUUCAUUUAAAUCUCCUCCUUAGUUAGUAUCUGAAUAGCUUUCAAGUCGCAAAUUCUUUCCUUAAUAACUCAACGUAUAAUUAACAUAUCCUUUCAGAUACCUCAGUAUCCUUUUGACGGCUUUCCAAUGUGCUUGACUUGAAUUGGAUAUCUAUUUAUCAUUCAAAUUACAAAACAUAUGUUAGGUCUUGUGCACAUCAUAGAGUACAUUAAAUUUCCAGCAACACUACCAUAAGGAAUAUGUUGCAUUUGUUCAUUCUCUCGUUGAGCCUUUGGAUAUAUUCUAUAGCUUAAUCAUUCACCUUUUACAAUGGGAAUAUGUAUGAGUUUACAAAAUUGCAUACGAAAUCGUUCAAGAACCUUAUUAUGUAUUUUUCUUGUGAAAGAGACAAUGAUAUUCUCGAACAAUCUCUUGAAAUUUUAACUUCGAGAAUAUAUGUAGCCUCACCCAUGUCUUUCAUAUCAAAGUUGGAAGAUAACCAACUCUUGACAUUAUUAACAAACUCCAUAUUGCUUCCGGCAAUCGGUAUAUCAUCAACAUAUAAUGAUAUAAUCACAAAUUGAUCUUUGGAUAUUUUGAUAUAUACACAAUGAUCCACAUCAAUCAUUGUAAAAUCAUAUGUCAUUAUGGUAUUAUGAAAACAUAUAUAUUAAUGUCUCGACGACCGCUUAAGGACAUAUAUAGAUCCCAAAAGUCAACAAAUCUUUUGUUUUUGGCAUUUCAAAAUGAAACUAACAGGUUGUUUCAUAUAUAUUUUUUCUUCUACUUCUUCAUUGAGAAAAGCAGUAUUUAUAUCCAUUUGAUGUAACUUAAGAUUCAUACUAACUACUAUUGCCAGAAUAAUGCAAAUCGAAGUAAAUCUAAUUACAAGAGAAAAUGUUUCGUUAUAAUCAAUUCAUUUCUAUUGGUUAUACUCAUUUGGCACAAAAUGAGCCUUAUAUCUUUCUAUUAAACCAUCGGUUUUAUGCUUUUUAUUUUUUUAUUUUAUUUUUAUAAUCCACUUGUUUCCAAUGGCUUUGUGUCCUUUUGGAAGGUUAAUCAAUUCCUAAAUACGGUUUAACUUCUUUGACUCCAUUUCCUUUUUCAUUGUAUGCAUCCAUUUUUUCUUACUAGGGAAAUUUAAAGCCUUAUUUACAUUUAUUGACUCAUAUUCAUCUUAUGGAGCAACCAUAAAAACGUCGACGUGGAAUAUUUUUGUGACUUAUUUUCCGUACGAGAGAUAGUACACUUUGCACAUUAUUCUCUAUUAUGCUCAUACUCAAAUUAGAUAAUGACGAUAUCGUCUCAUCAUAUAACUAUAAUUGAGAGUAAGUCAAAUUUAAUUCCUCACUUCUCAUGUUACUCCUACUUUGACAAACUCUACCAAGUCCAUUAUCUUGAUUCAAGGUUUCAAAUAGUGAGUAAUCCUCACAUAUUUGCUUUUCUUAAGAAAUUCAUUCUUUAAAAAUGUGACAUCCCGUGAUUUAAAUUCAGUUAUAUUCUCACUUUUCUGCUCACUUAUAAAUACAUACCCUUUCGAAUGUUCUGAGUAUUUUAUAAAAAUACUCUUCUUGCCUCUAAGACCCAAUUUCUCAUACUUGUGAGAAGGCUCAUGAGUAUAGGCAGUACAAUCCUACGGUUUAAGAAAACUUAAGUUCGGUUUUCUACCUGUCUAUAACUUAUAUGAAGUGAAAGUAACUGGUUUGAAAAACACACGGUUAAGUAUAUAGACAGCAGUUUAUAAAGCAUCACCCCAAAAGGUGAGAGGUAAGUUAGCAUGCGUUAUCAUAGAUACAACAAUUCUCAGUAGAGUUCUAUUUCUUCUUUUCAUAACACUAUUUUGUUGAGGAGUAUAGGGAAUAGAAAAUUGUAUUUCUAUUCAUUUUUCGUCACAUAAAUUUAUGAAUUCAUCAGAAAAAUAUUUUCGACCUUGAUCGAAUCUCAAUACUUUUAUUUUCUUAUUAUAUUGAUUUUCUACCAAGCUCAUAAACUUUUUAAAACAACUAAAUACUUCAGAUUUAUGAGAAAUCAAAUGACAUAUAUGAAUCGAGUAUAAUUAUCUAUAAAUGUGAUAAAAUAAAUAGCAUCAUGCCUUCCUCUCACAUUUAUUAGACCACAAAAAUUAAAAUGGAUUAAUUGCAAAGGAAAUUCAGCUUUCACAUUUUCCAAAUUGUUUCGUUGUCGUUUUCCCUACUAGGCAAUGCUUAGAUAUAGGCAAAUAAACUUUUCUAAUGUUGCCUAACAAGCCUUCUUUGACUAGCCUAUUCAUAUGUUGUUGGUCAAUAUGACUAAGUUUAGCAUGCCACAUAUUCACAUCAUUAUCAUAUGAAUUAAAAGACGCGAAGAGGGAAUAAUAAACAUUAAUAUUACUAUAGAUUGCAUUGAAUACAAUAAAACCAGCUAAAAAAUAACUACAACCAUAAUAGUUUGUAUUCAAAUACAAAUCCACACCAUUAUUAUGGAAGUUUAAAUUAAAAGAAAUUUUUACCAAUACUAAAACAGACACUAAAUUCUAAUAAAUCUCCAUAACAUAUAAUACAUCAUGUAGAAAUACGGUGCGUUCACUACACAUGUUUAAUUGGCAAGUGCCAAUCUCUUUUACUUUAGCAUUAAAGUUGUUUCCUACAUAGAUCCAUUUAGUUCCAGUUGGUACUCGUCGGAAUUCUACGAAGAAUUCUCUAUCAUUUGCUACAUGGUUCGUUGCUCCUGAAUCUAUAGUUCACAAAGGAUUAUAUUCAGUUAAGAAUACAAAAUUUGAUGCAUAAGCAAAGUUCUUAAGAAUACAAUGGGUGUUUUUCUUCUUUGGCUAGUGAUAGUUGCAAGCAUAGUGACUAUUCUUGUCACAACUAUAACACUUCACCAUUGACAACUUAUUCAUUCGAGAACAUUUUCUUCUUUCAUGUUGGUCAACUUUUGGUUUCUUUCUCGAAGAACUUGCUUCCUUACCUUUCCACAUUUUGAACGAAUCAAGACGUUUGUGCUUGGAGCUCGAAAUCCCUUGUGAGCUAGGACCAUCAUAAUAAAUAUCAGUUUACAAUUUAGUUGCCAGGAGGCAGUCCUCUUCUAACUCAAGAUGGCGCACUACAUCCUCAAAGUUUUUAAUAUUCUCGUUGUGUGUCAAAUGCACCUUCAUAUGCUCACAACUUGGAGGCAAGGAACGAAUCACUACUUGCACUUGUUGCUUGUCAGUCAGGACAUGGCCAACAUCUUUAAGCUCAUUAAUCAUAUUUAACAUCUUUCUCGCGUAUUGUUUUAUGAUCUGACUAUGAGGCUUAUUAUAAGAGUCAAAUCUCAUAAUGAGCUGCCUUGGUUUUGUCAUUGAUGUAUGACCAAAUCUUGUUGCUAAUACUUCCUACAUUUCUUUGGCAUUCUCAAAACGCAUGAACUCUCACAUGACAUCAUUUUCCAUGCUACUCAGCAAUGUAAUUCGAGUAAAGGAGUUCUUUCUUUACCAUGUAGCAAAUGCAUCAUUAUCUAUUUUAUGUUGUGUAGUGUUCACAUCUUCAGGUUUUUCCAUAAUCAGGUUAAGAGCUUCUAAUGCCUUUUGCUCUUCAAGCACAUAUUGGAUUUUCAGAUGCCAUAAUUCAUAAUUAUUGUCGUUCAGCUUCUCACCUUUGUUCAAUUCAGCGUCUAUGCUCUUAGUUGUCGAAGUCAUUGGAUCUAAACAUAUCAGACACAUAUGCAUGAAUUAUUAACGCCUCUCAUUUAUGCAUUCAUUUUGCAUAAAGUCAUCAUAUUAAUGAAUAAUUUUAAAUAAGGUUUUAGAAUCAAAAUGUCACUAUGUUUCCAAUCAUCAUCUAAAAAUUCUAAUUCAAAAUUAUCAUUAAUGUAGUCUUCUAUGCAAAAUAAGUUCUUUGAAGCUACAAAAUUUUCUAUGAACUACCCACAACGCUUAAUGAUAACAGAAGCAAUUGACAUUGAAUAUCCAUUAAUGAUAGAAUAAAAAUAAUUUCAUAUAAUAUAACAAAUACAUCAAUUGCUACAACGACAUCAAUAUGGUAGAAAUUAUCUAUAUAAGAUAUUCAUAAAACAUACUAAAUAAAUGCUACUAGAAACAACUAAGGCUAAGUCAACCUAUGAACAGGGAAAGAUUCUUUUAAUUUCUUGGAAAUUUCCUUUGUAAAUUCUCUAGGCACAUUUGGCAACCACAGAAAAAUAGACGGAAAUCCUUUAGGAUUUCUCCUUCACACUUUCAUCACCCCAUGGAUUGAACUCAUUCAUUGGGUCAAAGUCUUUGUGGCUUCAAUCCUAUAAUAUUCCUUCAAAAAAGCCACUAUAAAUUUCUUAUAAUCAAGAAUCAAAUUGACAUCCCAUAGGCGAUUCAACAUUCCUUGCCAUUCAUAUAGAAGAAUGCUAAUGAAGAAUCGCACCAUCUCAAAAGCUGACAUGGGGUAACCCUUCCAAAUGACUUCUUGUAUCUUUUUAUUGACCUUGUAAACAUGAUCAAAUAAAUUACCAUUUUCGCAUUGAUAAUUAGCCAACUCAGUUAUCAUCCUUGCAAGCCUUGUCCUUUGUCUUUCCGAAUGUGCGCGAAUAGGUGUACGUAUACGAAGGGGAGACGUUGUUCUUAUAACAAAUGCAAAACGAAAAAGGAUUACUUAUAAUCCAUAGGGACAUACUUGAAAAAGAAACGAUCAAUGGUCAAAGAGUCAACUGUCAAUGUGGUCAACAAAGUAAAUGGUCAACGGAGAUUAGGUCAGGUCAAACAGGUCCAACAUGGGUCAGGUCAAACUGAUUGACCCGACUAGGUGAUGUCAUAGUGACAUCACCAACAAGUGCCACAUGUGUGCAUGGGCAACCUCGGCUGACGUCACCAUGACGUCAGCUAGCGAGUGUGGCGCCGCAAGCACCCUAAAAAUUGUUGUUGCAUGCGCCAACGAGGCCUUUUCUCCUAGCUGUGCGUGGCAACAUGUCUGACAACCCACAGUGGCGAGCCACUACUUAUUUUUAUCAUCUCAAUGAAAACUACAACCCCGCACUAUCAAAAAUGAGUUUUGAUUCACCAAAAAUCAAAAAGGGAGGCGAACAAUACGAGCAUGUUAGGAUUUCCAUCCUUGAGCAUCAGACGGCAACCUUUUUCAAAAUUUCAUCCAAAAACAAUUUAUCAACAUCAACAUUGAUUGGGAAACAUGAACAACAUUACUUUGAUACCAAUGUAGGAAACAAAUUCCUAAAAAUUGAACCGAUACUCGAACGAUUAAAAACCCUAAAACGAAUGUGGAAAUGAGUCUGGGAAACAUGUGUGACAUCCUGAAAUUCGAUCCCGUUUCGAUAAAAUGAAAUGCGCAUAUUGUCAGCGUGCCUAUCCUCAUUUUUCUUUGAGCUGAUCACUCACGGGUUAACUAAUCUAUUGGGUGAAGCCGUUAAGGGAUAUAUCCGCGGUAAAAUCCCUAAAAGCUACCUAAUUUGUUAGAUUGGACUAAAAUCACGUUCGAUCGAUUUUAAUCAUGAAAUUUAAUUCGGUUUUGGGAAUCGAAUAUCCGAGCGUGUCACAAUUCAUUUUUAGGACCUCGUCUCAUUGUCCGUCAAAUUAUCGACGAGUCCGAAAUUUCAUGAAAGAAAUUAUUGGAGGAAAAAAUCGAAAACUGGAAGAAAUUAGAAAGGGAAAUGGAAAGAGAAAAGAAAAUAUAGAAUAGUAUUAUUCUUUUUCUUUUUCUCUCUCUCUCCCUUUUCUCUCUUUCUUUUCUCUCUCUUCUCUCUCCUCUCCCCUCCCCCUCGUACGAAAACCCUCCCCACCGACCGCCCCUUGCUGUCUUCCACUUUGCUUUCUUUUAUUUUAUUUUAUUUUUUUGACCAAUCAAAUCUCUCUCUCAUCUCUCAUCCCUCUCUCUCUCGUCACUCUUUCUUCUUCCUUCUUCUCCGUGCAAACGAACGGAACCAGAAGCUGAAGAAGAUCGAAAGCAGCAGCAGCCACCAUUGUCGCUUGUCCCGCCGCCGCACCGCACGCCCGCGCACACCGCACCUCCACCGAUCGCCGCCCGUGCGCCGCCUGUGCUUGCCGUCCCUGCCGCACGAUCCAACCUCUGUUCGGCCUCUGUUCAACCGCCGAGAGCGGCUGAGCAGGCCGCUGGAGCCACCGUCCGGCCUCACCGGAGCUCCGCCCGCUCUCCUGACCUCUUGCCGCCCCCAACCCUCUCUGUUUCUCUCUGUUUUGCAGCUGAACCAGCAAACCCACAAGUGGGUUUCCAGCCGGUUCGUGGUUGGUUUUGGGCCGUUUCCGGGCCUCGAACCCGAGCUGUGCUUUGGGAAGAAUCGUUCCUCGCGUCGCCCCCGUCGGAUUGAUUCGAUUUGCGCGCGAUUUGGUGAGUAAUCUCACUAAUCCCGGAUUAGUUGGCUAAUUAUGCUUAAGGUUGGUUUAGUUUUAAUUAAUUAUGUUAGGUUGUUAGAUUAAAAUAAAUUAGCAAUUAUUAGUCAAUUGUGAUGCGAUUUAGAUAAAUUGAUUGUGUAAUUAGCAAGUAGACGUGGUCUACUAAUUAUUGGAAGUGUCUCGGGAUUUUUCCCGACCCUUAGUGGGCUCCAAUUAGGCUUUUCGGGCCUAAGGGGAAUUUUUAGUAUUUAAAUAUUAAUUUUCGGAAUUAAAUUAAAUAAUUAUUUAUUUUCCGAAAAUUCAACUGGGAUGGCCCGAAACCGGAAUAUUAUACUGAUGACUGUGGUGAAGUCUGUUUAUUUAAUCGGGCUUUAUUUUGAGCAGAAUCGAAUUUUUAAUAUUAAUUAUUUAAUUUUCGAAUUUAAUUAAUUAAUUAUUUAUUUCCGAAAAUUCAAUUGAGAUGGUAAAUGACCAGAAUAUUAUGCUGAUGACUGUGGUGAAGUCCGUUUAUUUAAUUGGGCUUUAUUUUGUGUUAAAUUGAAUUUUUAAUUGUUAUUAAUUAAUUAUUUUUCGGAAAUUAAGAUUUUGAUGGCCGACGAUCGAAAUCUCGUGCUGAUUGUCGUGGCGCAGUUUGUUUAUUUAAUUGAGCUCUACAUUGCAUGAAAUUAAAUAAAUUGCGAUAUUUUAGGGAUUUACCCUAAAUUGGUUGAAAUUGAAUUAUUGAUUGGUAGUUGGAUGAGUAUGGCUAUUUAGCAUUUUGAAUGCCUUGUUGAGCUGUAAGUGGAGAGAGUGGUGAGAACUAACUGAGAAUUCUAUUGGCUGAGACCGAUCAAGUACGAAGUAUAGACAAGCAUGGUUCGGUGAUAAAGUACAUCACUGUGCGAAAACGACGCCUUAAAGAACGCACGUAGACUGUCUAUGACUUAUGGCAGGCAUGGUUCGGUGAUUAGGGAGAUCACUGUGCGAAAACGGCGCCUUAAAGAACGCACGUAGACUGCCUAUGAAUAGUGACAGGCGUGGUUCGGUGAUGAAGGACAUCACUGUGCGAAAACGGCGCCUUAAAGAACGCACGUAGGUUGUCAGUGAUUUGUGACCUAUGACGGGCGUGGUUCGAUGAUGAGGAAUAUCACUGUGCGAAAACGACGCCUUAAAGAAUGCACGUAGACCAUUUGUUACUUAUGUCACCUUGGCGAAAAGAACAUUGAUGGAGCUCUAUGACUAAGUGUACUAUUGGAGGUUAUGUGGGACGGAGUGAAUGACCUAGAAAUGAUUCGACUGACUUGUAAUCGACUAGGUCGAUUAAUCGAUGAUUUAAUCUGAGUGUGAUUCAAUGUGAUUGAUCAUUGCCUUGAUUUGAUGUUGCGAAUUGAUUGAUUGAAUGGAAAUGACCGUGAGUGGUCUUGUUGGCAUAUAAUCGACUAGGUCGAUUUGAUCGAUGUUUCGAUCGAUGAUAUGAUUGCUUGAGUGCCUAUUGUAUAUUAUGCUGACUUGCAGGUGGGAUUUGAGGCCAAGGUAAGUCAUUUGCCCUGUGCGUGGUUAGGCAGCCUGUAGUAUAAUAGUUUACUAAUCUGGCCUUAAUGGGGUAGAACUCGCUGAGACAUAGUCUCAUCCCGGUUUGGGGAAAUCAUUUCAGGACCCCACUGAGGAGCUGAGGAGGAGGAAUCUGAGAAGGAUUUUUGGAAGAAGAAGAUAAUCCCGAGAGGGGCCUUGAGUACGGCCCGGGUGAACUGAGAUUCUAUUUUCUUUUGAGGUCUCCAUUUUGAUGUGAAUAGAGUUUAGAGUAAAAAGUUAUGAAGUGCUCUGGUUUGUGUUUUGUAUAAAAGUUUGGUUAUAAGUUUCAAUAUGAAAAAUAUGGCUUUGCUUUUCUAUCCCAUCGUUUUAUUGUCUGGGGAUUGUAACUGCUUCCGCAUGUGCUUAAUAAAAGAAAGGGUCGGCGAUACAUAGUCUUGGGAUAUCGCAUUAUAAAAUUGACCAAGUGAGAAGGAUGUGUCCGUGCCCGAGGAUCGGGGCGUGACAACAUGUAAUAUCGAUUGAAGGCGACGGACAUACCUUGCUUGCUAUAGAUUAAGUACCAUCGCAGUCUCAGAGGAAUCCUUUGAAGCCCUAGAAUUCCAUUCUUUAAGAGGAAGUAUACUGUUUCAAGAGGAAGAAAAAUGGAGAAGUGUAUUUUCUCUCUGAAACACUAUAGGUAACAUUAUCCUAUUUUAUUUUUAUUUUUUAUAUUGCAGUUAUUUUCACUUAGAAAAUAACUACCCUUUCCUCUUAUGAGCCCUUCACUUACGGGUCGGGUUUUGGCCCAACAUAAGCGAAUGGGCUUAAUUUGACCCAUCAAAUAAAAAACCAUCAGAUGCUAGUUUAGCUUUGUUAGUGAAGUAGAGUCGAAAACAAGCUUAUCAAGCACUUUAUUAAGUUCGAGUUGAGCUAAAAAAAAGGACCUUUCAUAUUGAACAUUGCAGCAUACAUAGUAAGACAAGUAGAACUCACGAGUAGUUUAGAAGACAAUCCCUCUCGAUUCGACUAUAUCCCUCUUUUAACUAGUUGCACAACUUGAUGCAAUAAAUUUUUUCACGUCUAAUUCGUUACAUGCAGAUAUAAAUUCUCUGAUUAUAAUUAAUUGUAAAAAAAAAAUCAUUAUAUGAAGAGUAAGGAAUCGACUUAUCACAUUUCCUUUUUCUCUUGGGGUUUAAUGUGGUUGGCAACAUGGUGCUCUCGCGAGAUCUGUUGGACCCAAAAUCGAAGGAUGCGCUCGAGUUCUACGAUGCCAUGAACCGGGUCACGGUGUGGGCCAGCAAGCCUAAUGUAGCCGACUUCAUGCCGUGGUUGAAAUGGUGGGAUCCACAGGGGAUCAAAACAAGCAUGGCAGAGGACAUGGGUCGAGCCAUGAAGAUUGCCGAAGGCUUCAUGAAAGAGAGAUUGGAGGAGCGAAAGCUAAGGGGAGAGAUGAGGACGACGAAUAACUUCUUGGACGCGGUAUUGGAUUAUGAGGGCGAUGGAAAAGAAGGCCCUCACAAGAUCUCUUCCCAGAACGUCAACAUAAUCAUUCUGGUAAGUUUGCUCCUCCCUUCCACGUUUAACACAGUCUCACAGAAGUAAUUAUCGAUUACCAUCUUAUAGAUAUUAGGUUAAAUUCAGUUUAUUAAGUGGUACAGUGAACUUAAUUGACAUUUAAACAAGAUCACAUCACACGUCAAGGACAAGUUUUAGUAGUUAAUAUUAAAAUAUGGGUGGCGCUAUUUUCACCCCUCAUGAUUUCACUCACUCUACCAAAAAGACAAAAUUGCUCUUAAUCAUUCGAUUGUAAUUUUGAUGGCUCAAACUUAUUUACUUUCCUUCUUUUUCUUGUUUUUCUUCUUUUAUGUAGGAUCUAUUUAUCAUAAUCUAUAUUUAACAUGUUUCAUUUUGGUUUAUUGUGGGUAGCCCAUGUAUAUGAAAGGCACUAUGUUUUCACUUUAUUAUUACAAUUUACUUAUGUAGACAUUAAUUUACUCAUGGAGAAAAUUUUCCAAUAAAUCAAAUUAUUUUCAACGUUGUCUAACAAAUUUGUUGAUUAAUUGACUAGAAAAUUUUUAACACAUAUACUUUCUUAACGCGAUAACUUAUUUAUAAACUUCAACAUUUGUUGUGCAUGUCACCAUUAAAUCAUUUCUUAUCAGUUUGCACACAUAUACAUAAAAUGGGAUGAUCGAUGAAAAAAAGAAGAAGAAAAAAUCCCUGUAAAUUUUUUUUUGAAAUAAAUUCUUGAUCGCAUUCUCCAAUGUGAAACUUUAAAAGAUAAAAUUUCUUUUUAAAAAUUCAAGUGAAGUCUCAUCAUAUUGGAAUAACAAAAAUUAAUAUCAUCCAUGAAGUGUUUUUGGAAAAAAAAAAAUCUGAUUAGAAAGGAUUUGAUGGUGAUAUACACAACAAAAGUAAAAGUUUAUAAAGAUGAGAUUGUUUUGAAAAAUUGUCUAUGUUAAUCUCUAGGUUAUAUGUGACAAUUAAUCCAUAAAUUUGCUCAAUAAUGUAAAAAAGAAUUAAGCUUCUCAGAAAAUUUAUUUUUGAUGUAACUUAUUCUGUGGAAGUAAAAUCUACAAAUUAAAAGAAAAAAAAAUGCCUUCAAUAUACACAUUAUAGGCAUACUAAAUAACUCGUCAAAAGUUUAAUUAUGGCAACUAGAUUCUAAACAAAAACAGAAUAAGAAUGAAAAAGAAGGAAAGUGAAUAAAUGAGGGUCUACCACUUUAAAUUGCAGUUAAAUGAUUAAGGGCGAUUUUGCUUUUUUUAGUGAAAAAUAAGGUGGAAUUAGUCAUAUGAGAGGUGGAAAUAGCUUGACCUUAAAAAUAAACCAUAAAUCAAUCUUGCAUUUUUGUGGAGCAUUCAAGCUAGUUAUUAUAAAAUGGGGAGAAGUACACUAUCAAUGUUAUAAAUUGUGUACGGAGCUCAUUUUAAUGCCAAAAAUUUCCAUAGGAUCACUUAAGUGCCAAAAUUUUUGAAAAACGAUCAUUUCAGUGCCAACAUCGAUCAGGCUGACCGGAAAUUCGACGUGGCAGUUUUUUAUUCAUUUUUGAUGCUGAUGUGGCUCGCCAGAGAAUACAGUUAGCAUGUAAACCACAAAACGACAUCAUUUGGUGUUUUCCCCAAGUCGAAACCCUAAAUCCCCAAAUCGAGAGAGAGAGAGAGAGAGAGAGAGAGAGAGAGAGAGGCAUGAUGGCGUCGUCUUCUUCCCCGAAGAACAACACUAGCACCGGCCACUCUCUGAGCGGAACUUGAUCCACCAUCUCCAUCUGUGCCCUCCUUGUUUCCCUCACACUCUGUCUUCUUUCUCUCUCUGCACCUUCGAGCCCCCUUCUUCCUCCUCCUCCUCCGCCCUCACCUCCUAUUUUCCCAUCACUUCUUGCCCAAGAAACAACCUCAGCCUCUCCUUGCUCACCUAGUCGAGCAACUACGAUGGAGGCCGAGCGACGGUGGUCGAGCACGGUGGCUGAGCAAGCUAGGUCGGCGAGGAUUGAACAAAAAAACCCUAAUUUCAAUCCCAAAUGAGCUGUGCGGCAUCGUUUUUGCGAGGCCAUCCACAUAUGAUGGCAAAACGACGUCUUUUUCUUAAGGUGGACGGAAAACGACGUCGUUUAAAAGGCUCCUCGAUUUUAAUUUUAAAUAGAAAAGCCACGUAAUCAUUUUGGCCGGAAUAUCUCGCCAGUAGCACCAAAAUGAUCGUUUUUUCUCCGAUUUGGCACUUAAGCGAUCCGACAGAAACUUUUGGCAUCAAAGUAAGCGCCGUACACAACUUAUGGCACUGGUAGUAUACUUCUCCCUUAUAAAAUGAGUGGGGAUUGGCCAAAUCAAAAUAGAAUGAUAAAAUCUAUAUACUAGUAGUAACUUUUUGUUAUGCACCAUUUUCUAAAAACUCAAGUGUUAAAUGUUUUCAUAAAUAGUAAGUAGUUGUGAAAAAGGCUAUUUCAAUUGUGGAAGGUAUCAUUGGACCUUAGUAAACAAGUCUUAAGCCUAGAGAAGAGGUUCGAUUAAGAUCGACAAUCUUAUUCAAAUUGGAACCCAAAAUGAGUAAUUCUUUUGUGAAUUCGUCGGCACCCUAAACAUUUGUUUGCCAAUUUGAAGUAUAAGAAUUGCUAUGUUUGAUCAGGAUUUUUUAUCAAGUGAAGCACGAUAACUUUUACUAUUAACCUGACGAUUCAAGAGAGUUAAUCUUCAAGUGAGAUAGAAUUUUUUAAUGAUGGCACACGUGUUAAGAAAACUCCUAUUAGAUUUUCAAGUUGACAAAACUUUUCUUUUUUCUAUUCUUAUUCUCAUUCUGAGGAAUACAAGACUUCUGUGGAAUUUUUUCAAAGUCUAUCUUACAUAAGAAGUCUGCUCCACUCUGACGAAGACCUAGAUUGAACUCAAGUGAAGAACAAAGACAUAAUUAGACUCAUGAUUAUUUUUCUUCCUUCAAAGAUUCAGUACAAAAAAGAUAUAUCUGUCUUUCUAGUUGAAAAUCUCACUUACCUUUUUGGAUAUUAUUGAUAAAAUCAAUCACGGAAUAGUAAAAUCAUUUUGGAAGGCAAGUUUAUUUGGAAAGAAUCUACUUAUGGAAAGCAAGAUUAUAAUUGUAUGGGCAACCAGGAUCAUCAGACCUUCAUCUCAAUCUUCAAACGACUCAAGAUCUCCUUGAUUGAUUCUAUCCAACAGGUUGAUUGGAAGAAUUUAUCUGGAAAGUACCAACGGUCACAAAGGCAUGGAGGAGUAUUUAAUGAGGUUUUUUGAGUCAUUUGAUAGAGAGCGUGAAAGCUAGAAUUCCAAAGUCUGAAACUUCUCAAAUCACUUGUUCUUCCUCAAUAGUGCUCAAACGUCUAUUCGAAAGACAAAGAAACACUAAAAAGUGAUUUAGUGAGAGAAAUAGAAAAUCUUUACUGAGUAGUCAGUAAUAUAUUGUUGUAAUUAUCUUUUGAUUUAUAGUGAAAACCAGCCAGAAGGCUAUCAGCGUAUGAGAGUAGACGUAAGCUUAAUCUAAGACAAAUCACUAUAAAUCUUGUGUUCAUUUUCUCUUCCCUAAACUCUUUUAAUUUAUUUGUUGUGAUAAUUUUAUGAAAUUUGAAUCUUUAUUCAAAGUCUAUUGUUUAACAGACUCAAUUUAAAAGAAAAAUAUUUUUACUGUUUCUGUAGAAAAUCGACUUUUACACCUAUUCACCCCCUCUAGGCGUUUAUACUAACUCUUUCAAGUGUGAGUAUAGUUUCCAAGAGCUUAAGCAGAAGCUGACUACUACACCCGUGUUGACAACUCCGUCUGGUCUUGGAGGAUACAAGAUCUAUAGUGAUGUGUCGUUUAGGAGACUGGGUUGUGUGUUCAUGCAGCAUGGCAAAGUUGUUGCAUACAUGUCCUGUCAGUUGAGACCUCAUGAGCUAAAUUACCUGAUGCAUGACUUGGAACUCGCAGUGAUUAUUUUUGCUUUGAAGAUUUAGAGACAUUACUUGUACGGAGAAAUAUUUCAAAUCUUCACAGACCAUCAAAGUCUCAAGUACCUAUUCUCUCAAAAGAAGUUGAAUAUGAGACAGCAUCGCUGGAUGGAACUUUUGAAGGACUAUGAUUGAGACAUCCUGUAUCAUCUUGGAAAGGCUAAUAAGGUCACAUAUGCGCUAAGUCGGAAGUCUUCAGUUGCGUAAAUGGUGAUCAAGGAUUGGAUUUUACUUGAGAGAGCUUGAGAUUCAGUUUUCAAAUUUGAAGUUGGCCACCUUUCAAAUCUUAUGGCCACCCUCAAACUUGAACCGAAAGUACAAAUAAGGAUCAAGAUGCUUCAAUUGAUAAACCUAGAGAUUCAGAAGAUCCUACAAGAGGUACCGAAAAGAGAAAUGCUAACUUUCAGAUUUCUGAAUACGGAACACUGAGGUUCUAAGGACGAUUAUAUGUGCCUGACGAUGUAGAGCUUAAGGAAGAGAUUUUGUCAAAAGCUCAUCGUAGCAGUUACAACAUUCAUCCAAGCAGUACAAAGAUGUAUCGAAAUCUGUGUCAAUACUAUUGGUGGUCUGGUAUGAAGGCGGAUAUUACCAAGCAUAUCGCUAAGUGUUUGACAUAUUAGCAAGUGAAGGCAAAACAUUAUAAGAAGGAGGACUUAUGCAACCUCUCAAGAUUCCUGAGUGGAAAUGGGAACACAUCACAAUGGAUUUUGUGACAGGCUUACCAAGGAGUCAGAUGGGCAAUGAUUCUAUUUGGGUAGUGGUCAACAGACUAACAAAGUUGGCUCACUUUAUCGCCAUACGAAAGGACAUUGCAUUGGAUAGAUAUGUAGAAUUGUACAUGCGUCAGAUUGUUGAUCUGCAUGGAGUGCCGAUGACGAUUACAUCAGACUGGGACCCGAGGUUCACAGCCGCCUUUUGAAAGAGUUUACAGACUGCCUUAGGAAUGAAGCUGCAGUACAAUACGGCCUAUCAUCCUUAAAUGGAUGGCCAAUUUGAAAGGACGAUUCAAACCCUUGAAGACAUGCUGUGAGCUUGCGUGUUAGACUUCAAGGGAAGCUGGGAGGAAUAACUUCAUCUUGUCAAGUUUGCCUACAAUAACAGCUACCAACAGAGCAUUCAGAUGGCUCCUUUUGAAGUGUUGUAUGGCAGGGCGUGCAGAACGCCAGUUUGUUGGGAUGAGGUCGGAGAACGAAAGAUUACAGGCCUAGAGUUGGUUCAGUAGUCAGUGAAUGCAGUUGUCGUUAUCUAAGACAGAUCAAAUACCGCUCAAAGCAGCUAGAAAAGCUACGCAGAUAAGUGUUGAAGACCAUUAGAAUUCUAAUUUGGUAAACACGUCUUUCUAAAGGUGUCACCAAUGAGGGGUACUUCGCACUUCGGAAAAAAUGGAAACUGAAUCCAAGAUACGUAUGUCCUUUUGAGAUUUUGGAAAUGAUAGGGACUGUAGCGUAUUGUCUUGCAUUGCCAUUGAGGUUGGCGCAAGUGCAUGACGUCUUUCACAUGUCAAUGUUAAGGAAGAAUAAGCCUAACCCAACCCACUUGCUAAAUAGAGUGUUGUAUGUGGAAAGACCGAUUCAAAUUGUGGAUCAGAAGGAGUAGGUUUUGCACACGAAGAUGAUUCCAUUGGUUAAAGUGGUCUGGCAACACCACGGUAUAGAAGGAGCAAUAUGGGAAAGUGAAGAUUUGAUGAGACGACAAUACCACCACCUUUUUGUUUAAAGAUUUGUAAUGGUUUAAAUUUCAAAGACAAAAUUUUUAUAAGAGGGGAAGAGUUGUGACAUUCUGAUUUUCAGGUUUUGUUUUCAAUUGAAUAAGUUGGGCUUUUCAUCGACGCGCCUAUAGUUCUUUUUCCUGAACUGAUCACUCACGAGAUAACUAGUCUAUCAAGUAAAGCUAUUAAGGAAUUUAAAUGCAAUAGACUUGAGAAUUCAACUAGAAAAUGACUGCUCGACCAUGCUAAUAUACAAGGAUCAUUACGGCACUAUCAAAAUUGAUCAGAGAUCAGAGUUAGAUCGAUUCGAUAGAGGUAUGUGAUUAAUGUGUUGGUGAUCCCACUUGAUUGCAAAAUUUCUAUCGAACGACACUAGACCAAUUUUUCUAUCAUUUAUGUACCUUGUACCCAUAUUUCAAACCUUUAGAUUUUCACAACAACCGAGAGUCGCCAAUGUGUCGAAGAUGUACAAUGUGACUCGAAAAUAAUCGACCAUGGGUCAAAAGCACUAAAAAUUACUAAAAGCUACUUGGUAAGUUAGGUCACAUUAAAAUCGCAUCUAGUUGAAAUUAACCAUGAAAUUGAACCCGAUUUAAAUUAUGUCAUGUCACAAUUCAUUUUAGGAACGUUGACUCAUACUCUGAAGAUUUUUCGGCAAAUCGGGAUUUUCGACGAAAAUUCAAAGUAAGUCUAUUUUAGACCGGGAAAAUUAAAGGGCCGUUUUUUAGCACACCACUGGCCAUCAAGUUGGUUCAAUUGGUAAGGAAAAAUAUGAAUUUGAUGUAGGCACCUUGGUUGAUUUUAUGGGGGUUAAUUUGAGCUCAAUUGGAGAAUUUUUGGUGAGGAAUUGAAUGAAAUUUGAGGCUAAAGGUCCAAAAUUCGUAGCUAGGGGGUGCUACAAUAUUUUGGACCUUUUGGGAGACUUCUUGAGCAAGCCAUGGUGCAGCAAAUGGCGGAGGAUGAUAGCCAUGCAUGGUGGGGCAUAGAACUCAAGCACUUGGGAUAUUUAGUUUGACUUUGAAGGUUUGUGCCCCCCCUCUUGCAACAGCCCUUCUUCUUCCUUUACUUCCCUCCUUUCUCCAUUGUUGUGCAAUUGAAAGCUCGAGAAAAAUUAGAGAGAGUCCCCCCUUGCCCAUUGACACCCCUUUAUCGUUGCCUGAGCAUCACCGUGCAUGCCUGCACGCCGCACCAUCGCGCACCAGCCUGCACAUCCGCAUGCCCAUUCUAGCCUUCUAGCUGUUGUUUUGAUGCCCUCCAGCCCCCGUCACAGCUCCCCUGGUUGCCGUUCAGCCACCAUAUGCUGCUAGAGCCAUCCGCCUAGUCCACCACUGCCACCAUCAUUUCGCCAUGCCCCUUUCUCAAGCCGAGUAGGCCUUUCGACCAGUUCCUCCAGCCCAAAGCAAAAGCCGAACUCUCAGCUUAGAGCUGAGAGCUUGUGGCCCGUUUUAAGGCCCGUGCGGACCCCGUUGGUGUUGUCGUAAGUUUGGUUGUCGCUCGCCUCCGCGUCUCCAUCACCGUGAACUCAUCAUAUUGCAAAACUAGUGAGUUUACUUGCUAAUCUCUACUUAGGGAGUUAAUUAUGCUUAAUGGUUUUAUUAAUUUAGGCUAAUUAUGGAUUAGGUGGUUAGUUAGUUUAGAUUAGUGAUUUAAUCAUUUAAUUAUGCAUGUUAGAUGGUUAGAUUAGAUUAAUUAUGGGCUAAUUAGAUUGUACUAUUUAUCUAGAUAGAUGCAUUAAUUUUCUAGACUCGUUUAGGUGGUUAGAUUAGCAUUUCCAGCUUAGGUUAGUAUUUAUUGGAUUUAAUUUGCAUUAUUUAAUUAUUUUGUAAUUUAUUUGAUUAUUUAAUAUUUUCCCGAAAUUAUACCGAGAUAGACGAUAGCCAGAAUUUCGUGCUGAUUGCAAUGGUAUGCUUAGUUUAUGCAAUUGAGUGUUAAUUUGUGCAAAUUGAGUGGUGAUUGUAAUUUCGAGUUAUUAUUUCAAAAUUAUAAAAUUUUGGUAUUUAAUCAGAAAAAAUUGGGCAUCGGUUUUUGAUGCCAAAACGGUUUUUAUGUACUAUAUUAAAUAGUGGGAUUUUUGAAGAGGAAGAUAUAGCAUUUUUGGCUCAAACUAACCGUGUACCACACACGAUUAUUUUUAUCGGGUGUUUUUAAUACGAAGAAAAUAUUCCAAGUUCAUUAUUUUAAUUGAGGCAUUUUAGUGCAAAGCACAAUGUUCUUGACCAGGAUUGAUUGAUCGUGUGAUGGCUAAGUGAACCCAUCCUCGAUGUGCGUCGAUAGGACGUUGCCCCUAUAUGGGAUGCCCCUGAACAAUGGAAGCCAGUCGCAGUAGAUUCUGGAUCGAUGCUCCUUCGGGAAUGCUGUCCCUGAUGUCUGUUGGUGGAUGUUGUCAUGCUUAAAGGAGUGAGACGAAGCCUGGCUACGCCAGAAGACCGAUGUGCGUCGAUAUAUUGUGCCUGUGCGGGCAGUAAUCGAAUUGGAACGUGUGAUUGAUUGAAAUUGAUGUGCCAAAUUAUGAAACAAAAUUGUGUCAUGAUAUGGGACGUGUCAUAAUUAUCUGGUCUUAUAAUCAGGACCCUUGGAUCGAUUGCAGUGAUUGUAUUAAUUGAAUCAAUCGAUUAAUGAUUGAUUGAUUGAUGGAUUGAUUGAUUGAGUAUAUGAAUCAUACUGACGUGGAUGAGGGAACUGAGGCGAGGUAAGUUAUUUGUAUUGUGUUUAUAGACUAUAUUUCCUUCCUAAUUGGAGUUUAAGGGGUGAACUUGCUGAGACAUUGUCUCACCCCGUCGUAGGCUCAAUUCUUUUCAGGUCCUUAGAUAGAGCAACGUCAUGUAUGCUAUGGGGUUCCAAGGGAGGUAGACUUCCAAUAUUUCUAUUUCCCAGUUCCUGGGACCGGCUUAACCCGUGAGCUUGUUGAGUCCACUGUCUGGGUCGAUGAGAGUCUAUCCCACCUGGUACCUCAUCAUUUCAAGGCGUGGUAUCUUCACAAGCCUGAUAGGAGUUAGGAGGGUCCUGUAGGUGGUUUUGACGGGCCUCUCGUUGGGAUAGGGGAGUGGAAAAUAGGGCACCCUCUGGACAUCAACACCCUUGAUGGUGCCAUGGAGGAACCGGAGCCAAGAACUUAAGAGCCUGGAGUUUAGAAUCUUCGUAGCCCCUUUUUGAUCUAGACUUCUAUACAUAGAUCAUUUUGUAGACUUUUGUAUAUAACUCAGUGUGUAUAUAAAAGUGUGCUGUGUUUAUGAGAUUAUUGUCCUGCUUUUCUAUCCUAUGUUAUUUGCUGUCAGGGGUUAUUGUUUCGCUUCCGUAUGUGCAUUAAAAUGAAUGGGUUCGCGACGCGUCUUGAGACGUCGCAAUUUCACCAACCACCGAGGGAUUGUGCGCGCUCGAGGUUUGAGGCAUGACAUAAGGCGUAUGCAUAAGCGGGAUGAUAUCAUACCCGAUUGGGUAGGACGAUGCCUGAUUAUGCUAGAUAAUCGCUAACCUUCGAGUUAGCCGUGGCCCUGAGUGGUUGUAAUAAUCUAGACAUAUAUGUGUGUGAAACGUGCAUAAGAUUGAUAUGUGAUUAUGUCUAGAUUAUGAUAUGGCAUUAACGCAUGAUUAUGAGAUGUUGCACAUUCUUAUUCCUACGUCAUGUGUAAUUUCUUGUGGGAAUUGCUUAUGUGUGUAUGUCCUGAUGGCCUUAGGAAAGUGAGGUAAUUGUUCAUGUUAAUAGUAAAGGUAAAGCUAGGGCAUUGCUAUUAAUGUGCCAUCAAUAGAUAACUUACACGUUUACGGCGAUCUCAAGGUGAAUAACUUCCCUACUUGAGGUCUAGAAAGUUUACUAAUUGAGUUUAUCUCAUUAUUGUUUGUUAAAUGUUUACAAGCCCUACGAAUGUUUGAGCCUUUCCGUCAGAUCAGAUUUAGGCUCCCCACUAAACAUAGCCAAGAAGUGACUGAUUAUUCAAUUGAGGGGACUAAUGCAUGUUACACGCACUAUGUCACGACCAUUAGGGUUGAUGAGGGACUCUCUAACUUAGUGAUUUGACACUUUGUAACAUGGUACUUUUGGAUAUCAGACAAUGUCCACAAGACCAUCUGCAGUUUUGAUUAAUCUCCGGAUGUAGGAGGAUCGGGGGGAGACAUUAGCUAGGAUGCAAUGAAUGUGGAUGUACGUGAUGAGGAUUUGUCCAAUCCAAAGAUCGACCUCGGAAUGAUCGUCGAGCCGAAGCCCUAAGUUAUGGAGCCCUUAGCGAGUUAGGUGAUAGUAGGGAUAUACAACACUUUUUGGAGCUGCCCUCGUAGUACUAGAGUGUUAGGUUACCCCGAGACCUUUUUUGGAGAAGGUUGUGGCCGCGCUUUUGGGCUGAUCUAACAUGGUGAAGCUAGUUGUGUUUAGGCUUGUUUAUUUAAGCCUUGUGUAUAUGGUUUGUACGGUUUAGGCUUGGUUAGGUGAUUUGUUAUGCUUCCGUUACAUAUAUAGUUGAUAAUGUGAAUGGGUCGGCAACGCCUCCUGGGACGUCAUAAUCAAAUGACUACAAGGUAAUUAUGUUGAGCAUGAGGUGGCGCGCCUCGAGCAAGUCAAGGUGUGAUAGUUAUAUAUCACAUUUUGGUGCCCUUGUGAUCACUGCUUGAUUGUCACAAUGAAUGCAUAUCAGUGGCACAAGUUUUGGCCACAAUAAACGACCAUUUAAAAUUGCCAAAGUCGCUUUGCUUGUUCAGCAGCUUUAUCCAAAGCAACAAACUCAAACUCCAUUGUGAAUCACGCUAUUAGAGUUUGUUUCGAGGAUCUUGACAAUAGUGUGGCACUUCAUAGUGUGAAAACAUAUUAGCUAGUCAAUUUCAAUUAAUUGAAAUCCAAAAUCCAGUUGGCAUCAUAAUAGCCUUCCAAAAACAGCUAUAUAUUUGCCAUGCUAUAAAACAUAACCUUUGGUUCUUUGCAAAUAAUCCAAUACUCUCAAAAGAGCAUUCUAAUUCUCAUAAGUAGGAUUACUUGUAUACCAUUUGAGUUUUCCUACUGAGUGCGCAAUAUUUGGUUUAUGCAGUUCACGAUGUACAUGAUGUUGCCAAUCAAAGUAUUCCAACUGCCUAAUAUUGUUUAUAGUAUUCUUUCUCAAAGUUAAGUGUAGAAGAAAAAGAUUGUUUGCAUCUUUAAUAUUGAACCCUUUAAACCUCUUAAUUACAUUUUCAAUACAAUGAGAUUGUGUUAAACCUAAACCAUUGGAAUUCUUUAGAAUUGUGAUGCCAAGUAUAACAUCCGCAAUACCUAACUCUUCAAUCUCAAAGUUUUUCUUGAAAACAUUCUUGGUGAUUUCGAUAACCUUAGUGCUAUCUCAAAAAAUCAAUGAGUCAUCAACAUAUAGACAAAUAAUUAACAUCAAACAGUUGUGGAUUUAGUAUAUACACAUUUGUCACACUUAUUAAUUUUAUAUCCAUUUUGGAUCAUCACACAGUCAAAUUUUUCAUAUCAUUGUUAAAGAGUUUUGUUUAAGUCCAUAUAAUAAUUUGACAAGUCUCCACACUUUGUGUUCUUAUGCUUUGACCUUGAAUACUUUAAGUUGUUCCAUAUAAAUCUCCCCAUCAAGAUAAUUAUUUAAGAAUGCAGUUUUCACAUCCAUUUGGUGUACUUGCAAAUUCUACAGCCAAGCUAUAGAAAUCAACAUCCUAAUUGAUGUUAUUCUUGUAACAGGUGAAUAAAUUUUUAAGUAGUCUAUGUCACGCCCCGAUCAUCAAGCACAUGCCCAUCCCUCGGUGGUCGAUUAAAUUGCAACGUCUCAGGACGCGUCGCCGACCCAUUGAUUUUAAUGCGCAUACGGAAGCGAAACAAUUACCCCUAACAACAACCAACACGGGAUAGAAAAGCGUGAAACAUAUUCACAACCAAAACACUUUUUAUAUAUACAAGACUAGUCUAAAGACAAAAGUCUAGCCAAGCAGAAAAGCCUACAAGUCCUCUAGGCACUCGAAUCCCCAACUAAAAACUCCGAGGUCUCCUGGGGAUUUAGGUCCACCACUGCACCACCAGGAGGGUCAGCUGUGCCCGUGCCAAAAGCAACUUCUAACACUGAUACUAGGACCUCAAAAUCCUGAAGGGGAUCCACUUUGUGUCCAUUGAGCCCACAAUGAUACCAUGCUUUGAAUUGAUGGGGUACCCUUUAAGGUAGAUCCUCAUCGACCCAGACGAUGGUCUUUACGAGUUCAUAGACCCAAACUCCGUGGCCCUCGAGGACAGGGAUAUCGAUGACUUGCUUGGUAAUCCUCUUAGGUUGGCCAAAACAUUCCGGAGGAACUGCCAUUUGAGGACCUGAAUGGCCUGAAAAGGUUGAGUGAGACAAUGUCUUAACAAGUUUACCCCCAAACUUCGACUAGGAAGGAAAUACGCCUAGAGGUAGCUAUACACACAAGUCAGAAGACUUACCUUGCCUUAGUUCCCUCCUGCAUGUUAGUACAAUUUAUAAUCUCAACCAAUCAAUUAAGUCCAAUUGAUCAUUCGAUCCAAUCAAUACCAUCUAUCAAUUCAAUCAAUUCGAUCACUACUCACACAAGCUGAAGUAUAUUUAUGCUCGCACAAGCUAAUAUAGAUGGUUGCUCAUACCAGCUGAUAUAGAUUAUUGCUCACCCAAACUGAUAUAGUAUACUGCUCUCAUAAGCUGACAUAUCAAUGCUCACAUCGGCUGAUAUAGUAUACUGCUCUCACAAGCUGACAUAUCAAUGCUUACACAAGCUGAAGUAUAUUUAUGCUCGCACAAGCUAAUAUAGAUGGUUACUCGUACCAACUGAUAUAGAUUAUAGCUCACCCAAGCUUAUACAUAAUAUAGCUCACCCAAGUUGAUAUAGUAUACUGUUCUCACAAGCUGAUAUAUCAAUGCUCACAUAGGCUAAUAUAGUAUACUGCUCUCACAAGUUGAUAUAUCAAUGCUCAUGUAGGCUGAUAUAGUAUACUGCGUUCACAAGCUGACAUAUUAAUGCUCACACAAGUUGACGAUUUAAUGCUCACACAAGCUGACACACGAUAAAUCAAUCUCGGCCAAGGACCUUGUGCUUUGCACACCAAUUUCUCAAUUAAAAUAAUGAACUUGGCCUAAUAUCAUUGUGUUAAAAAUAUCAGAUGAAAAUAAUCGUGUGUGGGUACAUGGUCAGUUUGAGCCAUAAUGCUAUAUCUUUCUUUUCAAAAAUCUCACUAUUUAAUAUAGUGCCUAAAAAAAAUUUGGUGUUAAAAAUCGACACCUCGUUAUUUUCUAAUUAAUUACUGAAAUUACAAAAUUUUGGGAUAAAUACCCAAACUUACAAUCACCACUCAAUUUGCACAAAAUAGCAUUCAAUUGCAAAAACUAAGCAUACCAAUGCAAUCAGCACAAAAUCUCAAUCACCAGCUAUCGGGGUAUAAUUUCCAUAAAAUAAUAAAUAAUUAAAUAAAUACAAAAAAUAAUUAAAUAAUUACAAUUAAUGACCAAAAAUGCAAACUUAGGUCGGAAAUGCUUAAUUAACCGCCCAAGCGAGCCAGAAAAAUUUUCGAACCUAUCUAGAUAAAUAGUACAACUUAUUUAGUCUCUAAUCUAUUCGUUCUAACUACCUAACAUGCACAAACGGAUAAUUAAAUCGAUAAUCCAUUCUAACUAACCACUUAAUCCAUGCUUAACUUAAACUAAUCACCCCUUAAUUGUCAUUAACUCCCUAGGUAGAGUUUAGCAAGUAAACUCACCGGUUUAGCGAUUCGGUGAGUCCACGACAAUGGCAACAUGGAGAUGGGUAACAAACAACCCUGCGGCGAAAGCAAGCGGAGACCGAACGGGCAUGAAAAUGUGCCACGAAGCCUUAAAGCCCUUGUUGGCUUUUUGGUUUUGACCUUGGGCCGAGCAAGCUGGAACAGCAGCCGGUUGGAGCUGAAACAACGAGGUGGAUCGGUGGCUGCAGCGAGCAACUAUGGGCAACGACGAUUGCUAGACGGCGGCCAAGGGGCUUUGAUGGUGGCUUGGGCAGCACGGGGGAUGGCGGGGUGGCUCGGGAUAGGUGGGAAGAUGAGCAAGAGGUGCAGACUGGCGGGGCGACGCGCGACGAGCUGGGGCGGCGCAAGUGGUGGCUUCGAUGGCUCGGUAGGUGUGCGACGGGCUAGGGGAGGGGCUGCUCAAUUUCUCUGCAAUUUUGAGCUUCUCAAAUGCUCUAUAAUGGAUAAAGCAAGCUACUGAAGANNNNNNNNNNNNNNNNNNNNNNNNNNNNNNNNNNNNNNNNNNNNNNNNNNNNNNNNNNNNNNNNNNNNNNNNNNNNNNNNNNNNNNNNNNNNNNNNNNNNNNNNNNNNNNNNNNNNNNNNNNNNNNNNNNNNNNNNNNNNNNNNNNNNNNNNNNNNNNNNNNNNNNNNNNNNNNNNNNNNNNNNNNNNNNNNNNNNNNNNNNNNNNNNNNNNNNNNNNNNNNNNNNNNNNNNNNNNNNNNNNNNNNNNNNNNNNNNNNNNNNNNNNNNNNNNNNNNNNNNNNNNCCAUUUGAACUAACUUGAAUUCCAAAGAUGCGAUAAAAAACGGUCAUCUGAUUUUCUCGGACAAAAACGACCCUACUUUGAAAUUUGCCAAAAAUCUCAAUUUGCAGAAAAAUCUUUGAAGGAUAAAUUGACGAUCCUAAAAUAAACCAUGACAUGAUAGAACUUUCAAUUUCUGAAAUCGGGUUUAAAUUCGCGAUUAAUUUCAAUUUGGCACAAUUUUAGCGUGACCUAACCUACCGGGUAGCUUUUAGGAAUUUUUAAUCCAAUUGACCCAUGUUUGAUUAUUUUCGAGCCACAUUAUACAUUUUUGACACAUUGACGACUCUCGGUUGUCAUGAAAAUCUCGAGAUUUCAAAUGCGGAAAUAGGUACCAAAAUGACAGAAAAAUCAAUAUAGUGCCAAUCGACGAGAAUUUUGCAAUUAGGUGGAAUCACCAACACUCAAUCACAUGACUUAGUCGAGUCAACCCAUCUCUGAUCUCUAAUUAAUUUUUAACUGUGCCGUAAUGACCCUUGCAAACUAGCACAGUUGAGUAGUCAAUUCUUAGUCGAAUUAUCAAAUUUAUUGAAUUAAAAUCCCUUAACAGCUACACCUAAUAGAUUAGUUAUCUCGUAAGUGAUCAAUUCAGGUAAAAGAACUAUAAGCGCAUCGAUGAAAAGCUCGACUCAUUCAAUUGAAAACAGAACUGGAAAUUCAGGAUGUCACAAUCUAGACACUCUCUUUCUUUAAACCUAUUGACAACAAGCCAUGGUUUGUACUUAUAUAUGGAAACAUCAACUUUAUGUUUCUUUUUGAAAAUCCAUUUAAUUCCUAUUGAAUUAUUUCCUGAUAGAUUAUCAGCGAAUUCACGAGUGUGAUUACUUAGGAAAUAAUUAAUCUCAUUGUCAACCACUUCUUUUCAGUCAGGUGUAUCUGGAGUUGACAUUGUCUCUUGAAAUGUUUGAGGCCCACCUUAUAAUAUGUAUAUUGGAAAAUCAAGUACGGAAUUUUUUUCAAUCCAUGACUUCUUGCCCCUUGAAAGUUCAACUUCUUGUUCCUCAACUUCAUCAUUCUCAAUACCCCUAUACUUUCAAAUAAUUGUAAGAUGAUAACCUUUCAUUCCAUAACUCAUAUGGAGUCUUACCUAUCUUCUUGCGGGGCACUUUAAUUAAAUUAUAGUUUGCAAUUAAAAAUGCAUCCCUUCACAAGUUCUAAGAUAAACUUGAACUUAAGAGCAUGGCGGUAGCCGUCUCCUUUGGAGUUUUGUUCUUCCAUUCAGUACCUCCACUUUACUGUGAAGUGCAUGAUGUAGUUGUUUGGAGAAUUAGUUUGGGGACACAACUCCAUCAAAUUUGAAGAAUUAUAUUCUUCUCCCCCAUCAAACCUAAGAUGUAACAUCCCGAUUUUUGACAUAUGAGAAAUUGUUGUGAAUCAGGUGUCUCAAUGGCAAGGAUAGGUCAUGGAUCAUUUCAAGAAUCGGCCAUGUACUAAUCAUGGAUCAAUCAAGGAAACGGUCGUGGACCAAUCCAAUGACCAUGUUAGUGGACUUGAGUAGUUCGGUUGACAGACGACUGCUCGACCGUAAGGGCUGAUCAAGGGAUGGUCACAUCUACCAUGGAUCAAUCAAUGAUCAUGAAUCGAUCCAAAUGGCCAUGUACUGAUCGUGAGUUAUUCCGCUAGGUCAUGUGCUGGUCAUGGAUGACCAUGGUUUGACUCGGUACAACCGUGUGAUGGGUAUGAAUUUGACUGAUCUCAAAAGGCCAUAUGACAAUCAGGAGUCGGUCUGGAUGAGGCCUAUGGCUAAUCUCAGAUCCGAUCUGCUUGGCCAGAACUGAUUUAAAAGCCGAUCAUUGGAUUUGCACCCUAAGCCACCAAUCUAGCUAAGAAGGUAAACAUUGCCUACAACAACCACACCGAGGGUGGCUUGGUCAUGAACCUCGGGUGUGUCGGAAUGGUCGUUAGGGAUGCACAAAAAAAAAAAAAUUCCUUGCUUAGUCCCAGUUGCACUUCCGAUGGCUUAUUUCCUAUGGUUGUCAUAUUACUUGAAUAUGGACAAAUUAGAACUCUCUACAACACACUAGCUUCUUCAAGAAGAAGAAUGAUUUACCAUUUCACCUAGAUUUUUCUAGAUUUGGCCAUGAUUACUAAUGAUUCGCCUUAGAGAUUGAGCAAAGAAUCUAGGCCAAAUAUCCCAAUAAAAAAGAGACAUCUUGGGGCACAUUAUGACUGGUCUAUGGGCAAGAUGCAACUCAUCUUUUUAGGGUGCCACCUAUCCAUGAUGAAUUUUCCCUUGAUAAUGAGUUAAGUGCUCAUGCGACCCAAUAAAAAGGAGACAAACAAACCUUCAAAUGAUUAUGUUAGGCCAUUAGAUCUAUACCUCAUAAGCCUAGGUGUCCACUCAAAGAUUUACUAAUGAUGGCUUGAGAUUUGCCUUUCAGAAGAAGUUGGUAAUUCAUGCUUAGGUGUCCUCUAGAAUCUUAGGCUAUGAUGACCCUAAAAUACAGCGUUGGUGAACAAAGCAAGAGCCAACCAAUUAGAAGAGGACAUUAGGCAUCAAAAGGGCUUAUGUGUCCCUUAGGACCAUAGGCACAUCAUAAGCCUAAAUUGAGCCUUAGAAAGCAAGCCAAUAGGUGAUCCAGUAAGAAGAUGACAAGUAUUCUCUUAGAACCCUAGGUGUACCACCUUGAUGGCAUAGCUGUGCCAUUUAAAGAAAUGUGAUUGGGUUGCUUGAAUGAGUAAUGGUGAGCUUGAUGCUUAUAAAUAAGAAGGGCUCCCAUUCAUUUCCAUCAAUUUAAGCCCUCUUGCCAUUCACGCCUAUUCUCCCCUUCCAUUCCUUUCUUUUGACCUCGUACCAUCGCUUCUUAUCAAGUCAUUCAAGCUAAUUCUCAAGGUUCAUCCAGGUAAGUAAGAUCCCUAUGUCUCUUCUAGGGCGAUCGUCUCCAUUGUCGAGUCUAGUUAGGUGCUCAUCCGUUAAGCCAUGGGUAGGAUGUUGAAUCUUUUGCAUGGCUUUGCUCAUGAUUAUGUUUAAACGUGUUUUUGAGCUGUUCAUGCCCGAAAUGAAGCUGAGGUUCGCUUAGGUUGAGUUCAACACAAGGCAAGGUCACUUAAGGCUAAAUGGCAUUGGAUCGGCAUUCAAGCAUGCCAAUUCUAAGUCUUGUUCGGUGUGAGUAUCCUAAGGCUGCAAGCUCUUGAAUUGACAUUGAGGUGUGCCAGUUCUAAGUCUUGAUUAGUAUGAGGAUCACUCAAGCUCGCGAGGUCUUGAUAAGGCACUAUAGCAUGCCGAUUUUAUGCCUUUGUUGGUGUGAGGACUUUGUGCUUGACAUUUGAAUCAAGACAUGACCUAAGGGUCAUUCAUGGCAUGAAGUAUGUUCAUGUCGGGUUGAAGAUGAGGUCCAUUGAGCUUAAUCUUCACGAAAGUGAGGUGUACCCAAGCCUCAAGGUCUUGGAUCGGCAUUGAGGCAUGUAGUUUCUGAACCUUGUCUAGUUCAGGGAUCGAAGCUUAGCAAUUGGUUCAAAUCAUAGAUCACGGGUCAUUCUCAACAUGUUUACUUGUGCAGUAUAAGAAUUCAUGACACACAAGUAUGGAUGAGCAAACCUUCAGGCCAUGCAUGUGUCAGCUAAGAGAAAAGAUAAGAACCAACUUGUAUGAUGUAUAUACGUCUGUACUUAAAGAGAAAAAAAAAAAAAAAAGCCCACUGCCACACAGCAUUGGUGGCAAUGCCUUGAUUGAGCCAGGAUGUCUGGGUCUUAAACCCAUAAGCCUAAAGAAGCUAGCCCAAAGAAGACUUGGUCGAGCUGAGAUGCCCUGAUCAAGACAAGAAGUUAGAAGCUCCAGUCAAGCUAGGAUGAAGAUAAAUAGAUUUGCAUGAAUGCCGAUUAUUGAUAAGUAUGAAUUAUUGUUAAGCCGAUGGUAGUUUUGACAUGGAUGGCAUGAGUUUAAAUAAAGCAUGACAUAUGAUUUGUGAUUGAUCUGCCAUCGACACUGUUUGCGAGUGUUAUACUUGUUAAGCUUUGAUGACAAGAUGUUUUCCUAGUAGAGAACUAAGAAUUUUACCUACUGAGUUCCCACGACUUACUUUCUCAUCUUUCAGUCUUGUAGGUAUGGAAGUCUCACGUCAGUUUUGGGAGCUGCAGUCACGUUCAAGGAGAUAGUAAUUUCUUUUGCCUUUAUGGAAACUUGUAGUAUGAUGUAAAAAGGAAAGAGAACCCCAUAGCAAAGAGGCUUGUAAAAGUACUGUUAUAAUAUAAACUAGUGUGUUUUAUGUAACAUUUAUCCCAAUUUUCUAGCAGUUGUUUGUCCGAGAGUGUUUAUUCACAUUUCUGUGUGUGCAUGAAAACAAAAUUAAAAGAAUCAAGACGGUGAUGAGCCUAAGACGUUGUGAAAUAACCCAUGUCACUCAAGACCCUAGGAAUGAAGUCGAGAUCGUGACAUGAGCACUUUAAUUCAUUUAUCAAGUUGGUUCUCGGUCUCAUUUUUAUACUUAACAAACGUGUUCAUAACCUUAUCUUUGCUAGUUAAUAGAUAAAUAUAGCAAAAUUGAGUAAAGUCAUCUACAAAAGUGAAGAAAUACUUUUUUUUCACCUCUACUUUCUACAAAUUUUAAAUCACAUAAAUCACUAUGGAUUGCUAUAGAGGUUCAUUCGAUCUUUCUACCAAUUUGAAUGGUUUUUUUAACAAACUUAGCCUCAACACAAGUCUCAUACUUGUGAUGGACAUCCAACUCAAACAUUGGAAUUAGCCCCAAUUUUGUUAUCUUUUUUGUUGUAGCAUAGCUUAUAUGUCGCAAUCUACCAUGCCAUAGAUAAGGAGACACAAUAGUGUAAACCAAAGACUUCUCAUUAUCAAUAGUCUUUGGGUACAAGAAUUUCGAGUUUACAUCAAUGACAACCACAUUUACUUUGAACGGGUCAUUACAUAAGUACCAUUUCCCCACAUACACCAUAUUUGGAAAGUACACAAUUAUCCAAUUCCAAUAUAAUGUUGAAACUCUUCUAGACAGGUAUGGGUUGAUUUACUUGCUAAGGGUGAAUUUCAAGAUCACUUUUCUUCUUCUAGCAAUAUUUGCUAAUGUGGAGUUAGUCAUAUAAAACUUAUAUUCUUCCUCAUGCUUCUUGUAAGAUGAAAACAGGUGUUUAUCCACGUGAUAUGUGGUACUUGUUUCCAACCACCAAUUAGUAUUAUUUAAUACCAAGGAUACCUCAUACACAACCACGACAAUCAGUCUCUCAUCCUCUGUUUAAUCUGUCAGAUUCAGCUACUUGACUACACUAUCGCCCUUGCCUUUGUUCAAGCGCUUUUUACAAUCCCUGGCCCAAUGGUCAAGCUUGUUACAAACAAAACAUGUCCCUUGGAAUUUCAAGAUUGUUCAUUCUGCUGGCAUUUUCCUUAAAAGAACUUUUUCCUCUUUGUAUCUUGCUUGGAAUUGGAAAACUCAAUAGUGUUGGCCUUUGGUUCAAUAAAGAGAUAUGCAUUCCACCUAUUGUCUUCCUUGAUUAUGAGGCACGGAAUAAGAUCUUCAAGGCUCAUCUCUUUCCGAUUAUCAUUCAUAUAUUUUUGAAAUCUAACCAGCCCAAAGGUAGCUUCUCAAUAAUAAAUGCCACUUGGAAUGAUUCACUAAGAACAUUUCCUCAACAAAGAUGUUCAAAAUCAUUUGCACUUCAUGGACCUAGUUCAUGGCAGAUUUAGAAUCCACCAUCUUGAGUCCAAGAAUUUGGCUACCACAAAUUUCUCAGUUUUGUAUUUCUUUUCUAAGGACUCCCAUAAUUAUCUAGUAGUUUCAAUGUUACAAUAAACAUGAUACAAGGAAUUUGCUAGGCAAUUAAGGAUAUAGUUUCGGAAUAGGAAAUCCUUGUGCUUCCAAGGCUCUAGCUCCCCAUGCAUUAUGACAUCUUGUUCAUCUAGACUAAUUAUUGAGCACACCUCUAAUUAUUGACUCCCAUAAUUAUCUGUUACCACUGCUUAAAGCCCACACUAGUUAACUCAUACAGUUUCUCAUUCGAUGUUAUUGGAGAAGGUAUCAUCAGAUUAGGCAAAGCUUGUUAAACCAUCUCUCCAAAAAUUGAACCAUGUACUUUUUUGAAAAACAGUCCCUAGUGUAUCGGUCAAGCGACUUCUACCGGUACCACCAUAGAUGCUUUCAGCCCGAAAGCUUGCAGCAUUUGUUGCCGUAACACUAGGCCAUGAGGUUUGAACCCACUCAUUGAAACGACCAUAUGAACGUCCUCGCAAACAUUCCGGACAUCAUUGGGUACUUGAUUAUUAUUAGUCAUCUCAAUUUUUUGAUAAGCCCAACAAACAGUAAAAGAUAAUCACCUUAAGAUUGUGGGAAAUAUUAAGACGUAUUGGGGAAAAUAGUAAAAAUUCCAAGAAAGCAAUAGCAAAAUAAACAAGGGUGAGGUUCGGCUAAUCAAAUCUCCUUAAGGCGAUUAGUUCAUGUCAAUGGUGCCAAUUAGUUUCAUGAACUAUGACUCUCAAAAUACAACACCUCAAACCCAAUUGUAUAAGCACUAUAUGAACAAGAUUCUAUCGAACACUUCUUUAAAUCAGCACGCUUAAAGAAACUACCAAGAAACUAGAGGAAUACUUUGAGGAGUUUUUGUUGUUAUUUUGAAUUAAGAAGACACAUCUAUUUAUAGACCAGGGAACUAGUUGUAGAAAACUGAAAGGACAUGAACUCAAGAGCCACACCGAUUAUGCACACAUUAGUUGAGCCAUUAACCCUUAAUAACAACAUUAUUAAAUCAGAAACUACAAGAGAACAAAGAGCCAUUAACCCAUAAUUGCAACAAUUAGGGCAUGAUCCAAAGAGACAUAACGGUUGCAUGUGAAUUGAAAAAGGCGUGAAUUGAAGAGACGUGUCAUUAACAUUGAGCCAUUAAAACCUAUGAUUACAAUAAUAAUUACAACACACUGUGCCCCCCUCAGUUCUUGUCACAAGAGCUUCUAAUUUGAAUUCAUCAAGUACGCCAUGUGCAUCAUAGAAUGCAUCCUUCAAUUGCUCAAGCCAAAAUUAGGUCACAUAAACUUGUUAUACAUGUGUCCCUGAGCACCCCGAUCUCAUGCUUGAUGCCCUAUAAAUUUCCAACUUUUUCUAGUGCUUGUCGAGCCAAAUCUCCAGCAAUGCUGACGAUGACAGAUGCCAUCUCUCUCUCAUAUAAUAUAUUAGUCGAGUCAUUCCAAGGCCAGAGAUUUCAGGUAUGUAUAACAAGUUUAUGUGACCUAAUUUUUAACUUCUUUGACGGAGUUGAGUUGUUGAAGGUAGGAUUCUCAUCAUCCACGCAAGCCUAUGUCAAUAAUGCAGAUAGGACCCACUGAUUUGGUUUGUCUAAGAUAUUUCGUGCUUCUAGAGUUUACUAGCUUAACACGCUUGCAAGUUGCAAAGGCAAUGAAAAGGCUGGCGUUGAAUUGAAAUCCAUGUUUAUUUAGAAGAUUAAAUUAACAAUAAUAACAAUAAAUUAAGAGUAAUAAAUUAGAAGGAUUGGACUAAGUUGCCUACGUUCACUCUUUUUCCAUAAAAAUAGCCGCCUCCUUGGAAUGUCCUAACCACGUGCUAUAUGCAAUACCAAUCAAUUGUAAAAAAUCAUAAUUGAAACUAUUUAAAAUGGGUAUAAUUAUCGGUGCAUCAUUUUCUAAUUAAAUCACUUUCCCCACAUAUCAAUCUUUUAGGAAGAAUAUGGCCAUUUUCAUCUAUUCUUUUCUUCAGGUUUAUUUGGAAACUGUUUCGAAAACUAUUCUCCAAAAUUUUUAAACAUUGCGUCAAUUCUCAACUUUUACUCUUGAUACACGUGGAGAGCGAUCUGAAGAGGGUUAAUGCGUCUCUAGUUUUUGGUUUCUUCAUGAUACAAUGGAUGUUGUUAUAAUUAUCAUUCAAUGAAAUAAUUUGCUUAGUCAAUAUAUAUAUGCUUACUGAUGUUCGUGGAAGGAUUCGUUCUUUAUUUUUAUUUUUCCCAAAUAAUAGGGAAUCAUUAUCUAAAUUAUUGGGAUGAAUUUUGGGUAUGACAAGUUUGGAAUCACAACUUAGGUUAUAAAACUAGUGAAUAUUAGCUAGCAUUAAUUCGGGCACUGUGACGUGCGAUUAGUUAGUAACUAGACGUGCGCACGUGCGUCACACACAAUACGUGCUCAUACAUUACGCAUAGCUACUCUUUCAGUGAAUAUAGAAAGUUCUAUAUGCGUAGGUAAUAUUAUCGACCUCUCAGUUUGAAACUAUUCUUCAUAUUAUCACAAGACAUUAGUACUAUUAUUUUACUAAAACAUUGCAAUUUGAUUAGGGAAGUUCACUCUCCUUGUUAAUCUCUCAUAUUUAUUUGCUUCCUAUGAGUAAAAUGCUUCUAUAUAGUUUAUUUCUUUCUUUAACUUUUCCUAUUCUCUAAGUAAAUGAAUAAUCUCUUCCCAUACAUUUUGUGAAUAAUCUCUUCCCAAACAUUGCAAUAACAAAACUUGCACAUUUUGUAAACUCCUAGUAUUUAGACAUUUUAUGCAUGUCACUCCUUUUCAUGAAAGGGAUAUCUUUUUUUGAGAAGAAAGAGAAGCCUUUUUUGCUGCAAAUUGCAGGUAUUCCCACUUGAGAUAUUUACUCGCGGGAAACAUGUAAACGAAGAACAAGUCUCGCUGGGGGAAUCUACUCCGAGCACUGAAAGUCCAAUCAUUGGACCUAAUGGACAUCCUGGGUGGACACAGGCAACCGCAAUCCAAGCACAGCCCCUACGCGACUGUGGCACAUCUCAUUUGACAAAUCACNNNNNNNNNNNNNNNNNNNNNNNNNNNNNNNNNNNNNNNNNNNNNNNNNNNNNNNNNNNNNNNNNNNNNNNNNNNNNNNNNNNNNNNNNNNNNNNNNNNNNNNNNNNNAACUAUCCCGUCAGAACCCACCACAAGGGAGAAAAAAUGAAGGUCAAGUGAACAAUAAUGAAGAUGCUAAGAAACAAAACUAUCUGUCUCGCUUACAUCAUUCUCUGAAAAAGCAAACUGGAGAAUGGGUUUUUACAUUGACUUGGAAGUCCUUGAAGGUUUCCUCAAAUUCUUGAUCAUGCCCAAGUAGGGGGCGCAAUUGGAGAAAUUUCUAUAUUCAUUCCCAGCCGGUAACAAAAAAAAUAUGAAGUUCUGCAAGCUCUAAAUUGGAUUUCAAGAGUGCAAAAAGGUAAUUAACGUUAAAGAGAAAACGAACAAGAAAAAACAAAACAAGAAGAGAUCAUUCCUAGCAAGGUUUUUCUGUCUGCUCAAGCAUUUGGCUAAAGUACACUUCAAGUGCCAAAAGUUGGUAUAAAGGGACACUUAAGUGCAAAAAAUUACAAAAGUGACACUUAAGUGCCAAAAUUGGAAAGAAAUGGAUCACUUAAGUGCCAAUCUAGCCAAAAUCCGGCCAAAAUGCUGAUGUGCGCAAUUUUCGGCAAAGUAAGUGCAAAACGGCGUCAUUUUGCAUGCUGACGUGGCCAGAUAAUGAAAAAAUGACGUCAUUUUGGUGCUAACAUGGUAAAAAUUAAUAUAAAAAUUAAUUAAAUUUAAUUGAAAACUAAAUUUAUUUAAAAAUUUUAAAAAUACAAAUACAAAUAUAUAUAUAUAUAUAUAUUUUUAAAAGGUGGGAGGGAGGCGGUGGCAGCUAGGGCUCAACCCUCAGCUGCCUCCCUUUUUAAAUAUUUUAAAUAUUUUUAUUUUAUUUUACAAAAUUUUAAAAAAUUUAAUUUAAUUUUUAUAUUAAUUUUUUCCCACAUUAGCACUAAAACAACGCCGUUUGUACUCGCUCGCCGGAAAAUUGACAUAUAAGCAUUUUGGCCGGAUUUUGGCCAAAUUAAUACUUAAGUGAUCCAUUUUGCUCCGAUUUUGGCACUUAAGUGUCCCUUUGUACCAACUUUUAGCACUCCAAGGGUCUUGGUGUCUAAGCAUUUUAUUUAUCAUUUUGAUAGUGUUACUUUCUUGUUUCCAUACUUGUAUGAUCAUCCAUCGCAUGUAAGUGGUUUAAGACCAAAUCAAUCAAGGCUACUUGCAAAACAUUUUGUGAAAUAAAGUGAAGGUGCCAAAGGGAGAUAGAUUUAUCUAGCAUAAUCAAGUCCCUUAUCCAUGAAAUCUCUAGUUCACAAAAAUAAAGUGUUCUCUCACAUUUUACUCGGGUUUUUAAUCAACCAUAGUAGACUAAUGGCAAUUCUUAAAUGAAUUGAAUUGGAUGUCUAAAUAAUUUAAUUAAAACCCCAAAGUUGUGAUUGUUGGGGGUUUGAGAGAACCCGCAUUAGACAAUGGUACCGUCUUUUUAAUGAGUUACCAUUUGUACUUGCAUGAUAAUCCAUUAACUUUCUCUUAGUGGUCCACCUCUAAGAAGGUCAUGACAAUUGGCAAUUAGAGAGUGGCAACUAAAUUAAAGAAGGAAAAGUGAGCUUGUUGAAUUAGAGACGAGUUGACCGAGCAACCGCAUGGAAACAAUGAAUACACACUCCUCAUUCAUCCGAUUGCACUAAAAUGUUGAGGGGAGUUAGUCAACAAGCGGACGAAGCUUGUGUAAAAUUUUUAGACCAAACGGAUAUUGAAAAUUUCAGUUUUGAAGGCUUGACAACAUUGUCUUUUUGUCCAGGCAUCUUGGUGCAGAUCAUCCAACAUUCCUUGAAAAAUGCAAUUUAGGAACUAUUCUUGGAAACUAGCACNNNNNNNNNNNNNNNNNNNNNNNNNNNNNNNNNNNNNNNNNNNNNNNNNNNNNNNNNNNNNNNNNNNNNNNNNNNNNNNNNNNNNNNNNNNNNNNNNNNNNNNNNNNNNNNNNNNNNNNNNNNNNNNNNNNNNNNNNNNNNNNNNNNNNNNNNNNNNNNNNNNNNNNNNNNNNNNNNNNNNNNNNNNNNNNNNNNNNNNNNNNNNUUUUCCCGUAGAGCCGAGGUUCUUGCACUACAUUGUCCCUAGUCGAAGAGUAUAGGAGAUUCCUAAUAUUCAUCAUAUGCACGGAUGACCUAUGUGAACUGAAACCUAACUAUAAAUGAAAUAUCAUGCCUCUAGUUUAUAUGUGCAAAACGAAUGCCACGAGAAAAAUGAAUGCAAUGUUGUAUAAACUGAUUGUUUUGUUUUUAUCAUGGUCAAAUUUAUGAGAUGCAAAUUUAUGAUAAAUUCAUCAGUGAAAUUCAAGUGUCAACAUCAAAAAGUCCUUUAAAUAGUGAAGAUUGGAAAAUUCGAUCAAAUUGAUGAUUGGACUUAUAUAUAUGAUGUUUUUGAAAAAGACAAGCCAUCUUACUAAGGCAAAAAUUGUUGGAGUUAUCCCACAUCGAUUAUGGAAUUGUCUAGUGGUUAGUUUAUAAAUAUGAGAGAAAGUCUCGCCCUUUGAGUAAACUUUUGAGGUGAGAGAAGUGCAAGACUACCAAACAUUGGUGUUAGAGCCAAUAGUAGAUUGGCGGCCCCCAAUUUGUUCAAGAUAUCUCAAGAAAAGGAAUCUAGUUACCAACAUAGUUUCUAGGCAGUGUGUGUUGUGGUAUAACACAAUCCCAAUGGUAGUCUUCAUGGUUCGAUUCCAAGAAAAAAAAAACAUGGAUAAAGGUGAGUGUUGGAGAUUCAAGUUAAGAUAAAAAGAUACCUAAGUUAAGGGGAACAAACCUAACAAUGAGCUCAUAUGUGAUGGGGAGAUUGUUGAGAUAUACAUGUGAGUUAUCUCAAAGAAAGGAAUCUAGUGACCAACAUAGUUUCUGAGCAGUGUGUGUUGUGGUGUUGCAAUGCGCAAUCCAAUGGUAGUUUUCAUGGUUCGAUCUAAUGAAAAAGAACAUGGAUGAAGGUGAAUGUUAGAGAUUCAAAUUGAGAUAAGUUAAUAUAGAAAGAUACCUGAAUUAAGGGGAAACGGACCUAACAUUGAGCUCACACGUGAUGGAGAGAUUAUUGAGAUACAUAUGUAAGUAGGAAUCUAGUGACUAACACAGUUUCUAGGCAGCGUGUGUUGAGGUGUUGCAACGCAAUCCAAUGGUAGUUUUCAUGGUUCGGUCCAUUGAAAAAGAACAUGGAUGUUGGUGAAUGUUGGAGAUUCAAGUUGAGAUAAGUUAACGUAGAAAGAUACUUGAAUUAAGGAGGAACAAACCUAACAUUGAGCUCACACGUGAUGGGGAGAUUGUUGACAUACAUAUGUAAGUAGGAAUCUAGUGACUAACACAGUUUCCGGGUAAUGUGUGUUGUGGUGUUGCAACGCAAUCCAAUGGCAGUUUUUAUGGUAUGGUCCGAUGAAAAAGAACAUGGAUGAAGGUGAUUGUUGGAGAUUCAAGUUGAGAUAAGUUAAUAUAGAAAUGUACAUGAAUUAAGGGGGAACAGACUUAACAUUGAGCUCAUACAUGAUGGGGAGAUUGUUGAGAUUCAUAUGUAAGUUGUGUUAGGGAAGUCCCAUAGCGGAGAAUUGAUGCAAUGUAAAGUAAUUAAUAUAUCUAGUUGGCCAAUAACUCAUUGCUUUAAGCUUUUGAGUGAAGAUAUGUCCAAUUAGAUAUGUUAAUAGGCUUAGACUUGUGCUCCUUCUUAGCAAUCUCCUAGGGUAAAGAUAUUGGACAUCUAUUAUACACUUUCAACAAAAAUAAAUACAUAACUAUCCGAUUUUGAUAGGACAAAUUAGUUGAUAAACCAAUCCGUGAAACCCAAGAAAGAACAAGACAUCAUAAUAUUUGUGGUACUGAAGUAAAGUUGUAGGCCUUAAAUGCACAAAUUAAGAGUUACGGAUUUGAUUGCAUAAUUCGUGUAAGUUGUUUGACCAAAAAUGAAAUUCCAAUGAAAUAAGAAUCAAAUUUAACCUAAUACGAUGAAAUGGAUGGAUCACCAGACUCUACGCGACCAGCAUGUUUACUCCUAUUCAUAGCCAAAAGAUAUAUCAAUGUUUUCUCCUUUUUAUAUUGUGGACAGCAAAUAAUAGCAUCUCCUGCUUUUUCUUUAUUGUUUUGGGUUGCUUUCUUGUGAACAGGAUAAGAGUGUAUAUUAAUAUCAUGNNNNNNNNNNNNNNNNNNNNNNNNNNNNNNNNNNNNNNNNNNNNNNNNNNNNNNNNNNNNNNNNNNNNNNNNNNNNNNNNNNNNNNNNNNNNNNNNNNNNNNNNNNNNNNNNNNNNNNNNNNNNNNNNNNNNNNNNNNNNNNNNNNNNNNNNNNNNNNNNNNNNNNNNNNNNNNNNNNNNNNNNNNNNNNNNNNNNNNNNNNNNNNNNCCAGAACCUCCACAACUUCCGAGCCAAGCACGGGCCUGUGACGUGGUUGAAGCUCGGUUCCGUGAACACCAUGGUGAUUCAAUCAGCUCAGGCCGCGGCAGAGUUCUUCAAGGGCCAUGAUUCCGCGUUCGCAGACCGCAAGUGUCCCCAUGCAUUGACAGCUCUCGGUUAUGACCAAGGCUCGCUCGCUAUAGGUCGUUACGGUAGCUACUGGCGCGUUCUCAGGCGUCUCUGCUCUGCUGAGCUCCUCGUGACCAAGCGCGUCAACGAGACAGCCCAUCUCAGGCAGAAGUGCGUCGACAACAUGGUCAUGUAUUUAGAGGAAGAAAUGGCGGUUAAACAAGUAACAACAGGUUAUUUCUUACGUGCUUCGUGUUACUUUGGACGUUUGCGUUUCAUAUGUAACCUUGAAUGACCGAAAUAACAGUUUUCUUCUUCAAAGGGAAAAAAAAAAAGCAACAGAGAGAGAGAAAGGAACGUUUAAACUCCCUAUAAAAUAUCAAAAGAGGAUGAAGGCCUAUACCCUACACAAUAUUCCCACUAGUGUCACAAGUUCUUCUCAAUUAUUAAUAUAGGUAAAAUCAACGGUUAAGAUAUGUUGGGACGUCUGCACCAUUAGGAGUUAACGAUCCACGCUGUCAAAAGAAUCGUACUUCAGUAAAGAACGCAACCUGCAACUAGAUCUACCUAAGAAAACAUUGGGCCUGCUUUUUACGGAUAAAGGAACCGGCAGUGUUUAUUUUUUGUAAAAUGUACGAUUAAGUUCUAAAAUCUUUUUUAUUUUCUUUUUUCUUUUUUCUACUAUUGAGUUCUUAAAUUAUACAUCUUUUAAUUUGAGUUGGCCCUCCUCUUAAAUUUGCUAAUGCAUUGGUUACGAUGAAUAUUGCAUCCCCACCAUAUGUUAGCACUGACUAGACUAACUAAUUAGGGAGACAUGAAUUCUUUUUUACGUGCCAAGAUGGGUAAGAAAGAUUAUAAAAAUAAAGAAAUCUAAAUCCAAGUAAACAUUCACCAACCCAAGCGUUGCCUCAAUUUAUUGCAUGACCCAACUCACCUCCAUCCUAGUUAUUCAAUUUUUCUAUGUCAUUCUAUUUUUAGGUUUUUUAAGAAUUCACUUAAGACACCAUGUUGGUUUUCAAUGAGGACGUAACCACCAUGUCAACAUUUAUAUCUACUUCUUUAAUGGAAGGACUAAAUCAAAGAAGAACUUAUACGGCUCGAGGAUCUAAUUGCACAACAAAUUUAGGAACCUAAUUAGAACUUUUUAUAAAAGUUUAGGGACUGCUGGUACUUUUAUCCCUUUGUUUUGUUGCUGUAAUUGACAAAUUCAAUAAAUAGAUACCAGUGUAAAUAAUUCAAGUUGCCCAAGAGCUACUGGUGUUUAAAGUGCUAUUUAGUCAAACUUGCUUUCAUUCUUCUCGAGUUUGAGUCGAACUAGAGUGGCUCUACAGUUGAAUUAUGCCAAGCUCGAGUAGCUUUACCAUUGAAUUGGGUCAAACUCGAGCAUGAUCAAGUAGUUGGGUUUUAUAUAUCUUCUGAUGCAUUGAUCAAGUAUAUCCCCAUUAUUAUGCAAGAGAAUGCAAAAGUAAACUUUACACUAUAUUUUAUUUGUAGAAGCCAAGUUGGAGUUUUUAAGAGUUCAGAUGCUAAUUUAGUUUUGUUAGUGAAAAAUAUCCGAAAACAAGCUUAUCAAGAACUUUGUUAAGUUCGACUUGAGCUUGAAAAAUCCAACUUUUGUCUUGAACAUUGCAGCUUGGAGGUUGAUUCCUCCAUCCCUCCUUAAACUAGUUGCAAAACUUGGUGCAAUAAUUUUUUUCUUCAUGUCUAAUUCAUUACGUUCUGCUAUGCAUUCUCUAAUUAUAAUUAAUCGUUAAAAAUUUCUAAAUUUUAUGAAGAGCAAGGAAUCGACUUAUCCCACUUCCUCUUUCUCAUGGCAUUUAAUGUGGUGGGUAAUAUGGUGCUCUCGCGGGAUCUGUUGGACCCAAAAUCGAAGGACGGGCCCGAGUUCUUUGAUGCCAUGAACCGGUUCAUGGAAUGGGCUGGCAAGCCCAACGUAGCCGACUUCCUGCCGUGGUUGAAAUGGCUGGACCCGCAGGGGAUCAAGGCAAGCAUGGCGAAGGACAUGGGUCGAGCCAUGAAGUUUGCUGAAGGUUUUGUAAAAGAGAGGUUGGAGGAGCGAAAGCUGAGGGGAGAGAUGAGAACGACAAAUGACUUCUUGGAUGCGGUAUUGGAUUAUGAGGGCGAUGGAAAAGAAGGCCCUCGCAAAAUCUCUUCCCCGAACGUCAUCAUAAUAAUUCUGGUAUCCUCUCUUCCACUCUUGGCAAACAAGAAAUGAUUAACAUCUUAAGGAUAUUUGGUCCAGUUCAGUUUGUAAAGUGGGGUGGUAAACUUAAUUGACAAUUAACAAGCAGGUCAUAUUACGCGUCAUUCUCUACAAAUGCAUGUUUUCGUAGAACAUUCUAGCACUAGAUUUUAUAAUAACUAGCCUUUUCCAAUCAACUAUCUAUGAAAACAUUUUACACUUUAAGUUUGUAGAGAACGUUGCAUAACAAAAAGCUACUACUAUUAUAAAGAUGUUUCCAUUCUUUCCUGAUUUAGCCAAUCUGUCUCAUUUUGUAAUAACUAGCUAAGAAUGUUCUACGAAAACACAAGAUUGAUUAAUGGUUAUUUUUUAUAAAAAGAAAAUCUAGUGCUAGAAAGACACAUUGAAUUAUUUAUUAAAUUAAGUCGAUGUCAAUUUGGUGAUUAAUAGAACAUGUUGGGUAUCCUCAAUGAAUGAGUGAAUAGUAUGUUGAUUAGAUGUGUGAUUUAAUAUUGACUAUAAAUAUAAUCGAUAAUCAAACACCAGCAUUGGUUAUAAGAAGCCAAUAAAAUUAAGUUGACAAGGCAUGAACAGUUUUUGUCCAUGGACUUAUAAAUGAAAGUCAAGUUAAUGUCGGUCGAGUCGAGAAGUACUGACAUUGGCUCACAAAAUUUGGUCGAAUCAAACCGACUGCAAGGAUAAAACUAGCGCGAACAAUUAUUGUAGUCAAACUUCUAGGACGGAACAAUUUUUAAGGUUGUUGACCGGCGGUUGCAGUGAAGCAAUCGUUGUAGGCGAGACUACAAAAAGAGCACAUCUUAAGGGAAAAAGACGCACAAACAUAAAAAGAACACACUUCACUUUCUUGCCAUUCAUUUUCAGUUAUUUCUCAGCAACUUAAUUCUUGCCAUUCCAGUUGUUUAUUUCAUUUUUCCCAAUCAAACACCUGCUCUUGCCCUUUUAUAAAUAUUUCUGUUGUCAUUAGUGUAUUCAUUUCGUCAAUUUUAGGAUCCAAUCAUCAAAUUCUUGUUCCUUUCUUUAUGCGCAAUUGUCUGUCAAUUCGAAGCAUAGGAGCUGCUAUGUUUGACAAGGAUUUUAUCAGGUGAAGCAUGAUGAUUUUUACUAUUAAGCCCACGAUUUGAGGGAGUGAUUUUCGAGCGAACUGAAUAUCUUAAUUAUAGCAAAAGAAUCAACAUUGGUGGUAACCCUAGCAAGACAUGAUCUUGUACUAAAUGGGUCUAAUUGAUGGUGCAGGAAAUGUUUUUCGCUGGAUCAGAGACUACAAGCAGCACCAUCGAGUGGGCGAUGGCGGAGCUACUCCGCCAACCCGUGUCAAUGAGAAAGGCCAAAGAUGAGAUUAACCAGAUUGUGGGGUUGAACAGAAAACUCGAAGAAAGUGACACGGAAAAAAUGCCGUUUUUGCAAGCUGUGGUGAAGGAAACCCUAAGAUUGCAUUGCAUCCACCAGUACCUUUGCUUCUCCCACGAAAUGCUAUAAAAGAAACCAAUUUCAUGGGCUUUGAUAUACCCAAAGAUACCCAGGUUUUCGUGAAUGCAUGGGGCAUUGGAAGAGACCCAGAUGCUUGGGAAGACCCAUCAGCAUUCAAACCAGAGAGGUUUCUAGGAUCUAAAAUUGACUACAAAGGUCAAAACUUUGAGCUAAUUCCAUUCGGAUCAGGCAGAAGAAUGUGCGUCGGACUUUCGUUGGCGGAUAGGGUGCUUCAUCUCGGUCUUGCGAAGUUGCUCUACCAUUUCGAUUGGGAACUCAGUGAUGGUUUGACUUCAGAGACCCUCGACAUGAGAGAGCGGGUGGGAAUAACACUACGGAAGCUCCAUCCUUUAAAAGUGAUACCUAAAAAAUGUAGUGUGUGAGGUCUUUAGAAUAUCAUUAAUGGUAACUAGUUAUAUUCCUUACUAGUUAAUAAGGAAAUGACAAGAUGUGAUGUCAUGUAUUCAAAACAAGCAGAAGAUGUUAAGUUUCAUGAACAUAAUUUCAACAUAUUAUUACCCUAAGGUUGUUGGUGCUGAUGUUAUUGUGUCGAGGAUUAAUGAACCUACCCAAGGAAGACUUCUUAAGAAUGGUGUUUUUACUCCACAAACACCUCAGGAAAAUUACCAAAAAGUUCUUAAACCUAUUAUACUUUUAUCAAUUUAGGAUGUGUUUGUUUCACGAAAAACGUAAUAUUUUUGGAAAAUGUUUUCCGAGAAACCAUUUUCCUUUGUUUGGUGAUACGUGACUGAAAGUAUUUUCUGUGUUUGGAUCGUAUUUGAAAAAUGAUUGAAUGCUAUUUGAUCUAACAAUUGACAACAGUGCCUCUUACUUCCAAAUUAAUUUAUUGAAUCCAUGUUACUUUAUAAACGGAUUUUCUAAAAUAAUACAUAAUAUUUGUGUUGACCAGAAAAAUGAUUGGAUGACAUUUGACCUAACAAUUGGGCAUGUUGAUAUCCUGGCCUUGAGCUUGAUUUAUCGAGCUUGAGCAUGGUUGACUUCACAAAGCUCAAAAUCAACCUCAAAUUCUUCAAAUUGCAAGACUAAGUACUACAUCAUGUAGCUAUUUGCAGCAUCGAUACAUGUAUUCAUACAAUCUUUGAUUACUUGAUUCGGCUUGUGAGUUAUUCGAGAGUAAUCUAAAAGCUGGAGAUCAAGUCAAGUAAACCAUUUUCAACGGACGUACUUGCAUGAUUUCGGCAAUUCAUGUGGCUCCAGCGGGCUUGGGGCCAUCUCACAGACCAACGUGUCCCUCCAAUCCGCUGCCACCACCUUGAACAAAUUGAAAUUCGAGAAGUAGAGCACCUUCCUCCCCUUCUCACGCAAGUAUCACUCCCUCCUUCCCUCACUCUCAUGGAACCUCCGCACCCCUUGUGACAUUCUGAUUUUCUGAUUCUGUUUUCGAUUGAAUGAGUUGGUCUUUUCAUCGACUCACCUAUAGUUCUUUUUCCUGAGUUGAUCACUCAUGAGAUAACUAGUCUAUCAGGUGAAGUUGUUAAGGAAUCUAAAUGCAAUAAACUGGAGAAUUUGACCAGAAAUCAACUGCUCGACUGUGCUAAUCUACAAGGGUCAAUACGACACCGUCAAAAUUAAUCAGAGACCGAAGAUAGGUCGAUUCGAUAGAGGUAUGUGAUUAGUGUGCGGGUGAUUCCAUCUAAUUUCAAAAUUUUAAACCGAUUUUUCUGUCAUUUCUAUACCCUGUGCCCGUAUUUGAAACCUCAAGAUUUUCUUGAUAACCGAGAGUCACCAAUGUGUUGAAGAUGUACAGUAUGGCUUGAAAAUAAUCGAUCUAGGGUCAAAUGUGCUAAAAAUUCCUAAAAGCUACCAAAUAGGUUAGGUCACGCUAAAAUUGUGCAUGGUUGAAAUUAACUGCGAAAUUGAACUUGAUUAAAUUAUGUCAUGUCACAAUUUAUUUUAGGAACGUCAAUUUAUCCUCCGAAAUUUUUUCGACUAAUCGGGAAUUUUGGCGAAAAAAUCGAAGUUGGGCCGUUUUGGACCGGAAAAAUUAGAGGGUUGUUUUUUGUUGCACUUUUGGCAUUCAAGUUGGACUAAUUGGCAAGGAAAAAUGUGAAAGAUGAUGUGGGCACAUUGGCUGAAUUUAUGGGCACCAAUUUGAGUCCAAUUGAAAAGAAAUUGAAGUAAAAUUGAAGAGGCAAAUGUCCAAAUUCGUAGCCACCCGGGAGGGGGGAGCAACUUUUGGACCCUUUGGAUGGCUUCUAUGAGAAGCUUUGGUGUAGAAAUUGCUGUUGUGGAUAGGGCUGAUCAAGUGGGGGCCAAGCAAUGAGUGAAUGGGAUAUUUGUGAAGACUUUGUGGCCAUUUGGUAGCCCCCCCCCCCCUUCAAGCUACAGCCUUCUUCUUCUUCCUUAGCCUUGCUUUCUCCAUUAGUGUUGUGUUUUGAGCUCAAGAAAACCAGAGAACCAGCUAGCCAGCCCCUCACACCGUCAACCGCCCCUCCUAGCCGUCCGAGCACCAUCAAGCCCUGCCCGAGCUCCAGCACCUGCUGUCCCGCUCGUGCGCCUAUCCGCACAUCCCCACGGCCUGCGUUCGUCACCCGUGCCCUGCUCGUCGAUUAUCGGAGCUAAUCCAGCCACCUAGUGUCGCCGUCAAGCCCCUCCACCGCUCGUCCAAGCCACCUAGUCCACCUCCUCACCAUUCCAGCCCAUUUCAGCUGUGAAGCCCUUCGGUCCAACCCUUAGAUAGAACCGAAGGCCCAACUUUGGCAGUGAGCUGUUGGGCUGUUUUCUGGGCCCUUUCGGACCUUCGUUGGUGUCGCUAUAGGCUUGGUUUUUGCUCGCCUUGGCAUCACCAUCACCGUGAACUCAAUGGCCCUCAAAACUGAUGAGUUUACUUGCUAAACUUUGCUUAUCGAGUUAAUUAUACUUAAGUGUUGAUUAGCUUAAGUUAAGUAUGGCUUAGGUGGCUAGUUUAGAUAAAUUAGUGAUUUAAUUGCUUAAUUGUGAUAAUUAUGUGGUUAGAUUAGAUUAGUUAAUGGUUAAUUGAAUUGUAUUAUUUAUUGAGCAUGGUGCAUUAUUUUCUAGGCCCGUUUAGGUAGUUAGAUUAGCAUUAUUAGGCCUAAGUUGGUAUUUAUCUAUUUAAUUUGUAUUUAUUAAUUAAUUUUGCUAUUUAUUUAAUAAUUUAAUAUUUUUCGAAAAUUAUACCGGAAUAGCCGGUGACUGGAAUUUCGUGCCGAUUGCAGUGAUGCUUAGUUUAUGCAAUUGAUGGUUAAAUUGUCCAAUCGAGUGGUGAUUGUGAAUUUUGAGUAUUUAUUUCAAAAUUGUGAAAAUUUGGUUUUUAAUCAGAAAUUAUUGAGUGUCCGUUUUUAACGUCAAAAAUGUUUUUAGGUACUAUAUUAAAUAGUGAGAUUUUUAAAAAGGAAGAUAUCGCAUUUUUUGCCCAAACUAACCAUGUACCCAAACACAAUUAUUUUACUAGGUGUUUUUAAUAUGAAAAAAAAUAGGCCAAGUUCAUUAUUUUAAUUGAGGCAUUUGAGUGCAAAGCACAAUGUCUUUGGCCGGGAUUGAUUAAUCGUGUGAUGGUUAAGUGAACCCGUCCCCGAUGUGCGUUGGUAGGACGUUGCCCAUAUAUAAGAUGCCCCUGGACAACGGAUACCAGUCGCAGUAGAUUCUAAACCAAUGCUCCUUCAAGAAUGUUGUCCCGAUGUGCGUCGGUGGAUGUUGCUAUGCUCAAGGGGGGAGACAAAGCCUGCCUACGCUAGAAGACCGAUGUGUGUCAGUAGAUUGUGUAUAUGCGGGCAAUAAUCAAUUGGAACAUGUGAUUAAUUGAAAUUGACGUGCCGGAUUUUGAGAUAAAAUUGUGUGGCAUGGUAUGGGACGUGCCAUAACGAUUUGGCCUUAUAAUCGGGACUCCUAUGAUCGAUUGAUUAGUUGAUUGAUUGAUUGAUUGAUUGAAAUGUGAAUUGAGACAUUCUAAAUGAUCGAGUGGUAUUACUAUACAUAUAUAAUAUAUGAAUUGUACUGACAUGCAAAAGGGAACUAAGGCGAGGUAAGUCAUCUGUAUUGUGUAUAGUGUCACGCCCCCAUCCUCAAGCGCGUGCCCAUCCCUUGGUGGUCAAUUAAAUUGCAACGUCCUAGAACACGUAGCCGACUCAUUCAUUGUAAUGUGCAUGCAGAAGCGAAUAAAUAAAUCCCCAGACAACACAAAGAUGGGAUAGAAAAGUAGGGCCAAAAUUUUGAAAACCACGGCACACUUUUAUACACAGCAAACUAAGUCAUAUACAAUUCUAGUCUAUAUUUAAAUAUAAAUCAUGCUUCCACAAGCUAAUAAAACAAUCUUAGCUCACACAAGCUAAUAUAUAUAUCUAUAUAUCGUGCCCCCACAAGCUGAUAAAAUGAUCUCAACUCACACAAGCUGAUAAUGUAUACUGCUCUCACAAGCUGACAUAUUGAGCUUAUAAGCUGAUAUAGUAUACUGCUCUCACAAGUUGACAUGCAAAAGGGACUCUCACAAGCUAACGAUAAAUAUGCUUGCACAAGCUGAUACUAAAUGGUCUCAUAAGCUAAUAAAACACCGAGUUGAAAAUACCCGAUAAAGAUAAUCGUGUGUGGGUACACAGUCGGCCUGAGCCAAAAUUUCAAUAUCUUUCUUAUCAAAAAUCCCACUAUUUAUAAUAGUUCAUAAACACAUUUUUGGCGUUAUAAACCGAUGUCCGAUAUUUUCUAAUUAAAUACCAAAAUUACUCAAAUUUGAGAUACCACUCAAUUUGCACAAAUUAGCACUCAAUUAAAUAAACCAAACAUACCAUUGUAAUCAGUACGAAAUUCUGGUCAUCGGCUAUCUCAGUAUAAUUUCUGGAAAAUAAUAAAUAAUUAAAUAAAUACUAAAAUUAAUUAAAUAAAUACAAUUAAAUACAAUAAAUAGGAACUUAGAUUGGAAAAGCCUAAUUAAACACUGAGACAGGCCCGGAAAAUUUCCGAACCAAUCUACAUAAAUAAUACGAUCUAUCUAGUCUCUAAUUAAGCCGUUCUAACAACCUAACAUGCAUAAACGAAUAUUUAAAUCACUAAUCUAUUCUAACUAACCACCUAAACCAUACUUAGCCUAAACUAAUCAACUAUUAAGAUCAUUAAAUCCCUAAAUAGAGUUUAGCGGGUAAACUCACUGGUUUUGUGAUCCAGUGAGUCCACGAUGACGGCAAUGUGGAGACGGGCGAUAAACUCCAAAGCGGCGACACCCGACAAGGCUUGAAAGUGUCCUAAAAUGGGCCUUGUAGUCCACGGAAGCUUGUUGGCCUUCGGUUCUAGUUGAUGGGCCUAGAGGCUGCUUGAGCAACCAAAAGCCACAAGGAGAGACGGUGAUGGUCCAGUGGGGCUAAGUGGACAACAGUGGGGCUUCACGGCAGUGGAGGUGAGCUUGAGUGGCAGCCAAGGCUUCGAUGGCAACCAGGGAUGGCUCGGGACGGGUGAAAUGGCAACGGAACAGGUGGGAUGGACGACGGACUAGCGUGGGCUCACACGAGGGCGCGACAAGUGCGAAAGGUGAGCGGCGGUGACAGACGGUCCAAUGGUGGCUUGCAAUGGCAGGGGGUGGCUGGCUCGGUUUUCUAGUUCUUUGGAGCUUCAAGGUGGACUAAAAAUGGAGAAAGCGAGCUGUGCUAAAAAAGAAAGGGGACAUCAGCCACUCAGAGGGUCCAUCAAGCCUCCAUUCUAUCCUCUUGUCCCUUUAAGAGGCCCCACCAGCCCUUGGCUAUCUUCCACAGCCUCUUGGCAGCCCACAAACUUCCCUUGCAAGCCAAUGAAGUGGUCCAAAGGUGGUGGAGGCCAUAACAUACGAAUUUGGUGCCAAAUUGAACCAAAUUUAUCCUCUAUUGGAUCCAAUUCGGUCCCCAUAAAUUCCAUGAAGGUGCUCUUGACCAAAUUGACAUUUUUCCUUGCCAAUAAAACCAACUUGCAUUCCAAAAACAUGAUAAAAAAGGUCCCCUUGAAUUUUCUGAUAAAAACGGCCAUAUUUUGAAUUUUUGCCAAAAAUCUCGAUUUGCAGAAAAAUCUUUGGAGGAUGAGUUGACGUUCCCAAAAUGAAUUAUGACAUGAUAGAACUUUCAAUUUCUGAAAUUAGGUUCAAAUUUGUGGUUAAUUUCAAUCUAGCGCGAUUUUAGCAUAACAUAACCUACCGAGUAACUUUUAUAAAUUUUUAGUGCAAUUGACCCGUGGUCAAUUAUUUUUUAGCCACAUUGCACAUCUUUGACACAUUGGCAACUCUCGGUAGUCGUGAAAAUCUCGAGAUUUCAAAUGCGGACAUAGGAUACCAAAGCGACAAAAAAUUGGUCUAAUGUCGAUGGACAAGAAUUUUGCAAUAUGGUGGAAUCACCCACACUUUGAUCAUAUAUCUUAGUCGAAUUGACCUAUCUUUGAUCUCUAAUCGAUUUUUGAUUGUGUUGUAAUGAUCCUUGCAAACUAGCAUGGUCGAGCAAUCGAUUCCUAGUAGAAUUCUCAAGUUUAUUGCGUUAAAAUCCCUUAACGGCUUCACUUUUUAGACUAGUUAUCUCAUGAGUGAUCAGCUCAGAGAAUAGAACUAUAGACGUGUCAAUGAAAAACCCAAUUCAUUCAAUUGAAAAUAAAACCUGAAAUUCAAGAUAUCACGUAUAGACUGUCUUUAAGUGUAUUUCCUUCCUAAUAGGGGUUUAGAGGGUGAACUUGCUGAAACAUUGUCUCACCCCGUCGUGGGCUUAACCUUUUCAGGUUCUUAGAUGGCAAUCCCUUCGAAACGUUUUGGUCGGCCUUAGGGAGUAACUGAGUGGAGCAUAGACAUCCCGAUCCUCGGGAGUCACUGGGUCUUUAAACUCAUGGUGACCACUGUCUGGGUUGAUGAGGGCCUACCUUAAAGGGUACCUCAUCGAUUUAGGGUGUGGUAUUGCCAUGGGCUCAAUUGGUAUAAGGAAUGUCCUAUUUGGGGUUUUGAUGUCCCCGUUGCUGUGGUUGACACCGCUCUAGGCAAGGGUGAAGCUGACCCUCCUGAUGGGGUUGUGGAGGACCCGAAGCUCUCGAAGUUUUCAGAGAUGGAGUCUGAAGGAUCGACGAAUGUGUUCAACUAGUAGGUCGUAGAACAGCUUCUUUUUUAGAGCCAAUCUUUUGUAGAUAGACUAGCUUUGUAUAUAAACCUAAUGUGUUUAUGAAUGCAUGUUUGUUUGUGAAUUUGUUAUCCUGCUUUUCUAUCUCAUGUUUUGCUAUCAAAGGUUUUUAUUUUGCUUCCGCAUGUACAAUAAAAUAAAUGGAUUGGUGAUGCGUCUUGGGAUGUUGCAAUUUGAUCAACCAUUGAGGGAUGUGCGCACGCUCGAGGUUCAAGGUGUGACACCCCUCCGAACAUCUCCUCCAGCAUGCCCUCCAAAAUCUCGUGGUUCACUGCAUGGAACAACCCCCAGCCCUUGCACGCACUUCGGACUUCCUCCACGACCCUUCGCCAGAGAUCCCCGUUGCCACCGCCGCCGUCGACAAUGACCGCGAGGUCGAUGGUGGGGAUCGCGAGGUCGACAGCAUCGACUGUGGCCUCCUGAGGGGCGUGGACGAAGAAUGAUAGGAUCUGGGAGAUGUCGGAGUCGACGAGGCCCUUAACGCUGACCCUCACAUCAUCGAAAAGCUUCAGCUCCUCAUCUCGCCGAAGCACGACGAUGCUCACCACCGACAUCUCCACACUCUAGCUUUCGCUUUAGCGAGCUGAUUGGCGAAGUCUGUACCUUAGAAAAAUCUAGAGAGGAAAAGUGAAAGGUAAGAGAGAAAAAGAUGAAAAGGGACAGUGUUUUCACCUUCUGAGGCGGAGGAAUUCAUUUUCCUAAAAUAAUACAUAAUAUUUUUGUUGACCAAAAAGUAUUUUCCAUUGACCAAAUCUUUUUAGAGAACCAAACAACUGAAAAUCCAAAAAACACUUUCUGGUAAAAUACUUUCAAUGAAACAAACACACCCUUAGUAAUAAACCUUUUUAUUAUAUAAGUUAGUCCCAAAUGUUUUCAUGUUUUGCCAAUUGAGCUCAUAUGAUCAAUUUUGGUAAAAAAAUCACUAACAUAAAUGUCAGGCAUCCUAUAUGGUGCAACUAGCGCAAACGUGGAAUAUUUUUAAUAUUUUUAUUUUAUUUUUGAAUACUUUUUCUUUUCUUUUCUUUCUCUGAUGGUUGUUGAGCCUUGGGAAUGACUACUGACCAACCAUAGGCUACAACCAAUGAUGGUUACCCUCACCAAGACCUAGCAAGGGAGGAUCUUGCCGCCUCGCCAAAUUCGGCAAGUCAUAGCUUCACACGAGGCUCAACUUUGCCUAAUCUAGCGAGGGUAAGGCGAAACCUCGUUAACCUUCACAAGGGUUGGUCUCGGGCGAGGCUUGCCCAAAGAUGGCGAGGCCAACCAUCCCUAAAGGCUAGCAAGGGCCAACCUAGCCAGCUUCAGGCAAAGCUCAACCCUAUCAAAUCUAGUUUGGACAAGCCUUACUCAAGGGCAACAAGGGUGACCUCACCUAAGGCUAGCAAGGGCAACCAUUGUCAGUCAUAACCUGUGGUCGAUCACCGGCCAUCACCAAGGCUUGGCAAAGGAAGAAAACAGCAAAAAAAAAAAAAAGGAUGAAAAAGAGAAACUUAAAAAUAUUUAAUAUUAAAAAUUCAAAAAUAUUAAAAUACUAAAAAAAUGUUUGAUGUCAUUUACUUUGAUAAUUUUCGGUCAAAAUUGGUUAGAUUGACUCAAUUAGUGAAACUUGAAAAACUUUAGGACUCAAUUGACACAAUUAAAAGGUUUAUGACUGAAUUAGCAAAAGUAUAAUAUAUUAUGAUUUUUUUGGUAAUUUUCCCCAAAUAUCUUUGGGCAAUUGCAAGUUUUUAUGUAAGCAUUUGGGUCUUGUUUAAAUUGUAUGACUUAAGCAUGUAGCAGGUAGUUAACUUGCCUUUUAAGCCAACGAUAAAACUUUACUUGUCGAAAAAAAAAAUUGCCCUAAAGUUAGUUCUACACAAGUCCAAUAAAUGGAUGAUUGUGAUUAACUCGGUCCAUAUACGCCAAUCCAUAAUAGAGUCUUGAAUCACAGACCAUGAACAAUACCAGUUCCUUGAAUGGAUCGAAGGUUGACAUGGAUUGACUUUGAUCCCCAUCCAAAUUAGAAUCCUGUUAAUGGAUUCAAACACAAUGCUGAACCCAAUAAUGCGAUUGCUAGUGCAUCACCGACUUCCAGUAGCAUAGCAGUGGAAUCUAAAGAAGAUGGUGAAACUCCAAUUCGACUCUUAAGUACAAAAGUGAGAUGCUCAUGGAGGGGGAUUUGGAGGACAAAAACUGCAUGUGUUGCCAAAUUGACUAGCCACCCUCUGGGCCAAAGGAAAAAAAUCAACGUGAUUUCCUCUACUAGAAGGGUACCCUUCUGACCACCAAAAAAAAAAAAAAUCAAGUACUUGCCAACUAGCGAAAAUUUGGCCAACAAGCAAGCUCAAGUCUUCAUUUGAGACUAAUUUGGCAACUUCAGACAUUUAUUUGAAAUAAUGUCCACCUUAGGCCAUCUUUUGGAAAAAUAACCUCACUUUAGACGUUCAUUUAAAAAUUUUUGCCAAACAUUAGUCAUCUGAAGUGCAUGACGGUAAUUGUAUGCAAAUUGCUUAAUCUCUUUGUAUGUUACAAAGGUAAGAUUUUGCUAUAAUGCCAAACAUCCAAACAAGUUGAUAAUUUACUAUUUAUUUUUUCAUCGUUAAAUUCCUUCAAUAGUUGGCAAUUCUUCGCCCACUUGUAAAUUUACCAAUUUAAUAAAAUCUUACUGUGUAAUGUACGAGUAUUUUGCACUAAAUCAUCCAACUUCGUUGGGCUUGAAUAUGACUCAUUUGAUUUCCUUUGUGUAAUGCUUGCGGAUAUUACUUUUAUUUGAUUGUUCUACUUUCUAACACGUGAUAGUAAGGCCAAGCAUUGGUCUAGGGUUGACCCUAGACUGACCUUGGACUAGCCCAACCUGGCCUAUUCUAGUCCAAUUUUGGAGGAACUAGGUCUGUCCUUGGUCCCAUAACCCAAAUUUCUUGGAAAAUUUUCAAAUAAGGAUCCAAGGUUCUAACAAUUUCUCAAAAAUGAUUCAAAGUGGAUCUUUUUUUCAAAAAAAAAAAAAAAGACCUGAAAUUGCCAUAGGAGUUUCAAAUAAAAGUUUAAACUCGCCAUCUGGCUGAUAUUCUAACUAGAAAGGGACAUUUUUGUCCAAAGACAAUUUUAACCCAAAUUUUAAUUAAAUUAGAUUAAAAAUUAAUCUAAAAGCUUUUAAAAAAAUACAUGCAGUGUGGGCCCUCACCUUUGGUUGGCAAGGGUUGCGACCCUCAUCGAGGUGCCUGCAACCUCAACGCCCUAUCGGCUAGGGGUAAGCGAUUUCGGGUUUCAUACAUGUUCCACUUGAGACUUAAAACUUACCCGUUGGAACACAUUCUUUAUUUUUGGAACAUGAAACUUAUCCUGCAUAUCUUAGAACUUGGAACUUACCCUAUCAUAAGUUCUAAGGCCGGUUCCAGGGUCUACCCAGGUUCCACCUAUAUUAUCAAUUGAUUGAUUGCAAUAAAUUAAACAUUUAAUGAUCACCACUUACUACUAUAAUUUACUUCAUAACUUAUAUUCAAACACACGAAAAAUAUAGAUGUUAAUAAAGUAAAAGUUUUAGUCAUAAAUGAAAGCUUAGAUUAGGGCAAAAGAAUAUACAUUCAUCAUCGAAUGACAUGGAUUAUCACAGAAUCACAUGAAAAUAUUGUUAGGGAAAUCCCUUAUGAUAUUUUGAAAAUGAAAAAAUAAAUUAAAGGCUAUUAACGUGUUUAAUGGUUGAGUAAUAGAUUAUGCAAAUGAUAGAACAUGUAAAUGAUAUUGUCGAAGUUUAUACUUGAAAGAACCAGAAGACAAAUUCAAUGCUUCGGCUGAACUUAUUCAGACUGUAUCCAGACCUUAAGGCUAAAUAUGUUUAAAAGCAUAAUAUGUUCAAACUUACGUCUAGAUUGUAAAGUUUACUUCAGACGGAAGAUACACAGACUCUACUUCAGACGAAAGACACUCGGACUUUACUUCCGACAGAACACUCUUAGACUUUACAUAUAGAAUGAGACACUAGUUCAGGACCUAACAAAUUCAUAACGAAGCAUGUCCAGAAUGAGACAACUUGACAAAAUGUAACACAAGCCCCAAACAUAUAACGGCUAGUGAUCUAGUUUGGAUUCUAUAUCAAGAUAGAUUUGAUUGAUUCAAUCUAAUUUAUUGACAAUUGGAUAUUAAAGACAAGAACUUUCUAAAAUGGAGAAGCUCUACUUAUGGAAACCAAGAUUCUAUUUGUAUAGGCCAUCAUAAUCAAAUUGGGAUUAUACUUUUGUCACUCAACGGCUACCAAAUCUUCUAGACAGAUCAAAUGGGUAGAUUGAAAAACGAUCUUUUGGAUACCGUGCAAUGGCUAAUUUGGAAGGUGGGGAGUAUUUAAGGAGAUUAAGGAUAUGAGCAAGAAAGAAAUGGAGUGUAGAAUUUAUAAUUCCAAAAUCUAAGCGAACUUCGAUCAUACACUUAUCUUUGGUGAGCUUAAACGUUUAUGAUCGUGAGAGAAAUACCAAAAGAGUGACUUAAUGAGAUAGUGUAAUCUACCACUAAGUGUUUGCACUCAAAGUUGUAAUCUCUUGUUGAUUGCAUAGUGAAAUCCAGCCAGAAGGCUGUUAGCAUGAGAGAGUGGAUGUAGACUUGAUUUAAGCUGAACCACUAUAAAUUUUGUGUACAACAUUCUCUUUCCUUAACUCUUCUUAUUUAAAUAUGUUGCAUACUUACAGGUUAUUUUAGAAGUCUGUUACAUCGCAUAACAGAUUCUGAACAUCUACUAGAAGUCUUGUGGCUCGUUUAGUCAAACUGUAAUCCUUAUUCAGACUUUACCCGCGACUGAUUUUAUUUUGCAUUUAUUUGUCAAGAUUUCUUUUGAACACCUAUUCACCCCCCUCUAGAUGUUCGUACUAGCACUUUUAGAUAUGGACUAAGAAAAAAAUUAUAACUCAUUCUAGAUUCUAGGUUUUAGGUUUUAGGUUCUAGGUUCCUCUAAUCAAGAACCUAAAACCUUCUCGUCAAAACAAGUUCCUCAUUUUUGAAAGCCUAUAACCUAUCUUGCAUACAUUCAACCUUGGAAUCUAUAAGUUCUUAUCAGUCUGAUUUUCAAGUUCCAGAUUCUACCUUGAAACAAUGCUCACCUAGGUCGAUGAUCAUGGGUUUUUUUUUUUGUAUGUUUCUUUAUUUUAUAUGUUUUUGCGUUUUUUUUCUUUUUUGAGUUUGUCUUUUUAUGGAAAAAUUUUUGGAUUUUUUUAACUUAAUUUAAUUAAGAUUUUGUGUAAAAAUUAGGAUUCAGUUAAAACGAUAUCGUUUUAGCGGUUUAGUUAAUCUUAAUGUACGUAGGAUACUAAGUGUAGGAGAUAAAAUAUCUAAAAAGUUAGGUCUUUUUGUUAGUUAAAUUAAAUGGAGUUAGUGGAAAAACUCAAUUUUUACACAAAAUCGAGUCUUAGCCUGUGGUUUUCGAGGGUGGCCUUGCCUGAGUAAGGUGAGGGCGACCCUCACCUGGUCCUCUCCACAUAUCAUCGGUGGCCUUAAGACUAGUCACUGAUGAAAAGGAAAAAAUAAGAAAAAGGAAAAAAAAAACAAAUUAAUAAUAAUAAUAGAGGGGGAAAUGCCAUUGACUAGCAACGAUGUCAUGUCUUUUUUUUAGGCACAUAUUUGCAAUAAGAUUCAUUUGAUACCUUUAUUUGACUAGCAACGAUGUCAUGUUUUUUUUUUAGGCACAUAUUUGCAAUAAGAUUCAUUUGAUACCUUUAUUGAGGCACAUAUUUGCAAUAAGAUUCUUUUGAUACCUUUAUUUAGAAUCUUUCCUAAUUUCUUUUUCCACAAACUCUUAAAGAAAGAAAAAGAAAAUUCCCUUUUGAAGGUCACACGUGAUCGAUGCCCGUCCUUUCAAUAAUGUUUUACUGUGAAGAAGGAAAAAUAUUACAGUCUCUUAAUAGUUUUGCGUUCAUUAUCCUCUGUUCUUUUCUCUCUUUUUUCCAGCACGUUCAGCUCUGCCAUUUCCAGACAAUUCAGCGGAGCCUAUUCCUAGGGUUGUUGAGAAAAUAUCAAAUACAAUGUCAAGUCAUUAUUGAGUCCUUUGUGGUCACGAAUAGCAGCUGUCAAAUGGCCUCAUACGCAGCUCAUUUCAGACCCAACAGGCUGCCUACAGUGGGCCCAUUCCAGCUUUGAUCCCAGCAAAUUUUCAGCAAAAACCGGUCCUCUUCCUUUGCUGAAACCAGUCCCACUUCCUGCUCUGACCGCCCUUUUCUAGUUCUGUUUACAUUAAAAUAAGGCCUUGAGUUUGAACCAGUUAAUUAACACAGUCCAAAGCAAGUCCGAUCGAAUUAAUGAAAUUCAACUACUUCUUCGAUUUGGUUCGAACCUGCAAUAGAUUCCUUACGUGCGUGUUCAACCGCUACACAUGAAGUUUGUUGUCUUCUUUCGUUGAAUUCUCUUCACAAGCAGCAGCAACAUCUAAUGAAGAGCCUUCUUCUAGUAGUAUAAUUUUAUAGAAGAGGAGCUCAUGAUUUAGUAGAAAUAGGGGAGCUUGUUGGAAAAUCUUGUCAACACGAGAAGCAAAUACAAAACAAAAGAAAGUGUAAUCAUUGGUUCUGGUGGCCCCUUGGUCGCUUUUUUUUUUUUUUUUUGUCUUUUCUUUUUCUUCCAUUUAUCUGACCGAAAGGGAUUCUCUCUCUUUGGUGUAUAUUACGAAAUUUGUUCCAUAAACACCGUGGGUAUUUGGUGUAAUUAUGGGACUCGAAAUUAAAGUGUGUCAUCGAUUGUAACAGUGUGCUCUCCAAUUAACUAGUAGGUCAUUAACAGCUUACUCUUUUUACUAAUACAAGUUUCAACAUUUGUAUCGAACGACGUCCAUUUCUUGUGUCAUUUACUAUUUCUCAUUUCUCAUUUCUCAUUUUAUUUUCUAUGAAAAUUUUUGUGUCCAUAUAAUUGCGAAGGUUACACAUAUUCAAUGACCCUCCAGGAAUAAUCUGGUGUGGGGAUGAAUUAAAGUGAAGAGUUGCCAACAUACAACUCUUUUUUAGUGUAAAAAUCAUUGAUAUUCUCUGUAUUGUGGGGAAGAAAAAUGUACACGUACAAUUAGAGAAUACGGGAUAUAUGAGCACUGACACGUUAAAAUAAUGAACACAAUCCUACUGAACACCACACAAGAUGGGGACUGUCGUCUAUCAUUCCUGAUUUUAUUUUCCCUGCAAAUUUUCAUGUGUCCAUAUAAUUGCGAAGGUCCGGUCCCUUCUCUGAUGGUUUACUGCAACCUCAAGCUGUAUUCACGCCAUUCUAGGUGGAAAUCACCAGGGAUGGUGCUGGUUUGGAAGCUAGUUUGGUUCUUUAAUUCUCUAGUUCAAUUCUUGUUUGCUUCUAGUCCAGUUGGGAUUAGAUGGUGGCUGGCUUAGGGGCUUAAUUAUGGGCAAUUAGAAGAUGGCAACGGGAAUUAAAAAAAAUAAAAAAUAAAAAAGGGAAAGUGAUUUUCUCGGAUCAGACACGGGCAGACCGCGCAAUCGUGCGGAAACGGUACACGCUCCUUGUUUAUUCAAUUGAGCUGAAAUGUUAAAGAGAGUUAGUCAACAGGCCGACGUAACUUGCGUAAAAAUUUUAGGCCGAACAGCUAUUGUGAAAUCCACUUUAACAUUUAGGCGGCCCAGUACAGGAUCAGCCGAUGUUUCUUAGAAAAAUACAAAUUAAGGAAACUACACUUAGAAUUAGUCCAUGAACUAUAUCAUUAGAAAAGAGACUCGAAAACGCUCAUCUCGAUGCUUGCAAUCUUUUGAGCUUGUUUGGGUCUUUAAUUGAUCAGGAGAAGCCAGUUCAAAAUUAUCGAGAAGAAAAUUGAGUCCAAGUAAGAACCAUAGAGUCGCUGUCAAUCAAAAUAAUAGCCAUCGGCCUGAGGUUCUCAUGAGACAUUGUCCCUAGUUGAAGAUUGUCGGAGAUCCCUAAUCUUCAUAAGAUAAAUGGAUGACUUACUCAUUUUGAAACCUAACUAUUAAUGAACUAUCAUGCCUCUAGCUUAAACAUGCAUAAGGGACGUGGCAAGAAAAAUGAAUGCAAGAUCAUAUAAAAUGAUUAUUUUUAUAUCAACAAUCAAACGCCACCCUCAUUGGUGAAUUUGAUUGCUGAAAUAAUUUUCUUUGAAAAUACAUGAUUAUUUCAUCGGUGAAAAUCAUGUUUCAACAUGAAGUAGUCCCUUGGAUAGGGAAGAUCAGAAAUUUCAACCAAAUUGAUGAUCGAAUUAGUUAUAUAGUAAUUUUGAAAAAAUGACAUGCCAUCUUACUAAGGCAAAAGUAAGUGCAUAAUUAUUUGAUUUUUUAGGACAAAUAAGUUGAUAAAGCAGUCCAUGAAAUUCAAGAUAGAACAAGACAUCAUAAUUUUGACAGGAAUUUUCGAUCUUUGGUAGCCAGAGAUUACAUUGAAUACCAAACUUAAGUUAUAAGACUCAGUUGCAUAACUUAGUACAAGAUUUGAUUGGAUAAUUCACAUAAGUUGUUGGACCAAUAUUGAAAUUAUCAAAACGAAGAAUCUAAUUUUACCUAAUUCGAUGAAAUGGAUGUACGAGAAUCAACAUGACCAGCACGUUUACUCCAUUUCAUAGCCAAAAGAUAUCUUCUUCUUUUUUCCUUUUUAUAAUGUGGACGGCAUAUAUUUCUUUUUCUUUAUUGUUUUGGGUUGGUUUCUCGUGAAGUGAAGAGGAUAAGAGUGUAUAUUUAUAUCCUGUUUUCCACGCAAUAAUCGCAUAGGUGCAGGGUGAGCAAUAGCUGAAAGCUUGGCCAAUGGAGUACUGCCCUACUUCACCCUUUCGGCUCGGCCUCCUCCUCCCGGCACUUCUAUUUUUCCUUCUCAAUCGUUGGAAGCGCACCAAGCUUCCCCCUCAGCCCCCAGCGUGGCCCAUGAUCGGCGACAUCCUCGACCUCGGGAUCAUGCCGUACCAGAACCUCCACAGCUUCCGAGCCGAGCAUGGGCCUGUCACGUGGUUGAAGCUCGGUUCUGUGAACACCAUGGCGAUCCAAUCAGCUCAGGCCGCCGCAGAGUUCUUCAAGGGCCACGACAUGGCAUUCGUGGUUGACGGCUCUCGGCUACGACCAAGGUUAUAUAUCUUCCGUUGCAUGUAUCAUGUACAUCUCUAUAAAUUUCAAAAAGCAUGCAUAAGUAAACUUUCCACUUAAUUUUAUUUGUAGAAGUCAGCUUGAAGUUUUAAGAGUUUAGAUGCUAAUUUAGUUUUGUUAGUGAAGCAGAGUCGAAACCAAGCUUAGCAAGCACUUUAUUAAGUUUGACUUGAGCUUAAAAAAUUCGACCUUUCGUGUUGAACAUUGGUAGUUAAUAGGCCACUUUCCACAUCCGAUGCAUCGAGAUUUCAUCUUGGAUUUCUAAACUCAAGCCCUAUCAAGCAAGGGGUUCUUCGUCGGAUUCUUUCAAGCCAUUGCGAAAUAAACAAUUGGUAGAACUCUGCAUGUUAGGAGUAGGGGCUUUCUUGUACGCUUCUCUCCCCACUAUCCUUUAAUUUAAAGUGAAGUGGAACCUUUGGAAAAAGCUUUGGGUCUAAUCCGCGGGUAAAAAUUUCUCCCGAAACCUCAAUCGCGUCAUUCAUAGUAAGUCAAGUAGAGCUCAUGAAUUACUUAGAGGUCGAUUUGACUAUAUCCCUAUUUUUAACUAUUUGCACAACUUGGAGCUAUAAUUUUUUUUCAUGUCUAAUAUGUUACGCGCUGCUAUACAGUCUCUUAUUAUAAUUAAUCGUAAAAAAGUUUCAUUUUAUGGAGUGCAAGGAAUCGACUUAUCCCAAUUCCUCUUUCUCCUGACAUUUAAUGUGGUGGGCAACAUGGUUCUCUCGCAAGAUCUAUUGGACCCAGAAUCAAAGGAAGGGCCCGAGUUCUACGAUGCCAUGAACCGGGUCAUGGAGUGGGGCGGCAAGCCUAACGUAGCCGACUUCAUGCCAUGGUUGAUAUGGUUGGACCCGCAGGGGAUCAAGGCAAGCAUGGCGAAGGAAAUGGGUCGAGCCAUGAAGAUUGCUGAAGGUUUUGUAAAAGAGAGGUUGGAGGAGCGAAAGCUAAGGGGAGAGAUGAGAACGACAAAUGACUUCUUGGAUGCGGUAUUGGAUUCUGAGGGCGAUGGAAAAGAAGGCCCUCGGAAAAUUUCUUCCCAGAACGUAAACAUAAUCAUUCCGGUGAGUUUGCUCCUCCCUUCCACGUCUAACACGGCCAAAAAGGCAUGAUCAUAUAUUACCAUCUUAGAGAUAUUAGGUCAAAUUCGGUUUAUUAAGUUGUGCAGUAAACUUAAUUGACAUUUAAACAAGUAGGAUCAAGGACAAGUUUUACUAGUUAAUAUUAAAAUAAGGGAGACAAUAUUUCCACCCCUUAUUUGACUAAAUCCAACCACUUUUCACCAAAAAGGCGAAAUUUAUCUAAGUCAUUCAAUUGCUAUUUAAAGUGGUGGCUCAAACUUAUUUACUUUCUUUCUUUUUCUAGUUUUUUCUUCUCCUAUGUAGGAACCAUUUAUCAUAAUCAAGAUUUAACAUUUUUCAUUUUGGUUUGUUGUGGAUAUCCCAUGUAUAUUAAAGGCACUAUGUUUUCACUUCAUCAUUAUCAAUAUUUAAUAUGUUUCGUUUUGGUUUAUUAAGCGGCGUGGUAAAAUUAAUUGACAUUUAAACAAAAGAUCACAUCAUGCGUCAAAGACAAAUUUUAGUAGUUAAUAUUAAAAUGAGGAUGGCACUAUUUUCGCCCCUUAUAUGACUACAUCCAUCCUCUUCUCCAAAAAGAUAAAAUGGUUCUUAAUCAUUUGAUUGCAAUUUAAAGUGGUGGCUCAAACUUAUUCACUUUCCUUCCUUUUCAAGUUUUUCUUCUUCUAUUAGGAUCUAUUUAUCAUAAUAUUGUGGAUAUCCCAUGUGUGUUAAAGGCACUAUGUUUUUGCUUUAAUAGUACAAUUUACUUAUGUAGAAACUAAUAAAGAAAAUUUUCAUUAAAUCAAAUUCAUUUCAAUGUUGUCUAAAAAAUUUGUUGUGCGUGUCACCAUUAAAUCAUUUCUUAUCAAUUUGUUCACAUAUACAUAUAAUGGGAUGAUCAACGAAAAAAAAAACCUACAAAUAAUUUUUGAAGUAAAAUCAUAAUUACGUUCUCCAAUGUAAAAAUUUUAAAAGGUAAAAUGUAAUUAAAUCACAAUUCUUAUUAAAUGAGAAAUGUCUUUUUAAAAAUUCAAGUGAAAUCUCAUCAAAUGGGAAUAACGAAAAUUAAUAUCAUCCAUGAAGUGUUUCUGAAAAAAGAAGAAGACCUAAUAAGAAAAGGUUUGACGGUGAUAUACAUAACAAAAAUAAAAGUUUAUGAAGAUGAGAUUGUUAGAAAAGUUGUCUAUACUAAUCUCUAGAUUCUAUAUGACAAUUAAUCCAUUACUUUGCUCAACAAUGUAAAAAAGAAUCAGGUUUCUUGGAAAUUUUUCUUUUCAACAUAACUUAUUCUGCAAAAGUAAAAUUUAAAAAUAAAAAGAAAACAAAAUGCCUCCAAUAUACACAUUCUAGCCAUAUUAAAUAAACACAAAACAUGUGAAAGUUUAAUUAUGGUGUAGAUUCUAAAUAAUAAUAGAAUAAGAAGGAAAAAGAAGGAAAGUGGAUAAAUUUGGGUCUACCACUUUAAAUUGCAAUUUAAUGAUUGAGGGCAAUUUUGCUUUUUUAAUGAAAAAUAGGGUGGAGUUAGUUAUAUGAGGGGUGGAAAUAGCGCAACCCUUAAAUAAACCAUAAAUCAAUCUGGUGUUUUCCUAGAGCAUUCGAGCUAGUUAUUAUAAAAUGAGUGGGAAUUGGCCAAACCAGGAUAGAAUAAAAAAAAUCUAUAUACCAGUAUCAACUUUUUGUUAUGCAAUGUUCUCUAAAAACUCAAAGUGUUAAAGGUUUUCAUAAAUAGUAAGUAGUUGUUGAAAAUGCUAUUUCAAUUGUGGAAGGUAUCAUUGGACCUUAGUAAACAAGUCUUAAGCCUAUAGAAGAGGUUGGAUUGAGAUCAACAAUCUUAUUCAAAUUGGAACACAAAAUGAGUAAUUCUUUUGUGAAUCUGUCGGCGCUCUUAACAUUUGUUUGUCAAUUCGAAGCAUAUAAAUUGCUAUGUUUGAUUGGGAUUUUUUAUCAGGUGAAGCACGAGAACUUUUACUAUUAACCCGACGAUUCAAGAGAGUGAUUUUCAAGCGAGAUAUAAUUUUUUAAUGAUGGCACAAGAAUCAAUAUUAGUGAUAUUCUAGCUAGACAUUAUAGUAUAUUAAAUGGGUGUUUUUUUUUUUUUUGAAUGGAAACCUUCAUUCAAUUUAUAGAAACAUUGCAUCCCGCUUCCCUAGCAUCUGAUAUAAGUAGAUCUAACAAAAUAGGUGGGGGGAAAGUAGGCCAAGAAGAAGGUAAAGACCCGCGCAACUCAGCCCUGGCAGCCCAAUCUGCGAUAGAGUUGGCUAAACGACGACAAAACCUAAUUUGGAGUCGAGAGAAACAGGGGUGGAGAGUAGUCGCUUCAGCAAACAUCGACCGAACCUCCCAUGGCGUCGUCUGAGGAUCUGUAAUUGCUUCGACCAUUGUAAGGCAAUCCGAUUCAACAAUCAGCGGAUCACUAGAUUUGCCGAGCCGCAAAAGAUGGUGCAGCGAUGACUUGAGUGCGAAGAGUUCAACCUGCAAAGCUGAGGUAGCAGUAACUCGACAACUAUAUCCUUCCACCAUUUUGUUAGGGAAAUCCCUUAUGAUGUUUUGAAGAUGACAAAAUAAAUCAAAGGCUACUAACAUGUUUAAUGGUUAAGUAAUAGACCAUGCAGAUGAUAGAACAUGUAAAGGAUAUUGUCAAAGUGUGAAGACGACCAGAAGACUGAACGUAACACAUGUCCAAAGUAUAUUCUGAAGAUUUCCAGACCUCUGUGUCAAAGUCUGAAGACUGCCAGACUUUAGUGUCAAAGUCUGUUCUACAUCAGAAGUCUGCUCAUUCUGACAUAUUCCAGACUGAACGUGAAUGAUGAACCAGAAGAUAGACUCUAUGUUGGAGCUGAACUUAUUCAGACGGUGUUCAGACCAUAAAGCUAAAUCUGUUCAGAAGCAGAUAUGUUCAGACCCAGAUUGUAAAGUCUACAGACUCAGAUUGUAAAGUCUAUUGCUUUCAGACUUUACAUCCAGAUUCGAUGAAACAUAACUCAAGCCCAAUCAUAUAACGGCUAGUGAACUGGUUUGGAUUCUACAUCAAGAUUGAUUUGAUUGAUUCAAUCUAAUUGAUUGACGAUUGGAUCUUGAAGACAAGAACUUUCUAUACGAAGAAGCUUUACUUAUGGAAACCAAGAUUCCGUUUGUAUGGGCAAUCGGAAUCAAUUUGGGAUUCUACCUUUGUCACUCAACGGCUACCAAAUCUUCUAGAUACAGAGCUGUCCAAUGGGUAUAUUGGAAGACGAUUCUCCGGGAUAUUGUCCAACGGGUAGUUUGGAAGUGGAGGAGUAUUUAAGGAGAUGAAGGACCGAUGAGCAAGUAAGAGACGGAGCGUAGAAUUUAUAAUUCCAAAGUCUGAGCGACUUUCGAUCAUAUACUUGUCUCUUGAGAGCUUAAACGUUUGUAAUCGUGAGAGAAAUACCAAAAGAGUGACUUAGUGAGAUAGUGUGAUCUACUACUAAGUGUUUGCACUCGAAGUUGUAAUCUCUUGUUGAUUGCAUAUUGGAAUCCAGCCAAGAAGGCUGUUAUCGUGGGAGAGUGGACGUAGGCUUGGAUUAAGCCGAACCACUAUAAAUCUUGUGUUCUUAUUCUCUUCCCUAACUCCUUUAUUUUGUUCAUACUAGUACUCUCACAUUUUACCUAUAUGAUUUCUACAAAUGUAAGCUAUGGAUCCUGUGGUAUCUGCAAUCUGAAAAGCCCCAUCAAUAUUGAUCUUCAGCACCCCUGGAUUAGGGGGUUGCCACAGAGAGCAUGGAUCGGAAAGAUUGAUUCCUGAGGUUGUCGCGAUAGAGGAGGUAUGCCGGUUUAAUCGGGCUAAUCGAAACUGAGCGAAAGCAGCUUCAACCACAAAAGAAGGAUCGGGCUUCUGACCACUAAAGAUAAACCUAUUUUGCGCCUUCCAUAUUUGCCAGAGGAGUGCAGCGACAACAUCCAUACCAAGUAAGAGCUGUUUAUGUUAGAAUUUGUCUACAAUCCAAUCUACAAUGCAUUGUGAAUUUGUUUGUAGCAUAAUGAUAUCAAUCUUAGGGUGAGACCAGACCGAGUUAAUCCACGGGCAUAGUAGAAAAAGAUGCUCGAUCAAUUCAGGGACUUCCUAUGUACAUAAUAUGCAUUUGGGGGGUUAUGAACUGAUAUGUUUGUUAUAAAGAUUGGCUUUGGUAGGCAGAGCAUUCUGACAAAUAGACCAAAAGAAAAGUCUAAUUUUGGGGACAGUUUUAAGAUUUCAAAUACUCUUCCAAAUUGGCUGAGAUGGCUGAAUGGAAGAUGAUACACUAUGAUCUAUUGUGAGAAGGGCUGAGUAUUUGAUUGAAUGAUAUGCACUCUUCACAGAAUACUGACCAAGAGGAGUAGCUAUCCAAAUUAGCUGAUCUUUUGUACAAUUAGAUCUGACUGGAAUGUUAAGAACUUCUUUGGUAACCUCAACAUCAAAUAACUAUUGAAGUAGAGGAACAUUCCACCGAUUGUGAUCCGGCAACAUCAAAUCAGCUACCCUUCGUAGCUCAUUACUAUUUGCAGGUCCACCGAGAGUUCCCCUAGGUAGCCAUCGAUCUUCACGAAUUCAAAUCUUUGUUCCAUCCCCCACCGACCACUGUAGCUUUGGUAAAAUUGAGUCCCUCCCUAUUAGUAAGCUCUGCCAACCCUAGGAAGGGCGGUUACCUUUGGCUGCACAACUAAAAUCUUGUGAGUGGAAAUAAAGACCUUUGAAUAGCUUACUCCAUAGGGAUAAAGGAUACUUGAUUAGUCUCCAGGCCUGUUUACCAAGUAUUGCUUUAUUGAAAGCAAUUAGAUCUCGGAAUCCAAAACCACCCUACUCCUUUAUGUACUUUAGUGACUCCCAAUUUCUCCAAUGAAUACCCUUCUUUGUACCAUCAGAUUGCCACCAAAAUCUCGCUAUCUUUUGCUCAAUAGACCGACAAAGAGACACAGGAAUCUUAAAGAUGGACAUGGUGUAUUGAGGGAUAGCUUGAACGACACUCUUGAUAAGGACCUCUUUUCCACCUUUCGAUACCAAUUUUUCUUUCCAUCCAUCUGAUUUUGAGUUCACUCUUCCCAAAAUCCAUGCAAACAUAUCUCGCUUAGAACAACCCCAAUUUGACGGGAUACCUAGGUAUUUUCCAGUCUUAUGAAGCACAGGAAUUCGAAAUUGGUGUGCUAGAUUGUCCUUAAGUGUAGUAGGACAGAAUUUACUGAAGAAGAUGUUUGUUUUAUUCCCGAUUGACUGCCUAACCAGUAGCUAAGCAAUAUUGGGUUCAAAAUGUUAGCUAGAUUUUGACAUUUCCAUAACUUUUCCCGUCUAAGAAAAGAUUGCAUCAUUUGCGAAAAAUAAAUGAGAUAAGGUAGGACACCAUCUAUUCAAUUGGAUUCCCUUAAGAUGACCCAUAUCAAUGGCUUGAUGUAUUAAAGUUGACAAAAGAUUCGCCAUUAGUAUGAACAGGUAAGGGGAAAGAGGAUCACCUUGUUGAAGGCAGCGCAUAGGAUGGAAGUAGUUAAGUUGAUCUCCAUUAAACUUGAUAGAUAUAGAUAUUGUCGUUAUACAAUGCAUCACCCACUGCACCCAAAUGGGAUGGAAACCUAGUCUGAGAAAAUAGUCUUUCAAGAAGUCCCAUUCCACUCUGUCAUAAGCUUUUUGCAUGUCCAUUUUUAAAAUUGCCUGAAAAUUCUACUUCCUAUUCCGAGUCUUCAGUUGGUGUAGCACUUCCUGAACUAUUAAUAUGUUGUCCUAGAUUUGGCAACCACUCACAAAAGCACUUUGUUCGGUAGAAAUCAAGUCAGGUAGGAGGGAUUUGAGUCUAUUAGCAAGGACUUUGGAUUUAUUUUGUAAGAAUAGUUACACAGGCUUAUGGGCCUAUAUUGGUCCAGGCUUUACGAGUUAGGGACUUUUGGGAUCAAAGAGAUAAUGGUCUUGUUUAGAUCAACGGGCAUAACUCCUGUUUGAAAAAACUUCUAGACGGAAAGAAUAAGCUCUUCCUUUAGGAUAUCCCAAUGAGUUUGGUAGAAGAGACCGUUUAAUCCAUCAGGGCCUAGUGCUUGAGUUUUACCCAACUAAAAAGUAGCUUUUCUAAUCUCUUCUGAUGUGAUCGCAGCAACUAAUUUGACAUUCAUUUCAAGUGUAACAACACUCGAACAUUGAUCCAGGAUGGGGCCAUAGUCUCGGUGUCCUGCUGACCUAUAAAGUUUUGAAUAUAAAGCCAUAGUCAUAUCCUUGAGAGUGUGAUCAUCUCUAACCCAUUCUUGGUUGUGAUCUAGUAACAUACUAAUCUUGUUCCUUUGUCGUCGCUGAAUAGUAGUUGCAUGAAAGAAUUUGGUAUUUUUGUCGCCCCACUUUAGCCAUUUUAUUCUAGAACGCAUUGCCCAAUACUGCUCAUCUUGCUACCAUGCCGCUUGUAGCUCUUGCUUUAAAUUUGCGGCUAAAUCUCUAUCAUAUGGACCGCUUGUCUGAUUAGUUAGAAAUUGUAAUUACUGUUGCAAAUCUGAGAUCUGUGAUUUGGCAUUAGAAAACUUACAUCGACUCCAUUUAUUUAGAGCUAAGCUGACCAGCCGAAGUUUGUGUGGCAGAUUGCGCCCAAUUGUCAUAGCCAAGGCCCAUGAAGUGGCUAUUGUGCUGCUACAAUCCUAGUGCUCUAUCCAAUAGGCCUCAAACAGAAAAGGUUUACAUCUUUUGCUUUGUUUGGCUUCUGUAUUUAAUAGCAGAGGGCUAUUGUCGGAGCCCACAGCAGGUAAUGCAAAAACCUCAGCUUCAGGGAAAGUUAGUCGCCAAUUUAGAUCACAUAGCACCCUAUCUAACCAUUAUUUUACCAAGUCAUCACCCUGACAAUUAUUCAUCCAGGUAAAAGCACAACAUUUACUAUCAAGAUCCAUGAGUGAACAAUCAUGUAAUACUUCUCUAAAUGAAUGUAUUUGAUGUGAGUCUGUUAUUCGUUUACCCACUUUCUCCUAUUGAGAGAUAAUCUCAUUAAAGUCUCCAGCACAAACCCAAGGUAAAGAGUUGAUGGAUGCAAUUUGGCAAAGAGUUUUCUAGAACAGUUGGCGAGAUUGAAACAACACCGGUGCAUGUAAGCAAGUUAACUUCAUCGUUAUACCUUUCCUUGAAUUCGUACAUAUAGUAUCAAAAAAGUGCUGAGUUGAGUCUUCCACUUGUAGGGAAAUAUGAGACUGCCAAAACAUAGCCAGUCCGCCAGCGAGUCCUAUAGGAUUAAUCAAGUGUGAGUUUAGGAAGUUAAGUCUAUGCUGAAGUCUAGUUAGUAUAGCCUUUGUGUUCUUCGUCUCCAUCAAAAAAACCCAGGUUAGGCUUCUCUUUGACCACAAGGACCUUAAGGGCUUGAACUGUGAGGGGGAAGGCCCAGUCCCUAACAAUUCCAACUGAGUAGCUUCAUUUUGCAAUCGGUGGCAUUUUAGGCAAAGCCACCUCAACCCACUUACCGUCAUCUUCAGCCGAAAUAACAUGAGUUUCCAUAAGUAAAUUUUCAUCAAGACCUUCAAAUAAGGGAAUAUGCGAGUCAUGGGGAAUUUGCCUUUUUAGUUUCUUUGCAAUCCUUUCCUUGGUCGAUAAUCGAGUAUACUUUUGUUUCUUUUUUUAUACAUCCUCCAUAAUCUAAUUCUGAUUGCCUUGCUGUUGUAUAGGUGAAGGAGGUAGUGCUGCGUUUAUGGAAGUCACCGGCAAAGUACUUGCUUGAAGGAGUGGCUGAAGCAGAGCAGCCGCAUUAGAUUGAAUUACCGAGCUGUGAUAAUGCUGAUAAUCUGUGUCCCUGUCCUUAAUAGUUAGUGGGACUUCUUUUACUCAUUUCAUCUUUUGUGCAGUAGGUAUAAUAGCGCUAGUUGAGGGAAUCGCAGACUUUUGGCCUUCAGGACAAAGGCACAGGUUAUGCUGUUGAUGCACUGAUGAGUGAGAGUAUAACAUGUCGGUCUUGAUUGAUGUUCCACUAUUGUAACUUCUAUGGGAGGUAACGCCGGUAGUUUUGUGUUCACUGAAGGAGGAGUUUCAGGUAUCACUUCUUUAGUGUCUUCAGAAUUAGCAUUCAUCCCAUAAAAGAUAAGCCAAUAGGGACUAUGUUCCUUGACCUCUGCUCUUAACCAUUGUCCAAAUGACAUUUUCUCUUUGCCUGUCAAUUUCGAUUCAUUGAAUGGGAUUUCUUGAUAAUAAGUAGCAUAGUGUCCUAGUCAACCACAGGAGUAGCAAAAAUGAGAAAGUCGCUUAUAACAAAAAUCAAGCUAGAUAGCCUUACCAGCUAUUCGAAUUAACUAUCCUAUUUUCAAUGGUUGACCUAGAUAAGGUUCUAUCCGAACAUAGCCAGCUCUGAUAGUAGUUCCCUCCUUUUUAUCAAUUUUCACCUCCAAUACUUUGUUUACACUCUUUACCGCUUUACAAAGCAUUUGGUCUGAACACCACUCAAGGGGUAGUCCAAAAACUUGUACUCAGAAUGCACAAGUAGUAAAAUCAUAGCAAUGUAAAUGUGUAUUUGGUCUCCAAGCCUUAAGUAUUACCAAAUGACCAGCAAAGUUCCAUGGACCACCCUCUAAUACUCUCUGUUUAUCAAUUUCUAAUUUGAAAGUUGCUACAUAAAGCCCAGCUUCACGUUGGGUAAUUUCAACUUGUUCUAUCCGCCAAACUCGCCUCAGAGUAUUUUGAAGAGCUUGAAGAUUGAUAGAAAGAUUUGAAAGAAUUGUACCUACAAACACAUUUCGGCACUCUUGUAGCUGUUCCAUCGGAGGUGAUUCGUCCCAGACCUCAAUAUCGUAGUCAGACCACAAACGACCCAUUCUGUGACUGAGGGCAGCCAGUCACGAUUCCUCUUCCUGAUGAUGGGAAUCCAUAAGUAAAUCCCCAAGGUAACGGCUGAAUUAGGUCAGAAAGGAUUCGGACAUGCUGGGGCGAUGGCGAAAAAACUGUAUAAGGAGAGGAAAAUGGGGAAGAUUUAGGGAGGAGAACAGAAGAUGGUGGAUAAUUCAAGGAAAAUUGGCAUCGUUGGUGUAAUUGAGUCUAAAAUUGAGAAUCAGACUGAACGAGGGUUGGAACCAGAAAUGCGAAGGAGAUGAAGAAAAGGACUGAAAGAGCAGUCAAUUGCUGGGUCAGAGCCAUCGGUAGCUGGGUUCAAUCCAUCUACAGCAGGGGGAUUACCAGUGGGGUUUGAGAUGAGAACUACCAUUAAUGGUAGAUAUGAACUCUGCAUGUCGAGAGAGAGCUUUAGAGAACUUGGGAUCGUCUAUAUUAAAUGGGUGUCUUUGAUGGUGUAGGAAAUGUUUUUCGCUGGAUCAAAGACUACAAGCAGCACCAUCGAGUGGGCGAUGGCGGAGCUACUCCGCCAACCCGAGUCCAUGAAAAAGGCCAAAGAUGAGAUUGCCAGGUUGUGGGGUUGACCAGAAAGCUCAAAGAAAAUAACACGGAAAAAAAACCCUUUUUGCAAGCUUUGGUGAAAUAAACCCGGAUGCUUUAAGGGAAACCAGAUUCAUGGGAUUUGAUAUACCCAAAGAUACACAGGUUUUGGUGAAUGCGUGGGGAAUUGGAAGAGACCCGGAUGCCAAGGAGGACGCAUUGGCGUUCAAACCAGAGAGGUUCCUAGGAUCUAACACUGACUUCAAGGGUCAAAACAUCGAGCUAAUUCCAUUUCGAUCAGGCAGAAGAAUGUGCGUCGGACUUUCAUUGGCGCAUAGGGUGCUUCAUCUGGGUCUUGCAACGUUGCUUUACCAUUUCAAUUAGGAACUGGGUGGUGGUUUGACUCCGAAGACCCUAGACAUGAGAGAGUGGGUCGGAAUAACACUAAGGAAGCUCCAUCCUUUGAAAGUGGUACCUAAGAAAUGUAGAGUGUGAUGUCUUUGGUAUAUUAUCCAUAGUAACUAGUUAUUGACUGGUAGUAAAAGAAAUGACAAGACAUGAUGCCAUGUACCAAAAACCAGCACAAGAAGUGAGAUUUUCAUGAAUAUAAUUUCAACAUAUAAUUACCCUAAGUAUAUAAGCACUGAUGUCUUCGGGAAACUACUGUUGGAGAAAACUUCCUUGAGUGUUUUGAAGUUGAGAAAACGUUUCCAUCAGUCUAGUCUGAAGAGUUGCAGACUCUUCCAUCAAAGUCUAAAGACCUCUGGACUACCAGACUCAAGACCCAAAGUCUAUCCUCAUUGACAGUUUCUAGAUUGUCGAAGAAGGCUUAUCCAGAACUGAGUAUUUCGUUGAAGAUUUGAUUCUAUCGACUGAAGAAGAUCUCUUGGUUGGAUACAGGAUGUCGGAAUCCAUUAUUCAAAUUGAGAUUGAUUCAGAGAUUUUGGAUCCGUUGAUUAGCAAAGUAUACUUAGAAGGUUCUACUUAUGGAAACCUAGAUCCUGAUUGUAUAGGCGAGUAGGAUUGGUGGGCUAUCGUCCUUAAAUAACUCGAAAUCUCCCUAAUUGAUUAUGUCCAACGGGUAGAUUGGAAGAACUCCUUUGGUAAGUGCCAAUGGGUGUGAUGGCAUGAAGGAGUAUAUAAGGAAGACGUUCCAGUUGUUCAAGUGUGUGCGCAAUAGAAGAAUUCCAAAGUCUAAAGCUCCUUGUUCUUAGUCAAUUCAAUUGUUGAGCAAAAUCUUGUACUCAAAACAGAGUUUAUAUCUUUGUGAGACCUUGAGAAAGUGUAGUAGAGCCUCUACACUGUGGAAUCAAGGAAGAGCUUUACUAUAACAACUCUUUUAAUUCAUAGUGAAAUCCAACUAGUGGGCUAUCAGUGCAGAAGAGUGGACGUAGGCUUGGAUUAAGCCAAACCACUAUAACCAUGUGUUCUUAUUCUCUUCCCUACGCUAUUUUACUUUGAUCGUAACUCAAUUUGUUUACAAGAGUCUAAUUUCCUUUUCAUAAUUUAUUAUUGAUUAGAGUUACACACUUCUCUCGGGGAAAUUUGUUUUUACACAUAUUCACCCCCCUCUAGGUGCUCGUACUAGCUUUCACAAUUUGUAUCAGAGCUUGUGUACUCACUUAAGUUGAAGUGUUUUACUUCAAAGUUAAAGAUCUAUGGCUAGUAUGUUGACUUAAGGUCUGGUUGAAGGGCAAAGCAAUGUCAAACCACCUUGUUUUGAUGGAAAGGAAUACAACAUAUGGAAAAACAAGAUGAAAGCAUUCCUAAGAUCAAAGGAUCCUCUGGAAUAGGAUGUGGUAGACAAAGGAAUCAUUCCUAAAACUGCACCAGUCUCAAAAAAAGGAAAAGAAGCUGUUGAGUCUAGUGAAAUUACUCAAGAAGAGAUAACCAAGAGACAAGCUCUUAAUGCAAAAGCAAUUUAUUCUUUAUAUUGUGCAUUAUCUCCUACUGAAUAUAACAAAAUAUCUUCUUAUGAAACAGCUAAAGAAGUCUGGGAUAGAUUACAUAUCACCUAUGAAGGAACUAAUCGAGUAAAAAAAACCAUAAUCAACAUUCUGCUCGGUCAAUAUGAAGCAUUCAAGAUGAAACCAAGAGAAUCUAUCAAUGACAUGUUUAGUCAUUUUACAGAAAUCGUGAAUGGUCUUGAAUAUCAAGGUCAACCAAUUUCUGGACCCAUGAAGGUAAACAAGCUACUGUGUGGACUGUCCAAGGAUUAGAAUCACAUAAGACCUCAAUAAGGGAUACACAAAGAAUCAUGCCACUCUCUAUUGACGAAUUGGUUGGGACUCUUCAGUCUUAUGAAGUGGAGCAAAUCAAUGAAGAUGAAGAUCCUAAAGGUAAGAAAUCUAUUGCAUUAAAAUCUAAUAAUGAUUCUAAUGUCACAGAUUCUGAAGACGGUAUGGAUGAUGAAGAGCUUGCUCUCAUAAUAAGAAGAUUCAAAAAACUAAAUAGAAAUGGGAGAAAAUUCAAUCCAAAUAAACAAUUUUUUCAAAAGCAACAGAUUAAGUCAGUUGAGGAUGAUGAAUCCAAUAAAGACGUAGUCUGCUUUGAAUGCAAGAAAAAGGGACACAUCAGACCCAACUGUCACAUUCUAAAGAAAAAGAAAGGAAAAGUUGAGAAAUAUCGAAAGGCAUUAAAGCAGAAACUUGGAGUGAUACAAAAUGUGAGGAAAGUGAUGAUGAUUAUGCCAAUAUUUGUCUCAUGGCACAAUUAGACUCAAAUUCAGAUUCAGACUCAGACUCAGAAAGUGAAAUCGAGGUAAGUAAUUUAAAAAUCCCUACUAAAGUUUCUAGAUACAUUGAUGAAUUGUGUCUUAGUCUCAAAACCUCUCUCAAAAGGAUUUCUGAACUUAAAAAGAAAAAUUCUGCACUUAAACAAUAGGAAAAUGUUCGGAAAUAAAAGGUCAAAAGUUUAGACAAAAGUGUUACUACUUUGAAAGAAAAUGCAAACAACAUUUCAAAAGAAAAUGCAUUCUUGAAAAAUGAUAUCUCAAGUAUUUCUAAAAGAUUUUCUACAAGAUCUGAGAAAUUUGAAAAAAUUCUUUCAAUACAAAGACCUUACUUCAACAAAUCAGGUUUAGGAAUGAUUGUUGAAACCAUUCCUCUAAUUGAUUUUCCUAAAGUAAAUGAAAGAAUUAAGCAAAGACCUACAAGAGAUUCUUACACAAAUCAUUUCCAAAAAGUUUUUGUAAAACCUGUAGGUCGCAGUGCUCUUAAAUGAUCUAAGUGCAAUAGCUCAUAUCAUUUUGAGAAAUAAUGUCUUAUGGUUUAGAAGCCUAUUAAGAAGGUAUGGACAAAGACUGUAUAUUACACUAAUACUGAUGGACCCAAGAAAAUAUGGGUACCAAAGAAAGCUUGAGUCUCUUUUUUAAAUGCAGGUCACUAUCAAGAAAAAUGUUAAAUGGUACUUGGAUAGUGGAUGCUCAAGACAUAUGACAGGAGAUUCAAAUUGCUUCAUAAAACUUAUACAAGUUAAUGGUGGAAAAGUUUCUUUUGGAGGAAAUAGCAAAUGAAGAAUUGUGGGAUAUGAAACUUUAAAGAUUGGAAGCUCACGAUCAGUAAUGUUUCCUUAGUAGAAUGACUCAACUACAACUUGCUGAGUAUCAGUUAGCUAUGCGACACUAGUUUCAAAAUCAACUUUCAAGAAGGAAUAUGUUCAGGAACUAGUAAAGACUCCUCUCAGUCUUUCAUGAGGCGAAGACAUGGGAUAUCUAUCUUUUGGAUAUCAAACCAGAUGAAACCCAAUGUCUAAUCUCAAUUCAAGAGGAAGCAAAUUUAUGGCACAAAAAACUUGGGCACAUCAACAUGAAGCAAAUAGCCAAAAUCUCAGUAAAUAAGCUUGUUCAUGGACUACCCAAACUAACAUACCAAAAGUCUGAUCUAUGCACACCAUGUGUGUUGGGAAAACAUGUAAGAAACUCAUUCAAACCAAAAAAAUCAAGUAUCCACUAAUUGUGUACUGUAGCUCUUGCAUAUGGAUCUCUUUGGACCAACCAGAACUAAGAGCAUUGGAGGUAAGAAAUACUACCUAGUAAUUGUGGAUGACUAUUUAUGAUUCACUUGGGUAUAUUUCCUGGCAAGUAAGUCUAAAACAUUUUCUUAUUUUAUAAAGUUUGCUAAAAAUGUCCAAAAUGAGAAAUUAUAUGUUAUUUCAAGUAUACAGACAGACCAUGGAGGUGAAUUUGAAAAUCAAGACUUUGCAAAAUUCUGCGAUGAAUCUGGUUUUCAGCAUGUGUUCUCUUCACCAUAUACUCCAGAGCAAAAUGGAGUCGUGGAAAGAAAGAAUAGAUUGCUGUAGAAAAUGGCUAGAACUCUUUUAAUUAAAAGCAACAUCUCUUCUCGUUUUUGGGCUGAAGUAGUUUCUACAAUGUGCUAUAUUAUUAAUAGUCUUUUUAAGGCAUAUUCUGAGAAAACUCCCUAUGAGUUAUUCAAAGGAAAUAAGCCAAUUGUUUUGUAUUUUCAUGUGUUUGGAUGUAAACGUUUUAUAUUGAAAAAUGCAAAUGAUCGAGUUGGUAAGUUUGAAGAAAAAUCAGAUGAAUGUAUCUUCCUUGGAUAUUCUAUUACAAGCAAAGCUUAUAGAGUAUACAACAAAAAGACUCGAUUUGUGGAGGAAUCGAUGAAUGUCAAAUUUCAAGACUUUAUGAAAAAUCAAUUGAUUCAAACUCAAUUUGAAGAAUCUGAACCUGCUCCAGACUCUACAAAGUCUAAAUCUCCAGAAGUAGCUCAGACUUCAUAAGACUAGCAACAAAUGAUCGUCGAAGAUUCAAAUGAGAAAAAUGAUCAACAAUCUGACAAAUCAACCAACAAAUGGAAGCAUAAGUCCAGUCAUCACAAAAAUCUCAUUAUUGGUGAUAUUAAUGAAGGAAUUCGCACAAAAUCCAAAAGGCGUGAAGAGUCUAGUGCUGUGGCUCUUAUUUCUGAAAUAGAACCCAAAAGUAUAGAAUAAGCUUUAACUAAUGAAAGCUGGAUUGAAGCUAUGCAAGAAGAACUCAAGCAAUUCACUAUCAAUGAUGUAUGGGAAUUGACUUCUAAACCGAAAGGUAAAUCUAUCAUUGAAGCUAAAUGAGUUUUCUGGAACAAGAUGAACGAGAAAGGAAAAGUCAUAAGAAACAAAGCAAGACUCAUGGCCAAUGGAUAUACGCAAAAAGAAGGGAUAGACUAUGAUGAGACUUACGUGCCAAUAGCAAGGUUAGAAGCAAUUAGAUUAUUACUUGUUUUUGCUUGUCAUAAGAAUUUCAAGUUAUUCCAAAUGGAUGUCAAAAGUGCUUUCCUAAAUGGAUUUAUCCAAGAGGAAGUCUAUGUGGAACAACCACCCGCUUUUGAAAACCCAAGGAAACCAUACUCUGUAUUCAGACUGAAAAAGGCUUUAUAUGGUUUAAAGCAAACACCUCGAGCUUGGUACAACAAACUAAGUAAGUUUUUAAUUCAAAAUAGUUUUGUCAAAGGUAAAGUAGAUACUACAUUGUUUAUCAAAAUAGAAAGUAAAAGUUUUUUUCUUGUUCAAAUUUAUGUUGAUAUUAUUUUUGGAUCUUCUAAUGAAAAUCUGUGCAAGAAAUUCUCUAAGUCUAUGCAGGAUGAAUUUGAAAUGAGUAUCAUGGGUGAACUAACCUUCUUUCUUGGGCUUCAAGUGAAACAACUAAAGGAGGGAACCUUUAUUCAUCAAGAAAAAUAUGCUAAAGGACUGGAGAAUUGCAAAAAGACUGAUAUACCAAUAUCAAGUUCUUUGAAGCUAGACAAAGAUGAAGGAGGAAAGAAAGUUUACUAGAAGCUAUAUAGGAGUAUUAUUGGUUCACUUCUUUAUCUUACUACUUCUAGACCUGACGUUUUGUUUAGUGUUUGUAUUUGUGCCAGAUUUCAAUCAGAUCCUAAAGAAUCUCAUUUAAGUGUUGCAAAGCGUAUAAUCAAAUACAUUGCCUCAACUUCAAAUUUAGGUCUCUUAUAUCCUAAAGAAUGAGACUUCACUCUUCUUGGAUACUCAGACGCAGAUCUAGCAGGAUGCAGAGUUGAUAGAAAGAGCAUCUCGGGCACCUAUCAACUACUUAGAAACAAGAUAGUGUCUUGGUUUUCAAGGAAGCAAAGUAUCGUAACUCUUUCUACGGUAGAAGCAGAAUAUGUAACUCUAAGAAGUUGUUGUCCACAAAUUAUGUGGAUAAAACAACAGCUAAGAGACUUUGAAAUUGAAGAUUCAUGCACAAAGGUCAAAUGCGACAACACCAGCACAAUCAAUCUUACCAAGAAUCCGAUUCUUCACUCAAGAGCAAAACAUAUAGAGAUUUGACAUCAUUUCAUUAGAGAUCAUGUUCAAAAUGGAGAAGUUUCGAUUCAGUUUAUUGAUUCAAAGAAUCGACUAUCGGAUAUAUUUACAAAGCCUUUGGAGAAAAAUCAAUUUGAAGUUAUUCGUUCCAGACUCAAUAUCUUAAAGUCUGAGGAAGUUCAGACUCAAGACUGAAAGUCUAAACACACUCAGACUCAAACAAUCAAGAUUUAUGACUGUAAGUUACUUCUAUUUUAUAAACUUAUCUCUCAGAUCAAAUCUCGAAAAUGUACGAUCAUCUAUCCGUAAUUGAUUGAUGUUAUUUCCCAGUCUUCGUGAUUAUUGCAAUCUUUCCUUUUUGGAAAAAAAAAGAAGUUAUUUUUUAAAUGACAGUUAUCUAAUUUUUGAAAAGGCGGUUAUUUUUUUUAAAUGCAUUUUUAUAUUUCCUUUUACGACGUUCCGUAUACCACGCUUCGACUGCCUUAUAUACUGUUGGUUCUUCUUCGUUUUACUCACAAAAGCCCUAAGAGAGCACAAAUCUUCCACUUAUGUCUUCUUAUCUUGUUUAAUGCUCAAAAAGUUUUCAUCUUUCUUAUGAAACAAGCUUGGAAUCUCUCAAAGACUGUGAAAAUGUCAUCUCAAAGAAAGUCUUCGAGGAUCACAAAUAGGGGACCACAGCAAAUGCGUGAGGGACCUACACAUUUUGAUCUCACUGAGGAAGAAGAAUCUCCUAGAGAGCGGCAGAGCCCACAAUAUUCUUAGCAGCGUCCAUCUCCUCCAUCUAGACCUCAGAAUAUUGAACAUCGAGAAGAAGAAGAAAUCAUCGAAGAUGCAGAACCGGUAAGAACUCAAAAGCUCUCUUUUACUUUUAAGCUUUACCAUGCUUUGAAGAGGAGUGGUACUCCUUUGAACUAUAUUGAUGAAUUUUUGAAAGACAAAGGGUAUCGAAAUGAAACCUAUCUUUUACGCACAAUGGAACGAUUGGGAAUUGCCCCUGCGAGGCCAGCAGAAGAAACAUUUGCAAAUAUCCCAAGCGAUCCACGUGUUAGAGGAUUGAGUCAACCUGAUGGGAAUGAUGGUGAAAGGAUGUACACUCAAUUUAAACCUAGAAUGGGUGUUGCGGCGAAAAUCCAAAGCAAAAUGACAGAUUUGUUUCGUUCGAAAGAACACAAGCAACUGUACUCUAAGUUGCUAAAGCGUGGUGUGAUUAACCCUAGAAGUAUGGACUUUGAUUUUCUUGAUUCUCUAAAUGUCAAGCUGAGAGAGAAAUUCAAUCUUCUUCAACUAGAACGGUUUUGUACUAAAUUUGACAGAGGCUCAUGCUGAACUCACUGCUUANNNNNNNNNNNNNNNNNNNNNNNNNNNNNNNNNNNNNNNNNNNNNNNNNNNNNNNNNNNNNNNNNNNNNNNNNNNNNNNNNNNNNNNNNNNNNNNNNNNNUAUUGCAUCAUAGGAAUGUGACACGAUGUGCAUGCUAGAGUUUCCAAAAUGUGUUGUUUUUGAACCUAGUCUAUGGGAUCUCUAAUCACUAGGUUAGGUUUCCUCCUCAUAAUAAAAACUUUUAACCCCAUUCCUUUUGAUGUGCAGUUUACUUACCCUCCCGACAAAUCUUUUGUCAAUGGAUCCACAAUGUUUUCCAUUGACUUCAUAAAGUCCAAAGAAAUUAUUAUGUUCAAGUGCAAUUGUCUCACAAUAUUAUAUCUAUGAUGACUGUGUCUAGACUUACCAUUCUAUAUCACAUUUUGUGCCCUUGUAAUCACUUCUUAAUUGUCAUAGUGAAUGCAUAUCAGAGGCACGGGUUUUGGCCACAAUAGAACAUAUUCUUAAAAUUGCCAAAGCCACUCUACUUCUUCUGUCACAACCCGAACCCCAUCUCCAGGGUUGCAAGCGACAAGGGUUAUUUUUCCAAGCCCACGAAUACCAAUAAUCGGAAGGAUGGGAACGUGCUCUUUCAUGUUCGCAUCUAGUAAGAAUUCCAUAAUUGUCUUCUUAUCAUCAUCUCUCCCUAUAAUAUCUCCCUCUCAUGUAUAAAGGGAUGCGUCUCUUCUCUCUUCCUCCACUCUCUAUUGGGGCGCUCAUCCAAGUGGAAUCCCCUAUUAGCCUUAAUGGCUUCUAUUCUCUUCACAAUGCUCUUACUUUUUUACUCCACUUCAGUUUAAAAGCAAGUUGGUUUGAACUUUGAGAAAAAUAUCUUUACCUUCUUGAUCAUUUCAUUAUAGCCCCUUAAUUUACGUCACAUGACUUCUAUGUUGAAUUCUUCAAGCACAUCGCAUCAUAAAAAGCGUCUUUCAGUUUCUCGAGCCAAACUUGGAUUUGGCGAAUCUGGUGGUAUUGCUCUUCUGCAUCGUCCAGAAUAGCGUGAAUUGUGGAGAUUGUGUCUUUGAGCUUCGCAAGUUCGUGCUUGACGCCCCAAUAACUCUACCACUUUUUCUAUUGCUUGAGGAACCAGCUUUGCAAUGAUAUCUCCAGCAAUGUUCCCAAUGACAGCUUCCGUCAUUUUGUUCUCUCUAUCUCUCUGUGUCAAUCUCUCUGGCUCUAUCAGUGGAGCAGAAGAUAUUAUUACAGUCGUUUAUAAGGCUAGAGACUUCCAAGACAUGUACAACAAGUUCAUGUUAAAGAUGGGAAUUCUCCUCAGCCACGCGUAAUAGAAAGAUGACGCUGUCAAUAAUACAUAUGGGACCCACCUAGGUUGGGUCCAAGGUUUUGGCCUGUCUAAAGACUUUGUAUCCAACCACUGGGAUUCGCCCCAGUGGCCACCCUUCCAACAUGAAAGGGUGAGGUGAGGGGUUCAAAUCCCCACCUUCUUAAGGGGGAUGGGGUGGGGACGAGUAAGUUUCAGAAGUGGGUUUCGACUCCCACGCCCUGCAAGAGGCAGGGCAAAAGUCUGACAGUGAAUGUAGAGUAGGCAUAGAGUAGGACUGACAAAAAAAAAAAGACUUUGCGUCCAUCUAGUAUUUAGUAGUCUAGCAUGCUUGCGUGGGCAAUGACAAUGCUGGCAUUGAAGAGACAGAGAUAUUUAUUGAUUAGUUUGUUUUUAUCUAACAGUUUCCGUGGCCCAGAAGCAAAUGGAAAAGAGAGGAAUAUUUAAAUGUCAAUAAUGAGAAAUUCUUAUCAGAAUAUUGACAUAGCAUUUUUCGACAAUAUUUUUUAUUGAAAUGGCAAUUAUUUCAAAAAAAAAUAUUCAUGUAAAGUUGACGUGACUAUUCUAUUCUAAAACGACGUCAUUUUACCUCAAAAUUUGAUUUUUAAUAUAAAUAUUAAUUAAGUUAAAUUUUAAAAAAAUUGUUAUGGCAAUGCAAUGAGGGCUCGCUACUACUGCCACCCCCACCAUCACUAGAAAGGUCCGAUGACAAUGGAGCAAAGGUCGGUCGAGGUUCUCAAGCCUCAACCAAUGGCCGAUGACACUGGCCAACUAGUGGCAAGAGUCGCCGACCAUCGGCCAAAGGUGCCAAGGACCGUCACUAACUGUGGCAUGGCUAGAUGACCCUUCCCCAGCCAGCAGCGACCUUGGCUAAAAUGGGUGAGGGCCGACAACUCUCAUUGGAUUUGGGGGAGGGUUGCGAGCCAUUGCCAACAUUAGGCUAGGGCCAGGGCUCGGCACCAGUCAAUCCUCACCCCACAAUCAUCGACCCUUUCGAUGGUGGCAGAGGCAGCGGCGACAACAGCUGCAACAACAGUGGCGAGGCACUUACUACUUUGCUAAAACCUUUUUUUUAAUAAAUUUAGUUUUUUAAUUUAACUUGUUUAAUUUUUAUAUUAAAAAUCAAUUUUGGGGCAAAACCACGUCAUUUUGCACUUUUAUUGCUGAGUAGGGAACUCCGAUGAGCCACUUAGACCACAUUUAUUCUUAAAAAUAAAAUAAAAUGUAACAUCGGAUUUCUAGCUAUCAUCAUCCAAGUUGGCACUUAAUUGUCCCAAUUUCAAAAAAAAAAAGUGAUACUUAAGUAUUUUUUUGGAAGUUUUGACAUUUAAGUGUCUAUCUGUGCCAGGUUUCAAUACUUACAGUAUACUUUUGUCCAUUUUCCAAGGUAUUGUCAUCCUCUAUUCACCAUCCUAAAAAGUCGUAACCAAAUUGUAAAUGCAAUAUCAAUCAAUCCUCCAAAGUUUUUUUUGUCGUUACUCAAGAAUUAAACCUAUUUAAUAGGUAUAGUUAUUGGUGCAUAAUUUCCUAAUUAAAUUAAAUUUCCCUGCAUGUCUCUUUUUCUAAGAAGAAUGUGGCCUUAUUCAUCUUGCUAUGUUUCUUUAAGCUUAUUCGGAAGCAGUUUCAAAAAUUAUUCCACCACUCAGAUCAAUUUGAUAGCGACUCUCCCAAAUUUUUAAAUAUCGCAUUAAUUUUCAUCUUUUGGUUUUAAUACACGUGGAGAGCGAUUUUGAGGGGAUUAAUUACUUUCUAAUUUUUUAUUAAUUCAUGGCUCACUGGAUAUUGUUAUAACUAUUAUUUAAUGAAAGGUUUUGCGUAGUCAAUACAUUUAUUUAAAAUUAUUGUUUUUGGUUAAAGGCUCCGUCCUUUAUAUUUUCCAAAGGAUAGCUAGUCAUUUUCUAAAUCUUGGGAUGCAUUUGCGAUAUGACAAAGCUGAUAUUAGAACUUAAGUUAUGAACUUAGGGAAUAUUAGUUAGCUUUUAUGGGGAUCUAUGAGGUGUGAGCUGCAAUUUAUCAGUUACUCAUAUAUAUGUAUGUAUAUUUACACAUAUGCAGCCCAUGUUGGGAUGGAGAUUCUUUUCGUGAAAAUAGAAAUUUCUAUAUGCUUAGAUAACAUGGUUGAUUUAUUAAAAUUCAGAUGAGAUCUCUAUAUCUCUCAAUUCAUAUUCAAAACACUUCUUCUUAUUAUCACAUAACAUUCUCACUAUCAUUUUACUAGAAAAUUGCAGCUUGAUUAGCUAACUUUGCUCUCCUUACUAAUCUCUCAAAUUUAUUUGCUUCCUAUGAGUAAUGCUUCUACGUUAUUGCUUUAUUUAUUUAUUUUUAUUCUCUAAUUAAAUAAAAAAAAUUCAUUAAGAUCUCUUCCUAUAUUGGGCAAUACCAAAAGCUGCGCAUUUAUGCCAUGUAAAAUCCUAUAAUUAGACAUUUCAUCAUUUUCAUGCAUGUCACUCACCUUUCUAGCACACACACUUUGUGCAUAAUCUCUUACUAGUUCAACUUCCGGUGGCAAUUAUCGAUUAGUGAUGCCUGAAUUUUUUGUCGACUGGUAAAGUAUGCAUUUUUGCAAAAAUAAAAAAUGAAUAAAACAAAAAAAGAGAAAAACAAAUAAAUAAAUGGAUGAGAGAGAGUCCAAUUGGGAUAUUAUAGCUUGCAAGGAACCAAAGCCGGCCCAUCAUAUCAGCCCAUCCGGCCAUUUGAUUUCGACCCGGUCCAUCAGCGUUACCUCACAAGUCAAGCUGACCAACUCACCUUCCUAGCAAUAGACCCGUUAAACGGGUGGGUUGGGUCGAGUUUGGGUCGGAUCAUAAAUGGUCCAACUCAAAUCGACCCAUUUAAUCCAUCUAUGACCCAUUUAUUACAAUGCAAAAUUUUUUACCAUACCCAACCCUUACCCGACCCAUUUAACUAAAAUGGUAUUGCUAAAAUAUUUUUAUAAAACACAAAUUAAUGGAAAAAUUUUAUAAUUUUUAAAAUAAUUAUUUCAAAAAAAUAGAAUUUUAAUUAUUUUUAUUUUUAUUUAUAAAAUAUAUUUUUCUUUUUUCUUUUUUCUUUUCUUAUUCUUCUUCUUCUUUGGCCAGCUGCCGGCCACGACGACGGCCGACCACAGGCGCCUGGCUUGUUAACGCCGGCAAGCUCGAGGCUCGCCGACACUGACGAGGCCUCCGCCUUGCCAGAUUCGACAAGCUAGAGGCUCACCAGGGUCAGGCAAGCUUGAGCUCGCCCCACACCAGAUUUGGCUAGGCUCGAGCAUCACCGGACGUCAGCGAGGCUCAAGCCUCACCGAACGUAGGCAAGGCCUCCGCCUCACCAGCCCCUCACCAAAUUUGGCGAGGCUCGAGCCUUGCCAGACACCAGUGAGUUCGAGUCUCGCAAGAUCGACGAGGCUCAAGCCUAGUCGGGUGUUGGCGAGGCCUCCGCCUCGCCCGACACCGACGAGCUAGAGGCUCACCUGGCCGGUCGUUAACCAUUGCCGUGCCGGCGACCGGAGGAAGAAGAAAGAAAAAAAAAGAAAAUUAAAUAAAAAAAAUAAUUAUAAUUUUGGUUUUUAUAAAAAAAAAUAAUAAUUUUGUAAAGUUAAAGAGAGAAUAGAGAGAUUGUGAGGUUUUGGGUGAAAAUGGAUUCUAAAUCCAACCCAUUUAAGACCCACUUAAAACCCACCUAUCAAAGUCUUUAAUUAUUGAACCCAUUUAACUACUUUUUUCUCAAAAAACAAGUGACCCAUUAUGACCCAUUUAUGAUUUAAAUUGGUCAUAUAUGGGUCUAAGACCAAUUUUGCCACCUCUACCUGGCAGCCCAUUUCACACUCAGCUUCAAGUAGGCUCAUAUCCAUGUCCGAUUCGCUUGAGGAAAAUCUGACCAGUAGAGCUGGCUUCGUAAGCCCAUCGGAGAGAAAGGCCUUUGACUUCAAAAUAUCUCUCUCUCAUUUUAACUAAACUAGAUCAUCUGUGGAUUCUAAAAUAUAUCUAAUAAAAAUAAAAGACAAGCAUUACGCGAUCCUUGAAGAACAAUGCAAAAGUUGAUAAAAGGGAUAAUUAGAAUUUACUAAAAUGAUACAUAUUCUAUUAACAUUUAUGGAGCCAGUGAGAGAAGCAUGAGUAAAAUGACCCAGCUACUUUUACCAGGGCUUUUUGGGAUAGAAAUACCAAGGCUCGUGAUCAUGCCUUGAUCCCUAACAGCUGGGCUCGAAUUCCUUGGUGGGGCCCUUGAUGUCGAGUCUGGUGUUCAUGAUUUCAGAAAUGCUUCGAAAGGUGCUUGACCCUCAUGGGCUUGGCAAAGCAUACUAAUAGGAAAGGAUUCAAUUGAGGAACACAUGCAAUGAUCUGCGGGGGAUGGAACUCUUAUUAACAUUCGACGGGAUAGAUGGUUGGCUUUUGGAAUCAUAGGGGGACCAGCUCCUAGAGGAGAACCAGAAAAGCUUGCAGAUUUAAUGGUCCCAAACAGCAAUGAGUGGAAUAUUUCCCUUCUAAGACAGAAUUUUGAUUGUCAUAUAGUAGCAGAGAUUAUGCCUAUCCCAAUUCGGCCACAACAUACAAAGGAUAGACUUAUCUGGAGAGGCAAACUAAAUGGAUCUUUCACAGUAAAGAGCUGUUAUAAUAUCCUAAGGAAGCAACAAGUCAAUCACAACCCAAAUCAAGCGUCCUCCUCUUUUCAUAUACCUCGCAGACUGUGGAAUGCAUUAUGGAACAUGAACUCAUCACCAAAAAUACGUUCUUUCCUAUGGUCAGUAUGUCAUAAUGCUUUGCCUACUCAAGAAAACCUUCAUCAUCGACACAUUAUACAAGAUCCCAUAUGCAGUUUAUGCGAAGAUCAGGCUAUUGAAUCACCAGAACAUUUGUUCUUAUUCUGCCCUUGGACACAACAAAUAUGGGAACAUCCAGAAAUUAACAUCCAGCAGCAUAUCAGAGGAGUAAAUCGAAUAGAAGCAUGGCUGAUCAGCUUAACAGAACACAAAGGUGACCUUCCUGACUUGGAAAUGAUCGCAUCCAUCCUCUGGCACAUUUGGAAGGCCCACAAUAACUGCAUAUUUCGCUAGUAGCAACCCCAACCGCACCACAUAGUGCAGACAGCCUUAGACAGUGCCAUCGCAAAUCAGAAUCCAUCUCAACAGAAACAGAGAGAAGGAACGCAUCAAACAAAUCAACAUUCGUUUUGGCGUCCGCCAGAUCAAGGAGAAAUGAAACUCAAUAUUGAUGCAGUUUACUAGCCUCAUAGCGGAGAAGCAUUGAUCACCUGUGUUUGCCGAAGCUCAUUAGGCCUUAUCGGUGGCCGUUUCCUCGGCCCUGCAAGCAGAGGCAACGGCAUUAAACCACACGCUCCACUUCUUGUUGAACACGGGCAAAAACUCAGAUCGGAUGACCUUGGAAACUAAUUGCUCAGUUCUUGUUGAGGCAAUGUGUAACCAUGAACUACCGCCUCGGGAGAUCAGAUCUUUGCUCGAAGACUGCAUGGUGCUGCUUCAAUGUUGCCCUAAUCUUCGGAUCGUCCAUUGCAGGAGGGAAAUGAACAAGGUUGCUGACCGGGCCGCAAAGGCCCAUCAGGCCGGUUCGCUACCUGCGGAUUGGGUCUUUAAUCCUCCUUUGUUUUUGCGUGAAAUGUUGUCCUUCGAUAUUAUGCAAAAUGCUCCUUCUACUUUUCGGUAGUAAUAAUAUUAUUACCUUUCUGACCCAAAAAAAAAAAAAAGAGGACUUUGUGCUUAAAUAUUUUCUUUUAUUUUGAAAUUCAUGAUUUUGCUAUGGCAAACAUUGAAAAAUCACUUCCAUGUAGAGUAGAAGUCUUGUUGCAUCGCAACUCAAUUAGGACGUGAAAGCAUUAGUUGGCAUCGGUACACAGCACGAUUUUCUCAAGUGUAUCAUGAGAGCGUAAAAUGAAGAGGGUUGUACUUUGCGGGGGAUUUCUAUUGUCCUUAGUUUACCCAAAACGAUUACAGUCCUCUGUCUCAAUCCGAUGCGAGUACCUGCUAGAAUUUAUGGUUUUUGGUCAUGGGUCGACGUUCCUUAACUACUACUAUUCUUCGUAUGCGUCACUGACGAUUUAUUUUUUAUAGAACAAUGACAUAGUAUGGAGUUUUUCUUCAAAAGUUGUCUGCUGAGAAUCCAAUAUUGGAUUGAAGGAGACAUCUGAAGAAUGAUAACUCACUGUUAAUGGAAGAGAGACUCUUGAGUGAUUCAUAAGCAAACCGUAUUCCUUAAAUAUGUCUUGUGUGGUUAGGGGGAUACUCUUUUUGAACACGUGAACCUCAUGGAACACGUCGAAUUGCUACAUUGAGUAUCGGAGCAGGACCCCCUUCAAUAGAUGGGUGAUUCUUAGAUGGACUAAGCCAUACCAAGUGAGAGAGCUCAGACAACAUAUGAGUCUUAAUAGACUUGUAAGAUGGCAAAGAUAAUAGGAAUGAACUAGACCACACAUAUAUAUGGGCAAUAUCACGAUACGAGCCAACAUUAAAAAGGACUCCAGAUCAUUAAACUGAAGGGAAUUUGUAAUGUUUUAGAGUCUCACAUCAAUGAGAGAUGCUCUACAUUGUGUGGUUACUCAAAAUACUCCUUUGGAUAACUUGGCUUAUGUGAAAUAGAGCAAGUGGUUAUAAAUCACAAAAUAUAUAUUCAAACAUACCUAUAGAGUAUUCCUUCCAGAAGACUUGUAACUAUGUAUGUAAAUGACUCUAAUUAGCUUAUGUUUUAGAAAUCAAGGGUCUCCUUGAAUGAUGGCCAUAAUUAACUCUUUCGUGAUAUCACUCGGAUAAUUUAGGUUGUAAUUACAAAUAGUUUGCAGACAACAACAUGAAUUGUCAUUCCUACUUCCAGACAUCGCAGCACUCCGGCGCAUAAUCACGUCAUUUUCCCAUCACUGUAGAAGAAGAAGAACGACGACGACAACAACAAAAAGCUUUUGUUUAUCAAACAUUUUCCGAAGGACCGCUAAAGUCAACUCACGGCCACACAUUCGCAUGCUUUCUUCAUGUUUUGGUGACUUCAUUUCGGUUCAACCUACGCUUUUAACACCAAUAAAAGAUCCCUAAAAGAAAACAUGACUUCUUAACACACUGCACACCACCGUCCAAGACAAGCAAUCCUACACAUAAGUCAACCUUUUUCCGGACCACAAUCAUCGUUGGCUCGACCUUUCUGUUCUUCAGACGUUCGUUUACUUGUUAUUUCCUCAUAGGUUGUGUUUUCCUUAGAAGGAUCAUAAACUGAGGGACGGCUCAGACAUUCGUUUACUUGUUUUCUCAAGUCUAUUGCGUUUAGAUUCCUCAACGAAUUCACCUGAUAGGCUAAUUAUUCCGUGAGUGAUCAGCUCAGGGAAAAGAACUAUAGGCGUGUUAAUGAAAAGUCCAACUUAUUAAAUUGAAAAUAGAACCUGAAAUUCAAGAUGUCACAACUCUUCCCCUUUUAUAAAAAUUUCAUCCUCAAAAUUUAGAGUAUACAAAUCUUUAAACAAAAAGGUGAGGGUACAGUCGUCUCAUCGAAUCUUCACUUUCUUAGGUUGCUCCCUAUGUGCCAUGGUGUUACCAGAUCACUUUAACCAAUGGGAUCAUCUUUGUGCACAGAAUCUGCUCUUUUCAAUCCACGAUCUAAACCGAGAUUUCCAUGUACGACACUCUGUCGUCCAUGUCUAAUUCCUCAAAAUUCAGCAUGUGAAUCGGGUCAGGCUCAUACUUCCUCAAUAUUGACACGUGAAAGACGUCAUGCACUUACGCCAACCUCAGAGGUAAUGCAAGACAAUACGCUAAAGUCCCUAUUCUUUCUAAAAUCUCAAAGGGACCUACGUACCUCGGACUCGGCUUCCCUUUCUUGCCAAAGCACGAAGUACCUCUCAUUGGUGACACUUUCAAAAAGACGUGCUCACCAACUUGGAAUUCCAACGGUCUCCGACGCUUAUCAGCAUAGCUUUUCUGGUAGCUCUGAGCGGUCUAUAAUCUGUCCUUGAUGACAACAACUGCAUCCACUAACUGCUGAACCAACUCUGGGCCUGUGAUCUUUCAUUCUCCAACCUCAUCCCAACAAACUGGUGUUCUACACGCUCUGUUGUACAACGCUUCGAAGGGAGCCAUCUAAAUGCUCUGAUGAUAGUCGUUUCUAUAGGUGAAUUCAACGAGAUGAAGCUGUUCCUCCUAGCUUCCCUUGAAAUCCAAUACGCAAGCUCGCAACAUGUCUUCGAGGGUUUGAAUUGUCCUCUCAAACUAGCCAUCCGUCUGAGGAUGAUAAGCCGUACUGUACUGCAGCUUCAUUCCUAAAACGAUCUACAGGCUCUUCCAAAAACAGCGAUAAACCUCGGGUCUCUAUUUGAUGUAAUCGUCACUGGCAUUCCAUGCAGAUGAAUGAUUUGACGCACACACAAUUAUGCAUGCUUGUCCAAAUCAAGGUCCUUUCGUACGGCAAUAAAGUGAGCCAACUUCGUCAGUCCGUCGACUAUACCCAACUGGGAAUCAUUCCUUCNNNNNNNNNNNNNNNNNNNNNNNNNNNNNNNNNNNNNNNNNNNNNNNNNNNNNNNNNNNNNNNNNNNNNNNNNNNNNNNNNNNNNNNNNNNNNNNNNNNNGGGAUAGAACGACGGAAGGAAAGAUUUCAUAUUUGAGGAUGAAUGCCUCCAACAUUUUGCUUCACAAGAUAGUGAUCAACUACCUCAAACCCAAAUCAACUUCAAAGACCGACGUUUCAAACUCGGAGGCAAAGCUGAUGUAUGCCAUUAACGCUGGCAAAAAGUUCUCUCUUCCACACACUAUUAUAUUCCACAUGUACAAAACAAUAGUGAAGGACAAGGACCAACUUCCUUACUCAACACUUGUCACCAAGUUAUUCAGACAUUUGAACAUUCAACUUCCCCGGAUUCUUUAUGUUCAAUUAUGCGAUCAAAUGGUGGUGGGACUGAAAAUGGUCUCUAAAAUGCGUCUAAAGGAACUUAACAAGGCUUUUGAGCAAUUCAAGGUUAAAACCCCUGUUAAGACUCACCCAGUCUCUUCGGCUGCAAAGCGGAAAGGGAAGGAGCCCAUGGUUGCUCCAUCCAAGAAAAAAAGAACACUCAUCUUGGAGGAUGAAGAGGAUGAGAAUGAUAUCACGAUUUUUGCUCUUGCAUUGAAGAACUUAAGUUGUUCUGUUCUAGAGACAAAGGAGAGACAGGAACAAGACAAGGACGAGAUCGAACAGAGGACUGGAGAGAGAGAAUCAUUGGAGAAAGAAGCAUAGGAAGAAAGGAUUGAGGAAGAAGAAGAAGAGGAAAGAGGAGAACAAGAAGAAGCAAAGCAUGAAGAGUACUUCUCACCGCCUGAAGGCAUUGAAACAAGGGGAGAUCCUGAGAAAAGAGGUACGUCCUCAAUUGUUGCCACUAGUGAAGGAGUAAGUCGUUCUCCAGCAGAUUCAGAAGACAUCUAUGCCUCUCAAUUUCUUGAGGAAGGCCAUGAGGUUUCAUCGCCCAAUCUGCAUGAUCGUGCUGACUUGCCAUCAUCUGCCAAUACACCAUCUGAUCGUGCAGAAGCCAGUACUCAAACUGAUAAUUCAGCAGACUUUCGCAGAGUGCUUGAUGUUCUCUUGAAGAUGCAAGGCCAAAUUUAUGCUCUGGGAUGCGAAGUACAGAACUUGCAAAAUGUAGGUCAAGCCUCUUCAGUUUCUUUGCAUGAUCAACUCCAUGCCCUUACUCUUCAAGUUCAAGCAAAUGCCAAGGGUGAAGAUGUGGCUCAACUAAAAGAGGAUUUGAAAAAGCUGGAAGGGAUUAUCUAGUCAUUAGGAGAUUUCUAGCUUGUUUGUGUUCCCAAGCAAUCAUAAUUCCAUUCUCUUUUCAUCUCUAUUUUUUUAAUGCUGACAAAAAAGGGGGAGAGAUGUGGUGCAGAUUUGAGAUUUAAACUUUUGAACUCUUGACUUUUGUGUUUGAUUGACUUUACUUUUGUGUUUGGUUGUUUGGCUAUGAUUGGAUUUGGAUUUGGACUGUUUAAACAUUUGUUUAUCUUAAGCACUAUUGGUAUUUCAUGGCAAAGAUAGUUGCUCAUUUACAAGACUAACCUACCUUCUGUGGAUGCAGAUUUUAAUAUUAUCUUUACUAAGCCAAUUAUCCUUUGUGAAAUAUCUAUGUUUGAUUGAGUAUUGUUUUACAGGUCAAAGUUAUCCAAAUCUGCAAGAAAGUUUUGUCACUAUCAAAAAGGGGGAGAUUGUUGGAGAAAAAUUCAUUAAGUGUUUUAAAGUUGACAAAACGUUUCCAUCAGUCUAGUCUGAAGACUUGCAGACUCUUCCAUCAAAGUCUUAAGACCUCCAGACUGCUAGACUCAAGACCCAAAGUCUAUCAUCAUUGACAGUUUCUAGACCGUCGAAGAAGGCUUAUCCAGAACUGAGUAUUUCAUUGAUGAUUUGAUUCUAUCAACUGAAGAAGAUCUCUUGGCUAGAUACAGCAUGUCGGAAUCCUUUAUUAAAAUUGAGAUUGAUUUAGGGAUUUUGAAUCCGUUGAUUGGCAAAGUAUAUUUGAAAGGUUCUAAUUAUGGAACCUAGAUCCUAAUUGUAUGGGGCNNNNNNNNNNNNNNNNNNNNNNNNNNNNNNNNNNNNNNNNNNNNNNNNNNNNNNNNNNNNNNNNNNNNNNNNNNNNNNNNNNNNNNNNNNNNNNNNNNNNNNNNNNNNNNNNNNNNNNNNNNNNNNNNNNNNNNNNNNNNNNNNNNNNNNNNNNNNNNNNNNNNNNNNNNNNNNNNNNNNNNNNNNNNNNNNNNNNNNNNNNNNNNNNNNNNNNNNNNNNNNNNNNNNNNNNNNNNNNNNNNNNNNNNNNNNNNNNNNNNNNNNNNNNNNNNNNNNNNNNNNNNNNNNNNNNNNNNNNNNNNNNNNNNNNNNNNNNNNNNNNNNNNNNNNNNNNNNNNNNNNNNNNNNNNNNNNNNNNNNNNNNNNNNNNNNNNNNNNNNNNNNNNNNNNNNNNNNNNNNNNNNNNNNNNNNNNNNNNNNNNNNNNNNNNNNNNNNNNNNNNNNNNNNNNNNNNNNNNNNNNNNNNNNNNNNNNNNNNNNNNNNNNNNNNNNNNNNNNNNNNNNNNNNNNNNNNNNNNNNNNNNNNNNNNNNNNNNNNNNNNNNNNNNNNNNNNNNNNNNNNNNNNNNNNNNNNNNNNNNNNNNNNNNNNNNNNNNNNNNNNNNNNNNNNNNNNNNNNNNNNNNNNNNNNNNNNNNNNNNNNNNNNNNNNNNNNNNNNNNNNNNNNNNNNNNNNNNNNNNNNNNNNNNNNNNNNNNNNNNNNNNNNNNNNNNNNNNNNNNNNNNNNNNNNNNNNNNNNNNNNNNNNNNNNNNNNNNNNNNNNNNNNNNNNNNNNNNNNNNNNNNNNNNNNNNNNNNNNNNNNNNNNNNNNNNNNNNNNNNNNNNNNNNNNNNNNNNNNNNNNNNNNNNNNNNNNNNNNNNNNNNNNNNNNNNNNNNNNNNNNNNNNNNNNNNNNNNNNNNNNNNNNNNNNNNNNNNNNNNNNNNNNNNNNNNNNNNNNNCAGUGUUGUGCCUUCACUUGCUGACAUGUCAAACACUUGACGACAUGCUUGGCAAUAUCCCGCUUCCAAACCAAACCACCCAUAGUGUUGACGCAAAUUUCUGAUACAUUUUCGUACUGUCGAGAUGAAUGUUGUAACUACUACACUGAGCUUCUGACAAGAUCUCUUCCUUAAGCACCUACAUCGUCAGGUACACAUAAUCGUCCUCAGAACCCUAGUGUUUCAUCAUCAGAAAUCUGAAAGUCAGGUUUCCUCUUUUCGGUAUCCUCUUGCAAGAUCUUCUGAAUCUCUGGAUCUGUCAACUGAAGCGUCUUGAUUCUGAUAUGCACUUCCAGCUCAAUUAUGAGGGUGGCCAUAAGAUUUGAAAGGUAGCCUACCUCAAAUUUGAAAAUCGAAUAUCGAGCCCUCUCAAGUAAGAUCCAUUCCUUGAGUACCAUCUACGCUACUAAAGAUUUCUGACUUAGCGUAUAUGCAACCUUGUUAGCCUUUCCAGGAUGAUAUAAAAUAUCACAAUCAUAGUCCUUCAAGAGUUUCAUUCAGCAACGCUAUCUCAUAUUCAACUCCUUCUGAGAGAAUAGAUACUUGAGACUUUGAUGGUCAGUGAAGAUCUGGAAUUUGUCUCCACACAAAUAAUGUCUCCAAAUCUUCAAAGCGAAAAUAAUUUAUAUGAGUUUUAAGUCAUGCGUCGAGUAAUUUAGUUCAUAAGGUCUCAAUUGAUAGGACACGUAUGCAACAACCCUACCAUGUUGCAUCAGCACACAACUCAGUCCUCUAAAUGACGCAUCACUAUAGAUCUCGUAUCCUCUAGGACCAGAUGGAAUCAUCAGCACGGGUGUGGUAGUCAACUUCUGCUUAAACUCUUGGAAACUAUGCUCGCACUUGUUUGUCCACAUGAAUUUCUCUUCCUUCUUCAGUAGUUGAGCCAACGAUGAGGCUAAAGCUGAAAAUCCUUCCACAAGCCUUCUGUAAUACCCUGCUAAACCUAGAAAGCUUCUGAUCUCUGUCACGGUUGUCGAUCUUGGCCAGUUGAUAACUACUUCGAUCUUGGACGGGUCCACGAAGAUUCCUUCGCCUGAAAUCACAUGCCCUAGGAAAGCAACACGAGUUAACCAAAACUCGCACUUGUUGAACUUGGCAUACAGCUCAUGAAUUCUCAAAGUUUGAAGUACCAUCCUCAAAUGCCUCUCGUGUUCCUCGGGACUUCUCGAGUACACCAGGAUAUUGUCAAUAAACACGAACACAAACUAAUCCAGAUACUCCUUGAACACUUGGUUCACCAGAUCCAUAAAUGUAGCUGAGGGUGUAUGAAUCCCUUAUCCAACAAUUUGCAUCUACACCUUCAGUUCUUUCAAUUUAGACAACACCAUCCGAUAAGGAGCCUUAGAGAUUGGCUCUGUCCCGAGUGCUAACUCAAUACGAACUCAAUCCCCUUUUCUAGCGGCAGACCUAGCGAUUCCUUUGGAAACACAUCUAGAAAUUCUUAUACUACUGAGAUGUCAUCAAUCUUUAGCUCCUCAAUUGUCGUAUCCACAACAGUUGCUAGGUACACCUUGGCAACCCCAGUCUAACAAACGAGUUGCCUCAAGCGACGNNNNNNNNNNNNNNNNNNNNNNNNNNNNNNNNNNNNNNNNNNNNNNNNNNNNNNNNNNNNNNNNNNNNNNNNNNNNNNNNNNNNNNNNNNNNNNNNNNNNACAAGCUGUUAUGUUAGCAUUUGGGUCUUGUUUAAGUUGUAUGACUUCAGCAUGUAGCAGGGUAGCUCAUCUUCCUUUUAUGACAUCGAUAAAACUUUACUGGUCGUUAAAAAAAAAAAAAACAAUUAAUCUAAAGUUGGUUCCACAGGUGAGUGCACAAAUGGAUGUCUUUAAUGGUGCCUACGAUAAAUUCCCCGAUUCAGAGACCCCGAGCAGUACUAACCAAAGUUAAGAAGGCAACGGCUUAAUUAGGUUGUUGAAUAAUAGAAUAAGGAGGUAAGAGAGACCGACAUGAAAGAAAAGGAACAAAAAGAAUAUUGUAUGAUCUUUUCAGAUCUUGUCAAAUUUAUAUGGACAAUUGAUCGCGUGCACCUGCACCACAACCAACAUAAACACGGUCGAAAAAUGGUCCUGGCCCACGCACUUUGUCACUUUUGCAAACUACGCUAAAAUAAAUAAAAGAUUGUAUAUUUGCUAAAGAAGCCCAUAGAUACCUCUCGAUUCGAGACGCGAACACCUCAAGUGGCAAAACUUGACACAUAUGAAUACAUAAGUACCACAACUUCCAAAAGAUAGACUUAAAUGUCAAAAUCAAAGAAGAAAUGAAUAUUUAAGCGCCAAUGAUGAGAAUUUCCAGCCAAACAACUAAUGUGGCUUUUUCUAGCAAAAUUUUUAACUGAUGUGACAAAUUUCUUUUUUUUUUAAAUCAUCCACAUGACGCUAACAUGAAUAGAUAAGCUUAAAACGAUAUCAUUUUAGUUCAAAUAUGAUAUUUAAUAUAAACAUUACAAAAUUAAAAAUUAAAAAAUAAUUUUAUAAAAAAGAAAAAAAAAGAAUUAAAUUUGGGGUCAUGGAGGCCCUUGCCACCACUGCCCCACCAUCGCUAGAAAGGGCCGGCAACGGUAGCCAACCCACGCCCUAUCCUCGGCAAAAAGGCCCCACUAUCACCAACCCUUUUUGGCCAGGGUGGGGCAACGACAACGAGGGUGAGGGCCUAGGUCUCCACGACCCCAAAUCUAAUUCCCUUUUUAAUAUAGUUUCUUAAAUUUAAUUUAAUUGAUAUUUAUGUUAAAAAUAAAAUUUCAGGGCAAAACAACAUUGUUUUGAGACAAGGAUGCUGAGUGGACAUUCCAGCAAGCCAUGUAAACUAGUAUUAAUGAAAUAAUACCACGAUGGAUUUUUGGCAAGUCUUACUGGAGUUGGUACUUAAGUGUCUAAUUUUUUUUUUUAAAAGUGACACUUAAGUGUACAUUUUGAAAGUUUUAACACUUAUGCAUCCACUCAUGCCAAGUUUAAACAGUUAUGGUAUACUUCUUCCAUCUUGAUUCACAUUCAAGAUCUAUCUAUACAUAAUCCAAAAGAAUCUACUGCACCUUUGGAUUUAAAUUUCUAAUCUGCUUUUGAACUUCUAAUCAAUAAAUUUAGUUUAGUAUGUUCUCCUUUUACUUUUCUGUGGCUGAUAUCAAUGAAGUUCUCUUUGGGACCAAUCAACUACAUACCAAAUGAAUGCGUCAACAAAUAAAAUUGAUACAGAUAAAGAAAAUCGGUUAAAGACCAUAGUUCAAUUUUUGUCCAUCAUCUUAGGUCAUUUCCAAGAGCGCAUUAACCUCUUACCUGACGAAAAGCUCUGACUUGUAAUGUACAUGAUUUAGUCCAAUUUUAAAAAUAAAUUAGGCUCUGAUCAUGCACAUAGUUCAUUUAUUGGUCCUAUCACCCAAGAAAAUGAAGGCAAAGGCAAUAAUUUGGUGAGAUUUUGUAGGAUCAUUACUAAUGUUCUAAGAGCUUAAACUAUUAUAUGACAGUGCGAUAUAAUAUUUGAAUGUUCUAACACCCCCUUCACACGUAGGUUGGACUUUGCCUAAGCCUAAAGCGUGGAAAUAUGGAAUUAAGGAAGCAAUUAGAGAGUUUGAAAAAAAUUGAACUCAGAACAUUACUGUGUGCCUCUUAAUGUUCAAGGUCAUUUUUUAAAUUGAGUGGAAAGAAUGUUUAUAUAGGCAUAGAUCUAGGGCUUUUCUGAAGAUGCCCCUUUCCAAAAUUGAAUCCAUGAAAUUAUGUGAUAGGUUCAAGAUAAGAAUUUGAGGCAUUUCUUUUUCCUAUCUCCACCAAACUUAAUUAUGUGAUAAUCUUUCCUAAUUUGCACUCCCCACGUGCAUCUUAUAUGCAAAUUUCGGCCACCUACGGUAUUCAAGGGGCUUGACUGAAUUUUAUACUCUUGCGGGCUUAGUCCAAUAAUUUAAUUAAUUUUAUAGCCCCUACUUAAACCCAUUAGAUCCGGUCCAAUUAGAAUUCAAUUUAUGCGGGCCUAUUACAAUAAAAAUAAAAUGUGCUACUGUGCAAAUGUAAAUUAAUAAUAUUUUUACUUAGGAAUCGACAUUGACUCCUAAUAUUCUUUGCAAUGAAUGGGCCAUCAAAAUUUAAUUGUUAACAACUGCUCUUCUUUAAAAGGAAGCUUGCAAAUGAUUCAUUCAAAGAUAAAUGAUACCUAAAAUUUAGCAAUGCAAAUGUAGUGUGAUGACUUUGUUUGUUGGAAAGAUAGAUCUCAAUGAGAAUGCAAUGACAUGUGAGAAAAUAUCGAUGUUAAUGCAGAGAUGGAAUACGUACAUGUAGAUUCGGAAAAGUAAAUUUUUAAAAGUCCUGACAAACACCUGGAAUUCACCUCAAACAUUUGAAAGAUUUGAAGAUUACUAAAUAGUUUUCAAACACCCUGAACUCGUCUCAAAUUCUCGAAAAAAAUUUAUCCAAUAAAUACCUAGAACUCACCUUAGACAAUUUAAAGGUUUCUUUACAAAAUAUCUGGAACUCAUCCCAGAUACUCGAACGGAUCUACCAGAAAAUACCAAGAACUCACCUUAAGUAUUUAAUGAUUUAGAUUGAAACAUUUGGAAGUCAUCACAGGAUUUGGUUUAAAGAUUUCUUAACUUAAUACUUAGAACUCUGCUUAGAUACUCUAAAAGAUUUAACUGAUAAACACCUAGAACUCACCUUAAGUAUUUAAUGAUUUAACUGAUAAGCACCCGAAAAUCAUCCCAGAAAUUGAAAAUUUUCUUAACGAAAAUUUUAGAAUCAUCUUGGAUAUUUGAAAAGGCUCUUUAACAAAUAUUUAGAACUCAUCUAGAAACUUGAAUAUUUAACCGAUAAACACCUAGAACUAUCCGUAAAUUUUUAGCGAUAUAUCUGCUAAACACUAGGAAAUCAUCCCAUGUGUUUAAAGAUUUAUUAACAAAAUAUCCAAAAUUCACCUUGAAUAUUAAAAAAAAAAGGGUUGGUCAAGAAACACCCGGAACUCACUCAAAAAGUUUAAAGAUUUCUUAACGAAAUAUCUACAAAUGACCGUAGAUAUUCCAAAUGGCCGUAGAUAUUCGAAAAGGUUUGGUAAAUAAACACCUGGAACUCUCUCUAGGAGCUUAAAGAUUUCACGAAAAAAUAUCUAGCACUCUAUAAUUAUUCAAAUCAGUUACCUGAACUCAUCUCAAAUUUUGUCGUUGGAUAAGAGAGGCACCUAGCGUUUUUCGUCUCAAAUAUUUGCAACUACUCAGAAUUUUCAAUCCUAAGACUUUGAAGUUACCUAGAGUUGUUCAUCUCAGUAGUUAGUAUGCUUAAGACUUUACACUUAGGACUUGAAACGUUUAAGGUUUGGUACUCAGGACCAGAAACAUGUAAGUUUUUGCACUUAGGAUAUGAAUUGUCUAAGGUUUUUCCUUUAGAACUUGAGAUGUCUAAGGUCUUUCACUUGGGACUCAAAUUGUCUAAAAUCUUCACUUAAGACUUGAGAUGUCUAAAGUUUUCUACUUACGAUUUGAAUUGUCCAAGGUUUUCCACUUAGGAUUUGGAAUACCUAAGGUUUUGCACUUAGGGCCAAAGGUUUUUCACUUAGGGUUUGGAAUACCUAUGGUUUUGCACUUACGGCUUCAACGAGUUUCUCAUGGUAAACCUCCUCAAGGAAAUCAAUUUCGAAAGUAAGUCCAAGGUAAUGAAGCACUUACAGGGCAUAAAGGACUUUUUGGUCUCUAAGGAAGUAUUUCCCAUCAAACACGACUAGAGCAAAUAGACGCGCAUUCAAAGAGAUAAAGGAGUUCAAGUUUAUCCUUGAAUGAGCACGCAUAUCUAGAAUCAAUCAUUUUCAUCAUUGAUUGCGGGUUAUGAAGAGGCAUUUUGCCAUAUCUACAUCACUAAAUUUCCACCGAGAGGAAUCAUCAUCAAGAUAAUUUUCACCACCGUGGCAUGGAUCUCUUGAAAAUACUAAAUAAGACUUUCAGUCUGAAAGGGCUUUUCACUUGCUCUCAUUUAGAAAGAUAUUUUAUCCCGGCUAUUGAUGCGGGAAAAAGAGAGACACUAGAUCUUGACAUUAUUAUAAUCUCAAUAAGAGUCUGAUUUUACUCACAAGUUGUAUGACCAUACCAAUCUAAAAGUGUUUAUGAUAUAACCGUAAUGUAGGCUUAGUCAACAGUUUAAAAUGGAUAAUUCAUGGCUCAUAAAGAAAUGUUAUUCAUUCAUUAUCUCUGGCGUUUUACAAAUCAAGAAACCUGCAAAAUGAGAUAAACUCUCUUACCCGCACUUCUUCGAGUAAAGCUUUUAACAUUUGAAACUCCUCCUUUAAUGUAAUUACCCUAAUUUGAAGAGACUCUAUAAGGGAUGUAACAUAAGCUCUUCGAGAGCAUGCAUGUCAGUGACUAAGUAUGUCAACCUGGAGAAUGCACAUGGGCUCGGUGAUUAGGCAGGUCAUCUUGGAAAAUCCACGUGGGCUAAGUGACUAAGUACAUUAACCUAGAGAAUGCACGUGAGCUCAAUGACUAGAUAUACCAUCUUGGAGAAUGCACGUGGACUCGGUGACUAAGUACAUUAACCUAAAGAAUGCACGUGGGCUCGAUGAAUAGAUAUACCAUCUUGGAGAAUAGAUAAUAUUGAAUGUACCGACUAGGGGAAAGGUCGUGAUGACAUGUAAUCGACUAAGUCGAUUGAUCGAUAAUUCAAUCUAAUUGAUGUGAUGUGAUGUGAUGUGAUGUGAUCGUGUAUAUUUGAUAUAUAUACUAACUUGCAAGAAUGAACUGGGGACAAGGUAAGUCCUCUGACCCGUGUUGUGCUUAGACAGCCUUUAGGACAUAUUGGCUUCCUAAUCGGGUCUUAAGAGGUAGAACUCGCUAAGACGUUGUCUCAUUAGUUAUUGUAUAACCAUUUUAGGUUCCUAGAUGGCCACUCUUGAGUUUUUGGGACGGCCUAAGAAGAUCACAGAGGAAACCUCUUACUUUCCAUUUCAUGGGUGCCCUAGGGGCUGAUCUUAUAAGCUAGUGAGGUCUAUAGUUAGGGUCGAUGCGGGUCUCACCCACAAGGUGCCCCAUCGAUAUAGAUCAUGGUACCACCGACCCAAGAUGGCCAGAGAGAGGGUCCCCUACUGGAGUCUAAGAUACCUUUGUGUGUUCUGGAGGCCGCCUUUGGAAAAGGCACCGCAAAUUCCCUUUUGGGCUCGAUCGUAGAUGCAGCAGAUUUGAAUUUUGAAGAUCUCGGAAGUUCGGUGCAAUAUGCUGAAGGCUCCAGUUGGAGUGUGGGGGAUGAUGAAGAGGAGGACGAGGACUCGUAGUUUGUGGAAUUCCCACCCCUACUUGUAGACCUUGUUUCUGAACUUGUUUAAGUUGAAUCUAACUUAGUAGUUCGCCUUAUAUAUAUGUGCACUGGUUUGCAAUGUAUAUAAGUGUGGUUGUUUUUUAAAGUUCGGAAUUUAAUCCUACUUUUCUAUCCCAUUACUUUAUUGUCUAAGGAUUAUUAUUAUAUUCUUCCGCAUGCAUAUUAAAACAAAAGGGUCGGCGAUGCGUCCUGGGACGUCGCUAUUAAUCGACUAGUUGAGGGAUGGGUGUACGCUCGAGAAUUGUGGCGUGACAGUUCAUAUCGUGGACAGAAAAGAACAAGUUCUGCAUACAAAGACCAUUCCAUUGGUCAAAGUGGUCUCACAACACCACGGUACUGAAGGAGCGACAUGGGAAACUUAAGAGUCGAUGAGACAAUUGUACCCCCACCUUCUUGCUUAAGUUUUGUAAUGAUUUAAAGUUCGAGGACGAAUUUUUUAUAAGAGGGGAAGAGUUGUGACAUCCUAGAUUUUCAAUCCUAUUUUCUAUUGAAUAAAUCGAGCAUUUCAUCAAUGCGCCUAUAAGGCUAUUCUCAGAGCUUAUCACUCUCGAGAUAUCUAGACUAUUUAGAGAAGCCAUUAAAGAAUUUUAAUACGAUAGAUUUGAGAAUUCAACCAAGAAUCGGCUUCUCAACCAUGCUCAUCUUUAGAGGCCAUUACGGCACAAUAUAAAAUUCAUUUGAAAUCAAAGAUAGACCAGUUCAACUGAGAUGUGUGGCUAAUUGUGGGUGACACCAUUAAAUUGGAAAAUUCUCGUUGGCCGGCACUAGAGUGAUUUUUCUAUCAUUUUGAUACCUUGUGUCCAAAUUUGAAUCCUUGAGAUUUUCAUGACAAUCGAAAGUCGCCAAUGCGUCGAGUGGGUUCAUUGUGGCUCGAAAAAAAUCAACCAAGGGUCAUUUGCUCUAAAAACUUCUAAAAACUACCCGGUAGUCUAGGUCACGCUAAAAACACACCAAAUUGAAAUUAACUACGAAAUUGAAUCUGAUUUCAGAAAUUGAAAGUUCCGUCAUGUCACAAUUAAUUCUAGGAGCGUCGACUCAGUCUCAGAAUAUUUUUCUACAACCCAAGACUUUUUAGGAAAAAGUCGGCUUAGAGCCGUUUUUUUCCAGAAAAAAGAUCGGGAUUGUUUUAGAUCGUGAAAUUGGGAAGUAAGUGGAUUGUAUGAGUGAAGAAAAAUGCCGAGAUGAUCGAUGAUGGGUUAAUUGGAUUUAUUGAUGCCAAAUUGGAUUUUUUGAAGCAAGAUUAAGUGUCCAUUUGACACUAAAACCCAUGAAAUGCGUAUGUCCCCCCAUUCCCACAACUUAUGGACCUCUUCAACCUUCUAGAUGAGUGCAUGGAUGGUUGAAUUGCAGCCAUAGAAGCCAGACUUGGCUAUGGGUGAUGUCAAGGAGACAUUUGAAUGGAAAAUAAGGCAAGUGGCCCCCUACAACCCCACCUUGUUCCCUCUCUCUCUCUCCAACCGGUCAGCAGCCUCCUUUCCCCUCCUCAUUGUGCCUUGCUCAAGCCCAACAAACCAGAGAAGCUGCCUAUCCAUGCUGCACGCCGUCGUGACCGUCGGAACGCCGUCCGCACGCCCCACCGCCCCACACGCAUGCCAUACCGCGCCACCGCCCAACCCGACGCCCCUGCUACUUCCAACCCUCUGUUCCACCAUCCCCGUAGCUUCCUCAGCUUGUGCCAGAGUCGUUUAGCCCACCUCCGACCUCCCAAACAAAGAAUUUGUGGGUGGGUUUCCAGCAAGCUUAUAGGCCCAUUUUGAGGUGGUUCUGAGCCUCGAAAGUUUGACCCACUUUGAGGAAAGUCGGUCCCCGUCGCAUUCCCAACAUUUUGAACUGAACGGAUCGCAAAACAAGUGAGUUGAACUCACUAAUCCUCAAUUAGUCAGUUAAUGAUGCUUAGAGUUUGAUUAUAUUAAUUAAGCAUGGUUUAGGUGGAUAGAUUAAAUUAGAUUAUAUUAGAUAAUUUAAUUAUCUGCCGAUGCAUGUCAGGUGGUUAGUUAGUGGCAUUAGCGAGUAGACUCGUGCUAUUAUUGGUUUAAUGAACCUUGAAAUUUUUCCGGGUCUGUUUCGAUGUCCAAUUAGGCAUUACGGGCCUAAGUUGGAUUUAUUGCAUUUAUUUAAUAAUUCCAUAAUUAUUUAUUUAUUUAUUUAUUUUUCGAAAAUUAGGCUGGAGUAGCCGACGAUCAGAAUUUUAUAUUGGUUAUUGUGGUACAGUCUGUUUAUUUAUUUGAGUUCGAAAUUGUGCCGAAUUGAUUUAAUUGUGAUUUUAGGAUUUUAUUCCUAAAAUAAUUAAAGUCGCUAAUUAAUUGGAAAAUUACCUAGCAUUGGUCUACAGCGCCAAAAAUCUAUUUUUGGAAUAUUAAAAAAAGUGUAAGAUUGAUAAUGAAAUUAUUAUAUUUUGGCUAAGGCUGAUCGUGUACCCACACACGAUUAUUUUAUCGAGAAUAAUAAAAAGAUGGAAUUGGUUGUAUGAUUGGAAUUAUAUACUAUAUCGGCCUACAGGGGAUAUGUCAAGUUAGCAGAAAGUAGUAUACCAAUAUACUAUAUCAGCCUACAGGCGAUAUGACAGCUUAGCAGAGAGCAGUAUACCUUAUCGGUUUUGAUUGAAUGUCGGUAUACUACAUCAGCCUAUGAGCGAUAUUACAGCUUAGCAGAAAGCAGUAUACCUUAUCAGCUUAGAUUGAACAAUGUCAAUAUACUAUAUCAGCCUAUGGGUGAUAUGGCAACUUAGCCGAGAGCAGUAUACCCGAUCAUCUCAGAAGUGAGCUAUAUUAUCUAUCUAUCAACUUAGUAGUGAGUAGUCUGAUAUGGAUAGAUUUAUAGAUAGUAUGAGAUGAGCCAACUAAGGAAGGGUCGAGAUGACAUGUAAUUGACCGAGUCGAUUGAUCAAUGAUUUGAUCUGAUGUUAUGAAUUGAUUGAUUGAUGUGAUUGGAGACAUCUGUAAAUGAUACUGCUUUGCAUGGUGGAACUAAGGCCAAGGUAAGUCCUCUAACUCGUGGUUGUGCUUAGGCAGCCCUUAGGGCGUAUUGGCUUCCUAAUUUGGCCUUAGGGGGUAGAACUUGCUGAGACAUUAUCUCACUGGUUAUUGUAUAAUCAGUUUCAAGUCCCUCGUUGACAGCGGGGGAGGACUUGAGGCCCGAAGUUUAGAAGGCGAAGCUCGGAGAAUCGGUGAGCAUGUCCGACUAGUUAGUCCUAGGACAUUUCUCUUUUGUUGAAAGCCGAUUCCUUUUUGCAUGCUUCCGUGUAUAAACCCGUGUGUUUAUAAAAAGGUAUUUUGUGAAAAAUUAGUCCUACUUUCCUAUUCCAUUGUUUUAUUGUUUGUGGAUUAUUUAUAUAUUUCCGCAUGCGUAUUGAAAAGAGAGGGUCGGCGAUGCAUCCUAGGACAUCUCUAUUUAAUCGACCAAGUGAGGGAUGUGUGCGUGCCUGAGGAUCAAGGCGUAACAUCCCCGUUUAAGUGGUAUCGGAGUAAUGGUUAGGGAUUGGAGUGAUAAGGUGCGAUGGACCAUAGGAUAGUGGUAGGAAAGACCUUUAAAUUCAUGUUGGUGCAUGUUUGUGGUAACUAAUUGAUAGACUUGCUUGUUAUUUAGAUCACUCUGUUUCUAAUUCGGCUUAGAAUUGGAAGCAGGCUUCAAUAAAGAAAGCUGAGCCAUGAGUGAUUAGGAGCCAAGAACUCCUGCCAAGAGGACUGCUAGGGCCAUAACUCAGGGUAGGAUGCUGACCAGGGUCGGUACACGAGGAGGCCGAGGUCGAGCGCCAGCACAGGCUAGCACUAGUGGCGUAGCACCACCUCCUGUUAGUGCUAGGGUUGCAGCCCCAAGUGAUCAAGGAACCAUUGGGAUCACCCAGGCUUUGGACACCAUGCGAGAAAUGAUGAGACAGCAGGCCUAGAAUCAAGCUGCCGCCUUAGAAGCCGCUGCCACUGCCUUUGCCAAUGCUGCCAUUGCUUCCGCAGCUAUUGCCGCAGCUGUUGCUGCACCUACCGCCACACCUGCUAAUGUUCCCAUUGAGAACAUAGAGGUGCAGAGAGAAAGACCAAUCCACAAGUUGGUUAUUGUCGUGCAAUCUGUUUAUUUAUUUGAAUUCUAAAUUGUGCCGAAUUGAUUUAAUUGUGAUUUUAGGAUUUUAUUCCUAAAUUAAUUAAAGUUGGUAAUUGACUGGAAAAUUAUCAGGUGUCGGUCUACAGCGCCAAAAAUAUAUUUUUCGACUAUCAAAAGAAGUGGGAGAUUGAAAGUGAAAUUAUUAUAUUUUGGCUAAGGCCGAUGGUGUACCCACACACAGCUAUUUUAUGGAGAAUGAUAAAAAUAUGUAAUUGAUUGUAUGAUUGGAAUUGUAUACUAUAUCGGCCUACGGACGAUAUGUCAACUUAACAAAGAGUAGUAUACCGAUAUACUAUAUCAGCCUAUGAGCGAUAUGGCAGCUUAGCAGAGAGCAGUAUACCUUAUCAGUUUUGAUUGAAUAUGUCGGUAUACUAUAUUAGCCUACAGGCAAUAUGGCAAUUUAACAGAGAUCAGUAUACCUUACCAGCUUAGAUUGAGUAAUGUCAAUAUACUAUAUCAGCCUACGGGCGAUAUGGCAGCUUAGCGAAGAGCAGUAUACCCGAUCAUCUCAGAAGCGAGGUAUACUAUAUAUCUAUCAACUUAGCAGUGAAUAGUCCUGAUACGGAUUGACUUAUAGAUAUUAUAAGAUAAGACGACAAAGAAAGAGUCGAGAUGACAUGUAAUCGACUAGGUCAGUUGAUCAAUGAUUUGAUUUGAUGUUAUGAAUUAAUUGAUUGAUGUGAUUGGAGACAUCUGUAAAUGAUACUGCUUUGCAGGGUGGAACUGAGGCCAAUGUAAGUUCUCUGACUCAUGAUUGUGCUUAGGUAGCCUUUAGGGCGUAUUGACUUCCUAAUCGGGUCUUAGGGGGUAGAACUUGUUGAGGUAUUGUCUCACUGAUUAUUGUAUAACUAUGUUCAGGUCCCUAGUUGACAGUGGUGGAGGACCUGAGGCCCGAAGUUUAGAAGGUUUUUGACACCUAAAUUUUGGUGAUCCAUUUAGUCAUUUAUCGCAUUAAAAAAUCAGGGAUUAAUUUUGACCCCUAAAAAAAUAAUAAUUUAAUUCCAAAACAUAUGGUCAUUAGAAGAAUAUUUCAUUUAAUUGCAUAUUUGUUAGGCCGGCGAUGAAUGGAUUUUGGUGAAUGGCUUUGAAUAUUGAAGCCAACAAGAGCAUUAAACUGUGGAUAAGUCGAUAAUUCCUCCAUGGUGAUUGAUAUUACAUGGGUGUCCUAAAUUGUUAAAAGUCAAUUAAGAAAUUUCCAGCUUAUUGGCACCAACAUAUUUGUGCAUUUAAGGGAAAGAAUGCAAAGGAAGGACAGCCUGUAAGCGGCCACCGAUUCGAACAUAGAGAAGCCCAUCCACGUGAAGGAAAAUUAUGCGCUUUCCCAUAAUUCGGUCAACGUGGGGAGCAAGAAAUUGACCAGCAUUAUUUUAAGAGGAAAGAUACGAGCAUAUGCACAAAGGAAAUUUGAAAGAUCAGCAUGAGAGGGGAAUGUUGGGCACGUUCUGCAUUGCGGGCAUGGAUUUGCAAAAAAUAUAUAUAUAUCGGCAUUCGAUCAAUAAAGAGGAAAGGAAAGAAAAUAUAUUUCAACGCAUGCACAGAAGGAAACAGAAUAUGCUUUCUUUCGUCAUUGGUUUACGCCCUUUCAAUAUAAAUUGACUCAUUACAGGACAAAAGCUGGGGGCAUUCUUCAUACGAGAGAAAAAACACGUGAGAAUCGAGAGUGGAGAGGGAGCUCUGCCAGAAGCUCUUCACGGCCGUGACUUUGCUGAGUUCGUGGCCGCACCUUGACACUGAUCUUGCUACCGAUCGUCUGUUGCAUUGACAACGACCAGCUUUCCAGUGAUCCUUCCCGAUGAUAGAGCAACAGCGUUCACUUCCAGUCAAGCCUUGAUCAACAACCACGAAGUUUUGGAGGCUACACAAUGGAAUACAAGGCCACGAAAGAGUGAGAGAGAAGGCUGCUUUCCUCGGUCAAAGACUUCGUUGGAUCCAAUUUGAAUUAUUUGCAGACACCUCAGUCCAUUCAAGCCAUCCCUGACGUUGAAGUCCCACGGCUAAAACAGCCAAAUUUGGUCAUCGCAAGUCCCUUGCACCAGGCGACUCCGCUAUUGUUGUGGCCUUGCUACACAACGGGGCUGCUUUUCUGGUCUCGCCGUGUGGACAACGAAGCUGCUGCUCCCCCCAUUUCGACGCGCCGCCCCUGCUUCAUCCUACCAUCGGUGGCGCUGCUGGGCUCGUGCCAAAUCAAAAGCCUCUUGGGCGCUCUUCGCAUUAAAUAUUUUUUUGGCCUUUGCAGGUUAAGAGGAGAGCUUCAAACGGGGGUCAAAGGAACUGUAUUGGGGGUUACAUUAAAAUAUAGAAAGGCUCCUAAGAGGAGACGAUCGGCAAAUAAGAAAGCCCACUUUUGGUUGUGUCCGAUAAUAUUGACGCAACCCUUACUAAGCCGAGAGCCCUCUCCACCGUUGAGUGCCGCGAGCGAUUCCCAAAACGUUAUUGUGAGCCAGCUACCGUGAAGCAAAGUUGAUCAUGACUCCUACGAUCCGAUACCCGUCCAAACUAGGAAGCAACAAUCAAGGUAGGUAAAAUUCCCAUCUAAAUUAAUUCUUGAAUAUUUCGUUUGCUCAAUUGAGGUAUUGCAUUCUUGAUUAAACCCCCCGAAUGAUGUUAUCUUGUCCCAUGUUUCCCGAAUAGUCUUUCAAAUUGGGAAAUCUUCCUAAUUUUGCAACGUACAUAUGAUUGACGGUCCGAUUUCACGCUCGAAAUAUGACCCGCAAUCGUACGGAAAAAUCACCAAUUCGAUCUCACGCUUGAGAUACGAUUCAUGAUUUUAUUUUAAAAUUGGCCAAUCCGAUCUCAUGCACGAGAUACAAUUCGUCAAUUUAUUUCCCAAAAUUAAAUGGACAUGGAUGAUAUCUUGCUUGAUUUGUUGCCGUAAUGUUGUUGAUGCCUUUAUUUGAUUGCUCCCGUAAAAGAAAACCCCAAAAAAUAUAAAUAUUUAGGUUAAUUGCAUAUUACGAUAGAUCGCAUGCUUAUUAGGGAAAUAAAAAUCAUGUGCACGUCAUAUAGAAUUAAGUUCAUACAAUGCAUGUCAUUUAGUAUUUUUGCUAGGCCCAUUUAAUUAGAAAUUACAUGUCAUUAGAAUUAGGUCAUUUAGUUAAUAUUGCAUAGCAUAUUGCAUGAUUUUCAUUAAUUAAGCGAAAAAAAAUAAAAAUUACAUGUUAAUUAUAAACCAUAUCUAGGGUUGUUGAUGUGGAUUUUAAUUUAACAUUGCAAAUGCUUUCGUUGCUAUGAGGUAAGUCCUGCAUUUUUCUAUUAUUUGCUUUCUUGGGUGUUAAAUGGGUGAUUUGUGCACCCGCAUGAUCACCUCACAUGUUAGGGGAGAUAGUUUAAAAUCAAUUCAAGCUGCCUGCAAAACCUUUUUUUCAAAAUAAAAGAAAUGGUACCGAAAGGGCGUUAGAGAAAUCUAGCGUAACCAAGUCCCCGUACCCAAAUCUCUAGUUCGUAGGAAUAAAGUAAAUCUCCCGUUACUUUACUUGGAUUUCUAAUCGACCCACCAAAAAUAGAUUAGUGGCGACUCAUAAUUUAAAAUCAAUUGCAUGUUAAGAACUUGAAUCUAAGUCGCGAAUUGGUAUGUGCUUGGGAAAGCCCGAGUUAAGUCUAGGCUUAACAAUCCAUUAGCCAAACCCUAGGUGGUUCACGCCUGAAAAAUUGGUCGCAACAAAGGUGAAGCCCGGAGAAUCAGUGAGCAUGCCCGACUAGUUAAUCUUAGGACAUUUCUCUUAUAUUGAAAGCCGAUUCCUUUUUGUAUGCUUCUAUGUAUAAACCGGUGUGUUUAUAAAACGGUCUUUUAUGAAAAAAAAAAAAAAAAAAAGGUCAUACUUUCCUAUCACAUUGUUUUAUUGUCUGUGGAUUAUUUAUAUGCUUCCGCAUGCGUAUUGAAAAGAAAGGGUCGAUGAUGCGUCCUAGGACGUCGCUAUUUAUUCAACCAAGUGAGGGAUUGGUGCAUGGCCAAGGAUCGGGGCAUGACAAUCACUCCAUAUGCAAUUAUCAUAGUACAUAUUAGUACCAAGGAUAGUUUUGGAAUCAUCAAGUUCUCAUUGGGAUGCUUUCUCAACUUGUAGCUGUAUUUUCUUUUCAACAAUUCAACAUUUUUGGACUUUGGUGGCCUUCAUCUUCAGUCGACACUCUGAACCAUGCUACUUCAUCAAGUCAACUCAUCAGCCUUGCCGCAAUAUGAGGAAUAAUCACCAACUAGGUUUAGAAAUGAAUUUGCAAGCUCAAAUGGGCUCUACAAGGAAUAAAAGUGUGUAUGAUAGAGAAAGAAAUGUUCUUCAUCACUUUAAGGCACCUAAAUUCUUGUUUGAGUUCAUCUGUAAUAAAGAUAGUCAAAGAUUAAUUCAAGUGAGGGCAAGAAAAGUUCUUUCAUUUUUCUCAACCUAUAAUGUCAACUUUACCUCAAUUCCGCCCCAGUGCGAGAACAAGGUUAAGUCGAAAGAAAAUUUUCCAAUCAUUCAAGCUCAAAAGGCUUAAACAAUAGUUUAACUACAAUGUUUAGGAUAAAGGAAUGAAUGGCCCCUCAUCAUUCAAUUUGCAUACCUUCCUCCAGAAACCAAUUACCUUGAGGACAUGAAAUUAUUCCACUCAUCUCAUAGUGUAUAAAUAAAGGACUAUAGGUAGGAUUAAGCUUGCAUUUCAUCAUUUUGAUGGAUGCUCUGAAUUUACUCUUCCCCCCUGCAAAACAAAGUGUACAGAGAUAUAAUGUAAGUAAUCAUAAGUACAAAUUGUGGCUUGGCUUAUGCAAAAUAUAGAUCCUCUAAGGAUCUCAUGAUUCAAGGCAUUAUACCUCUAUUAUCUCAUCAUGUAUUUUUUAAAGUCACAACAAGUUCUAUUUGCAAUGGAAAUAUUCCCGGGCCACAAUGCAAGGCGAUUACAAAAGGAACGAAGUGGCAAAUAGGUGCUUAAAACUUUUAUUUUCACUAAAUUUUGAGUGGAACAUAAGAAAGCCAGCCUUCAGAAUUAUCUCCUCGCCUCAUUUUUUAUUGGUAGGAUUUUAUAAUUAGGAUAGUUUGGUUUACUUCAACAUUCCAUCAAAAUAUGAAAAUUUUGAUGAACUUGCAUCUUAUUGAAUGAAAAUAAACAAAUUACAUUGUAUGGAAAAGGAAAUCCUAGUAAGCAAUCAAAUACAAAGAAUCAAGCACUAGAAAGCAUAAAUACUCCUAUACAAAUGAGUGUGUCAACAAUCAACGAUGCCCUAACUCUAGGUGAUUUGAACUCAUCCUAUCAUCCAGCCUUACAUCAAUGGCAAAGACUGCAUUUUCCAUUUGUGCAGAUAGCCUCAUUAUUUGACAGAUCAUCCCAACCAUUGGGCAUAAUGUCCUUGACAACAAGAUCAAUGCUUCGCAAUUUAGAGCAUAGCACAUAAUAGUCCUACUCGUUGCUUAAAUUGUUCCAUUGUACUAAAAGGCUCGAUGUUUGGAGGCAAGAGUAUAAAUUGGCCCAAAUCUCACACUCUCGCGAUUGGGUCGGGUGCUCUUGACACUAGCUCAAUCAAAAGGCCACCCUAUAGUCUUGCAAUCUCAAGUAUCAAGAAAGAAAGUUCAGGGUUUGAAAAGUGCAAUCCUUAGUCUCGUAGUUUUGUGGACAAGGUUGUAUUGUCUCAACACCAUCCUUUUUUUUCCUAAUAUGCAAUCUAGGUUCGAUUGCAGGAUUCAUGCAAAAGUUUAGUGUUAUGCACAACAGUUUAUAAUAUGCAUACAUCACUUCAAUAUUGAUCUAACGCAUACAUUCUCAACAUCUCUCUACAAAACAAAGUGUUAUAAUUCAUCCCUUAUAACUCUCAUAUGCAAGAACAUUUAACAUAAUUGUUAGUGGCACAUCUUAUCUCCAUACUGCUCAAACGAAAACAAGUUUUAAAAGAGAAAAUGCAGGCCUAAGUCAUUUGGAAUUGUCAAGUUGCUGGGACCUUUGCAGGAGUGAACCACCAAGGAAAAGAUAAUAGAUUACUGGGUAGGGUACGAAUGGUAACUCAUUAAAGAAGGUACCUUUGUCUAGCGCAGACUCUUCCGAGUCCAUACCAGUCACAACUUUGAGUUUUAAUUAAAUCAAUUAACUAUGUAAAUAAAUUCAUUUUGGGAUCACCACUAAUUUUUACAGGUUAAUUGGAAACCCAAGUAAAAUGCUCUUACAUUUUACUUCUACCGAUCAAAUAUUCAUGGAUUGGGAUUCGGUUAUGCAAGAUAAAUCUACCACCCUUUUGGUACAUUUUCUCUUUAUUUUAAACAUGUCUGGAAGCAGUUUAGAUCAUUUAAUCUUAAGCCACUAAUAUGCGAUGGGUGAUCAAGAGGGUGCACAAGGGUGAUCAAGAGGUCAAUGACUAUGUAAUGGGCACAAGGGUGCGCAAGCAAGAAUUUAACACUUAAUAUUCAAAGCAAUAAAUAAAUUGCUUAGGAAAGAGUAAAGAACCUCAGCACGUUAAGCAAACUUUAUUGUCGUCCAAUGCACAAAGUAUUCUGCAGUAUGUUAACUAAGAAUUAAACGACUAUGUAAUGCAUGCAUCUAGACAAGAUUUCAUCAUAUGAUUAUACAAUGCUAAUUAUUUCUAUCUACAAGAUGAGGUCAUUAAAAUCAAUCCUAAAAAUAUGUGACUCUCUAUAUGACGUGCAAUGUUGAAUGUCAUCAAUAUGAGAUAUGGAUGCAAUAUUUUUUGAGAUUUUCUUUAAAAGUAAAAAUAUGAAAUUAUUGUUUGGAAAAUCCCUUAUGAUGUUUUGAAGAUAACAAAAUAAAUCAAAGGCUACUAAGGUGUUUAAUGGUUGAGUAAUAGACUAUGCAGAUGAUAGAACAUAUAAAGGAUAUUGUCGAAGUCUAUACUUGGAAGAACCAUAAGACAGACUCUAUGAUGAAGCUAAACUUAUUCAGAUUGUGUCGAGACCUUAAGGCUAAAUAUGUUUAAAAGCAGAAUAUGUUCAGACUUAUGUCCAGAUUGUAAAGUCUAUUUCAAAUGGAAGACACUCAAACUUUACUUUCGACAUAACACUCUCAAACUUUACAUCUAGAACGAGACACAAGUCCAUAACGUGACAAGGUUUAGAAUGAGACACAAGUUCAGAAGGUAGUAGAUUCAGAACAAAACAUGUUCAGAACGAGACAACUUGACAGAACAAAACACAACCCCCAAACAUAUAACGGCUACUAAUCUGGUUUAGAUUCUACAUCAAGAUAGAUUUGAUUGACUCAAUCUAAUUUAUUGACAAUUGGAUCAUAAAGACAAGAAAUUUAUAAACGAAGAAGCUCUACUUAUGGAACCAAGAUUCUGUUUGUAUGGGCGAUCAGAAUCAAUUUGGGAUUCUACUUCUAUCACUCAAUGGCUAAUAAAUCUUCUUGAUACAGAUCUGUCCAAUGGGUAGAUUGGAAGAUGAUUCUCUAUAUACUAUCCAACAACUAGUUUGGAAGUGGAUAAGUAUUUAAGGAGACUAAGGACCGAUGAGCAAGUAAGAGACGAAGCGUAAAAUUUAUAAUUCCAAAGUCUAAGUGACCUUCGAUCAUAUACCUGUCUCUUAUGAGCUUAAACGUUUAUGAUCUUGUGAGCUUAAAAGUUUGUGAUCGUGAAAGAAAUACCAAAAGAGUGACUUAGUGAAAUGGCGUGAUCUAUCACUGAGUGUUUGCACUCAAAGUUGUAAUCUCUUGUUGAUUGCAUAGUGGAAUACAACCAAAAAGCUGUUAGCGUGGGAGAGUGAACGUAGGCUUGAUCUAAGCCGAACCACUAUAAAUUUCGUGUGCAACAUUCUCUUUCCUUAACUCUUUAUAUUUAAGUCUAUUAUAUACUUAUAUGUUAUUUCAGAAGUCUGUUCUAUCGUAUAACAGAUUCUAAACAUCUACCAGAAGUCUGGUGGCUCGCUUAUCAAACUUUGAUCCUUAUUCAGACUUUUCUCAAAAUUUAUUUUAUUAUGCAUUUAUUAGCCAAGAUUUAUUUUAAAUACUUAUUCACCUCCUCUAGGUGUUCGUACUAGCACUUUCAACUACCUAAUUCCACAUGAUGAAUUUAACCAAUAAGAAAAUUAAAUAUCAUUUUUAUGUGAUGCAUCUAAUCUAAUGAUAUGCAUAUCCUAAAGUUCUACAUGAUUAGUGAUUAAGUGACAAUGAAAUCACUAUAUUAUAUUAAUAAUUACUAAGGCUAACCUUAGAUUAUUAAAUAUCACUUCAUGAUAUGUACAUAAAAUGGGAAAGAUUUAAUUCGGUAUCCAAUCUUUAGUCUCAAAGAUUCGAUUUCCUAAUUUAUCCAACCGAAACAAAGAAUGGAAAUAUUUAAUUGAGGCUCCAAUCUUCGUGCCUAAAGAUUCAAUUUCACUGAUUAAACUUUUAUUUACAAAUCAAAAUAUUUAAAAUAGGAAACUAAAUAUUCUAACCCACCUUAAUACGCGAGGGAUAUACGCAAUAUCUAAUUACUAGUUCUAAUCGGGCGAGAUAGUGAUGACAUGAGCGGACAUGGAAGCUUAUCUGGAGCACCGAGAAACCUUCAAUGAAAGUGUCAAGCAACAGGGUUCAAGGAUGUGAUGACGGUGACAAGGGCUGGUGCUCGUUGAGAAUCACUCGGAUGCAUGCGAAGCUGCUCAGAGUCGGUCACAGACUGGUGCGGGUGUGCUGGUGCUUGCUGAAGCUGAGGUUGAGCGAUGGUGAUGCUGUGCACAGCGGUGGGAAACUUGUAGGAGAUGGUUAGAUCGAAGCGAAGCUCGGUAAGUUGGGCCGGUGCUUCUGCAUUGGUGCAAGUGGAGUGGCAAGGGGGAAACAGUGGUCGAGUGGCAAGGCACAGCGACCAAGUGGGGCUUGGCGGCUUUGAAAAAAUUCGGGACCUUCGUUAAACGUUCCCUCAAUUUUCUCGCUUUUGUAUGUGUGCCUCUUAGUUUCUAGCCCCUGUUUUGAAUUAGAAGGAAAGAAUACUUAUAUAGGUAUAGAUCUAGGGCUUUACUUAAGAUACCACCUUCCUAAAUUAAACAAAAGAGAUUAUGUGAUAUGUUCAAGAUAGAAUAUUGAGGUAUUCUCUUUCUUUUUUCCCCCAUAAUUAAAAUUUUCAAAAAUAAUGCUUUUAUUGCAUACAAACUUAAUUAGAUUAUUUUUACCCCAAAAAAAACUUAAUUAGAUUAUGCAAUUUUUCUUAAUUCGCACCUCCCAUGUCAUCUCAUAUGCAAAUUUUGGCCACUUAGGUUAUUCAAUAGACUUGGCCGAAUUUUUACUUUUGUAGACUUGUUCUAAUAAUUAAAUUAAGUUUAAAGCCCCUUACUUGAACCCAUUUGCUCCAGUUAAAUUAUAAUGCAAUUUAUGUGGGUCUAAUAUUUUUAUAAAAAUGCUCCUCAUUUGCAAAUGCAAAUUAAUAGUGCUUUUUUUUUUUAGGGGAUGAGAUAGUCUCCCAAUUUUCCAUACAUUGAAUGGGUCACCAUAAUUUAGGUGUCAACAGAAAAACUACAAGGCAUUCUUCUACAACCUUAAUGACUUUCAUUCUUUCCCCCAUUGCUUUUACUUUGUAACUCAUCUUCAAUUGAAAAGCAUGUCAGUUUCAAUUUGAGAAAAUUGUACAUACCUCCUUAAUCAUUUCACCGUGUUGGAAAUAUUAAUUACAUAUCAACACUAUUUGUCGUAAUCUGAAAAAAGCGAUAACAAAAUAAACAGGUGAUGAGGUACAACUAACUAAAUCUCUUUAAGGUAAUUAGUUCCUUCCAACAAUACUAAACAACUUCACGAAUUAUGUCUCCCAAGAUACAACAUGUCGAACAUGUUUGUAUCAACACUAUAUGAACAGAACUCUGUUGAGCACUUCUCAAAGCCGACACACUUAGACAAUGACUACCAAAAAAAUUAGUAAGUACUUUGAGGCAUUUUUUUUGUUAUUUUGAACUAAGAAGACAUGCCUAUUUAUAGAUGAGAGAAACAGCCGUAGAAAAUUGAAAGGAAAUUAACUCAAAAAUCAUGUCGGUUAUGCUUGUAUUAGUUUUUUUUGUUUUUUGGUCGGUAUGCUUGUAUUAGUUGAGUCAUUGACACUUAAUAACANNNNNNNNNNNNNNNNNNNNNNNNNNNNNNNNNNNNNNNNNNNNNNNNNNNNNNNNNNNNNNNNNNNNNNNNNNNNNNNNNNNNNNNNNNNNNNNNNNNNUAUGAUCGGUGUAUGCUUUAGAUCAUUCUUGUCUCCUUUCGCCAUCCCUAGUGGCGUCCUACCAACGGUAGUGGUGCUUAUCCCUGAACCUGCGCGGACAAUUCCUCACCCUGAUGGUCGUGUUGGCCCACAUUCAUAGCACGCUCCCGUGAUACCAAGACAUUGGGCUGAUCCAUACUUUCUUUCUACAAAUUUGGCACACAUUCGGUGAGUCCUCUACCUCUUGUCAUGUGACAGCACGCACCCUUUCUUGCACCGGAGACCUGUCCCAAUUACCCAACUGUGCAUUAUGCGGUGCAUUCUUCCUACUCUGGCUCAUCGGCGGCAGUGGCGGUAGCUAUUAUGGUUCCAUCUGCCCGAGCAGACAGUCCUUGAUCAAGUGGUUGUACUGGCAACACCCGUAACAAACCCUUGUCUUUUUAAAACACAAGGCGGAUCCAUGUCUUUUCCCACCGACAUGACACACGCCUUUCUGGUUGGGUGUUAGCUUUCCCAUUAUACUCCUUUGAGUGGGACGAUUGAAGUGCUUUCCUUCUGUCAUCAGUUUCUUCCCGAAUCAAUUGCUAACUCUAUCUGAACUAAACCACGACCUAAAUGUGGUGGCUCUCUCCCCAAUCACAAUUCCAGGUUGGGCCUCAACCAAUGCAGCAACAACAGCAGUUACGGCAUUGGCAGCGGCAGUGACAGCGACAACAGUGUCACGCCCCGAUCCUCAGGCACGCGCACAUCCCUUACCUUUGGUCGAUUUUAAAAUGCGAUAUCCCAGGACUAUGUAUCGCCGACCCUUUCAUUUAUAUAUGCACAUGCGAAAGCGGUUAUAAAUCCCCAGACAAUAAAACAAUGGGAUAGAUAAGUAGGACUAGAAAAUUGAACCUGAAAGUCAACACCCUUAUGUACAUCUAUAAUGACUCAGUCAUACAUCUACAUAUACAAACCAUGCUAAAAAGGUUGGUUUCUACUCAAUUAGAUUCUACAGCAAUAGUCAUCAGGAUCCUACUCUGGAUCAUCCCUUGGGGUUCUCUUUCAGAUACUCCUCUUUGAGUUCUUUCUCCUCACGGUUUUCCUCGUCAGGUUCCUCCUCCUUAAGCUCCUUAUCCGGGUCCUGAAAUGGUUAUUCAAUAACCACUGAGACAACGUCUCAGCAAGUUCUACCCCCUAAGACCCGAUUAGUAAACUAAUACACCUUAGGGCUGCCUAUACACAACAUGAGUUAGAGGACUUACCUUGGCCUUAGAUUCCACCUGCAUAUUAGCACAAAUCAAUAGGCACCCAAGUAAUCACAUCACAGAUCGAAGCAUCGAUCAAAUCGACCUAGUCGAUUACAUAUCAACAAGACCACUCACGGUCAUUUCCAUCCAAUCAACCAAUUCACAGCAUCAGAUCAAAACAAUGAUCAAUCGACCUAGUCGAUUACAUGUCAUUCGGACCACCUCUCGGUCACAUCAACACCAUACUUUAUAAUCUCCAUUCGGGUACAUAGUCACAGAGCCAGAUGAAUGCUCUCGGGCGUCUUUUUCGCCAAGGUGACGUACCAAUUACCGAUCACGAUAAUCUCCAGCAGUACACUUAGUCACAGAGCCUCAUUAAUGCUCUCGGGCGCUGCUUUCGCCAAGGUGACGUGUAUAAUGGGACAGCACUCGUGCGUUCUUUAAGGCGUCGUUUUCACCAGUGAUAUCUUCCAUCACCGAACCACGUAUGUCCAUACUGCUGCAUGUAAUAGACAGCACUCGUGCGUUCUUUAAGGCCGCCGUUUUCACAGUGAUAUCCUUUAAUCACGAACUACAGCAUUAUCGAUGCUAAAUAAUAACACUCGGCCAUCAACCAAUCAAUCAUUCAAUUUCAUCCAAUUUGGGAUAAAUCACUAAAAUUGCACAAUCAAAUCAAUUCCACGCAAUGUAGAGCUCAAAUAAAUAAACGGACUGCACCACGACAAUCAGCACGAAAUUCUGGUCACCGGCCAUCCCAGUUGAAUUUCCGGAAAAUAAAUAAUUAAAUAAUUAAUUUCGAAAAUUAAUAUUUAAUUCCUAAAAAUUCCAUCUAGGCCCGAUUUGCUGAAUUAACACCCGAUGAGGGACGGGAAAAAUCCCAAGAAGCAUCCAAUAAAUACUAUAGGCAAUUAUCUAUCUAAUUACACUAAUCACACAACUAAUAUGCAAAGUAAUUAACUAAUAAUCACUAAGCAAUUCUAAUCUAACCACAUAAUUACACUUAAUUAACACUAAUCAACAUUUAAGUAUAAUUAGUACACUAAGAAGGCACUAGUGAGUAAAACUCACUUGGUAAAGCGAAGAUCGAAAACCGCGACGGCGGCCGAAUUCCAAAGUUUCGGCGGCGACGAUAGACACUCGAGCCGGGCCUACAAGCCUCGCAAGCCCACAACAAAGGCUGGCCUUGGGCCGACUUGCUUCACGGGCCCAAGAUAGGCUGAACUUGCUGGGCCUUGCUGAAAUACAAAUGAUGUUGGACUCGACACUCGGGCUGAGAUGGGCUUGAAACAAAACUGAACUAGGCUUCAAGAUAUGGGCUGGACUUCAAUUGCUUUGCUGGAAAUUGGGCUUGGCCAAUUAACUCACGUGGACUGGGCUGGGCUGCAGCUGAAGUAAUUCGACUGGGCUUGAAAUGGCCCUCAGCUGGACUGAACUUUACUGGGCCCAAAUGAUUGAAAGUGUUGGGCUAAGGGCAGGCCGCUGGAGAAGACCGAAGACUGUUGGAGCUGGUGUCACGCGUGGGCUGGGCUGCUGCGGUUGGCCCACGAACUGGAGAAGCAGCUGCUGGCGUGCACUGGAAUCUUCGAGCUUCGCUGGCAACAAGGGGACAAGAUGCAGCUUCGCUCGGUGGGGGAUUUCUUCGGUCAAUCUUCAGCGGUUUUCAGCUGGGUCUUGACCGGUGAAAUGGACCGAAACGUGGCAGAGAUGGGGAGCAGCUGUUGGCGUCGAUGGACGUGGGAAGAAGACGCAACGUGGCUUCGCUGGGGUCUUCAAUUCGCUUAAGUCCACGGACGUGAGUCUUCUUCAGUGGAAGGCCUCGCGCGGCUGAAGAAGAAGAGGCGCGGAUGAAGAGUCUUCAGUGGAAGCUGCAGCUUCAUUGGACGUGGCUGCUUGAAGAUUGUCGGUGGACGUGGCAGCGGCAGGAAUUGCUCAGUCAACCAAGGAAUUCGGUGACUUGCUGGUUGACCGAGAGAGCGCAGACGUUGGACGGGUGGCAAGGAGAUUUCGGUGGAGAUGGGGGGCGUCCGUUGGCGUUGAUGCUGAGUCGUGGAUGAAGAAGCCGCUUGGGGUUUUGGUGAGUGGAGGUUUCACGGUCAACACCAGCUUCGCUGGUUGACCGAACUGAAUGAAUUAGUUCGGUGGGUGGAGCUACAGGGAAUCAUGGCCUAAAGUGGAGAAGCGGACGAAGGUGCGGCAGCUUGGGGGAGAAAACUCGGUGAACUUGUUUCGCGGCUUCAGUGGAGAAAGAUGGAGUCUUCGCUGGGGGGAGAGCUGAGACGACGGAGAGAGAGAUCUUCGGACGUGUGGCUGGUUUCUCUCGGUGGUAAAANNNNNNNNNNNNNNNNNNNNNNNNNNNNNNNNNNNNNNNNNNNNNNNNNNNNNNNNNNNNNNNNNNNNNNNNNNNNNNNNNNNNNNNNNNNNNNNNNNNNNNNNNNNNNNNNNNNNNNNNNNNNNNNNNNNNNNNNNNNNNNNNNNNNNNNNNNNNNNNNNNNNNNNNNNNNNNNNNNNNNNNNNNNNNNNNNNNNNNNNNNNNNNNNNNNNNNNNNNNNNNNNNNNNNNNNNNNNNNNNNNNNNNNNNNNNNNNNNNNNNNNNNNNNNNNNNNNNNNNNNNNNNNNNNNNNNNNNNNNNNNNNNNNNNNNNNNNNNNNNNNNNNNNNNNNNNNNNNNNNNNNNNNNNNNNNNNNNNNNNNNNNNNNNNNNNNNNNNNNNNNNNNNNNNNNNNNNNNNNNNNNNNNNNNNNNNNNNNNNNNNNNNNNNNNNNNNNNNNNNNNNNNNNNNNNNNNNNNNNNNNNNNNNNNNNNNNNNNNNNNNNNNNNNNNNNNNNNNNNNNNNNNNNNNNNNNNNNNNNNAUAAAUCAAUCGACGCUCAAUGUCUCAAUUACUAUUUUUCCUCAUCCAAUAAACCAUCGUGCAUCUCAAUUUUGUAACCAGAAUUGAUCCUCGGCUUCAACUGAACAAAAACAACCAUAUUUAUUCAGUUGAAAUUAGAACCCGAAAGUGACAGCUUGAUUCUAUGCUUGCUAACCCAAAAUGCUUCCCAAAGUCUCAAGCGCCUAAACGAUCCCAUCAAAUCUAGGAUCGCUCAGUGCUACUAAACUCACAGUACUGGCCUGCAACGGUACUCUUACACUCACAUUGGCCUGAGCCUGCGCUCUACCUCGGGUACCUCGAGUAUCAACCCUUGUCAACGUCCUACCCCGAGUUACAGUUCCUACUAACCUAUGCCUAGGAGUUCUCCGCUCAUGAUCACUCAUGCUACAGGAUCUUAUAGAAACAUGUUUCCAAUUCCAAUACCAUAUUAGAAUUUGAGUGAUCCCACAAACAAGCUACCAAUCAGCUAUCACUCGCAUACAUCAACAUAAUUAAAAGGCAUUUCCUACUAACUAUCCUAAGAACCCAUCGCACCUUAUCACUCCAACUAUUGACUAGCUCUAUUACCACUCCGGGCGGGGAUGUCAUGCCCCAAUCCUUGAGCGUGUGCCCAUCCCUCGGUGGUCAAUAAUAAAAAUGUGACUUCCCAAAACGAGUCACUGACCCUUUCAUUUUAUUGCAUAUUCGGAAGCGAAUAACAAAUCCCCUAACAGUAACCAUCUGGGAUAUAAAAGCAAGACAACAGAUUCACAAGCAAAACAUGUUUUUAUAAAUAUACUGAGUCAUGUACAAAGGUUUAUAACCAAAAGACUUCAAAAGACUGCCUCUCCAAAAAGAAAUUGUCAUAUUUGACCUACACCACGAAUCACCUCAGCUCGGCUCCAAGUCCUCCACCCUACGGUACUGAAAAGUUAAGCCCACGACGAGGUAAGAUAUAAAUUUCAACGAAUUCAUGCUCUAAACCCCGAUUAGGAGGGUAAUACGCCUAGAGGCGUCCUAACCACAUAACCACACAACUACAGAGACUUACCUUGUCUCAUAUCCUUCCUGCAUGUCAGCAAAGUUCAUACCACAGACAACACAAAAGCAUGAGCAGUAAACAAGCUCAUCAACUGGAACGCCACACUCAAAUUUCAAACAAGCACAGGGGUCCUGAUUAUAUCAAAUCGUUAUGACACAUCCCAUACAGUGCCACACAAUUUUAUCCCAUAAUUCGGCACAUCUAUCUCACUCAAUCAUGUGUUUUAAUUGAUUACUACUACCCGCACAAGCAGUUUUACCCAACACACAUCAGUCCUCUGGCAUAGCCAGGUUUCAUCUCACUCCUUUGAGCAAAACUACAUCCUCCGACACACAUCAGGGAUGGCAUUCCUUACGGCAUACCCGAAGGAGCUUUAAUCCAGAAUCUAUUGUGACCGGCUUCCCAUAUAGAGUUAACAUCCACUCAUACACACUGGGGACGGGUUCUCUUAACCAACACACGAUCAUUCAAUUAUGGCAAAAAACACUGUGCAUUACAUUCAAAUGUCCCAAUUAAAAUAAUGCACUUGGCUCAUUUUCUUCGUAUUAAAAACACCCGAUGAAAAUAGUCGUUUGUGGGUACACGAUCAGAUCAAAUCAAAAAAAAAAUUGAUAUCCUUCCUUUUAAAAUCCCACUAUUUUAUAUAGUAUAUAAAACAAUUUUCGGUGUCAAAAUCCGACACCUAGGAUUUUCUAAAUAAAUAUUGAAUUUCAAAAAAUUUCGAAUAAAUAACCAAAAUUCUAAUCAGUACUCAAUUUGCACAAAUUAACACCUAAUUGCAUAAACUAAACAUACCAUUGUAAUCAACACGAAAUUUUGGUCACCGACUAUCCCGGUCUAAUUUCCGAAAAAUAAUUAAUAAUAAAUAAUUAUGAAAAAUAAUUAAAUAAUGUAAAUUAAAUCAAUAAAUGCAAACUUAGGCUAAAAAUUGCUAAUCUAACCACCUGUUGAACUAAUUAAUUUAUACUAACCAUUCUAACUAUAAUGCCACAUAAUAAACUAACUAAUUACAAGUUCUAACCACCUAAUUCACUAAUCUAACUAACCUAAAUUAAUUAAACAAGCUAAUAACUAUCAUAAUAUAAUCUUAAUAUAAUCUAAACACCCCUUUAACAUCAUUAGCCUACUAAUUAGAGUUUAGUGCAUAAACUCGCUGAUUUAGCGCGAAAACCGGUUCACCGCAAUGGUGGCGCAACAGCAACCGAAACUUGAACUUUUGGCAACACCAAUGGAGACUUGGACUGGGUCAAAAAUAGCUCACAAACUAAUUGCUUGAGCUGAAAACCAAUUAUGCUCAAGAACUCGUCGCGAGCUUGGCUUAGCGGCUCGAGACUACAGCGUGUGAAGGUGAAGAGAGCAGUUGGAGGUGGCAGGUGGCGUCAACGCUAGUGGUCCACAAACCAGAUGAAGAAGCAGCUUCGAGCGGAGAGGAGCUGCUGGAGUCAAUGUUGGCGGAGAAGGCGUUGCUGGAGUUUGACUCGGUGAAUCAACACCACGCGAAGAUGGGUAAGGCGGCAGCGAAAUGGAGGUGGGACAGGCGAUGGUGGUGGAGUAGCUACAAGAUAGACUCGACAGAGGGAAAUGGAAGUAGGUGCUGGCGGAGAGAGAGAGAGAGAGAAACAACGGAGCUGCUUCGGUGAAGGAAUAAAUGAACGAAAGCAUAAGGUAGAGGGGUUGGUCAAACCGGCGUGCGCGAGAGAAAGGACCAAAGGAGAGGGGCAGCUUGGCGUAAGGAGGAAGCUGCAAUUUGGGGGAAAGAAGUCCACAAAAUUAUCCACUCAAUUAAAUGCUUGGUCUCACAAGCCUUCAAGUUAAUCCCCUUUGUCCCCCAAUCACUUUCAUGCAUCUAAAUCCCCACAAAUAACAAGUUUUGAUGCCAAAUGUUGCAGCCCCCUUCAAGCUUACGAAUUUCCCUCAAAUAGACUUCAAUUUCUUCACCAAUUGAUGUCCAAUUUUGCUGAGGAGGAAGCCCACACAAUUUCUACAAUUUCCCUUCACCAAGUAGCUCACUUUGGAGGCCAAAAAUCCCUUCAAUUUGGCACAUCCAAAUUUCCGUUCUUUUCCGAAUCGUCCGAAUUGAUUUUCCGUAAGAAUCUUGAACUCGCCGAAAAUUCUUCGAAAGAUGAGUCAACAUUCCUAAAAUAAAUCGUGACAUGAAAAAACUUUUAUUUUCUAAAAUCAAGUUCAACUUCACGGUUAAUUUCAAUCUGGUGCGAUUUUAGCGUGUCCUAACCUACCGGGUAGCGUUUAGAAAUUUUUAGCGCAUUUGACCUGUGCUCGAUUAUUUCGAGCCACAUUGUGCAUCUUCGACACAUUUGCAACUCUCAAUUGUUGUGAAAAUCUCAAGAUUUCAAAUACGGACACAGGGUACAAAAAUGAUAGAAAAAUCGGUCUAGUGCCGUUCAAUAGAAAUUUUGCAAUUAGGUGCAAUCACCCACACACUAAUCACAUACCUCUAUCGAAUCAACCUAUCUUCAAUUUCUAAUUAAUUUUGACGGUGCCGUAAUGACUCUUUCAGAUUAGCACAGUCGAGUUGGUUGAAUUCUCAAGUCUAUUGCAUUUAGAUUCCUUAAUAGCUUCACCUAAUAGGCCAGUUAUCCCGUGAGUGAUCAGCUCAGGGAAAAGAACUAUAGACGCAUCGAUGAAAAGCCCAACUUAUUAAAUUGAAAACAAAACUUGAAAUUCAAGAUGUCACUGUGGCACCCCUCGAACGGCCCCCGAUCCGUUAUGGUCGCCACAAUGCACUUACCUUUCUCUUGUCUUGACAAUAUAUCACUCUAAUAGCAUAGAAUCAUAAUAAGCCCAUAACUCCUGGGGGUUUAUAUCUUUUGAUCAGUCCCUACACAGAAAUAUGGCGGAAGCAUAUCCAACAACUCCCUUCCCUAUAUUUAGAAAAUGAUGCACACCAACUAAACAUUUAUAGAUAAAAGCCGAACACUUUUAUUUACUUAAACCAGACGGACAUCAUUCAUCGGUAUAUCAAAAUGCCAUAGUCUUCUAUAAUCGGCUAUACUUUAAAAGAUGACCGACAUCUUUUCCAACAAUCGUAUACUUAAAGUCCAUUAAUCAAUGUCAACGUCCAAAAGUUCCUUCCUUUGUUGUCCUCCUCCUCACAAUCAUAUCCAACCACUCGAUCCAUUUGCUAGUGGCGGUGAUAGUAGAGGCAUCUUAUCUAGUCUGAAAUGUUAGUCUCCAAAAUGGGUGAGUACAACCACUCAGCAGUAAAAGAUUCAUUAAGUUAUAUCAUGCAAUACCAUCAAUAUCUAGAUUCAUACAAGAUAGACAAGAUAGGCAAUCAAUGAAUAAGUAUGCAUCCAAACCAUAUAACUCUUCAAUGCAAUGAUCAGUGCAUUUCCAACCAAUAAGAUGCAUCAUGUCCAAUCACACAAGUCCUGAUCAUAGGGUCAAACUGUAAUGACACGUCUCAUUUCAUGCCAUACAAUUUAGUCCUAUAACCAGACCACACACACACUUAGUGGAACCAUCAGUUUUAACAUUCAAAAGGUUUCACCCCCCAGAGGACCAAUGUUUGUGUCCUUAUGGGCAAUCGCACCCAAUUCUAGCGUCGCGAAGUCCUCCGGUACACACCUCUGAACAUCUCGCAUCCCACCUGGCAUCACGAGGAAUUGCUGGGGCUCGCCAUAAAAAUUGGUUAUCCAUGCCUUCCGGGAAUUAUGUACCGACAUACCACCGGGCAUCCGGCACACACCUCCAAGCAUCUCUACUCCCGAGGAAAAUCCUCUGGGCAUGUAUUCAAAAUACAACUAGGCAUCCAAAGGGCAUCAACUCAUUCAAACCUUUGGGCAUUCUAACUCCCGGGGCAUCGUUGACCCGAGGGUCCAACGGCAAUAAUUAACAUCUUAAUUUCCAAAAACACUUUUCAAUGCAAUGACAAAAUGUCUCUUGAGUCUCAUCACAUCUCAAUAUUGCAUAAUAUGCCAAUGACAGUAUCAUCAUGUCACAUAACAACCCAAGAUGCAUUCACUUUUGAAAUCAGUUGAGCAAAGUCUGAGUAAAACAGCUUAAAAACCAAAAUGUGCAGCUUUAAUGAAAAUUUCGAAAUAACCCCUAAAUGAACUCAGAAAAUUAUGAAAUUUGGAUAUGUUGUAAAAAAGACCUAAAGGAAAAUGUUUCAUGAAGAACACUAAGUCAGAUUCACUGUAUAUCAAGAGCAAUAAUUUCGAUAUUCCCUACUAACACUCUGUAAUAAUUUCCAGAUUUAACAUUUACAAGAAAAAUCAUUUCACCGACCAAAACUUGUCCAUUUAUUCUCAAUUUUUGAGAUGUUAUUCCUACAGAUGUUCUCUCCAACUUUCAUUAAGUAUUCGAAGUUCAACUCUAUCUAGAUAAAUACAGAAAAUUCGUGGAAUCAUCAAAGGUCAGGCUGUUUUUCUACGGAACAGUUUUCUGUUUUAAAAUGAAUUGCUUCUAUCUACACAUUCUUGUAUUCAUAUAGCUAUAACUAUGAGUUAAACUCAAUCUAAUGGAUGUUAUAUUAAGUAAAAUGAUUAUAUUCCUUAUCUUCAUCUCUAGAAAUUAAAGCUACACAAUAUAAACGAUUUUCUAUCCAUGUUCAUCUAAGACAGAAAACAUCUAAUGCUUUUCUCUUCAUUUCCAGCUCAAUCAAACCGUUUGUUUUACUACAAAUUCAUCAUGUAGCAUCUCAACACACUUACACAGCAUCUAGGAGUAGUCAUAGUACAUUUUCACUCACCUAGAACCCUUCACAACUCGGUACAAAGCACGUACUCACAUCUUGGCUCAUGUAACUCAACAUGCAUCACCUUUUCUAAACUCAACACACACCAUUACACCUCACUCAACAAUCACAGCUCACUCACAAUUAGAUUUCGAGACAUGCAAGCCUCAAAUGCAACAUGCAAUGACUUAUAGCCUCGAUCUAGAACUUAUCUAGCUCAAUCCAACAUAAAAUAACAACUUCGCAUUCAAUCCUCCACAGAUUGGCAUUCAGUUUUUAUCUCAACCCUUCCUCAAGUCUAUUGCACUACACUAGAUAGCAACAGCACUACAUCACAUAGAUUGAUGAACUUCUACUUGCCUCUAAUUCCUUAGCUUGACAGCAAGUAAAACCGAAAGCUUGGGCUUGGCUCAACAGCGACAAAGACCGGCGGCGACAACGGUGGCAGCUCGAGCACGAGCACGGGUGAUCUCUUCUUCCUCACACUGUGCACUCACUCACUGCUUGCAUCUCUCUCUCUCUCACUUGCUCACUCGCUCGUUCGGUCUCUCUCUCUCUCUCUGCUCAAAAUUCUAUUCGGUUCACUCUCUUUCUUCACCAUCAAAACCGAGCUAAUAAUUCCCUCAAAAUUAAUUAGACUAAUGAUGAUAUUUGCAUGUAGGGGUUUCGAUGGAUGCAUGCAUGGAGGACAGGUGGGGGAGACAUGGCAAUUUUCUUUGGCCACUUGUAGACACGAACGAAGCAGCUGUUCCAAGCUCCUCCUUCGCUGGCCACCGAAAUGGAGAGCAACGUGGCUGCUGCUGGGUGCCCCUCGGUCAACCACCCACCUUGGUUGACUCCUCAACGUUCGUAUGGGCUGCAUGGGCGUGGGCUGUGGGCUCUUCAUUCCAACGUGAUUAUGGGCUGUAGACGUGGGCCAUAUACGUGAGCUUCAUGUUGCUGCAUGGGUCAACAAUCUUAUUUUGUUGACUGGUUGGACAACAAAGAAAGGCGCGGCUGCAAGUCUUGUACGUGCAUGGGAUAUUUGGGUUGGCAUGGUCCUCAUGCGUAAGAAGAAACGGCCAGCUCGAGGCGGCCGAUUUUUUUGGUGCUCCUCACCAACGUNNNNNNNNNNNNNNNNNNNNNNNNNNNNNNNNNNNNNNNNNNNNNNNNNNNNNNNNNNNNNNNNNNNNNNNNNNNNNNNNNNNNNNNNNNNNNNNNNNNNNNNNNNNNNNNNNNNNNNNNNNNNNNNNNNNNNNNNNNNNNNNNNNNNNNNNNNNNNNNNNNNNNNNNNNNNNNNNNNNNNNNNNNNNNNNNNNNNNNNNNNNNNNNNNNNNNNNNNNNNNNNNNNNNNNNNNNNNNNNNNNNNNNNNNNNNNNNNNNNNNNNNNNNNNNNNNNNNNNNNNNNNNNNNNNNNNNNNNNNNNNNNNNNNNNNNNNNNNNNNNNNNNNNNNNNNNNNNNNNNNNNNNNNNNNNNNNNNNNNNNNNNNNNNNNNNNNNNNNNNNNNNNNNNNNNNNNNNNNNNNNNNNNNNNNNNNNNNNNNNNNNNNNNNNNNNNNNNNNNNNNNNNNNNNNNNNNNNNNNNNNNNNNNNNNNNNNNNNNNNNNNNNNNNNNNNNNNNNNNNNNNNNNNNNNNNNNNNNNNNNNNNNNNNNNNNNNNNNNNNNNNNNNNNNNNNNNNNNNNNNNNNNNNNNNNNNNNNNNNNNNNNNNNNNNNNNNNNNNNNNNNNNNNNNNNNNNNNNNNNNNNNNNNNNNNNNNNNNNNNNNNNNNNNNNNNNNNNNNNNNNNNNNNNNNNNNNNNNNNNNNNNNNNNNNNNNNNNNNNNNNNNNNNNNNNNNNNNNNNNNNNNNNNNNNNNNNNNNNNNNNNNNNNNNNNNNNNNNNNNNNNNNNNNNNNNNNNNNNNNAAGGUGAUUAACGUUAAAGAGAAAACGAACAAGAAAAAACAAAACAAGAAGAGAUCAUUCACAUCAAGGUUUUUCUGUCUGCUCAAGCAUUUGGCUAAAGUACACUUCAAGUGCCAAAAGUUGGUAUAAAUGGACACUUAAGUGCAAAAAAUUACAAAAGUGACACUUAAGUGCCAAAAUUGGAAAGAAAUGGAUCACUUAAAUGCCAAUCUGGCCAAAAUCCGGCCAAAAUGCUGAUGUGCGCAAUUUUCGGCAAAGUAAGUGCAAAACGGCGUCAUUUUGCAUGCUGACGUGGCCAGAUAAUGAAAAAAUGACGUCAUUUUGGUGCUAACAUGGUAAAAAUUAAUAUAAAAAUUAAUUAAAUUUAAUUGAAAACUAAAUUUAUUUAAAAAUUUUGAAAAUACAAAUACAAAUAUUUUUUUAAAAAAAAAGGUGGGAGGGAGGCGGCGGCAGCUGAGGGCUCAACCCUCAGCUGCCUCCCUUUUUAAAUAUUUUAAAUAUUUUUAUUUUAUUUUAAAAAAUUUUAAAAAUUUUAAUUUUUAAUUUAAUUUAAUUUAAUUUUUAUAUUAAUUUUUUACCACAUUAGCACUAAAACAACGCCGUUUUGCACUCGUUUCGCCGGAAAAUUGACAUAUUAGCAUUUUGGCCGGAUUUUGGCCAAAUUAAUACUUAAGUGAUCCAUUUUGCUCUGUUUUUGGCACUUAAGUGUCCCUUUGUACCAACUUUUAGCACUCCAAGGGUCUUGGUGUCUAAGCAUUUUAUUUAUCAUUUUGAUAGUGUUACUUUCUUGUUUCCAUACUUGUAUGAUCAUCCAUCGCAUGUAAGUGGUUUAAGACCAAAUCAAUCAAGGCUACUUGCAAAACAUUUUGUGAAAUAAAGUGAAGGUGCCAAAGGGAGAUAGAUUUAUCUAGCAUAAUCAAGUCCCUUAUCCAUGAAAUCUCUAGUUCACAAAAAUAAAGUGUUCUCUCACAUUUUACUCGGGUUUUUAAUCAACCAUAGUAGACUAAUGGCAAUUCUUAAAUGAAUUGAAUUGGAUGUCUAAAUAAUUUAAUUAAAACCCCAAAGUUGUGAUUGUUGGGGGUUUGAGAGAACCCGCAUUAGACAAUGGUACCGUCUUUUUAAUGAGUUACCAUUUGUACUUGCAUGAUAAUCCAUUAACUUUCUCUUAGUGGUCCACCUCUAAGAAGGUCAUGACAAUUGGCAAUUAGAGAGUGGCAACUAAAUUAAAGAAGGAAAAGUGAGCUUGUUGAAUUAGAGACGAGUUGACCGAGCAACCGCAUGGAAACAAUGAAUACACACUCCUCAUUCAUCCGAUUGCACUAAAAUGUUGAGGGGAGUUAGUCAACAAGCGGACGAAGCUUGUGUAAAAUUUUUAGACCAAACGGAUAUUGAAAAUUUCAGUUUUGAAGGCUUGACAACAUUGUCUUUUUGUCCAGGCAUCUUGGUGCAAGAUCAUCCAACAUUCCUUGAAAAAAUGCAAAUUUAGGAACUAUUCUUGAAACUAGCAUGUGAGCCAUAUAUUGUUUGAAAAUAGAUGUAAAGACACUCGUCGUGAUACUUUUUUUUUCUCAAAAUUGUCAUGAUACUUAUCUUGCAAUUGUUUUGAGCUUGUUUGGGUCUUCAAUCAAUCAAGAGAAGUUGGGUAUAAAUUACUAGGAAGAAAAUUGAGUCCAAGUGUGAAUUGGUGCUGUUAUAGCUCUUUGGAGUGAUCAUAAUUUUUCCCGUAGAGCCUGAGGUUCUCAUACUACAUUGUCCCUAGUCGAAGAGUAUAGGAGAUUCCUAAUAUUCAUCAUAUGCACGGAUGACCUAUGUGAGCUGAAACCUUACUAUUAAUGAAAGAUCAUGCCUCUAGUUUAUAUGUGCAAAAGGAAUGCCACGAGAAAAAUGUAUGCAAUGUUGUAUAAACUGAUUGUUUUGUUUUUAUCAUGGGUCAAAUUUAUGAGAUGCAAAUGUAUGAUAAAUUCAUUAGUGAAAUUCAGGUGUCGACAUCAAAAGUCCUUUAAAUAGUGAAGAUUGGAAAUUUCGAUCAAAUUGAUGAUUGGACUUAUAUAUAUGAUGCUUUUGAAAAAGACAAGCCAUCUUACUAAGGCAAAAGUUGUUGGAGUUAUCCCACAUUGAUUAUGGAAUUUUUUAGUGGUUAGUUUAUAAAUAUGAGAGAAAGUCUCACCCUUUGGGUAAACGUUUGAGAUGAGAGAAGCGCAAGAUUACCAAACAUUGGUGUUAGAGCCAAUAGUAGAUUGGCGGCCCCCAAUCUGUUCAAGAUAUCUCAAGAAAAGGAAUCUAGUUACCAACAUAGUUUCUAGGCAAUGUGUGUUGUGGUAUAACACAAUCCCAAUGGUAGUCUUCAUGGUUCGAUUCAAAGAAAAAAAAACAUGGAUAAAGGUGAGGUGUUGGAGAUUCAAGUUAAGAUUAGUUAAAUAUAAAAAGAUACCUAAGUUAAGGGGAACAAACCUAACAAUGAGCUCAUAUGUAAUGGGGAGAUUGUUGAGAUAUACAUGUGAGUUAUCUCAAAGAAAGGAAUCUAGUGACUAACACAGUUUCCGGGCAGUGUGUGUUGUGGUGUUGCAACGCAAUCAAAUGGUAGUUUUCAUGGUUCGGUCCGAUGAAAAAGAAUAUGGAUGAAGGUGAAUGUUGGAGAUUCAAGUUGAGAUAAGUUAAUGUAGAAAGAUACCUGAAUUAAGGGGGAACAAACCUAACAUGGAGCUCACACGUGAUGGGGAAGAUUGUUGAGAUACAUAUGUAAGUAGGAAUUUAGCGACUAACACAGUUUUCAGGCAAUGUGUGUUGUGGUGUUGCAACGCAAUCCAAUGGCAGUUUUCAUGGUACGGUCUGAUGAAAAAGAACAUGGAUGAAAGUGAAUGUUGGAGAUUCAAGUUGAGAUAAGUUAAUAUAGAAAGAUACAUGAAUUAAGGGGGAACAAACUUAACAUUGAGCUCAUACAUGAUGGGGAGAUUGUUGAGAUACAUAUGUAAGUUGUGUUAGGAAAGUCCCACAGUGGAGAAUUGUAGUGCAAAGUAAUUAAUAUAUCUAGCUGGCUAAUAACUCAUUGCUUUAAGCUUUUGAAUGAAGAUAUGUAUAAUUAGAUAUGUUAAUUGGCUUAGACUUGGGCUCUUUCUUAGCAAUCUCCUAGGUUAAAGAUAUUGGACAUCUGUUAUACACUCUCAACAAAAGUAAACACAUAAUUAUCCGAUUUUGAUAGGACAAAUUAGUUGAUAAACCAAUUCGUGAAACCCAAGAAAGAACCAGACAUCAUAAUUUUGUGGUACCGAAGUAAAGUUGUAGGACUUAAAUGCACAAAUUAAAAGUUACGGAUUUGAUUGCAUAAUUCGUGUAAGUUGUUUGACCAAAAAUGAAAUUAUUCCAAUUAAAUAAGAAUCGAAUUUAACCUAAUACGAUGAAAUGGAUGGAUCACCGGACUUACGUGACCAACAUGUUCACUCCUAUCCAUAGCCAAAAGAUAUAUUAAUGUUUUCUCCUUUUUAUAUUGUGGACGCAAAUAAUAGCAUCUCCUGCUUUUUCUUUAUUGUUUUGGGUUGCUUUCUUGUGAACAGGAUAAGAGUGUAUAUUAAUNNNNNNNNNNNNNNNNNNNNNNNNNNNNNNNNNNNNNNNNNNNNNNNNNNNNNNNNNNNNNNNNNNNNNNNNNNNNNNNNNNNNNNNNNNNNNNNNNNNNNNNNNNNNNNNNNNNNNNNNNNNNNNNNNNNNNNNNNNNNNNNNNNNNNNNNNCCCCUCAGCCCCCCGCAUGGCCCGUGAUCGGCAAUAUCCUCGACCUCGGGACCAUGCCGCACCAGAACCUCCACAACUUCCGAGCCAAGCACGGGCCUGUGACGUGGUUGAAGCUCGGUUCCGUGAACACCAUGGUGAUUCAAUCAGCUCAGGCCGCGGCAGAGUUCUUCAAG